CUUUGGAUUUUGGAAUUCAGUGAUCCCCAAAACGAAAAUAAGUAAAAGGCUUUCUGGCAAGAGGGAGAGACGGAGAGAAGGAAAAUGAAAAAAUGGGAAACAGCAGUGAGUAUUGGGUGAUAAAUCGACGAGGAAACGGUUGUUUUGGUGAAAGGAGAAAGGAGAGCAGCAAGCCAACUUCAGAUAUUGACUUUUGAGCAGGCAGAAUAGCCGAAUAGCAGAAUAGCAGUUUUCUGAAUGUGAAAAUAGUUUGGUUAGAAGGAAAGGGUGUUUUAUUAAUAAUAGGUGGAAUCUUCUGAGUUCUUGCUUUUUGGACUUUCGCCACCUAACCUCAGACUCCCUCAUUACUCACCAUCAUCAUACUAUUAUUAUAUUCACAGAAUUUUAAAAAAUAUAACAAUUAAAACUUCCAUCAUCAUAUUGUGAAAUCUUAAACCCUUUUAUUUAGAGUAUAAGAAAAUAAAAAAUAAAAAAAUAGCAUGAAUAUUAGUUCACAUUAUAAAAUUUUAUAAUUUUAAACGGACAUUAGAAACGAAAGUGAUAUUUUCACAAUAAUGAUAAGAGUUAAUUUCAUUCACCUCCUUUUAGAGUUUGAUUAAAUAUAUUUAAUUUUUAUAAACUUGAAAUUUCAUCAUACAUCCCCCUUAGUUUGAGUGAGAGGAAAGAUGAAUAAAAAUAAGAAAUAAAAAUGACACAGAAGAUAUUUAAUAAAAUUUCAAUCCUAUGAUAAUUAAAUGUAUUUAGUCAAAACAUGAAUAAAAAUAAAUGACCUUAAGAAAAAUAAAUAAAAAUAAUUAUUUUUAUGAUAUUUAGAGUGCAUUUGAAAGUGAUUAUAGAAAAUAUUUUUUAUAUUUAAAUGAUAAAUUAUUUUAAAUAUUUUUUAAAAUUACUAUCAAACAAAGUAUUAUUCUAUUAACUUAAAAGGAUCAAACAAUCAAAAGAGGAUUUAUUUGGCUACGAAAAAUUCUAUCAUCAUAAUACCACAUACACAAGGAAUUCUUUCUAUUUAUUUGUGUUCCAAAAAAUUCAGAUGAAAGAUGAUUGAAAACCUACAAGCUGUUCUUUUACUAUUUUUCUAAUAAUAGGAAAGGACACAUGUGGGAUGGCACAGAGACAACCUGUCAAGAGUAUGAGAUCUUUUCAUAGAAAUGAUAAAAUCUAAACAUGUGAAUACUUUUUAUUUUAUAAAAUUAUGAAAUUAUAAUAUUUAGUUAUUAAAAAAUAAAUUAUUAUCGAAAACUGAAAUAUAAUUUUAUUGUUUAUUUUAUUCAUAUUUCAUUAAUUUUACAUGUUAUCAUUUUUAUUUUUAUUUUAUUAUUUUUAUAAUUUUAUGAUUUUGAUAUUUGAUUUUAUGUAAAGAGUGAAUAAAGUUAUGUAUUAUUGAAAUAAAUAAAAAGAAUUCAGUCUUGGGUUAACACCUUGGAGGGAGCCAUGAAAUAAGGCCCUCACAUGAAAUGAGAAAAAUUAGAAAUUAAUCAAAAAAAAAAAAAAAACCUAUUUGAAAACCCACACAUUAAAAAAAAUGAAAAUUUUAUAAAAAUAAUAAUCUUCGAGAAAUUUGAAAACUACAAUAAUUAAGUGUAUUUUCAUCAAAUUUCUAUAAUAUUAAUGAAAUUAACCUUUAAAAUACUUUUAAUCAUUUACUUUAAAAAAUAGUUAUUUUUUUUGUGGGUUUAUUAUAUCAUUAGUUUCAAAUUUAUCAUUUCAUCAUAUAGCACCCUUAUAGAUAUAUUUUAUUUAUAAAAUUUAAUUUUUUUUAAAAAAAAAUUAUGUUUUUUAGAAAAUUUUAAAAUAUACCUAUUUCGUAAAUCAUUUAAAAAAAAUAAAUUUAAUAAAAAUAAUAAUUUAAUAAUGGUGCUAAGGGAUGAAACUUGAAUUCAACAUUGAUUAAGUGUAGUUUUAUUAAAUUUCAGUAAUAUAAAUGAAAUUAUCCCUUUAAAAAUUAAAAAACCCCUUGAAGAUUCACACUUCGGAAGUUUCAUAAACAACUGUAAAAAAAAUGUAAGAGUGAAAACCAAUCUAUUAAAAAAAAAAGAAAGUUCCAAAAAAGGGUUUAUAAAGCCACAAUUUGAAAAAUAAUUAUUUCAUUAAAGGGAUGAAAUAAUUAUUGAUUUAUAAAAUCUCACCUUCUAUGUCUUUUGGGCUUAAAAAUAUUCAUUUUUAAUAAAAAUAUGUUUACCGUCUUUUUAUAAAAAUACAUUUUUCAAAACUUAAAUUUAAAUAAUUGAAACGUCGAAAAAUGUUUAUAUAAAAAAUAAAAUAUUUUUAUAUAAAUAUUUAUGUUUAUAUAAAUAUUUUAAAUACAUUUUUUUAAGUUCAGUCACUCUAUCAGCAGUUAGCUGUUUUAUUCUAUUUUAUGUAGUCAAUCUCACAACAUUGAGAGGCUUUGUUUUUUUGGCAACCACGCUGUCACCUACUCUUCCCGUUAUUAUUUUAUUCUCAUCAUCACACUCUUAUUAUAUGUAUUGACAAAUUUAUUAACAAAAUAUUUUUCUUUAAAUAAAAAAGAAAUAAUGGACGGUGAAAUAGCAGAUGAUUGAAAACUGCACCGGUUGUCGGCUGUUUUUAUUCUAUUUUAUCUACUCAACCUCAUAACAUUGAGAGGUCUUUGUUUUUUUGGCAGCCAGGCUUUCACCUCCUCAGCUGUACUCACUCUCGCUCCAUGCCUACUCUUGCCACUAAUAUUUUAUUCUCAUCAUCACACUAUUAUCAUAUGUAUUGACAAAUUUAUUAACAAUUUUUUUUAAUCUAACAAUUAACAUAUUAUUUCUAAAUUUAUGUAUCUCCUCAUAACUCGAAUGAAAAAAAAUUAUCUUUUAAAUAAAUAAAUUCAAUUUAAAUAUUAAAUUUUAAAUAAAUAAAAUAUUUUAUAGUUGUCAUUUUUUAAAAUAUUUUAUUUAGAAGGUCGUACGAAUGUUAAAAAUUGAAUUUGAGUGAUGGCUAAUGAUUCACCAACUCUGCCAGCUAAAUUAUUUUUCUAUAUUAGUUAUUGGUAACCAAUCACGCUCAUCUCGUCAUUUCAGGUUCACACACAUGCUUUCACCUUCCCUAGUCAAGCUUAUUGAGACUCACACUAUUAUUAUUAUAUUGACAAAACAACAAACACUAGUCCUUUCUUAUCUACUUUUUCAGGAAAUAAAUUGAUUUUAAUUAUUAAAUUUUAAAGUUUUUAUUACGAAUAAAUAAUUUAAAUUAAUUUUAUGAGUUCUUUUGAUAAGGCGAAUAAGAAAUUACUCUUCAAGAAAUAAUUUUACUUUAGCUAUUAAAUUUUAAAGUUAUCUUUUAAAUAAAUUCCAAAUUUUACAUUGGAACUAUUUUUUUUUUUUAAAUAAUUUUUAUGUGAUAUAUAUAUAUAUAUAUAUAUAUAUAUUAUUUGUUGUUAAAAUUUUGAAACUUGCCCUCUAUAUAUAAUUAGAAAAGACCUCAUUAUAUGCUACAAUAUAACUCUAUUGAAUUUAUUUAUUUAUUUAACAUCUGAAUUAUUUUUAUAAUUAUCAUUUUUUAAAUAUGUUAUUUAAAAAGUAGUACAAAUAUUAAAAUCUUUCAAUUUCCUAAGUGUUGGAUUACGACCCACCUACUAUGACAACUAAAUUAUUAUUUAUUAUUAUUAUUAUUAUUAUUAUUUGCAGCUCACCUAAGAGUUGCAUGCCUCAACAUUUCCACGUUCAUACCUAUACCUACUCUGGCAGCUGAAUUAUUUUUCUAUAUUAGUUAUUGGGAACCAAUGCUUAUCUCAUCAUCCCCAGGUUCACACCCAUGCUUUCACCUUCCCUAGUCAAGCUCAUUGAGAUUCACACUAUUAUUAUUAUAUUAACAAGACCACAAGGGAAAGUUAUGUUUACAUGCACUAUUUGAAAGUAAUAUGACAAUCAAACUACAAUCAAUUGGAGUAUGAGACUUGACUGUCAAAGGGGAAAAUAUUAUCUUUCUUGUGCACUUUUUGCUAACUCUAUUUUAUGUUUCUAGAUUGCCCUUCUAUGCCUCUAUGUUAGCUGCAACCCUGUCUCCAUAUUAGUAGGAAGCCCCCCAUGUCACAUGAGAGACUGAAAAAUUUUAAAAUAGGAACAUCUAAAUUUGAAACCUAUGAAAAAUCACCCAACCCAACAACUAGUUAUAAUUUUCCUAAUUUGAAACUUUUCUUCUCUCUGAUUUGGGAACAUUUUUUUUCUCUCUCUCUCUCUCUUGGUUUCAUCACCCACACGAUCCCGAGACCCAUUUAAAAAUUACCAUAAAAAUGUCUUAUUUGAGAGAAACAAACCAUUAAUCCAAAACUCCAACCUGCAUGCUUCUCUCUUAUCCACAUAAAAGUGCAAUGAAAUGGAGCAUUCCAUCCUAAGAACGUCCAGUUAAAAGACGGCUUCAAGAGGCGCAUAUGUGAUUGUGAAUUUACUACAACAGUGCGUACCAUAAACGAAAGCUAGAAUCCAAAAUAUUGGCUUCGUGAACAAGAUAUCUCUUCCUGUCAUUGAGUUGCAUUUUACCCUAACCUCAAACCAAAAUCUGAAGGUAAAUAAUUUUCAUUUAUUAUUCUUUAGUUCAUUUCUUUGAAAUGGAGCACAUCAACGAUUUUGGAGUCGUUUGUGGCCUUGAACUUUUCUGUUGGGUUGUGGGAACCAUAUUAUUCCCAAAUAACCAUAUGACCUACAAGUCAUAUUGAAUUCAGAUGGAACUUAUAGCAUAUCCGAUUGCAAGUCGCAUUGUUAUUUUGGGGAUUGUAUCUUAGGUACUACCUUAAUAGCCCUUAGGUACCAUCUUAAUCUACCUUAGGUACUAUCUUAACCGACCUUAGGUACUUCCUUAGUUAAAGUUGGGUACUACCAAUCUGAAGCCUCGAACCUUCAUUUGUGACCUUUAGAGCAUGUCAUUAUGUGAUUAUUUUGUGUGGUCAAAUGGUUCACCUUUGGUUUUUUGGGAACUGUACUUUAGGUACUACCUUAAUAGCCCUUAGAUACCAUCUUAAUCUACCUUAGGUACUACCUUAACCGAUCUUAGGUAUUACCUUAGUUAAAGUUGGGUAUUACCCAUCCGAAGCCUCGAAACUUCAUUUGUGACCCUUAGAGCAUGUCAUUAUGUGAUUAUUUUAUGUGGUCAAGUGGUUCACCUUUGAUUUUUUGGGGACCGUACCUUAGGUACUACCUUAAGCGACCUUAGGUACUACUUAUCUAAAGCCUUAAAACUUUAUUCCCAACCUUGGCUUGUUACAUUUUGAAUUUUUUAGUCAAUCAUCACUUUUAUUAUCAUAAAAUGUGGUAUACUUGUGUGAAUUAUAUACAUUUUCUUUUUGCAAUAGUCAUUACUUGAUUGAUUAUAAAAAAAAUUAACCAACAACAAUUAUGUCAUUAAAUGACGAACAGGCUAACAUACUAUGUAGUGUUUGUAGGUCGUAGACAUGGAAUGUAUGAUUCUUGGGUUGAAUGCUAAAAGAAUGUGCUCCGUUAUAAGGGGAGUGUUUACAAAACAUAUACUUCUAGAGAGGAAGCUGUCCGAGCUUGGGUGUUCUAUGAACCAAGAUGGAAGAGAAGUGAUGAAUGUUCAUUAGCUAGCAAACCAAAGUCCAAACAUGCAGUUGAUGAUGACCAUUCCUUGCAAAAUAUUUCAUAUACAUAUGUAAUCAGUUUCUUUGUUGGCUUAUUUGUAGCAUGUGUUUAGUUGAAGAGUUGUGGGAACAACCAUGAUUGUUUAGCCUGCUAAAAUCAUAUAUCCUACACAUUUAAUAAGAUCCAUUUAAUACAAAUGCAUGCAUAUGCUUGUAAAAAUGAUAUGAUAUACAACUUUAAAUCCAUAAAAUUUCAUUUUUACACUUACUAUUUACUUGAAUGUCUUUUAUUGCCCUUCUCAAAAUCCCUGGAGCAACACGUGCUAACCUAAGAGCUUCAUUGAUAACCUACAUUUUCACUUGGUCAAAUAGUUUGCACAAAUUUAUAUUAAUGCAUAUGUGUAUGUGUACUAAAAAAAUUAUCAACUUACUUGAUGAGUAAAAGUCAUUGACUUAUAUUCCUUCCGUGAAAUUCAAGAAUUUGGAUCUUCCCUAUUUUUAAGGAUUGCCUCAUGCUCCUCUUGCAAUAUAUAUAAUUAAAUAAAAGGUUUGAGUCCACUAGGGUUAUCAAUGAAAACAUGAUAAUAGAAAAAUUGAAAGGUCAUUAAAUAUUUAUCACUUACAAUUAAUUCUUGCAUUACUAAAGGGUGUUCUAUGAGUAACUUCACAACUAAGGGUAAAGUAGAGGAAAUUGUCUCAAAACUAGCAAGUAGAAGCCCAAACAUAACAAAAACAACAAAGUCAUUCAAUAGGAACUUUUUUUUCUUCAUAUCUCAACCUUCUGAUAAGGAAAAUCCCUUAUAAGAGUUUUAGGCGAAGCUUUUUUCUCUUUUAAUACAUCACGAAUCAACUUUAUUGCCUUCUUUUGGUCCUGAAAUUGAAUUUAUAUGAAAUUAAUUACACUAAAUAUACAAAAAAGGAAAAAAAGAAAUUAUAACUUUAAAAGUUUUAGAGUAUAAUGAAAAAGAGUUUUAGAAUUACCUUUGGACAUUUAUGGAAAAUUGUACCAGGGAUAUUCAAAGGAAAUGAAAUAAGAGCAUAUAAGAUACUGGUAAAUUUUUCACUAAAAUGUGCUCCCUUCAUUUUGAAGUCAUAACUAAACAACGCGGUUGCAUUAAUAUCAAAUAUCAUCUAUGUAAGAAUCAUCAAUCAAGUAAAUUUAAAAAAAAAAAAAAAAAAUCAACUUUUGUUUUAUCAUAAAGUUUAUUAUUAUUGAUCCUUUUUGCUCAAUUAGCUAAGUUUGUAUAUCACAUAAUCUUGUUAAUAACCUCAAUGAAUAUUUAAUAUGAACAAUCUAUUUUAAUAUAAAGUAAUACUAUUUUUUCAUUAUUUUUAAUUAUUUAAAUUAUAAGUGAUAAUUAGAUAUGUUAAAAAAUAGUUUAUAUAUAUUAAAUAAGAAAGUUUUGACAUUCUAUUAUCAUUUGCUACUUUUUCUAUCCUUAAAAAAAGGUGAGAGGUUAUAAAAAAGGGCAAAGUAGGUUUUCCCACCUUUUAACGAGGGAUCAGAGAUCAUACAAGUGGUUGAAUUAAAAGCUUGAUAAAUUACUGAUGAAACGUAUGCUUUGAAUUCGAAGGCAGGCAACAAUGGACGGUGAAAUAGCAGAUGAUUGAAAACUCCACCGGUUGUCGGCUGUUUUCUUCUAUUUUAUCUAGUCAACCUCAUACCAUUGAGAGGUCUUUGUUUUUUUGGCAACCAGGCCUUUGCUCACUCUAGCUCCAUGCCUACUCUUCCCACUAAUAUUUUAUUCUCAUCAUCACACUAUUAAUAUAUAUAUUGACAAAUUUAUUAGCAAGAUAUUUUUCUUUAAAUAAAUAAUAAUAAUAAUAAUAAUGGACGGCGAAAUAGCAUAUAAUUGAAAACUCCACCUGUUGUCGGUUGUUUUAUUCUAUUUUAUCUAAUCAACCUCACAACAUUGACAGGUCUUUGUUUUUUCGGCAACUACGCUUUCACCUCCUUAACUUUGCACUUUGCUCACUCUCGCUCCUUAUCUACUCUUCCCACUAUUAUUUUAUUCUCAUCAUCACACUAUUAUCAUAUGUAUUGACAAAUUUAUUAACAAUUUUUUUUUUUAAAUCUAACAAUUAACAUAUUGUUUCUAAAUUUAUGUAUCUCCUCAUAACUCGAAUAAAAAAGUUAUCUUUUAAAUAAAUAACUUCAACUUAAAUAUUAAAUUUUAAAAUUACUAUUUUUAAAAAAAAAUUGACACUAAACUUUAAAAUUUAUAAUAAAAUUAUUUUUAAAAAUAAUUUUAACAUAAUAUAUGUAAUAAUUUGUGAAACAUGGUCUACAUAUAAUUAAGAAAAAUUCACCUGUAGUAUUAACAAAUGUUUUUCUCCAAUCAAUAGCCAAUAUCAUAAUAUAACACUAUUGACAUGGUCAAUUUAUUUAAAACAUAUUUUUUUAAUUGCUAUAAAUUUUAAAUUAUUUUAUAGUUAUCAUUUUUUAAAAUAUUUUAUUUACAAGGUCGUUCGAAUGUUAAAAAUUGAAUUUGAGUGAUGGCUAAGGAUUCACCAACUCUGCCAGCUAAAUUAUUUUUCUAUAUUAGUUAUUGGGAACCAAUCACACUCAUCUUGUCAUUCCCAGGUUCACACACAUGCUUUCACCUUCCCUAGUCAAGCUUAUUGAGACUCACAUUAUUAUUAUUAUAUUGACAAAACAACAAACACUAGUCCUUUCUUAUCUACUUUUUCAGGAAAUAAAUUGAUUUUAAUUAUUAAAUUUUAAAGUUUUUAUUACGAAUAAAUAAUUUAAAUUAAUUUUAUGAGUUCUUUUGAUAAGUCGAAUAAGAAAUUACUCUUUAAGAAAUAAUUUUACUUUAGCUAUUAAAUUUUAAAGUUAUCUUUUAAAUAAAUUCCAAAUUUUACAUUGGAACUAUUUUUUUUAAAAAAUAAUUUUUAUGUGAUAUAUAUAUCUUUUUAUAUAUAUAUAUAUAUAUAUAUUAUUUGUUGUUAAAAUUUUGAAACUUGCCCUCUAUAUAUAAUUAAAAAAGACCUCAUUAUAUGCUACAAUAUAACUCUAUUGAACUUAGGACUAAAACAUAGGUGUAAAUUUCUUAUUAAAAUUAUUUCUAUAUACUACUUCCUACUCAUUUCAUUCAUUUUAAUUUGAGAAUAAAUAAUUUAAAUUAAUUUUAUGAGUUCUUUUGAUAAGGCGAAUAAGAAAUUACUCUUCAAGAAAUAAUUUUACUUUAGCUAUUAAAUUUUAAAGUUAUCUUUUAAAUAAAUUCCAAAUUUCACAUUAGAACUAUUUUUUUUUAAAAUAAUUUUUAUGUGAUAUAUAUAUAUAUAUAUAUAUAUAUCUUUAUAUAUAUAUAUAUAUAUAGAUAUAUUAUUUGUUGUUAAAAUUUUGAAACUUGCCCUAUAUAUAUAAUUAAAAAAGACCUCAUUAUAUACUACAAUAUAACUUUAUUGAACUUAGGACUAAAACAUAGGUGUAAAUUUCUUAUUAAAAUUAUUUCUAUAUACUACUUCCUACUCAUUUCAUUCAUUUUAAUUUGAGAUUAAAUAAUUUAAUAUAUAUAUAUAUAUAUAUAUAUAUAUAUAUAUAUAUAUUUAGUUAUAUUUAAUUUUUUUAUAAUGCAAUCUAUCAUGAGAAAAUUAUUUUUUUAGAUAUAUAUAUAUAUUUUAAAAUGCUCUCAAGAAACUGAACAAAAUUUUGGAGCGAAGAAUAUAGAAAAUAGAAAAUGAGGAUCAAAGUUAACCCUCGUUUCAAGGUUUUACAAUUCAAUUCUCACAAUCUCAAUAACAAUGUUUAUAUGCUUUUUCAUUUAUGAGACAAAUUUGAGGACACCAACUUUGUAGAAGGAAAAAUGCAAAAAAUUUGUAUCUCUCUCUUGAACAUGGGCUUUUCGAAAUAUUGAAUCCAUGAAAUUAAUGAAAUACUCUUUUAUAGGAAGGGAGGGCUAAUUUUCUUAAAUAGUUAAAAUUUCUCUUUUCAAGGUACAAUUAUUUAAAAACUUUUCACUUUUCUAAUUAACCAAUAAAAUUUAACAACUUAACAAUUAUUUUAAAUCAUUUAUUGAUUUGAAUAAUAGAACAAUCAUAAUAAUAAAUUAAGUAACCAUAAAAUUUAUCUAACCACAAGCAUGUAAAGUAAUAGGCCUAGGAUCUUAAAAGAAUGAAUGGCCAUAAAACAAAAAUCCUGAUUCUUAAACUCAUGAACAUAAAAGUACUCUUUCUAUCUGUCAAACUCUCCCCCUAAAUUUAUGACAAAGAUUCUAUAUAGCAACCCUGCCUAAGGGCCCACUAGGAGAUAGUGAUCCCAUUACGUAUUAAAAUAAAAAAUAAAACCACUAACUUAAAUGGUGGAACAAGGGCAAUUAAAAUAAAGACAGAGAGAAAAUGUUGAUAAAGCAAAACCAAAUUCCAUUCAAAAUAAAAAAGCAAGCAUAAAAAAAGUAAAAGUAGUUUAGACCUUAAGGUUGAAUACAACUCAAAAGUAACAAGUCUCAAAAGAGAAAGGAUACUAGAACCCACAAAUUAAGGAUAAAUUAAUAAUGCCAGAAGACUAUAGGGCCUAAGGCUGCUCUUGAGGACUAACCUUAGUCCUAGCUCAACCUCAAUUGAACCUAUGGGCUCAUCAUCUAAAAAAAAAAAUGUUAGGAUGGUCAACUCAUAUUAAAGACAUUUCUAAAACAUACUCAUAAUAAAUUUGGUAAUUAGAAACUAGCAUAAUCAUAAUAAUAGGUAUAGACAUAUCUUUGAUCAAUUGAUCAACUAUACAAAAGCCUACUACUCGUUAACCCUCACAUCUACAGUCUUUAGGGUCUCACUACCUCGGAUCACAAUACUAAAGAGUUUAUCUCUUGAUCAUCUCGUUAGGAGCACAAAAGAGUAUACUUUGCCAUUUUAGGUACUUCAUUUGUGAACCUUAGGUAGUUCCUUUGUCAACCUUAGGUACUAACUUUCUCAACCAUAAGACCUACCUUUGGCAUUGAAUCAAGAUAGAAUCCAUUGUUUGAAGAUCAACUGAGAAAGUGUGGAACUUGUCUACUCAAUACAAAACUUCUUUAAUUGCAUUUGAAUACAUAUGGUGUUAUGUUUUAAUAGGUUGAUCAAUUGGUCCACUUUAGGUACUAGCUUAUUGAACUUUAGGUAUUACCUUAAUGAACAUUGGGUACUAACUUAGUGAACCUUGGGUACUACCUUAGUGAGCCUUAGGUACUAUCUUAGUUGAGUCUUAGGUACUAUCUUAGUGAAUUUUAGGAGAUUGUUCAUUCCAAAUAAUUUAAUAGCUAGAGCAACAUUAACUCAAGGGUUUCAUAGUGUGUUUUUUAUCACUCAUAAAAAACAAAGGUACCACAAUUCACCAAUAUACUAUCCAUAUUAUUUAUUGAUGAGGCUUCUUUAUCUUUAUUAGAUUUUAUUGAUUGUUGGUUCUAGUUAAAAGGGUGAAGGUUUAUUUGUUUUUACCUCAUUUUUCUUGAUUAUUUAGUGACUAUAUUUUACUACCUGUAGACUUUAGUUGUGUUUUUUUUGUUAGGUUUUUUUUAAUAGUGUUUGUUCCUAAAAAAAUAUUUUAUGACAAUGUGAUGGACUCAAGAAUUUUUGUGUCAUAUUCCUUCUCACAUUUUUUUAUUGGAUAAAUACUUUAUAAAGCAUUCUCUCUCAAUUAUUUUUCUAAUUGACUUAUGAUGGUUAUGUUGUGGGAUGAAUUUAUAUGUUCUUUUUCUCAACUCUAUGUAUUUAUUUUUGAUUUGAAAUUUAUAUGUUUUUUUUUCUCAACUCUCUGAAUUUAUAUGUGGAUGUAGUGUAGACAUUGGAUGUAAAUUUUGCUAUUGAGGCCUACAGGAAAUCACAGAAGGCUUUUGUGAUGUAGUGUAGACAUUGGAUGUAAAUUUUGCUAUUGAGACCUGAAGGAAAUCACAGAAGGCUUUUGUGGCUACUAAUUUCCUUGCAAUAGAGGCAUAGAAUAGGGAGAGUAUUACUUCCAUUAGUCAUUUAGGUCUCAAUGGUAGUAGAGAGUAAGUCAACCUUGCAUAUAUAAUGUGCUCUUUCUAGUUUAAUUCUUCUAUAAGUAGGUGAUUCGUUCCCAAUUGGUGUCUCAGCUGAUUCAUGUCCAGCUGGUGCUCUUUGAUUGAGAGAGUAAUCAACAAAAUUUAUAACCUAUAUCACCAUGCAUUAGGAUAGCUUUAACUAAUAUAGCAUUGUGGCUCUAGGAUCGUUCUCUGGGAAGGGUUUUCAACUCACAACUAAUACCAAUUCAAAGUUCCCUUGGUGCUUUUUCAUUUCAAGGUUAGCUUAAGAAAUAAAACAUAAACUUUGGUGGAAAAGGUUUGGGUUUAAGUUAACAAAAAAGAAAGUAAUGGAAAUUACUUAUGAAGAAAAACAUUCCUUGGAGGUUUGGGUUCACAGGGGAGGUUCCUUAUGCAAAAACAGAGCUCCGGUCAUUUGGUUCAUUUCUUCGCAUUAGAGAAUUAACAUAUAGUCAAUUCUCUAACCGGUGCUGUACAGAUGUAUCCUUUAAAUGGAUUUCAGCUCUAAUUCCCUCUCACUGAUGCAACUUGCAAUGGCUCGUGCCUCUCACCUAGCAUUUGUCAUUUAAGGUGAUCUUUAACUUCAGACUUCCCUUCUCAAGCUCGCAAAAGAUAACUAAUGGAUGUCUCCUUGGAGUCCAAAAGCUUACCAAGUGUUGGCAAUUCUAGAAAAUCCUACCUCCAAGUCACUUCCUAAAAGCUCGCAAGAGAUAAACAAGUGCAUCUCCAUGGACGGAGAUCACGUGCCUUACCAAGUGUUGGCUCAAGUGACUUGAAGGUGUUUUAAGUUAACUAAAAACAUAGAAAUCAUUAAAGGAUCACACUUUCUCUUCAUUAAUGAUUGAAACCACAAAGCUACUAAUUCUUGUACUUGGAACCUUUCCCGGCAACCUUAACUCCAAGGAACUAAAAGUCUAGCCACUCAUUCUCUAAGGAAACUUCCUCAGAGCUUGUUUGGCUAGAAAGAAAACUAACGAGAAAACAAAUAUAUCCAGGAAAAACAGAGCAAGUGCUCUGUGAAAUAUAUUUCUUUCUUCCACUGAUUACAUAAUUGAUAUUUUGUAAAGAAAAUUACAAACUAUAUAUAUGAGGUUAUUCACCCUUUGUACUUACUUAAAGACUAAGGAAUCCUAUGAUAGGUGGAUUACAAGGAGACUUUGGGGAUUUAGACAUCAAAUGUCUAAAGCAAAAUAUCCCAAAAUAUCUCAAAAUGUCGGUCGGAAAUAUCAGGAAGCUUCAGGAGAACAUCGCUGCACUGUAUACUGAGAGAAAAACUCUGCGGGUAAGCGUUAUCAGAAGAUCCGAAUAUUUUUGACUGGAGAAGUUGAAACGUCCUCCUCUCCCAUCCGGCAGUGAGAUAUCCGGAUGUAAAAAUGUCGGCGCACGGAAUUCCGGAUAUGAAAUGUCGGUGCACGGAAUUCUUCCCCGGGUGGACUGAGCUAUGUUGCGCAAAAGGGGAUCGUCUGCGUGUGUAAGGUGUAGGGACCCCUCUCCCGGAUGACACGGAGUGCGCAAGGUUAUCCGGAUCAACUCGAUCCGGAUUUCCCAAGAGGAAAAGGCGGCGCAAUGCUAUCCGGCGCAGCUCCAUCCGAACGAUAGCAUAUACUAUCCAGAUAUGUUGUCCGGAUGGAAAACAUUGACUAAAGUGAGUGAGCGAGCCUUGCUACAGCCCACGUUCCGCCGCUCUCAGAUGGUGUGUCCAUACGCCUGUUCGGACAUCUUUACCAUGGAUUCCAAAGAACUCUCCUCAAUCUACGGAUUGCUUUGGUGAUAAAAAAGCUAUCAAAACACCAAAACUUAACACAAUUUGAUUAGAAUUGAUUGCAAGGGUCCUUAAUAUGUUAAUUGGGUUAAAAGGUGAUAACUACUACUCAAAAGUGUUUAAAAGAGUUUAUUACAAGCUAUGAAAUAACACUUUUUGAGUAGUAAUCACUCCCCCCAACCGACAUAUUGCUAGUCCCUUAGCAAUGAAGGAGAGAAAAAGAACAAUAAACAGUACUAUAAUUUACAACAUCAUGCUGAUUAAAAAACAAUUUUCAAGUGGCAUGAUGAUCUAACUCUCACAUGGAACAUUAAAGAAGUAAAACUCAAACUUCAACAAGAGUUAUCAAAUAAUUUGUCUUAAUCACAAUUCUUAUAGAGACGGCAUUAUGCAAAAUUAAGCUUUAAAAGAGUUUCCACUCCCAAAUGGUCAAACCUUACUCUUCCACAAAAAUCUAAGUGUUAUUUAUUAGUUUCCGAAUAUAGUAUGUUGAACUAAUCUCUCCCCCAAACCUAGCUCUUUUUCAAAGCUUAGCAAACUGAUCAACCUCCAAUAGGCUAAGAACGCACCUCUUUUUUUUUUUUUCACAAUUUUUUUUCAUUGUAGGAGUACAAGGCUAAAGGUAUUAUUUUCUAAAUUGUCCAUGUAAUGGGGGUCCAUCGAUGACUCCCAACCAAUUAAGGUUUAGGACAUCAAGUUUUAAGGAUAUUUCAACCACUAACUCCUCGGAUUUUACCCCAGACUUUUGAGAAUGAAUUUUAAUACCCAAGCACCUACAAUAUGUUAAACUCCACCUAUCCACCCUUGUAACGAGCAUUGAAUUCGAUGACUCCCAACCAAUGAAGGCUUAGGGCACUAGGUUUUAAAGAUUUUCACCAUAUACCCUUCAGACCUUGCUCAGGUUUCAAGGCAAGCAAACAUUUUUUCUUCAUAUUUUUUUUUCAAAGGCUCAUUGGCCUUUUAUAAGGUGUCCCAACACUAUUAAAAUUGAUGUCAAAGGUACCAAGUCUAAAAUUUUCCUAAGUCAAGAGGGAAAUAGUUUUUCAUCUUAUAAUCGGAACCUAUUGUGCACAGUGUGUGAAUAACUUAAAGUGGAAGAACUAAGGUUGAAUUCAAUAGAAGUUUCAACAAUUCACCAACUUUAGUAAGCAUAAUACAAACUCUAAGUCAAGUAAAAAGACAAAAAUUCAAUUUCUCUCAUUUCAUUUUUGAGAUUUUUCCUUAAUAACCAUGGAGAGUAGAAUAUAAACUUCAAAAAAAUUUUAAAAGUAAGCAAAAAGCAACUAAAUUACCAAAAUAACUUAGCAUUAUUAACAAAAACUUCCUUCCUCAACUCUCCCCCCAACCAAGCUGAACAUUGUCCUCAAUGUGACAAAAGCGAUUGAAAAAUAGGGAGGAAGUGGUACCUCCUAAGUGACGUGGAGUAAUGCUGUGGAAAUGAUGGCUCAGCCGCUUCUCCUGUAGGAGGCUCCGGAUGAGGUGGGAAUGGCAUGCUCAGGAGUUGAUGUACUGCCAAGAUGAUGUUGAAUCUGCCUCAGGAUGGCAGUGUGCUGGGCCUAAGUGGCAAGAAUCUGCUCCUGCUGAUUUUAAUCAUUCAAAAAGAUUAAGUUAGUUACAAUUUACAUAAUUUCAAGACCAAAAUUACAAUCAAAUAAUUUACAAAACUUAAAAAUUAACAUAUUUAACAAAAUUAUGGACUUUGGUGAAACCAAGUCCAUCUAACCCUUCUCUGAUCAGGAUUCUUAUGGCUCAAGGAGGUUGAUUUCCUCCUUUUCUGGUUUGAAAGGUUCAAUGAAUGGCUUGAGGCGAUGACCAUUGACUAUGAAGGUGUCUAUGUCAUUGGAAUUUAGUAAUUCCACCACUCCAUUGAGAUGUACUUGGUGAAUAAUGAAAGGACCUAUCCACCUUGACUUGAGCUUCCUUGGAAAGAUAUGGAGCCUUGAGUCAUAGAGUAGGACUCUUUGUCCGUUCCGCAAUUCUUUGUUGGAGAUUAGUUGAUCAUGCCACUUCUUCAUCUCUGUUUUGCAACUUUGGAAUUGAUGUAAGCAUCAUUUCUUAAUUCCUCCAUCUCAUUAAGGUCUAAGUACCUCUUUGUUCCAGCUCUGAUCAAGUCCAUGUUCAACCUCUUGAUUGCCCACCAAGCUUUAUAUUCAACUUCCACAAGGAGGUGGCAUGCUUUGCCAUAUACGAGACGAUAGGGGGACAUGCCAAGAAUAGUCUUGUAAGCUGUUCUAUAUGCCCAUAAUGAAUCAUGCAGCUUAAUAGACCAAUCUUUUCCGCUUGUAAUCACCACUUUCAUCAGUAUGUUCUUUAUUUCCCUGUUUGCUAGCUCUACUUGCCCGGAAGUUUGAGGAUGAUAAGGUGUAGCUACCUUAUGCUUCACUCCAUACUUGGCUAAUAAGGCUUCAAAAGGUUUGUUGCAAAAAUGAGUACCUCCAUCAUUGAUUAUGGCCUUGGGCACCCCAAAUCUUGAAAAGAUGUUCUCCUUAAGGAAUUUGAGAACCACCCUGUGAUCAUUAUGUUUACAGGGGAUUGCCUCCACCCAUUUGGAAACAUAGUCCACCCCCACCAAUAUAUAAGAGUUACCAAAAGACAAUGGGAAAGGUCCCAUGAAGUCAAUACCCCAAACAUAAAAAAGAUCAACUAUAAGGAUGGGGUUCAUGGGAAUUUGGUUUCUUUUUGUAAGCUUCCCGAGUCUUUGGCAUCUAUCACAACUCCUACACAUGAUGUGGGAAUCUUUGAAAAGCGAUGGCCAAGUAAACCCUGAUUGCAAGACCUUCAUGGCUGUUUUCUGAGAGGCAAAGUGGCCUCCACAGGCAUUCUCAUGGCAGUGGCUGAGGAUCCCUUGUUGCUCUUCUUCAGGAACACACUUCCUUAUGAUCUGAUUCUAUAAGUAGGUGAUUCGUUCCCAAUUGGUGUCUCAGCUGAUUCAUGUCCAGCUGGUGCUCUUUGAUUGAGAGAGUAAUCAACAAAAUUUAUAACCAAUAUCACCAUGCAUUAGGAUAGCUUUAGCUAAUAUAGCAUAGUGGCUCUAGGAUCGUUCUCUGGGAAGGGUUUUCAACUCACAACUGAUACCAAUUCAAAGUUAACUUGGUGCUUUUUCAUUUCAAGGUUAGCUUAAGAAAUAAAACAUAAACUUUGGUGGAAAAGGUUUGGGUUUAAGUUAACCAAAAAGAAAGUAAUGGAAAUUACUUAUGAAGAAAAACAUUCCUUAGAGGUUUGGGUUCACAAGGGAGGUUCCUUAUGCAAAAACAGAGCUCUGGUCAUUUGGUUCAUUUCUUCGCAUUAGAGAAUUAACAUAUAGGCAAUUCUCUAACCGGUGCUGUACAGAUGUAUCCUUUAAAUGGAUUUCAGCUCUAAUUCCCUCUCACUGAUGCAACUUGCAAUGGCUCGUGCCUCUCACCUAGCAUUUGCCAUUCAAAGUGAUCUUUAACUUCAGACUUCCCUUCUCAAGCUCGCAAGAGAUAACUAAUGGAUGUCUCCUUGGAGUCCAAAAGCUUACCAAGUGUUGGCAAUUCUAGAAAAUCCUACCUCCAAGUCACUUCCCAAAAGCUCGCAAGAGAUAAACAAGUGCAUCUCCAUGGACGGAGAUCACGUGCCUUACCAAGUGUUGGCUCAAGUGACUUGAAGGUGUUUUAAGUUAACUAAAAACAUAGAAAUCAUUAAAGGAUCACACUUUCUCUUCAUUAAUGAUUGAAACCACAAAGCUACUAAUUCUUGUACUUAGAACCUUUCCCAGCAACCCUAACUCCAAAGAACUAAAAGUCUAGCCACUCAUUCUCUGAGGAAACUUCCUCAGAGCUUGUUUGGCUAGAAAGAAAACUAACGAGAAAACAAAUAUAUACAGGAAAAACAGAGCAAGUGCUCUGUGAAAUAUAUUUCUUUCUUCCACUGAUUACAUAAUUGAUAUUUUGUAAAGAAAAUUACAAACUAUAUAUAUGAGGUUAUUCACCCUUUGUACUUACUUAAAGAUUAAGGAAUCCUAUGAUAGGUGGAUUACAAGGAGACUUUGGGGAUUUAGACAUCAAAUGUCUGAAGCAAAAUAUCCCAAAAUAUCUCAAAAUGUCGGUCGAAAAUAUCAGGAAGCUUCAGGAGAACACCGCUGUACUGUAUACUGAGAGAAAAACUCUGCGGGUAAGCGUUAUCAGAAGAUCCGGAUAUGUCUGACCGGAGAAGUUGAAACGUUCUCCUCUUCCAUUCGGCUGUGAGAUAUCCGGAUGUAAAAAUGUCAGCGCACGGAAUUCCGGAUAUGAAAUGUCGGCGCACGGAAUUCUUCCCCGGGUGGACUGAGCUAUGCUGCGCAAAGGGGGACCGUCUGCGUGUGCAAGGUGUAGGGACCCCUCUCCCGGAUGACACGGAGUGCGCAAGGCUAUCCGGAUCAACUCCAUCCAGAUUUUCCAAGAGGAAAAGGUGGCGCAAUGCUAUCUGGUGCAGCUCCAUCCGGACGAUAGCAUAUACUAUCCGGAUAUGUUGUCCGGAUGGAAAACAUUGACUAAAGUGAGUGAGCGAGCCUUGCUACAGCCCACGUUCCACCGCCCGAUGGUGUGUUCGGACGCCUGUCCGGACAUCUUUGCCAUGGAUUCCAAAGAACUCUCCUCAAUCUACGGAUUGCUUUGGUGAUAAAAAAGCUAUCAAAACACCAAAACUUAACACAAUUUGAUUAGAAUUGAUUGCAAGGGUCCUUAAUAUGUUAAUUGGGUUAAAAUGUGAUAACUACUACUCAAAAGUGUUUAAAAGAGUUUAUUACAAGCUAUGAAAUAUCACUUUUUGAGUAGUAAUUAGUAGGCAUCAGGAAGGGAAAAAAAAACCAAUUAGACCUGCAGUACUUAGAAUCCCUCAAAGGGACUGUCAUCCCUCUUUGUACAUGUGUACAAAAAGUGGAAUUGAUUUGCAAAUUUUGGAAUGUAUUCUUUCAAUGCCCAACUUGUUAUUGCCAUGGAUAAGGGAAUGGUAUGUUCCUUAGUUUAGAUAAAGGUGAUAAGGACUUUCUGUAUUGCUACCAUUUAUUUGAAUUUUUAGUAAAAUAGAAAAUCAAGUUUUUGGGGAAUAUUUCUUGUAUAUAAAAGCCCUUAACUGUGUUCUUAGGGAAAAUCAAAUCCCUGAUUUUCCAUUUACUCAAAAUCGCCAAAUUACAAAAACAUGACCCAUCAUAUAAUACAGGCACCGAUGAAUGCAUUUCAUUGUAGCUAAUUAAGUUUUAUCUUCUUGAGCUCUUCCCAUUUGCUUGAUAUCCUAUUGGACCAGAUAAUCUCGAUUUUAACUAUUUAGGAAGACCCAUCCUUAUUGUUAUCAUCAUGUAUACCAAACCUUCAUUUGAGCAGGAUCUAAAAUAGCCAAAAGGUGCUUUAUGAAUGUGUUCAUCGCCAACACAACAUCCUCUCCAGCACUACUUGUCAAUUCCUUCACAAUUUUAGACAAGAAAAUUAACUAUUGAUAGGCAAACUAUGAAAAUUUAAUGUUGAAUAAUAUUUUACUGGAAAUAAUAAUCACCACUGUAAAAAUGAACUACAGUAACAUAUACAAAGAAAACCAUGUGGCAAGGACACUUUUGAAAAGGGGCACUUGUGUUGAACUAUAAUAACCCCACAUCUAGAACAGACACCUCACUUCUGGACAUGUGUUGAAUCCUUCCUAAUUGUGUUUAGAAUUCUAACAUAAUUUUCCUCGGUGGAAAUAUUUGAAAAUGACUAUUUUGUUGUAGUAAGGAAAAACUUUUGAAAAUUGAUGAAGCAUGGUUUACAAUGGCCAUCAACUUGAAGCUUUUGUUGAUGAUUUUUGGUUGCCAACUUUGAUUGCAAUGGAACUAUACUUGUACUACUUUGAAGUAAGCUACAUUUUUUUUUUUUUUUUUGCAAAAGGAUUAAGAUAGUAACCACUAAUUGUAUUUAAAAAAAAAUGCAAGCCAUAAUAUGCCAUACAGAAAAGUUCUGAUAAUGAAGUGUGGGCACAUUUAAAGUGAAAUACUUGUCUUAAAAGCCUCAGAGGUCAUACAACUAGAGCUGGUCACAGUACAUUACGAUGGUAAGUUAUAGAUUUUGACACACAUGUAGCAGAAUUUUAUGCGUCGCUCAUCACCUUCAUCAAAUUGGAUAUGCUUGGUGAAUCAUUUCUAUAAGAAAGCCCCCAGCCUCAACACGGAUUCGACAUGGCCCUUGUGUGUAUGGAGUACUUUGAGCUUGUACGAAACACAGUUUCAAGCGAAACACGUCAGACAAUGCAUCCUCCUGUGAAAACAAAUCAGUCUCCAAUACUACGUGUAACCAUUAUCUUCUGAAGUAUACCAUUUACUGAAAUAUACAAACUAUUUGGCUAGCAUGCAAUAUACAAACUAUUUGGCUUGCCACAAAUAAGAGUAUUACCUUUUAUAAGCUUCAUUGAUUAGUUUAAAUUUUACUGUAACAGCAUUGUCACCCUUAUGCUUGUGGAGAGGCCACUUCUAUUAUGCAUGGACAAUAUCUUCAUCAAAUUCCCAUUUAUAUUUUUAAGCAAGAAAAACCUAUAAGCAUGCACUAUCUAAGAAGCUACUAAAAAAAAGAGAGAUCACUAACCAGUGCAAGCCUUCUGUAGUUUAACUUGAUCUUCUCAUCAGUUGCAUCAUAAUUAAUCUUCAAAACUUUAUAGUAAUCCUUGAAACAAGGAAAAAUUCAUGAUCAUAUUUUACAUUGUGGUAGCCCAAUUUUAUCAUAAAUAUAAACAAGUGAAGAACAAAAAGUUAAUAUUGUGGUUUAAGCAACUAAUAAAUGGGUCCCAAAAAGAGAUUUUGUAUUAUAGAAAUUAAUUGAACUGAAAAAAAAAUUGCCUUUUGGUACCACCUGUAUACACCUUUUAUACCCUAGUGUAUAGAAUCCUAAGGUAUAAAAUUUACUAAUCAAAAUAAUAGAUUGGGCCAUCAAAUAUAUGACACUAUUUUGGAAAUUCAGUGUCGGUGAAUUGGUAGAAAAAGAUGAAACAUGUUGCAUAUCAUGAUUAAAAAUGAUCUGAGCAUCUUCUAUUCUGUCUUUGAAUCCUUCCCUACUGGAGAGAACUUUAGGGGAGACAUUCAAAAUGAGAAGUUCCACAUUGUAAACUGAUACCAUUGGUAGACAACCAUCAAGGAUUACCAUGAACUAGUUGUAAAUUACUAGAACGUUUAUUAUGACAAUAUCUAUCACUUAGACGUAACUUCUGACGGGAAAGUAUAAGGUUCCAUUGGUGUACCGAGGUAAUUAUAAUCCUAAAUAGAUAACAUUAAAUACUUGAUUCAAUCCUCCUAUUCCUUAAUCACAUGAUUCCAAAGCCACAACCAACCAUCCUAUGGAUUUGCAUGAGCCACCCAUAUAUCUUUAGUUCCUUUGAAUUUCUUGGUUUGCAAUUCACACUUCACAGCUGAUUUAAAAAGAGGGAAAAAAAAUUAUCAUAAUGUAUUCUAAUCAUAAAUGAGGUAUUGGGCACAGAGUAUGCUUUUCCUUUCCCCAAGUUUGCCUUGAUUUUCUUGGCAACCAAAUAAAUCAAAAAUAUGAAAACACCAAGAAAUAUGUUCCCUAUCUGCUUUGAAACCAACAAACUUGUUAUGCUUUCAUAAGCAUAUCCUAAAUUGCAACCUCCUUUACCCCAGCUUUCUUGGCAACCAAACAAAGGGCAAAUAUGAGUAAGCACAAACAUAUCCAAUCCCCCUAAAAUAGUUACAUUUUCUUACGUAUAUUCCAAAUUCAAAUCCAGGUUCCUAAAAAAAUUUCAAAAUGGUUACUGUAUCACUCUACAACUAAAAAAACAAAGAUUUCCCAGAAACUACAACUCUAACAUCUAAUAAUUCAGUAUCCAAACAACAAAAUGCAAAAAUUGAUGAUAAACCCUAACAAUACUUUCACUCCUCAAUACUCAAGAGAUUAAGAAUUCCAAAUAAUGAAGAAUCAAAAUCACACAUAUGAAUCACCAAUAAUAUGAAGAAAACAAAAUUGAAGCAAAAAAACCCCUGAAUCUGAAAUGAGUAGUCCCAAAAUAUAUAGAAAAAUACAAAAAUAAAUAACAUUCUCUAAAACAUACAUACAUAUAUGUACUAAAAUAGACACGAACAGAGAAAACCCUACCGUUAGUAAAACACCAAAAUCUAGUGAUUUUGACAUUUGAAUCCUAAUACCAAGACCCUAAUUCUACACCUUAAUAUUGUGAUUUCCACAGCAAUGGAAGAAAAAUACACAUACAAAUAACCUCCCCUCCCAAAAAGAAAAAAAAGAAGAAGAAACCUAAAAGAAAACAGCACAAAUGGCUUAAGAAAUUGAAGAAAACCAGAAACCCAAAUGAGAACCCCAAAUUUGGACAUGAACAUUGCUGAUAGCGGUAAAAGACAAAAGACAACAAAAUCAUACCUGUGGAUGAAUAAAGAAAAAUAAAAAACAAAAAAAGGCAAAUGUCCUUCAACGAGAAGGAUUAAACUCAAAAUGUUGACGGUGCUGGUGCUCCAUCACAAUUUAGAGAGAGAGAGGAUAGGGGAGAUGGAAAUGAAGUAGCUUGGCAGGUGCAAUGUGACUAAAGCAUAUGUCCUCUGAUGCACUCUGAUUUGCAUCGUCGAAUUCUGUCAAAAGAGAUUAGGGUUAGGUUUCACUGUAUUCUUGGGAUUCCGAGAAUAUUUGGUAAAAUAAGAGGUCCGUUUUUUACGGGAUUUGGGUUUUUUAGAUUAAGAUCAACACGAGGAAGCUGUUAAGAUUUCAAGAGGGGGAGAAACGCAGGAUGGAGUCCUUUAUUUAGUGUUAAUGUCGACCAAGGUAGAAAGAAAAGUGUAGGGUGUUUUUCAAUUUUUUGUUUUUUGUUUUUAUCUGAUGUGGAAGUUGGGCUGGAGAAAAAGAAAGGGAAAUUUGGGUAUAAAAUAACAACUAAGCUGAGAGUGCAUAAAUCCCAUAUUAUUUUUUAGAUUAAAAUAGUUAUAUAUAUAUAUAUAUAUUAAAAAAAAUCAAAAGUUGAGUUUCCAAUUUCAUAUAUUUUUCAUAUUACCAACCCAAAACACAAGUUUCCCACACUCUUUUUAUAGGAUGAAGGAAUGACUAAUUUUCUUACAUAAUUAAAAUUUCUCUUUUCAAGGUACAAUUAUUUGGAAACUUUUUACUUUUUGAAUUAACCAAUAACAUUUAACAACUUAACAAUUAUAUUAAAUCAUUUAUUGAUAAAAAUAAUAGAACAAUUAUAAUAAUAAAUUAAGUAACCAUAAAAUUUAUCUAACCACAAACAUGUAAAGUAAUAGACCUAGGAUCUUAAAAGAAUGACUCAUCAUAAAACAAAAAUCCUAAUUCUUAAACUCAUGAACAUAAAAAUACUCUUUCUAACUGUCAAACUUUCCCCCUAAAUUUAUGACAAAGAUUUUAUGUAGCAACCCUACCUAAGGGCCCACUAAAAGAUAGUGAUCUCGUUACAUAUUAAAAUAAAAAAUAAAACCACUAACUUAAAUGGUGGAACAAGAGUAAUUAAAAUAAAGACAACGAGAAAACGUCAAUAAAGUAAAACCAAAUUCCAUUCAAAAUAAAAAUGCAAGCAUAAAAAAGUAAAAGUAGUUUAGGCCUUAAGGUUGAAUAUAACUCAAAAGUAACAAGUCUCAAAAGAAAAAUGAUACUAGAACCCACAAAUUAAGGAUACAUUAAUAAUGUCGAAAGACUAUAGGGCCUAAGGCUCACUCUCGAGUACUGGCCCUAGUCGUAGCUCAACCUCAAUUGAACCUAUGGGUUCAUUAUCUAAAAAUAAAUAAAAAAUAGAUUAAAUUGAGUGACCGAAAAGUUUAAUGAAUAUUUACAAUAUAUAAGUGUUAGGAAGGUCAACUCAUAUUAAAGACAUUUCUAAAACUUACUCAUAAUAAUUUUGGUAAUUAGAAACUAGCAGAAUCAUAAUAACAUUUAAAGAAUGGAUGAUGAGAUGUAAAAUAUGUGAUCAUAGUUAUAGACAUAUCUUGAUCAAUUGCUCAGCUAUACAAAAGCCUACAACUUGUUAACACCCUCAUCUACAGUCUUUAGCAUCUCACUACCUUGGAUCACAAUACUAAAGAGUUUAUCUCUUGGUCAUUCUAUUACGGGCACAAAAGAGUAUACUUUGCCAUUUUAAGCUCUAUCCCCUAACAUGGCAUUAGAACCCACAAUCUCAUCUUAAUGCCUCCUCUUUGCUACAUAAGUGGUGAAGAGUUUCAAAACCAAACUACAUAAAACACCUCACGAGUGUACAUGUUAUCAUGCCCACCCAAUAUUAAUGUCUAAAAAGUUCAACAAUUCAUUAGAUCAUAAUAGCGUAUGAAAUUAUUAGGAUUGAGCCCUAAAAAGCAUGACAUGAUAUGUAACAUAUAGAGAUUCAUUUAUAAAUUUAUUUAUUCAUAUUUUUUGGUUUCCCUUUAUUAUCUCAUUUGCAUUAAUUAUUUAUGUCAACACAUACACCCAUAUGUCAUACAUUGUACAUGACUUGCAUUAGGAGUUGCGUAGAGGACAUAAGUCAUGGGUUCCUUGUAAGUAGAUAAGUUGUCCACAAUCAAUUCAUGGAUUUGGGCAAUCUCAUAGAGACUGUAAUACACUACCCCAUAAUUGAAGGAAUAACUUGUUUUGAUUAUCGGGAUGAGUUUCCUAUAGUGAGUGCACUUGUGUAUGUGAUGCAUACUUGGUAGGACUUAAGAUGAAUCAUGACAUAAGACUAUCAAUUGUCAUGAUGCACCAAGCUACUAUACUUCAUGUACUCUUAAGUUUGAGAGAAUAUUAAGUUUGUGCCAAAGUCAACAUGAGGCUUUGACCUAUGGGUGAGACCCUAAGGUGGUCACAUAUCCUUAUGGAUUAGGUUACUGUUGAUGGAAGCCAAUGACAAUAGGUAUUCUCAAUAUAGGCACCAUAGAAUCUCAUAAGAUUGAGACAAUGUAUUUACUUGGGUGGUCCAAAGGACAUGUACGUAAUCUAAAAGAUUAUGACAAUAACAUUUCUUUUAAUGGAAAUUUGACAUAUGCUCCUUGGAGUUAGAGUAUGUCAAUUGAUCACAUAAUAAGUGAGAUUUGUAACUUAAUGAUUGAAGAGGUAAUCUUCAUAGGUGGUAGCACUACCUUGUUAGAUUACAAUCACUAAUUCAUGGGGAGUCUACAUGCAUAAGAUAGCAGGUCAUGGACUCAAGCUUUAUUUUGUUGUUAUUUACAUAGGGUAACGGAGUGCAAUAGAUUCUCUUUAGUGGAAUGUUGAAUCAACUUUAGAAUUGGAUUCUAUGGAAGUCAGUACUUCUAUGUGUCCCAAUGGUCCCCACUCUAAGCUCAUAUACCAUGAUGCCAUGGUUUAUGAGGGUUAAAUUGACUCUAAGUUCAUUCUCGUGCAUAAGGGUGUCUUGGUAAUUAUGUAAGGUUGCAUAGGGGACAAUGAAUAAGUUCUCCAAAUUAAGCUAAUUGAUUAAUUACAUGACCAUGUGUGGUUAAUUAAUUAAUUGGGACCCGUUUUGGGCUAAAUUAAAUGACCUAAACCGUGGUGUGUUCAAGUCACAUAAACUAGUAAGGGGCCUUAUAGAUAUCCCCUUAGGGGUUAGAGUUUCCAUCAUAUUAGUGUGAGAGUCGUCUCCCACCUCUAGAGAGAGAGAGAGAGACCUUAGGAUUCCUCUCUUCCAAAGCCCACAUUUUGGAGUGCCAAGAUAAUGGUAUGAGCCAUCGAGUGGAAGAUCUUUGGUAUAUAAGACCUCUAGACUCUCCAGCCUUCAUCUUCACUGCAUGGAAUCAAUUUAGGAAUGUCCAAAUUGGAGGUAAAGUUAUCUAAUGCCUUUAGCCUAGAUCCUAGAAUUUUAAAAAUGUUAUUUUUCCCUUUCGUUGCAUAGGAUUUAGAGACCUAAGGUAGUUAGCACGUUCCUAUUCGAUCUUAGGUAUCAUAACGGAGAAAUCCAAUGUUCCUAAUAGAAAUGUCAUUGGUUAUAAACAUAUGCAUGACAAUAAAGAACUUUUUCAAAGCAAAGUAACAUUCAUUAUUGUAACACAAUAUAAAUCAUGUGCAUUUUGACCAAAUAAGAAUUUCAGCAUAUAUUUCAUGCCUUUAGAAAAAUGAAACAAGUGAUAGAUAUAAUAUAUGUAAGAGAUAUUUAUUUUAGGAAAAAGCUUAACAAAAUCAUGCAUAUGGUAACUACUCAUUAAAAUUUUCUCAAUCAAAACUAUAACAGAACUUAUAGUAUGAUGGCUCCACAAAGUUCGAAUCCUCGCCUAACAAAAGAAAAUUUAGGUGGACGUAGAGAAUUGAAAAUUCAAUAAAAAUGGAAAUAUGAUUCUAAGGUUUUAUUAACUUUUUUUUAAUCAGACAACACUCUAACUAAAAUAUGUAAUUUUUUCUAAAAAUGAAAGGCUAGGCAAAUAAAGUCCAAUUCAAGUGAAACUCAGUUAAAGAGUUUGUUGAUGAGUCUAGAAACUUUAGAAAUUAAUUUUUGAAUCAAAUGGUCAUUAAAAGACCUAAAUUAGUUUAAGAUUGCCCAAAAUAAAGUAUGUUGCAAUACUACUCACUUUCUCAAUUGUCUCACCAACCAAACAAGUUUGAAAAAUUAUGAAACCCUCCAUAUAUAAUAUGAUGAGUCUAGAAUAAUUUAAAAAUAAUUACAAAUUUAAAACAAAAUCUAAUAAUACCAAAACUUUCAAACAUAAAAAUUGUCUCAGCAUACCUUGCUGAAAAUCCAUUAAUGUUUCCUUAACUAUUUUCUUAUGAAAAAGAAUUUAGAAUUGCAUGAAAUUAGACUUUACAAUUUCCUUUUUAAUGUAAUAACAUAUAAAAAUAACUAAAAAUUAUGAUAAUUAACCAAAAUAUUCCAAAACUUCAAGAAACCUAAGUGGUUGAAAAUGAUCUUAGUAGAAGCAUUUUGUUUUCUUAUCCAUUUCUUUGAAAAUUUUGUACUAAGCUAUCAAUGUCCAAAUGAGGUGAAAUUUAUGGUUUAGAUUCCUCAAGGAGUCUGAUAUUAUAAAAAUAAUAAUUCGGAGUAUAAUUUUCCUAAAAUUUAAUCCUGAAAAUUUUGAGAAAUAUAAUUCAUCCAAAUUGUCUCUAUGAACUCUCCUUUGUAAUUCCCAAAGCUGUCCGGAAUUUUCUUAUGAGAAAAAUGUGGUUUAAAUAUAAAAAGACUUGAAUGGUUAGACUCAUUAUCAAGUUUAUUAUUUGGUAAAAAUAAUUUGGGGUUUUAAUACUUUACCAAAAGAUUGCAAAAAUUUUAAAAAUACCAGUUGAUCAAAAUAUUUUUUUUUUUUUAAAAAAAGGGUAUUCCUCAUUCUUGGGAAAUUCUUUUUUUCCAUUAAAUUACCUCUAUAAAUCCAACUCCAUAAAUUAUACUAGAUUGAGUGAAUUGAUUUAGGUCCUUACAAUGUUGAAAAAAAUUAGGGUUCACCCGUUGUAGGUUGAAGCGUGUCACCAAAUUCCUCUUGAAUAGCAACAUUAUAGGAUAUCAUUCUCAUCUACUUUUCAACAAUUUAUAUCUUAAUCCAACUUAAAAUAAAAUAUUUUUAUUCACUUUCUUGGCAAUCAAACAGCCCAAAAAAAAAAUGGUUUAAAAUAUUAAAAAAUUUAACACAUAAAAACUUAAUUUCUAACAACAAUUGCCUACAAAAGAGGUGAAGAAGAAAAAAAAAAUAUAAGAAAGGAAAAAAUACAAGAUGAGAUCAUUUACCUCUAAUGUCUCCUGUAAGUAGAGAUGAACAUCUCUACUCCUAAAUAUUUGAAUCUAACUUCUAUAUCAUUUUCUCUAAAGAAAUUUUCAAAGAAGGAGAAAAAGAAGAAGAAGACGAAGAAAUCCCUAGGGAAAAUGAAGAGAAAUGGUUUUUAUUUAGAUUUUUCCUCUUUUAUAUUUUCGUUUUAAAUAUGAUUUGGCCUAACUAUCCUUAUCUGGAUUAAGAUGUGAUCAAACCAGCCUUGGUUGCCACAAAAAUUUCAAACGUACCCCUUUGUCUUGUAGUGCCCAUGCUUCAAUGUAUGACAUUUAGCAACCUUUAAGUAUGACAUGUGGCUAGGGGUCUCCAACGGGCGGGCCGGGCCGUAAAUAGGAGGCCCGCGGCCCAGCUCGGGCCGGGCCUAUGGGCCCGUUGACUGGUCAACGGGCCGGGCCGGGCCGGGCCAGGGAAAAAUCUUCGGCCCGCGGCCCGGCCUAUGAGCCUGCGGGCUGGGUGGGCAGGGCUGGCGGGCGGGCUGGCGGGGCGGGCUGGCGGGGCUGGCGGGCCAAGCUUUGGGCUUUUUUAAAUAAGCCAAAAGGCUUUAGAAAUGAAUGGAGAGGGGGGGAUUCGAACCCCUCCCCUCAUGGUUCAAAGUAAAGGCUCUAACCAACUGAGCCACAUUACUUUUGUGUUAAAUGUUAGAGUUAGUUAUAUAUAUAUAACAUAAAGUAUAUUAUUUUUUAAAAAAAAAUUAAAGGCUCCAACGGUCAUGUGACCGUUGGAGCUCCAACAGUCCAACCCAUGCUCCUAGCUGCCAUGUGACCGUUGGGCAACGGUCACAUGGCCAAUUUUUUUUUUUUUUUUAAAAAAAAAAACCUUCCUAUAAAUACAUCUUCUCCCUUUUCAUUUUUUCAUCAAAUUCUCUCUAUUUCUCUCACAUUCUACAAUAUUUCAAUUUUUUUUAUUUUUCCCUCAAAUUAUACAAUAUUGUUGGUGGUGCAAAACAAGCAUUGGUGGCUCCAAGAGUUCAAAUUUGCUAGGAAUUUCUGCAUCGGUUCUCUAAUUGAGUAACAUACUUCACCCCUACUACUUUAUUUUUUUGUUACAUUUUUUUUUAUAUUUAUUACUUUAUUAUUUUUGGCAUAAUAUUUUAUCAAUAAUUAUAAUAUGACAACAAGUGCUUCUUCAUCUAGUCCAUGUGAUGAAAUAUCAUCAAACAAAAAAUUUACUUCAAAUAUAUGGAAUUUUUUUGAUAGAGUAGAAAUAAUUUUAGAAAAUAAUAAAAAAGAAAUAAAAGCAAAAUGUAAAAUUUGUAAUAAAUUUCUUACUGGUGGCUCAAAUGCAGGCACAAGUCAUUUAAAAAGACAUCACGAAAAUUGUAAAACUAAAAAUAAUGUAGAUAUUAGAAAUUAUAUGCAAUUAGGUAAAAAUGAAAGUGGAAAUUUAAAAACAUUUUCUUAUGAUGAAUCUAACUGUCGUGAAGAAAUGAUUGAUUAUAUAAUAAGAGCAGAACAACCUUUCAACAUGAUGGAAACUCAUGAUUUUGUAGGAACAAUUCAACGAGGUAUUAAUCCUCAAUUUAAAGGUUGGUCUGGAAAUACAGUUAAAAGAGAUAUUAUGAAAAAAUUUUAUACACAAAAAGAAAUUUUAAAAAUUUUUUUUGCAAAUUUUGAAGGAAAUAUUUGUUUAACAUCUGAUAUUUGGACAUCUUUAACUCACACUGGUUUUUUAUGUAUAACUACUCAUUACAUUGAUAAUGAAUGGAAAUUAAAUAAAAGAAUAAUUUCAUUUAAAUUAAUAAAUGCUCCACAUAGUGGUAAAAAUAUAGCAGCUUUAAUAAAUGAAGAAAUUAUAAAUUUAGGCCUUCGUGAUAAAAUAUUGAUAGUAACAUUAGAUAAUGCUGCUAAUAAUGAUGCAGCAAUAAAUAGACUAAAACUAUAUUGGCAAGUAAAAGAUGAUCAUGCUAAAAUAUUUCAUGUGCGUUGUUGUGCACAUAUUUUAAAUUUAAUUGUAAAUGAUGGAUUAAAAAAUGUUGAUGAUACAUUGGAAAAAAUUAGAGGCAUUGCAUAUAGUAUUAAUAGUUCUCAAGCAAAACAUGAAUUAUUUUUUGAUUGUUGCAAAAUGUUAAAUAUGAAAAGAAAAAAUAUAAAUUUGGAUAUGACCAUUAGAUGGAAUUCCACAUAUAAACUUUUACAAAAUAUUACAAAAUAUUGAAAAGUAGUCGAAUUAUAUGAAAUACAAUUACUUAACAAUGAUUGUGAUGCAGAUAUUGAUGCAUUAAGUGAUUAUGAUUGGCAUGUUGCGGAUCUUUUAAGAGAUCUUUUUGAAAUUUUUGAUACUUCAACAAACAUUUUUUGUGGUGUAUAUUAUCCAACUUCAAAUCGAGUUAUUAUGCAAAUAACUAAUAUUUUUAUUGUACUUCAAAAAUAUUUAAGUUUUGAAAUAUUUAAUGAUACAAUAUUUGCAAUGAUAGAAAAAUUUAGAAAAUAUUGGGGAGAAAUACCUUUAAUUUUUUAUAUUGCUUUAAUUGUGGACCCUAUAUUGAAAUUUGAAGCUUUGGAUGAAUGGUUAACAAUUAUUUAUUUUAAUGACCAAAUAAAAAUUGAAGAAAUUAAAAAUGAAAUAAAUUCAUUAUUAUAUAAUUUAUAUAACUAUUAUAAAGAAAAAUAUGGUAAUGAUAUUAAUACUAAUAAAUUACCACCUACAUCUACAAACUCCUCAUUUUUUUAUAAAGGAGCUCUAGAAAUGUUGAAAAGUCGAAAAAAGACAACAAAUAGUUCUCCAAAUAAUACAUCUGAUUUAGAUAAAUAUCUUAAUACUGAUAUAAUUCCAUUUGAAGAUCAAGAAGAUUUUGAUAUUUUAAUAUGGUGGAAAUCACAUCAACACAAAUAUCCUGUGCUUUCUAUAAUUGCUCGUGAUGUACUAACAGUUCCUGUGAGUACAGUUGCAUCAGAAGCUGCUUUUAGUGCAGGUGGAAGAGUUAUUAGUAAAAAACGAUGCAACUUAGCGCCAGACGUUAUUGAAGCAGGGAUAUGUGUAAAAGAUUGGGAAAUUGCAGAAAAAGGAUGUACGAUUCCAUUCGAGAAACAGAGAUGCUUGUCGAUAUGGAAUCUUUAAAACUAUCAAGAUCUUCAUGGAUGCAUGAUAGUUCGCCAUCACCGCCAGAAAAUAAUGACUAAAUGUAUAUUAUAUUUUUAUUUUUAUUUUUUGUGGUUGAAAAAUACAAAUGAUUGACAAAUAAAUAGGUGCCAACCUAGUUGGGAUGUAUUUAUUUUGUAGUGAUGUAAAAUUUUCCCACAUUUUUAAAUGUAAUUAUACAUUCAAUGAAUAAAAUUUUGAAAUGAAUAUUUUUUUUAAUACUUUUUAUUUUUGUAGUUUUUUUUUUUAAAUGGGCGGGCCUAAGGGCGGGCCUACGGGCCGGGCCUACGGGCCGGGCCUAAUUUUAGGCCCGCGGCCCGGCCCGCCCAUAAACGGGCUCGGGCCCGGCGGGCUUUUUGGAGACCCCUACAUGUGGCAGCCCUUAGGUGUGAUAUGUGAUGCUUUCUAGUAUAUUUCCAAUUUAAAUACACUUAUACUAGUAUUCUAGUUAAUGUAAUUCUUUUAUACCUUAUCUGUAUGGUUUUGAGAUAAUUUAACUUUCCUAAUUAUUUCAAAUUAUUAGAAGUUUAAUUAUUUUGCUAAGAUUUUGCUUUCUUUAAUUUUGCAAUACUAACAUAUAAAACAUUAUGAAAAAUUUAUUUCAUUUGAUCUUGGGUUGUUACAUUCUAGCACAUUAAGGAAGAAGCCUUAAGAAGGAAACAUAAAUUUGAAAAUCAUAAGACUCCUAAAAUUGACAUAGAACAAGGAUAGGAAUGAUACGCUAUUACAAGGCCCUAGGCUAUGAAACAAAAUGUAUUAUUGAGAAGGGGAAAUUCCCAAAGAUUUCUUAGGAGGUAAAAUCCUAAGAGAAUAUAAAGGAGAAGAAGGAGAGAAAACUAGUUCUUUACUUUGAAGUUCAACAAAGGCAUAUUUUCUAAUCUAAAUUUGUCUAAUCUUUCGGACUCUAAAAUGAAUUUGAAGUACCAAUAUGAGAAUCGUGAAUAUUCAUCAUAAACUUACGUUAGGAAGGAACAUUUGAAACCCAUUGAGUAUUUUUUUUUUCUUUUUCCAUUAAAAAGGAUUUUAUCUCUUAAUGCCUUGGACUCAACUACAAGUUUGUUAAUUUGCCUAUAAAAUUCUUCAAAACUUCCUAAUAUGACACCUAUCACUAGUAUGGCUAUUUCUAUGACAAAAUGAACAUGUACACAUAACCUUAGUAGGUAUUUGGACAAUUGGAAUUACCUUUUUAGCCUAAAAAAAAUUUGUCUUUCCACUACUAAGAGUAGUAGACUCAUUAAGAUAUCCUAGAGCUUUCUUAUCUCUAGUGGAUUUCCAUUUACUAAUGAUUUCAUUUAAAACCUUAUUCCCAGGGUGGAAAAUCUCAUUUUUAAAGGAAGCCUAUUUUCUUUAUUGUUAAAUGUCUUGAGAUAGAGUAUUAUUUCUCUAAAGUAAAGAUCUAUGCUCAUUCUCUAAAAACCGAAUUUUUUCAAGAUAAUUUGUUUUCUCUUCUUUUAACAUAUCCUACUCAAUUUUUAGUGAUUCAUAUGCAUUAGUUAUCUUGAUGCAUUUAUUAAAAAAAGAUUAAUAUUCUUCACACCAAUCCUCAAUAAUAGAAACAUUUUCAUUAAGAUCACUAUUGCUAGACUCAUUACUAAAAGAUUUAAUAGAUGCAACAAAAGUUAGAUAGUCACUUCGAUUAUUUUUAUUCUCACCCAAAUUUGAUGAUUUACCCUUACUUGACUUUGAAUCACUCCAAACCACUUUCUUGAUUUUCUUAUUUUUAUUGGGACUAACCUUUUUCUUAUAAGAUAAUUCUUUCUUUAAAUUGUUUACUUCAUAAGUUAAUAACUCUUUACUUUUAUGGCACUCAUAAUUUUCUUUUUCCAAGAAGACUGCUUUAUUGAAAAGAGACAAUUUUUUAUUUAUUGAAAUUAACAAUUUCUGUUUGUUGCCUUUUUAUUCAAGGAGCAAAGAUUCACAAAAAGAUUCUUGCUUUUUUGAGUUUUUUAUUAAACAUUUUUUCCAAUCAAGAAAACUUUUUCAGUAGUAAAAAAUAAACUUUUUUCUUUUCUUUAAAUUCCAUGAAAGAUCAAGGACAAGAAUCAAAUAAAUUUUUUACUUCAAGGGGUUAAUGACUCUUACUUUUGUGACACUUAUAAUUUUCUUUUCCCAAGAAGGCAACUUUAUUGGAAAGUGAUUUUUUUUUUAUUCAAAUUAACAAGUUUUUCUUAUAGCCUUUUUUUAUUCAAAGGACAAAGAUUCACACAAAGAUUCUUAUUUAUAAAGUUUUUUAUUCAAACUUUUAUUUUCUUUAUGCAAUUUUUUCCAAUCAUGAAAAAACUUUUUCACAAGCAAAAAGUAAAUUUUUUUUUUCUAUUCUUUAAAUUCCAUAAAAACAAAAUCAAAGACAAGAAUUGAAAAAAAAACUGAUAUUAAAUUUUUUCCUACUCUAAUAUUGAUUGAACGUUUGUAAAUUUUGUUUAUGACAUAUCUAGAAGGGGGUGAAUAGGUGUUCAAUUAUUUUAACUCAAAAAUGAUUAUUUUUAAUUUUUUUAAUAUAGGGUACAGAAAAGAAAUAAUAAUGCAUAAUAUACAAAAGAUUUUACGUGAAAUACCACUUACAAAGUCUCCUAAAGACUUUGUGGAUAUAAAAACCAUAAGGUCAAAGACCGUAGAUUUAUCGUCCACUAAAUAUGAAGAAAAAGUACAUAGACUCACUUGACAAUUGUUACUCCUUGAGACCUACACCUUUUUUCACAUCCAUGAUACAAUGUUCCUUAGUGAUCUCCUUAACACCUUAAGGGGAUGCAAAUCUCUCUCAUGAACCUAAGAAUGAGAAUCAUGAACUUUUUGAGAGUUUCGAAUUAUGUGUAAAGAAUAAUAACUUAAAGCUUAGUCAUAUGAAUUCUUGAGAGAACUCUACCAAAGCCUAGUGAACUUGUAAUAAAUUUAGGAAUCAUAUUUUACUAAAAAUAUAACAAUUUAUAAAGUUAAGAAUAUUAUAAAAAUUUGAAAAGAUUUCAUAUUUUAAAUUUAAAAAUAUUUGGAAAGAUUUCCCAUUUAAAGUUCUUCAUUUAAAUUCUUUUCCAAAUUUCUUAAAAUAUUUGGAAAUAUUUUCUUUUAUAAAUUCUCAAUUUAAAAUUCUUUUUCAAAUUAGUUUUAUUAUUUGGAAAUAUUUUUCUUUUAAAUUUACCAUUUAAAAUUUCUUUCCAAAUUAAUGUUAUUUCUAAUUUCCUUAAGUUCACUUUAUACCUUUUAUGCCACUAUUCUCAUUUAACUUAACUAUAUUUACCUAUUUAAUCUUGAGUUGAUUUUGUUGUAAUCUUGAAUCUUCAAAGCAGUGUAAAUCCCAAGAAAGUAUGAAAAGUCCUAAACCAGGUUAAUGAAACAAAAAAUUGUCAACUUAAUCUAAACACCCUAAUACAUUAACAAAUUACACAUCAUUAUUUUGACAGAGCCUUUUCUAUGUACCAUAAUAUUAGCUUUUCAUUUAACAAAACCUAUAAAUGAGAAGAACAAGUAAUGGUCUAACAAUAAUUUUGAGAUUCAUUUCAUAUCAAUUAUCAAUUGGUAAAAUUCUCAAGAACUUUGUGAGGAUAAGGUGUCUUUGAUGCUUACCUUUGCUCAAUGGAUACUAAGCUACUUGAUUUGAUUCACCCAUGACAAAGUUUCAUCAAAGAUAUGAAAACUCUUUAAUUAGAUGUUGAGAUGAAUUAGGUUUUAAAUUUUGCAGAUAUAUGAAUUAGAAAGAAUGGGAUCAUUUUAAGAGCUAAUGAGAUUUUAUUCAUAGCUAAGAUUGAAUCUUUGUGCACAAAUUCCUCUAGAUUGCUUUCAUCAUUUGAUUUUUGUUUUUAUCCACUUUCUUUGUUACGCUAUAAAUCAAUUUUGAUGAAAAUCGAUCAAUCAAUAAUCUUUUUUUAAUAUUUUAGUUUAUUAUUACGUAGCAAUUGAUGUGAUAUGAUUUUCUUACUUUUCACUUAAAUCACUAAUCAUUCCUUGUGAAGAUGACCAAACUAUUAUACAAUAAUUGUUUUCUUUUUCUUUUCUCUUUUUUUCCAAUUUUUGGUUUGGAGAACAAAUGGUUUAAUGACAUCCUAAUUGAUUGAGUUUUUCUAAAUUGUGAUAUUGAAUUUGGAUUGGAUUGCUUUGCAACUAAAUUUUCUCACAAAGAGAUUAAAUAUGAUAUUAAGGUAAUCAAACCAAAAAAAGAACAUGCCACAAACCAAAGUAUAUAUCAUCAUAAUACUCAAAAUCUCUUAACAUUUCUUACCCAUGAACAUACCUCUCAUGCAAUCAAUAUGAUUAAUUAAAAAAUAGUUAGGAACAUACCCCAACCCUCAAAGUGCUCUAGAAAAUGUAAUUGAAAGCAUAAGAGAGUCCUCAUUUCCAAAAGUUUUGUUAUUCUUAAAAAUCAAAAUAAAAGUGAAAUACGAAAUGAGUAACCUUUGGGUUAUUUAAAAGGUUAAGUGAAAUCAAAAUUCUGAUGUGAUUUUUCCUCUCCAGAUAAAAAAAAAAAUUGAUAUCGACUUGUAACUUUCAAGUGAAAUUGGAAUUUUAUUUUCAAUAAUACCUAAAUUGAAACAACUAAUGUAAGGUUCUGAUUCCCAUUCCUUCAAAUUUGCUAUUUAGAAAACCCCUAAUUUGAAAAUUUUGAUUUAUCACACUAAUAUUUUUAAACUAUAACCUUGAAAUCAAUUUUCAUUUCAAAAUGCACUCCCCAUUUCAAUUUAAAAUUCAAAGCUUAGGUUUAUAAUUGAAUUAGCACAUCUACUUCCCUUCUCAUUCAAUUUUGAAAACAAAACUACCAAUUUCACCAUUUUCUAAAUUGAAAUUGCUGAUUUAUAUUGUUAGGCAUCCAUUUACACUAAAAACAAAAGUAUUUCAAAUUGAAAUUUCAACCCUUAACAAAGGCUCAAAUCAAAUUUCAAAUUUACACUUCAAAUUCACUCAAAUUGAAAAUCAUUCCCAAACGAUACUCUCUUUCUCUCCAAAACUCACUCUUUUGAAAAAUUACCUCAAUCACUUAAAAAUUGAAAAUCUUGCAUAUGCAUCUUCCUUAAUUAUCACAUGGAUAACUCAUUUAAACUCAAAUUGGAUUGAUAAAAUUUUCAAUAAAAUUACUGCUCAAGAAGCUUUAAUCAUCAACCAGGAGCAUGCUAAAUUAAACAAAAACCAAAUGUACCUUCUAGCUCACAAUAAUUCAACUUAAGUCUAUAUUUGGCCUUUACUAAGCAACAACUCUCAAAACUCAACUUCUUCAGCCCUUCUAGUAAUCAUUCAACAAGAAAAUCUAAUAAGAACUUCAAGGCUUUGCAAAAUUUGCAAAUUUCUAUUAGAGCUGAAAUCAACUAAACAAUCACACCAAAAACAAGAAAAAAAAAAAACCAAUAAUAUGUACAUGAAACCAAGCCUUGCAAAAUGACUUUUCAAAUCUGAUACACAACUACACAAGCUCAAAUAAACACAAAAAUCAAAACCAAACAAACACUAAUCUAGCACACCUACUAUAUACAAGGGAUAAAGUAAGCUUCGAGGCCUACUUUAUCCCAUAUAUGAAAACAAUCACCUGCUAACCUUCACCUACACUUUAAAGAUAAUUACAAAAUAAAAUAGUCCAUCAGUAAUCAUGAAGUAUUGCAUUAACAAUCACAAUUUUAUUAGCAAUAUUUUGGAUAAUAAAUCCCUAUUAAAAUUAAAAAUUAUCAAUCUAUUGAAAAAGUCAUCAAAAUAAGAAAAAACAAAAAAACAAAAAUAAAACCUCUUAAAAUUGGAUUUCGUCAAUGCCACCAUAUUUGUGCUCUAUGGUUUAUUAACUAUUUCAAGCGUAGUGAAUUUGAAUCUCAUGCUCUAAUUUGACUCAAAUUAAGUCUCAUCUAUAUGCUUCAUGGAAACUUGUUUAUAAUCAUCUCUUUAAUAUCAACAAACUCAUAUCUCUGAAGCUUAUGCAUUUUUUUCUUUGAAACGUUUUUAGCUUAGUUCAAGUUCAUCAUUGUUUUGUAGAUUUAGCUCAUACUUAUUAUAAUAACUCACACCCAACCAUGUAGAUAUUAAUAGUUUUAGGCCUAAGGGGGCCCUCAUGACUUUAAAAUGUGUUUAUAAGAUUAAGAGGAGUCGAUACUUAUAUAGCAUUAGGAACUUUCUCCCUUAUCCGAUGUGGGACAUUACAAACACCCCUUUAUAUAGACACAACAUCCUCGUUGUGUCCCACGGGAUUAAGGGGUCAAAUAGACAAACAACCCCUACGAGGCCAAACAAAUGCCCACAUUGGGUAAAUGAAUCAACUUUGAUACCAUUAGUAAUGACCCAUUCCUAACCUUGUAGAUAUUAUUUGUUUUGAGCCUAAAGAGACCCUCACAGCUUUAAAACGUAUGUACAAGGUUAAAAUGAGUUCAUACUUAUAUAGCUUUAAGAACUUUCUCCUAUAUCCGAUGUGGGACAUCACAAACACUCCCCCAUAUAGACACACCGUCCCCGUUGUGUCCCAUGGGAUUACGGGGUCAAACAGACAAACACCCCCUACAAGGCCAAACAAACCCCCACACCGUGGUCGGGGAUCGACUCUAAUACCAUUAGUAAUGGCCGACUCCCAAUAAGGUAGAUAUUGUAUGCUCUGGGCCCAAAAGGGCCUUUAUGGCUUUAAAAUACGUCUACAAGGUUAAGAGGAGUUCAUACUUAUAUAGCAUCAGGAACUUUCUCUUCUAUCUAAUGUGGAGAGGUGUUUGUAAUGUCCUAGAUCGGAUAAAGUAGAAAACUCCUGGCGUUAUAUAAGUAUGGACUCUUCUUAACCUUGUAAACGCGUUUUAAAGCCUUAAAGACCCUCUUGGGCCCAGAGUAGAUAAUAUCUAGAUGUUGGGAAUGAGCCAUUACAAAUGGUAUCAGAGUUGAUCCCUAACCCAAGUGUGGGAUGUUUAGCCCCAUGAGGGGUGUUUGUCAGUUUGGCCUCCCAUGGGACACAAUGAGGAUGUUAUGUUUGUAUGAGGGGUGUUUUUGAUAUCCCACAUCAAAUAAAGGAGAAAGUUCCUAACGCUAGUGUUUGCAUGAGGGGUGUUUGGGCCUAAAGCAGACAAUAUUUACACGGUCGGGUAUUAGUUGUUACAAAAUGGUAUCAGAGCCAAUCCCUAACCCUAGUGUGGGAGUUAGUGUGGCCCCAUGAGAGGUGUUUAUCUGUUUGGCCCUUUAAUCUUAUGAGAUACAAGGAGGAUGUUGUGUCUGCAUGGAAGGAUAUUUGUGAUGUCUUACAUCAAAUAAGGGAGAAAGUUCCUAAUGUUGUAUUAGUCUAGAUUUUUUUAACUAUGUAGACGUGCUUUAAAGCCUUGAGGGCCCUUUGGGCACAUAUCGAACAAUAUCUAUAUGGUUGGGAGUGGACAGUUACUAAUGAUAUCAAAGUUGAUCCUUAACCUUGGUAUGGGGGUUUGUUUAGCCUCGUGAGGGAUGUUUGCUUGUUUGGCUCAGCAAUCCCAUGGGACAUAACAAAGAUGUUGUGUUUGUAUGGGGGGUGUUUGUAAUGUCCCACAUCGGAUAGGGAAAAAAGUUCUUGACGAUAUAUAAGUAUGGACUCCUUUUAACCUUAUAGAUGCGUUUUAAAUCCAUGAAGGCCUCUUUGGACCCAAAGCAGACAAUAUCUACAUGGUUGGGAGUGGAUCGUUACAAAUGGUAUCAAAGUCAAUCGCUAACCCAAUGUAGUAGUUUGUUUAGCCUUAUGAGAGGUGUUUAGUUGUUUGACCCGGCAAUCCCAUGGACACAACAAGGACGUUGUCUUCGCAUGGGGAGUAUUUUUUAUAUCCCACAUUGGAUAAGAGAGAAAGUUUCUAAUGCUAUAUAAAUAUAGGCUUCUCUAAACCCUAUAAAUGCAUUUUAGAGUCAUGAGGACACCUUUGGGCCUAGAGUGGACAAUAUCUACACGGUUUGGUACGAGUCAUUACAAAAUGGUGUCAGAGCCAAUCCUUGACCCUAGUGUGGGAGUUAGUUUGAUUCCAUGAGGGGUGUUUUUCUGUUUGACCUCGUAAUCUCGUAUACACAACGAGGACGUUGUGUCCAAUGAUGAAAAUUUCCAUAAAUUUUGGUGAAAUUUCAUCUAAAUAUCACGUUUUGGGGGUUGUGGAAGUGAAACAAGGGGUCGAAAUAUCGGAGGGCUAAAAAAUCCAAAAGAAUCACCAUGUGUCAAUGAAAUUUUGGUGUUUGCCAAUAAAUUACCGAUUUUUUCAUUUAAUCGGUGCUGACUAUGUUUUUUUGCCGAUAUUUCGAUGAUAAAUAACCAAAAUUUUCAACAAUUUUUUUUCGGAAAAAUCGCCCCAAAAUUCCUCACUACCUAUCUCACACGCUGUUAUAGGCCCUAGGUCGUCCUGCUGCCCAACACACAUGAUACACUACUAGUGGAAAAAUUACUAAUUAAGUUUAGUAAAUAAUAUUAAUGAAUUACCAUAAAAAUGUAAUAUGUAAUAAAAAUAAUUUUAUUUAAUUUUUUAUUAAAAAAUAUUAUUAAAUAAAAUUAUCAAAUAAUUUUAACAUCAAAUAAUAGAAUAUGUAAAUAUGGAAUAAAAACAUUUUCCAAAAUGAAUUUUUUAUUAAAUAAACUAAUUUUAAUUAAUCUUAAUUAUCACUAACAAAAUUUAUUAAACAACAUUAAACAAAAAAUCUAUUAUAAUCUUCUUUUUUUUAAAAAAAAAAAAACAAACUCACCUUAAUUUAAAAAAUAAUUAUAACUAAUUAAAAUUAAGAAAUAAUAUUAAAUAAUAAAAAUUGAAUAUGGAAUAAAAAUUUGAAGCAAAAGCAUCAUAGAAUUUAUCUUUAUCUUUAUCAUUUUGACAUUUCAAUAAACUUAAACAAAAGGGUUGUACAAUGGUGCACCGGGACAUCAGUUUGUACAUGUGCUAUUGUGCAUGACCCUUGUGUAGUGAAGAAUGGAUAAAUGGGGUCCACAUGUAGGUGGUACAUCUCUUAUCCAGACAGCAGAGAAAACAGUUGCACUUGGUUCUCAAUUAAAUUACAUAUAUGUCAUCCUUAUUGGUUUGCUAUAGUGGGAGAUCAAUGACAAUUUGGUAAAUAUUUAAACAAAAUAAGGAUAAAAAGGUAAAAAAAAAAUACAACAAAACCUAAAUUCCAGCUUUUAUAGUAUAUAUAUAUAGACAUAUUAUAAAUUAUAGGUUUAUUAAUUAAUACAUAUUUUUUGUGUAUAUAAAUAUCAUAUAGUCAAAUUAUUAUAAAUAAAUAAAUUUUAAUUAUCAUGUCUUUUGUAUAAUAACUAAAUACAAAAUAAAUAUCAAUUAAUAAAUAAAAUUAUCAACAUUUUAAUUAAAAAAUACUUAUAUAUUUAUUAUCAUUCCUUCUAUGUCAUUGAAUAUAUCCAAAUUAGAUAUAUAUAUAUAUAUAUAUAUAUAUAUAUAUAUAUAUAUAUAUAUAUAUAUUAAGUUAUAAACAUUAUCGUUGAAUAUUAUAAAUUGUAUUAUGUAUGAGUUAAUUUCUUCAACAAAACAACUUUAAAAUGUCUAUUAUAUUUUUAAUUUCAUUUUCAAGAGUUUUUCUUACAUUUUCAUGAAUUUUGAUUAAUUUUUUGCCCAUCGAUAUUUUGUAUCAAAAUAUUCACUAAUAUUUCUUCAAUAUAUCCAAUAUAUCUAUAAAAUCGAAGUGCUGAUAUAUUUGUGAUUACUAGUAUUUUCAUCCUUGAUUGUGUCUGCAUGGACGGGUGUUUGUGAUGUCUCACAUCGAAUAGGGGAGAAAAUUCCUGGUGCUAUGUAAGUAUGGACUCCUUUUAACUAUGUAAAUGUAUUUUAAAGCCGCAUGAGUAUAAUUUUAAAAACCAAAGUGGUUGGUUCGAUCGGUUCAACUACCAAUCGGUUCGACCGGUCUGACUGCCAGUCGGUCACCAUUCUGAUUUGGUUUGGUGAGUUGAUUUUUCUAAGGGUUGGAUCAGCAUUAGACUGAGUGAACUAGAGAUCAGAUUGGCGAAGAGGACAACCAAUUGAUUUCUUUCGAACCAAACAAUUCAACCCAAUUUUUUCCCCCUCAUCAAAAUGACAUCGUUUUGAUGUUUCUAGCACCGAAACGAUGUUGUUUUAAUCACUAUCAAAGAUAGCUUCCUCCCUAGCAACAAACCCUAACUCGCCCCUCCCCACACUCUAGUUGCCCAAUAUGUCCACUCUCCAGUCUAGUUGCAACAUUGCUGCCAAAGCAGAGCGUCGUUGUCGUUGGUAUUGUCUCCACAAGACCUACCUUGUCGUCGCCGAUGAGGACGCUAAUAGUCCUAUGAAAUCCUUGAUUUUGGUGCCUAUAAGUUUAACACUUUAACUUUAAUAUUUAAUAUUUUAUAUUUUAUAUUUAAUAUUUAAUGUUUAAAUUUUUGUUGAUUUAUUUAUUGCAAUUGAAAUUUGAAUCAUUUCCACAUUUUAUUUGGUUUAGACUUUAGAUUAUAUAUAUAUAUUUUACAUUAUUUUUAUUUUAUUUAUUUUUAUUUUAUAUUGAUUUUUAAAAAAUUUUAUUUGAGUUUAAAUAAAUUAAUGAAAUCAUUGAAAACAUUAGGAAUUCAAAUAAUUGUAUGAUUUUCUUAAUUUUCUGAUUUUCAAAUAAUUUUCUGAUUUUCAAAUAAAAUUCUAAUUUUUAAAUUUUAAAUUAAUUUUUUAUUUGAAAGUAAAUUUCUGAUUUUGAAAAAAAAAAUUUCUAUAAGAAUUAAUAAAUUUAAGAUUCUUUAAUUCUUUAACUUUUUAAAUUGUUGAUGACUUGAUUCUUUAAAUUAAUGUGGGGUUUCUUUAAAUUGUUGAUGACUUGAUUAUUUAAUUUUAUGAUUAAAAUUGUGAUUUUUGUUUACAAUUUGAUAGAGAAAUAAAAAAUGAAAUCAAACUUGACCCAUCCUCUAGUCAAGAUUCAACUACAAAUUCACAAACAAGUAGAGGCAAGACCAACCUUGCAUGUGAGCAUGUUUCUAAAGAAAGACAUGCAAAUGGAAGGAAAACUCUCAUUUAUUUGUAUUGUAAAAAAAUUGCAAAAUGUAGGGGUAUUCAUAGAAUGAAGCAACACCUUGCUUGAGUGAAAGAGGAUAUUGGUCCAUGUAAAUCGAUUCCUCCCGAUGUUAGAUUUCAAAUGGAAAAUUCUUUAUAGGAGUUUGUGAAUUCCAAGAAAGUAACCCAAGAAGCAUAUAAAUAUAGAAAUCCUUAUGGUCCUAAUGUGUCACAAUUUGAAGGGGAUAUGCUAGAAGGUGAAGAAAAAGUUCAAGAAAUGGAAAUCCUAUGGCAGCUAGAAGUGGAAAAAGAAAAAAAAACAAAUCAAAAGUGGAUAAGUAUUGUGCACCAAGAAAUAUUUAAGGAGCUCAACCUUCUAUUAGGAGUGUAUUAACUAGGAAAAAAACUGUUUGUAGAGUAGAUAUGGUUGUUAGGAGAUUCUUUUAUGAUGUAUACAUUCCUACUAAUGUUGUGAAUUCUUUCUACUUUAAGCUAAUAUUAGAUGCUAUAUCAGCAAUUGGUCCUAGAUAUAAAGAUCCAAAUUACGAUUAGUUAUGGGUUAAUCUUUUAAAGGAUGUCAAGAAGGAUGUUCAGUUACUUGUGAACUCUUAUUGUGAACUUUAGGCAAAAGUUAGGCGUACAAUAAUGGGUGAUGGUUGGACAGAUAAUAGACAAAAAACACUUAUGAACUUCCUUGUUUAUUGUCCUCAACGAAUAUCAUUUCUCAAAUUUGUUAAUGCUUCAUAUAUUGUCAAGGAUGCAACUAAUUUGUUUUGACUAUUUGAUGAGGUGAUUGAAUGGAUUGGACCAGUCAAUGUAGUUCAUGUAGUGACUAAUAAUGCAACAAAUUAUGUGGCCAUAGGGAGAUUGAUUUCUUAUAAGUAUAAACACAUCAAUUGGUCACCUUGGCAACUUAUUGUCUUAAUUUGAUCUUUAAGGAUAUUGGUAAGAUGAACCAUGUUGUUGAACUUGUAAGACGGCACAACAAAGGUGAUAAUUUUUGUGUAUAAUCAUGUUGCUUUGUUAAGUUGGUUGAGAAAAAGAGAAGGAUGGACACAAAUUCUCCAACCUAGUGCAACUCAUUUUGCUACUAAAUUCAUUACAAUCAAGAGCCUUCAUGAUCAUAAACAUGACUUGCAAGUUUUGGUGACUAGCAAGUUCUUUGUGGACUCUAGAUAUUUUAGGAGUAAUAAAAGUAGAGUUGGAGUUUGUAUCAUCUUAGAUAACAUAUUUUGGAAUGAUUGUUUGAUAGUUGUGAACCUCAUGGCUCCACUAGUGUGCUUAUUGUGUAUUGUUGAUUGUGAUGAGAGACCUUUGAUGGGAUAUGUGUAUGAACGCAUGUAUAAGGCUCGUUUAGGGAUAAAAAAAUUAUUUAACCACAACAAAAGACUAUACAAGCCUUAUACAGAGAUCAUAAAGCAAUGAUGGGAUGAACAACUAAACAAAAGCAUUGAUUCAACAGCUUAUUGGUUAAAUCCAUGUUUCCAAUAUGAUCAGGAAAACUUUUGUAAUAAGUCAACAGUUAUUAGAGGUGUUAUCGAUGUUAUCGAUUAGAAGGUUCUGAAAGGCAAGCAUGAAACGAUGAAUAAAUUAAAGUUGUUUUGUGAUUGAUUAGGAAGUUUUGGAAGAGACCUUACUUAUUCUUCACGUGAAGUACUUCAAUAUGGUAAAAGAUAAUUUUAAUUUAUUAGUGUGUUUGUUCUUUUUCAUUAGUUACCUACUUACUAUUUAAUAUUUACUAGUGUGUUUUAACUUUAAAAUAUAUAUUAUUAUAUUUAUAAAGUUGCUAACAUUUUUUUUCCUUAUUUUUAAUGUGAAAAUGGUAACUAGUUGAAUGGUGGAGGCUACAUAGACAUAGUGCACCACAUUUGCAAAACUUGGUUAUUCAAAUAUUAAGCCAAACUUCAUCAUCUUCUGGAUGUGAGAGGAAUUAAUGGAGUGUGUUUGAACAUAUGCAUACUAAAAGAAGAAAUAGAUUGAAACAUCAAAGGCUUAAUGAUCUUGUAUAUGUUCAUUACAAUUUGUGGCUAAAAAACCGGUAUAAAUGUUUUCUUAGUUGUUUUGAAUUUAAAUUUUUUCAUUGACAAUUAUGAACAAUUAUAUGCUUUCUUAGCUUCUACAACAAGAAAAGAACCUAUGAUCCCAUUGACUAUGUAUGCAUUGAUGAGACACAUUUUUGGAUAGUUGAUGAGGAUGAGCUAAGAGAGCUAGAUGUUGAAGAAUUGGAAAAUCUUCUAUAUGAAGAAGGGUCAAUUCCAAUAAACAAAGUGGAGGUUCAAGUUCUCAUAUUGGUUAGUAGAAUAUGUAAACUUAUAAAAGUUUAAUAAUUUUUUUUUCUUCAAAAAUGAUUUCUUGUUAAUAUAUAUUCAAUAUUUUUGUAGAUGACGAGGAUGGUGGUGACAUGGCUCUAGAAGGGCUUGAUGUGGAGAACUUUGGUUUUCCAAAUGCUCAUUUUGAAUCUCCAUGUCUCAAUUUUCAAAAUGAAUGAAUACAUGAAUUUUAUAUUUAUUAAUAUGAAUAUUUCUUCAUGAAUAUUCAAUUAUUGACAUGUUAUAUUUUGAGUAACUAUUUAUGUAUUGUGGUUGACAUUUGUAUUAAUUAUCUAUUAUGGAUAAUGUGUUAACAACUCUUUGAUAAUUUGGUCAUUGUUGGUUUAUUGCUUAUAUAUGAAUGUAAGGUAGCAAUGGUUUGAUUAUUUGAUAAAUAUUGGAUUGAUAGUCAUUAUGAAUGUAUGACAUCUUAUAUUAUGUUAGAGAUAUGAUAUGUGAUGACUUUUACAAAUAAAAAAAAUUUGUGAAAAAAUUCAACAAAUAGAGUAAUGUUGUCAAAAUUUAGAUAGAAUUUAUUAUUUUUAUUUUUAUUUUUUUAUAAUUUUAAUAAUAUAUAAAAUAUAUAUUUAUGACGUCAUUGAUUCGAUCGUGGUUUGAUCACCAGUUCGAUCAAUGAACUUUGAAUCAGUAACUUUUUCGGUUCAAUGACUGGUCCGAGUUUGCAAACAUUGGCCAUGAGGGUUCCUUUGGACCUAAAAUGGAUAAUAUCUACAUGGUUGGGUGCGAGUCAUUACAAAUGAUAUCAGAGUCGAUCCUUGACCUCGGUGUGGGGGUUUGUUUGGCCCCAUAGGUGGGUGUUUGUCUAUUUGACCCCUCAAUUCCGUGAGACACAACGAGGAUGUUGUGUUUGCAUGGGGGAGGGGGUUGUUUGUGAUAUCCCACAUUGGAUAGGAAGGAAAGUUCUUGAUGCUAUUUAAGUGUGAAUUCCUCUUAACGUUGUAAACGCGUUUUAAAGUUAUGAGGACCCCCUUGGGCCCAAACUGGACAAUAUCUACAUGGUUGGGAGUGGGUCAUUACACUUAUUAUGGUUUUUAUUUAUUUAUUUAUUUAGCUCAAGCUCAUCAAUUGAAAGGUUUUGUUACUUCAUGCUAUCCAUGUUUGAUUGCUUGGAAGGUGAAGGAAAACUUGAGCAAAAAAUAGAAAAUAUUGGAAUUUUUGUAUGUUGAAGAGCCUAUUGAGAAGUAGAAAUGAUAACCACUACUCUUUGAAAACAUGACAUGUUUUGAGGAACUAUUUUUAUAUAACAGUGAGUUGUUUUUAGGAAAUAUUAGUGUGUGCCCACAUUUUCUUCACAAAUUGAAUUGAUGCAUCCCCACUUGGUUGUGGCAUUUUAAACUUAUGGAAAAAUGAUUAUUUUAUUUUGAUAACUUUUUUUAGGUAUUUUGAGCCAUUACUUAUUUUAUUUAUUUUUAAAAAGGAAAAGAAAAUAAAAAAGAAAUCAUAUGUAACUUUUUAUGUGAAAACGACAAGUAUGUGAAUUAGGAAUGUGUUCAGGGUCAGGUUACCUAUUGAAAAGAUAUAGGAUAAGACAUAACACCCCUUUGAGUUUGUAUGGUUAUAAUCUUUUUUAGUGAGUUGGAAAGAAAAUUGAAAUUCAACUAAUUAUUCAACGGAUACCUUAAUGAAGCACAUAAGAUGGAUAUGUCAAAUAAAAGCUAAGCAUGGUGGAUUAUAAUUGGAUGAGGACAAAGAUACAUGUAACUUGUACACUUCAAUUUGCAUAAAUGAAAUUCAAUGCAAACUUACUUUUGUACCAAAGAUUUUCAAGAAAUUGACUCAAACCGGACUAAGAAAUCUAUUCAUGCAUGAGACUUUUCACUCAAAAUGAAAUCUAUUUUAUAUACAAUCUGAGCGUGUUUGGUAGUAAUUCUAGAAAACGUUCUUGAAUGAUAGAAAUUUUUAAGUGUUAAAAAUGAUAGAAACACUUUCUAAAAUCAUUACAAAAUGGACUGUAAAUAGGCUUCAAAGCAAUUCACGAUCUCAUACUUCAAUUAGUUCCAAAUUCCAUUCUAAAAGAAAGGCAAAUCUAAUUAUAAUUGGGACUUCAAACGAGCAUCAUUUGCAUUAAAAAAAAUGAUUUUAACAAGUCAUCAAACCAAUUGAAUACAAAAUAAGCCAAAUGUUACAUUCAAAUCAACCCAUAUUUUAAUCUCAAAUUAGUUCAGAUUUUAAUCAAAAUUGGUCCACAUUCUUGAUCCAAAAACAGCCCACACUUUAAGCCAAAAUAAAUCUAGUUCUUAAUUCCAAAGAUCGGCUCACAUCUUAAACCAAAAUCAAUCCAUAUAAUCGCUCCAGAUUUUAUGUUAAAAUUCGCCCACAUUCUCAUCUCAAAUUAGCCCCAAUUUUCCGCAUUAAAUCAAUCCAGAUUUUAAGGUAAAACUAGCCCACGUUUUCAUUUAAAAUCAGACCUAAUUUUUACCCUUUAAACAAGUCCAAAUUUUAAGGCAAAGCCAGCCCAAAUCUCAUCCAAAAUCAGCCGCAAGUUUUACCCUUUAAAUCGGUCCAAAUUUUGAUCUAAAUUAGCCCCAGUUUUUACCCUAAAUCGGCCCAGAUUUGAAGCAAAAUCAGCCCCAAUUCUAAGCUGAAUGAAAUCCGGAUUUACAUCCAAAUGAAGUUCAAAAUUUGUGACAAAUUCAAUCAAAUUUUAAAACCAUACGUGACUUGAAUCUCAUUGAUAGAAUUGAAGUAUACAAAAUUUAAUGUAUCUCAUUAUGGAUUUAAAUACAAACUAAAUUCAAGUCAUAGAAAGACGAGCUUUUAAAAAAUUUCCAAUUAGUUUUCAAGUCUCCAUCCAGAAAAAGACCCCCAGAUUUCUCCUUCCUUCCUCCUCCCUUUCCCCUCUCUUCCUACUCCCCCUUUUAAAAUUCAGCUCUCUCCCCUCUAAAAGAUUUUGCUUUCUCAUUCCUUGAUAAUAAUAAUAAUAAUAAUUUCAUUCCUUCGAAAAAUUCUACUCUCUCCCCUUUCAAAUAUAAAUUGUGUUCCUUCCUUUUUUUUAUAAAAUUCUAAACUAAACCAGCCCCUAAAUCCUUCAACCCACCAAAUCUUUCUAUGGUUUCUUUUCUUUCUAAAAUCUUCCCCAAAAAAAUUUUCUUUCAGCUUCACUAACCCCACAUGUAAUCAUCAUUUCAAAUUUGAAUUCAUUUCCAAGCUUUCCAAAUCAAUUUUGUAAGCGAACAUAUGGUUUUUCUUCAAUCUCAAAUUUUAAACUUUCCAUUUAUGACAUUUAAUUCAAAUCAACAAUACCACUAUUCUUCGCUCAACUCCCUGCUUCUUCCCUUUUGAAACCUCAAUCUUCCUCCUUUUUUUUUUUCACAAGUGAGCUAGAAUGCACAUUAAAAAUUCAAAGUAACAAUCAAUAAUGACAUCAACAAUAAUUAUAUAUAAAUUAAGAAUGAAGACAAAAUAAAUAAACAAAUACAAUUAAAUAAAAUUAAAAUGAAGACAAAACAUAAUAAAGAUGAAAAUAAAAUAAAAUGAAAAUAAAAGUGCAUGAGCUACAAGUGAGUGGGACCUAGACUAUAUUAAGCCAAGGAUGAAUGAGCUUACAUAGUGGGCUAAAAAGGAAUGACAUACAUUAGGUUUGGAAUAAAUGGCUAAGAAUGGCCAAGCAUGGAUUAGAGUGAUUAGGCCUUCACUCUAUUAGCCAAAGACAAAUUUGGGAGUCGAUGAUUAGAAUUUUGUUCACUUGGUGAUAGUGCAUUGCUUUUGUAGCUUUGUGUUGUUUGUUUGGUUGGCAAUAAAAGGAAAAGAAGAAAAAAAAUAAAGAAUUAAAAUUUGAAUAUUGAGAACUUAUUUGGUCUUGAAAUAAGGAAUUCUUUUAAUAUGUUGAAACAAGAAAAUGGAAAUGAGACAUUUUGGGACAUUGAGUUCUUGUGUUUGUUUCGUUGACAAUUUUGUUCAUUUUCAUUUAACAUAGGAAACUUUUUAAAUAGUGACUUACUCUCUAUUGAAGAUUCGAGUUGUUGUUUGUUCAACUAUCUAAAAAGGUUUGUUGAGUUGUAAGUUAGGCAUCAAAAGGGUUUGGAUUAAAUCAAUAACUUAUUUUAGAGCUAAAUUAUUCUAUAUUUAUUUAUUUAUUGAGGUGCUCAAGUGUUGGCACCAAUGCUCAAGCACUCCCACUGCUCAAGUGCCUAUAUGAGUACUCAAGCGCUCAAGGCACUUAGGCGGUGGAUAAGUGUGCUCAAGUGGUCCCUCUAAAUUUGUUCAAAUAUCAUAGAUCACAUUUUUGGAAAUUAACAAUUUAUUCUUUUUUAGAAAAUUCGGUACUAAUCCUUUAGGUUUUAAACCCUUCCUAAACUUUUUUUGGGUUGCAUGCUUUGAGAGAAUGAACCCUAACUUGCUUAUCAUUCCUAAAAACUCUAAAAAAUUCACCAAUUGAAUUCUAGGUUAUUGGAAGAAUAUGCAUCCCCCUUAGAGGCUAAGACAAAUCCAUUAGAGCAUUGGAGGUGUUGCAUCAUAGACAUGGAUCAUGAUAUGGGUACUAAAGGGUAAGUUUUUAGGAUAAAUGGUAAGGUAAAUUUAUGUAUCUUGACGUCAUAUAGUGGAUUAUUAUAUUCGAGGUAUCAGACUCUGUGGUUUUUUUAUCUCCAUAGUUAGUGUGAAGCCUUUCCAUGCAAAAUUGCUUAUCUUUUGUGUGAUUAUGUUUAGUUUGGAUAUAUUCAUAUUAUUAUAAAUAAUUCAAUUGUUUUAAAUUGGCUUAGAUCCCUUUUUAUAGGUUAAUUUAGGUUAAGAAUUUUAAUUUUUAUAUUAAAUUUUUUAAUUUCUACCCAUUCACCUCUUGUGGAUGUUAUCCUACUAAGACAACGAAUUUUCAAAACAUAAAAUAUGUUUUCUGAUGACAUGUUUUGAAAGCUAUUUUAGAAAAUGUUUUCUAAAGAUAAAUAAUUUAAAAAUCAUUAAAAAAAUUGUUUUCAGCAUUUUAUGAAAUGUAAGCACUAUAAUAAUUGAAAUGAUACAAAAAAAAAAGUGUUACUAGUUUUGAUUUUGGUAACAAAUAGCUAGAACCUUAACCUUUUAUUAUUUAGCACCUUGAUGAAAGAUAAGUAUGUGGUGUUUGCUUGAGAGCAUAGGUAGCCCAACGUAGUUUGCAAACAUGAUUAGGAUGAUCACGAUCAAUGAAUCCCUGUGGUUGAGCCACAAAUACAUCCUAGGCAAGAUGGCCUUGAAGAAAGACGUUGUUCACAUCAAUUUUAUGAAGCAACCAACCACGAGUAACCAUAAGACUAAGAACAAGACGAAUGGUGGUGGACUUGACAACUGGACUAAACGUGUCACGAUAAUCAACUCCAAGACAUUGAUGAAACCCUUUGGCAACUAAACGUGCCUUAUACUUGUCAAUAGAACCAUCAUGGAAAUGUUUAAUAUGAAAAAUCCACUUGUAACCAACUGAAUUCUAAGUUGGAUUCAAGGGAACAAGUUCCCAUGUUCCAUUCCAAACAAGAGCAUCAUACUCUUCUGACAUAGCGUGAUGCCACUUGGGAUCUUUAAUAGUCUGGGUAACUGUGGUGGGUUCAAGAUCAAUGUUGGUUACAAGUUAAGCAUUAAGAUUAAGUUUGUGAGUUAGGUUGUGAAUGUUUUUCUUUGAUUGUGUAAUAAUAGCAUGUGUAAUUGGGUUUACAGACGUAAGAGGUGGAAUGUGAGAGGAUGGAGAAAAGUGGGGAGGUCGGAGUUGAGUUGGGCUAGGUGAUGUUUGCGAGGUUUAUAGGUUUGGCGUUGAUUGUGAGAUAGGUGGAUUAGGGGGUGUUGGGUUUGGGUGUGACAAUGAGGGUGGUUGUGGGUUCAACACAAAAUUAGGUGGGUUUUAGUUUUGGUCGAAGAGUGAAGAAGUUGUGGAUAGAAAUUAGGUCAGGUUAGGAGUGAUGAGAGUGAGAGACAUGGUGAAGUCAAAAUCUACAUAGGAGGGUAAUUUUGUUGUAGGUGUAGAGGGUGUAGGCGGGUGGGGAGAUGAUGUGGGCAAGGGCUAAGACAGAGACACAAGUGAAAACUAGUGAAAUAGAGUGACAGUUGAGGGAAACGGAAGAUGAGAGUGAAGAGAAGAAAAAAGGGAAGAUGUUUUCAACAAACUUAACAUGAUGGAUGUAUAGAUUUUAGAAGAAAAAGGUUCAAGACACAAGUAAGUACUUAGAGUGAAAAAAGAACCAAGAAAAACACAUAGAGUGGAGUGAGGAGCAAGUUUAUGAGAAGAAUAUGGUUGCAACCAAGGAUAACAUAAACACCCAAAAACACGAAGUUCCGAAUAAUCAGGCGAGGACUAAAAGAGUUUGAGAUAGGGAGAGGAAAGUUGGAGUGUGGGAGUUGGCAUAUGAUUAAUAAGAUAGACUAUAGUGGUAAAAGCGUAAGACUAAUAUGGUAGAGGCAUGGAGGCAUGAGAGAAAAUAGAUAAAUUGCUUUCAACGAUAUGAUAAUGACGACGUUUAGAAUACCUAUUGUGGUGAAGUGAAAUGGGAAAUUCCCUGAGAUGCAAGAUAGGAUGAAAGUGCUUGAUAUUCCACCCCCCACAUAAUAUAAUGUGAUAAUCAAUAAAUUUUUGGAGAUCAUAGCCAAUGAGAAGUGCUUUCAGCCACGAUGUGGUAGGGAAGGAGAGAAGAAUGAGAGAUAAUCUUAGAAAAAAAUAAAGCUCCGAUACCAUAUAAAGAGAAAAUAUGACAUUAUUUUCAUCAACGAUGAUGAAUAUUUAUAUACAAAUACAACUGAGUUCUAUUAUAAUUUAAACUCUAUCUCCUACUGUAAUUCAAACUAAUAGUAGACUUCUACUCUAAUUCAAACUUUAUAUUCUACUCUAAUAGUAAACUUCUACUCUAAUUCAAACUAAUAAUAAAUAGAUAAAUACUAAUAGUUAAAUUAAGGGUAAACAUCUAAAUUAUUUAUUUUCUCUAUUACAAUGGACGGAAAAAUGAUAGAUGAUUGAAAACUCCACCUAUUGUCGAUUGUUUUAUUUUAUUUUAUCUAGUCAACCUCACAACAUUGAAAGGUCUUUGUUUUUUUGGCAACCAUGCUUUCACCUCCACAAUUUUUCUCACUCUUGCUCUUUACCUACUCUUCCCACUAUUAUUUUAUUCAUGUCAUCACAUUGUUAUUAUAUGUAUUGACAAAUUUAUUAACAAAAUAUUUUUCUUUAAAUAAAAAAGAAACAAUGGACGACAAAAUGACAUAUGAUUGAAAACUCCACCCAUUAUCGGUAGUUUUAUUCUAUUUUAUCUAGUCAACCUCACAACAUUGUGAGGUCUUUGUUUUUUGGCAACCACACUUUCACCUUCCCCGCUUUACUUACUCUCACUCCUUACCUACUUUUCCCACUAUUAUUUUAUUCUCAUCAUCACACUAUUAUUAUAUUAUAUGUAUGGACAAAUUUAUUAACAAAAUAUUUUUUUUAAAUCAAACAGUUAAAAUAUUAUUUCUAAAUUUAUGGAUCUCCUUAUAACUUGAAUAAAAAAGAACUAUCUUUUAAAUAAAUAACUUCAAUUUAAAUAUUAAAAUUUGAAAUUAUUUUUGUUUUAAAAAAAAUAACACUAAACUUUAAAACUUAUAAUAAAAUUAAUUUUUAAGAUAAUUUUAACAUAAUAUAUAUAAUUAUUGUUCCCUCUUAUAUAAAUAUUAUUUACUCUAAACAUGUUUCAUGGUAUGUAUAUAAUUAAGAAGAAUGCACCUAUAUAUUAAAAAUUGUUUUUUCUUUGGUCAAUAACUAAUAUCAUAAUAUAACACUAUUGAAAUUGUUUAUUUAUUUAACACAUUUUUUAAUUGCUAUAAAUUUUAAAUUAUCUUAUAAUUAUUAUUUUUUAAAAAUAUUUUGUUUAAAAAAUUGUACAAAUUUUAAAAAUUGAAUUUGAGUGAUGGAUUAUGAUUUUAGUUUUUGGGAACCAAUCAAUCAUUCCCAACUUCACACACAUGCUUUCACCAUCCCAAAAAUAAAUAAAUAAAUAAACGCAAACACUAUUUCUUUCUUAUCUAAUUUUAUGAUAUCUUAUCAUAACUCAAAUAGGAAAUUAAAUUACUUUUUCGGGAAAUAAAUUAAGUCUAAUUAUUAAAUUUUAAAGUUAUUUUAUAAAUAAAUAAUUUAAAUGAAUUUUAUGAUGUCUCUCAAAUAAGAAACUACUUUUUUAGGAAAUAAUUUUGUUUAGUUAGUAAAUAAAUUUCAAAUUUUGCGGUGAAAUCAUUUUUCAAAAAAAGGAUUUCAAAAAUUGUUUAUUUACUUAACAUCUGAAUUAUUUUUAUAAUUUAUCAUUUUUUUAAAUAUUUUAUUUAUGGCGAACUCUCUUUUAAUUUAUUUGGUGAAAAAUAUGAAUUUUAGAAAAAACUUAAAGUCGCCACUUACUUUUCUUUUAUUUUUAAGGGAAAACAAAAUAAGAAAGAAAAUCCUAAGUGUAACUCCUUAUUUGGAAAAAAGUGUUUAUGGAAAACCAAAGUUGAGUCCGGGGGUCGAAUUACCUAUUGGAAAGGUAUGAUAGUGAGUCAUAGCACCCCUCUAAGCCCUAUAAUAAGGUUUAUACUAAAUAAAAUGAAGCAAGUGUGACAAUUGAUAAGGAAAUUAAUGAAUACCAAAAUAAUCAAAUAAUAAAACGAAUCAUACAUGAGAAUAAGCAAAGUGGGAGUGAGAUCGUAUCUUAACAACAAAUAAUAAUGCGUUAUCAUAAAACGGGGUUAGUGCACAAUAAUAAAUAUAAAAUAUAUUGUAUGUGUCACAAAACAUAGUAAGAGAUCCUUAAUGGCGGUUAUGCAUUUCAUUCAAAUCUUUUUUGAAUAAAAUAUCUCAAAUGUUGGGCCCCCCACCAAAGCCCAAUUGAUUUGGCAUGAAAUGAUUCCACAAAUUCCAUUAUUUCAGAAUUUUGAAAAUUGCAUUCAUGCUUAUUAAACAUUGAAAAAAUAAAAAAUUAUUUGAAGAUUAAAGAAAAUUUGUGAAGGUGCUUGCUUGGAAGAAAACGGUAGCAAGUUUAUUAAAAAAAAAUGGGAUUUUUGGUGACCCUAAUCCUUAAUGAGGGAAGGAGAAGAGAAAUGACCUAAAAUUAUUUGAAAACAAGAGUGAAAUUAAAAUUAUUUUGAAAAUUUGGAGUUUUGGAAAUUGUUUGAAAAUUGAAGUUUUGAAAAUUAAAUUUGAAAAUUUGAAAAUAGAGUUUUGAAAAUGAUUUGAAAUUUAUGAAAAUGAUUUGAAAAUUGGAAUUUUGAAGAAUUAUUUGAAAAUGGAAAUUUUGAAAAUUAAAUUUGAAAAUCGAAAUUUUGGACAAUUAUUUGAAAAUGGAAGUUUUAAAAAUUGGAAUUUUGAAGAAUUAUUUGAGAAUAAAAGUUUUGAAAAUUAAAUUUGAAAGAAACUAGAGUUUUGAAAAUUAUAUGAGAAUGAAAUUUUUUUUAAUUAAAUUUCAAAAUUGGAAUUUUGGAAAAUUAUUUGAAAAUGGAAUUUUUAAAAAUUAAAAUAAAUUUUCAACAUCAAAAGAUGAAGAAACAAGAGGAUGGCAUGUGGCCAUCAGGAUUGCAUGCCAAAAGUGGCCAUGCAUGAAUGUAGACCGAGGUGCAAGGUUUAGGUGGUAGAUGAAAAAGAAAACCUUGCCAAACAAAGCCUGGACAUCCAUCACCUGCGGGGCGCUCAUCACUCCAUUCAAACAUCAAAUUCAUCAUCACUCAUACCAUCAUCCUUAGGCAAGCUAAAUUUGACGACUUUAGGAGCCUGACCUGGGUCCUAGAAAUGGGACAACUUCAGAUUUUGGAAGCCUUUUAUCUAUUGCUUGACUUGUUGAAACUACUGUUGUGGGUUGGGUUGCCUUCCUUUCGGUUGAUUGCCGCCAUUGUUGUUUCCACCAUUUUUUUUCCCAUCUUUGCUUCAUAAGAGGUUUCUUCUUUGCUGUGACUUGUGUUGUAGGCUUCACAGCCACUGCCAUAUUUUUGUCAGAAUGGGUAACUCAAUUCAUGCGCCUUUGUUUGUGAUUCAUUGGGGAGGACUUGGACCCGAAGAGUGAGAACCCAUUGUUGCCAAAGAAGGCCAGAGAUGGGAAGAGUCCUUUGGAGUUGGAAUAGGCCUCACUAGGCUCGAAAGUGAGACAAGAGCUCAUCAGAUUGUGGAUACUGGACCGAUAGAAAGAGGAAAUCCAACCAAUUGAGAAAUAAUCAACACCACCAUUGUUGCAUUGUAGCCUUUGUUUGGCCCACCAUCUCAAUCUCUUUGGUGUCUGAAACAUUGAGGAUUUCAGAGGGUAGGUUUUCUCGCACGCCACUAACAUUCAAGUUGGAGAGCCUUCUCCUAAUCCGUGCUCUUGUGGAUGCUCAUAUCAACCAUAGAAGCAACCUUCUCUGGAUUUUCCACGGCGUGCUCAUUCCGCUUAUUUCACCCUUCACUUUUAUCCAACCUUUUCACCAUUAUGGAGUUCUCCAAGCUCUGUAAUUGCUCCGACUUUUCUUCAACCCCGAAAAGCUCCCCUUAGGCAAAGAGUGGCUUGGCUACCAAUGAUAUGUGCAUGAUCAGAAAGCCCAGUACACUCAAUGCAAAUGGCAAGUUAAAAAAAAAAAGUAAGAAAAAUGGUUGCAAUGGUGCUUGUAGUUUUUUGCCCUAACGCAUUUGACAACCCAAACACAGUGAUGGUCCAUCUUCAAUAUGCAUCUCCCACAAACAAAGCAGUGAUGGCACCGGGGUGGUUUAAAUAGGUUGCACUUCUGACAAAACCAGAUUGCUUCACUUGCUGGGUUAGCAACCAUAUUUUCCUAGUCCACACCUAAGCCUACACUGCCAUGUUUUGAACCCAGCAAUUGAUCAACAUUUCCUUUCUCCUCAUCCACCAUGGGCUUCCAAUUCAGUGGAACACCACCCAGAUUUGUGGAAACAACAAAAAAGUAGUGCCAUAGCAGCAUCACCAAUAAAGAAUGAAAUAACAACAAGAGAAGCCCAGGGCUGUGAAGAUUAUGAUAAAGCCGAGGCCACACAGUGCUGCACAUAAUUUGAAGAUGUUCCAUGCCAUUGCAGCUCCAUAUCUCUCUGCUCUCCAGUUGGAUACUCUUUUUUUUUUUUUUUUGCUCUCAAAGUCUCCUCACCCAGCUCUCUGUUUUUCUCUCAAAACCUCUCAUGUUUCUUGUCCUCAACGUUUUCUAUCUAAUGCUCAGAUCAUCAUCAUUUGAAACUCUCCCGUUCCAGCCAUCUCCCUUGCUCUGUUUUUCUAUUUUUUUUGGUACUCACUACUCUCUGUUUUUCUCUAAACCUUCAUGCUAAAAAACCUUCUCCAAUUUUACUUUUUGAGCUCGGUUUUCUCUCACCCCCUACUGAAAAACCUUGUCCUAUAAGCUUCCACUAGCUCCACUACUUACCGCUCAAUGAAAGAUCUCCAUUCCAACCACCACCUUGGCAAGGUGGUGACGUCCUUUGCCACACGUCCUAGCAUGCAGCACACCUGAAAAUCAUUCCCCACUCCGAAUGAAAAAGGCCCAGCUGAUUGCCCAGGUACCCCUCAAAGGUGACAGGAAAAACCAAAAAUAAAAUCCAUUACAAUGUAAUCAAAUAAUGGUAAUAAAAAAUAAAAAAUAAAAAAAGUCCAUUGGUCCAAAAAAGAGGGUCUAUAAAUAUGCCCAUCUUCGGUAUAGUUCACAAGUGCAAAGAAUGUGAACAUUGAAAUGAAAUGAGAGUGUGAAUAAUGAGUGUAACGAAGUGAACUCUACCAAAGAAAAAGAAAAACCCCUAAAGGUACAUAAGUAGAACACAAACUUGCUCAAACCAAUAUAGGAACAAAAGGGAUCUAAAAUCCUAAGAGAAUGGUAGUUCUCAGAAUGCCUCUAAAGUUGUAUUAUGGAUCCAAACUCUCUCUAAGAUAUCUCCCAAAAGUAAUUUGAAGAUCGAUGUCAAAGUUGAGUAGUAGUCGAACCACCUAGGAGCAUAGGGACGAACAUAUGUAGAAGGAAAACUACACAUGCACCAUGCAAGAGCAAGAAGUGAGGGGCACCAAUGAUACGAUGAAAACAUAAGCUAUAAGCUAAAAGGACUAUGUCACACACAAUGGAGGAGGACAAAUCCUGGAAAAUCAUAACUUUGAACGCUUGAAAUGUGGCUCUGAAUGCCAAGGCUGAGAUGGACGAUUUUGAACAACUAAACUAUGGCUUUAAAUACCUAAAACUCUGGCUUUGAACGCCAAUGGGAGAAAUAGCUCUGAAGACCUACGACUUUAAACACCUAUGAAAGAAAGUGGUAGCUCUGAAUGCCUAAAGGGUGAAAAUGGCUCUGGAUGCCUAUGAAAGAAAGUGGUGGCUUUGAAUUCCUAUGAGGGGAAUGGCUCUAAAGGCCUAUACUAAAGGUAGGUGGCUCUGAAUGCAUAUGGGGGGAAUAACUCUAAAUGUCUAAUCGAGGAAAGUGGCUCUGAACGCCUAAACUGGAGAAGGUGGCUCUAAACGCCUAUGGAAGAAAGUGGUGGCUCAGAACGCCUAAAGAAUGAAAAUGGCUCUUAAUGCUUAUGAAAGAAAAUGGUGGCUCUGAACGCCUAUGAGGAGAAUGGCUCUAAAGGCCUAUACUAAAAGUGGGUGGCUCUGAACGCUUAUGGGAGGAAUGACUCUAAAUGUCUAAUUGAGGAAAGUGGCUUUGAACGCCUAUGAAAAUGAUUACUCUAAGUGUCAAUGUGAGAAAGUGGUGACUCUGAAUGCCUAUGGGGAGAAUAGCUCUGAACACCUAAAAUUGUAGAAGUGGCUCUGGAAAACUGAGCUAGGAAAGUGGCUCUGAACGCCUAACCAAUGAAGAUGGCUUUGAACGCCUACGAGAGAAAUGGAUCUAAAUGCCCAUGAAAAUUAUGGCUCUAAAUGCCUAUGAGAGAAAUGGCUCUGAAGGCCUAUGGCUUUGAAUGCCUAUUUGAGAUGAUGGCUUUGAACGCCUCUGGCUUUGAACGCUUAACUGAAGAAAAGUAGUGGCUAUAAACGUCUAAACUAGAAUAGAUGGAUUUGAACGCCUAUGAAGGAAAUGACUCUAAAAGUCUAUGAAAAUGGUGGUUCUGAACUCCAAUGUGAUAGUGGGGGUGACUUUGAACGCCUAUGAAGAAAAAUGGUUUUUCUGAACACCUAAUUUAGAGAAGUGGCUUUAAAUGUCUGAGUUGGAGAAGUGGCUUUAAACGCUUAACUAAGAAAGUGACUUUGAACACCUAACUAAGAAAGGUGGCUCAGAAUGCCUAAGCUAAGCAAGAUGGCUCUGAACGCCUAAUAUGAGGAAAGUGGCUCCGAUCGCCUAAAUUGAGCAAGGUGGCUCUGAACGCCUAAACUAAGGAAAGUGGCUUUGAACGCCUGAUUGGGAAAGGUGGCUCUGAACGCCUAAACUAUGGAAGGUGGCUCUGAACGCCUAAACUAAGCAAAGUGGCUUUGAACGCCUAAUUAAGCAAGGUGGCUUUGAAUGCCUGACUGAGGAAGGUGGCUCUAAAUGCCUAAACUAGAAAAUCUCUGAACACCUAAAACUAAUGAAAGUGGCUCUGAAUGCCUAAACUAAGGAAGGUGGAGCUGAGCAAAGUGGAUUUGAAUGCCUAAACUAAGCAUGGUGGCUCUAAAUGCCUAAAAUGAAGAAGGUGGCUUUAAAAGCUUGAAACCGAAAUAGAUGGCUUUGAAUGCCUACACUUAAACAAAUGGCUCUGAACGCCUAAACUGAAAAAGAUAGCUUUGAAUGCUUAAAAUAGAAGAAAUGGCUCUAAACGCCUAACUGAAGAUGCAACUCUGAACGCCAAACUGAAGAUGCGACUCUGAACGUCAAAUAAAAGAAAGACAUGAUGACUCUAAAUGCCAAACUAAAAACAAACAAUAGCUCUAAACGCCAAACCUAAAGAUACGACUCUAAACGCCAAACUGAAAGAAGACAUGAUGGUUCUGAAUGUUGAACUAGGAACAAACAAUGACUUUGAACACUAGGAAUGUGGCUCUGAACGCUAAAUUGAAUAUGCAACUCUAAACGUCAAAUGAAAGAAAGACAUGAUGGCUUUGAAUGCCGAACUAAAAACAAACAACAACUCUAAAUGCCAAACUAAAGAUACGGCUCUGAACACCAAAUUGAAGAUAUGGCUCUGAACGCCAAAUUGAAAGAUGACAUGAUGACUCUUAAUGUCAAACUAAGAACAAUCAACGGCUCUGAACGCCAAAUUGAAGACAUGGCUCUGAACGCCAAUCUGAAGAUACGAAUCUAAAUGUCAAACGGAAGAAAAAAAUGAUGGCUCUAAAUGUCGAACUAAAAAAAAAACAACUCUGAACUCCAAACUAAAGAUACAACUCUGAACGCCAAACUGAAGGAGAUAUGAUGGCUCUAAAUGCCAAACUAGAAACAAACAACGGUUUUGAAAGCUAGGAAUGUGGCUCUGAACGCCAAACUGAAGAUGCAACUCUGAACGUCAAAUGGAAGAAAGACAUGAGGGCUUUGAAUGCUGAACUAAAAACAAACAACAACUCUGAAUGCCAAACUAAAGAUAUGACUCUUAAUGCUAAACUAAAGGAGAUAUGAUGUCUCUGAAUGCCAAACUAGAAAUAAGCAACAGCUCUGAACGCUAGGAAUGUGGAUCUGAAUAGCAAACUGAAGACAUGGCUUUGAACGCCAAACUGAAGAUGUGACUCUAAACGUCAAACGAAAGAAAGACAUGAUGGCUCUGAAUGCCGAACUAAAAACAAACAGUGGCUAUAAAUGCCAAACUAAAGAUAUGGCUCUGAAUGUCAAACUGAAGGAGAUAUGAUGGCUCUAAAUGUCGAACUAGAAACAAACAAUGGCUUUGAACGCCAAACUGAAGAUAUGGCUCUAAACGCCAAACUAAAGAAAAACAUGAUGGCUCUAAGUGCUGAACUAAAAACAAACAACGACUCUAACCACCAAACUAAAGAUAUAACUUUAAAUGUAUAUGAAAAAGGUGGCUUUGAAUGCCUAAAACAAUGGCUCUGAACACCCAUGAAAAUAGUGGCUCUGAAUGCCUAUGGGAGAAAUGGAUUUGAAGGCUUGUGCCUUUGAAAGCCUAUGAGAGGAAUGGCUCUGAAGCCCUGUGGCUCUAAAUGCCUAUGAAGGAAAUGGCUCUUAAUGCCUAUGAAGAAAAAUGGUGGCUUGGAAUGCCUAAGUUGGAGAAGUAGCUCUGAACGCCUAAGUGAGAGAAAUGGCUUUGAACGACUAAACUAAGCAAGGUGGCUCUAAAUGCCUAUGAGAGAAAUUGAUGGCUCUGAACACCUAACUGAAGAAGGUGACUCUAAAUGCCUAAAACUACGGCUCUGAAUGCCUAAAACUAGAAAAGAUGACUCUGAACACCUAAAACUGUGGCUCUGAACGCCUAAGCUGGGAAAAUGGCUUUGAAUGCUUGAGCUAGAGAAGUGGCGUUGAACGCUCAACUGGGAAAGUGACUUUGAUGGCCUAAACUAAGCAAGGUGGCUUUGAACGCCUAAAAUGAGCAAGGCGGCUCUGAACGACUAAACUGGAGAAGUGGCCCUGAAAGCCUAAGCUGUGGAAAUGGCUUUAAACGCCUAAAAUGAGCAAGAUGGCUCUGAACACCUAAAUUGGAGAAGUGGCUCAAAACAGUUAAGCUGUGGAAGUGGCUCUGAAUGCAUAAACUGAGCAAGGGGGAUUUGAAUGCCUAAGCUGGAGAAGUUGCUUUGAAUGCCUAAGUGAGAAAUGUGGCUCUGAACGCCUAAACUAUGGAAAGUGGCUCUGAACGCCUAACUAAAGAAGGUAGCUCUAAACGCCUAUGGGAGAUGGUGGCUUUGAAUGCCUAAGUUGAAGAAGUGGCUCUGAAUACUUGAGCUAGAGAAGUGGCUCUAAAUGCCUAACUGAAGAAGGUAGAUUUGAAUGCCUAUGGGAGAUGGUGGCUCUAAAUGCCUAAGUUGAAGAAGUGGCUCUGAAUGCCUAAGUUAGAGAAGUGGCUCUGAACACCUAACUGAGAACGACAACUCUGAAUGUCAAAUUGUGAACGACGACUCUGAACACCAAGCUGACCAAUGGCUUUGAAUGCUAAACUAUGAACGAGAACAACAGCUCUGAACGCCACAACUAUGAAGAGAUAGUGGCUCUAAACGCCAAACUGACCAAUGGCUCUGAAUGCCAAACUGUGAACGAGAAUGACGGCUUUGAAUGCCAAACUAAUGAAUGUGGCUCUGAACACCUAAAAAUUGUGAAUGGUGGCUCUAAACACCAAACUGUGAAUGACGACUCUGAACGCCAAACUGACUAAUGGCUCUGAAUGUCAAACUGUAAGUGAGAACGAUGGCUUUGAACUCCAAACUGAUGAAUGUGGCUCUGAACGCCUAAAAAUUGUGAACGGUGGCUUUGAACGCCAAACUGACCAAUGGCUCUAAAUGACAAAUUGAAGAAUGAGAACGACGACUCUGAACGCUAAGCUGUGAAUAAGGCUCUAAACACCUAAAACUGUGAACAAUGGCUCUGAAUGCCAAACUAUGAAUGAUGGUGGCUUUGAAUGCCUAAAAUGCGGAGAGAGAGUGGCUCUGAAUGCUAAACUGAAGAUAUGAUGGUGGCUUUGAACGCCAAGCUACGAGGAAAUGAUGAGGGGAAAAAUGCCUCAGUGUGGCGUGUCGUCACAAAUCUCGAUCCACUAAAAGGGUCUAAAAGAGACUCCAUGAGUCUCAAAAGAUGCUUUGUUGAUGAGUCGGAAUGGUCAAAUCAACUAUAAUAUAAAGUCUCAUAACCUAUCUUACUAAAUCAUGAGGCCUGACAAAGUGCCAUAAUAAUCUGGAUGCUUCUAACUUGAGAUGCCCUGUUAAAGGAAUCUGUAGUCAUCUCAAAGGAACGAUCCAUUGAUGGGUCUCAAGAAAAAUGGUCCACUGGGGAAACUGCCAUUGCCUCAACAUAAUGAUCUACUGAAGAGUCAUAGGUAAAAAGACAGUCAAAACCCAAAGGUCAAGCUCCUCUGAAGGCUCAUCUCGGCAUAAAUCAUCGAUACUAUGACCAAUAAUGUGAAUAAAUAUCCCUCAACUGAAUAAAGAAAAUGGUAAUAGCUCCGUGAGAAGACGAUCAUCUCCACAAUAGAAAAGAGGAAAUAUGCCCCAGUAUAGUAACUAGUACAUCUGGUCUGUCCUGAUGACUCAAGAAUAACUCAAUGGGGAUGUAUAAGAGAUCUAACAUGUACUCCACUGAAAUGAUGAUAUGGGAGUCUAUGUGCCUAAGAUAACUCCAUCAAAGAAUCACAACUAUAUCAGAAAGUAUGGGCCUAAUUGAAUGACUCAAGAAAGGCUUCACUAGGGAAUCAUCGUAAAAUAAAAAUUGAUCAUCAACUCGAUAUGUAUCUCAUAAAUGGGGAUGAUCAUGCAAAUCAAUGGAGAUCUACAAAUCUCAACCAAAAGAUAAAUAUGCCCCAAUAUGGCAUCAAAUGUGUGGUAAGUUGGAAAAUCAGGUGGCACCAAAUCAUCCAUCACCAAGUGUGUAAUCCUAAUCAUCCAAAUCCACAGCUGAAUCAGAUCCAAACAUCAAAGAGGCGUCUCUCAAAAGAAGAAGCAUAUGACAUCUAAAUAUAAAAAAGUGUGAGCCUGACUGAAUGGCCCAAGAGAGGCUCCACUAGGGAAUCAUGAUAAGAUAACAAAUAGGUCAUCAUCUCGGUGUGUAUCUCGUAAGUGGGAAUGAUCAUGCAACUCCAUGAAGAUCUAUAAAUCUCAACCCAAUGUGCGGUAGGUCGAAAAAUCAGAUGACAUUAAAUCAUCCAUCAUCAAAUGUGUGAUCCCCGUCAUCCAAAUCCACAGCUAAAUCGGGUCUAAACAUCAAAGAGGCGUCUCCUAGAAGAAAAAACAUGAUGAUAUCUAAAUAUCAACCAAAUCUCAAACACCUGUCCAAGUAGGGGCUAUCGAAGAUGACAUCUGAUCCCAUGGCCUCAAGGUGGUCUUAAAACACAGGACAUAAUGUAGGCUAGGGUGACAGAGUAAUAGAAAUGAAAGGAAACUAGGCCAAAAUACCGAGUGAUCAAAAGCCCACACCCUCAUGUAUAAAAUGCAACAUGUAUAGAAAAACUCGUGAACCAUGGACCUAAGGGUGCCCAAUGUGAAUAUAAUAUCAAUAAUGAGACUAUGAAGAAAAUCAAACUAAUAAUGAGAUACGUAAGAAUGAUGUAAGGGAAAAAUCAAACCUGGAAUAGGUCGAUGUAAGAAAAAAACAAGUGGGGUGAAGCGAAGGGGAUGGAUCAAAAGCAAUGACGAGAAUGAUAGCGAAACAAUGAAUAUACGAAGAAAAGUGAUGAUCAACUCAAAUCAAACAUGGAGUGAAGUCACAUCAACAAUGAAUGUAAUGAUGGAAAACUUUCUCCAAUUAAAUGACCUUCUCAAACCAAGGGUCUUUGGAUCAAUGUCCAUGGUAUAGAUAAUGGAAAUGAUGUGACUAUCCUCCCUGUAAUGAAUUAGGGAGGAUCACCACUCAGGGUGGAGAAAAGAUGAAAUAGAACAAGUAGCAAAUGAGACAAAAAAGAGAUCAAGAACACAACUAAUGAGAUAUGAUGGAAUGUAGUAGUGUGAUGGUAGGAAAAAUAAUGAGAGAAAGAUGCGCUCGUAGGCCCAAGGCUCAUGAAACUCCUAAAUGAAGCAUGCAUACACCAAAGGGCCCAUAUCCCAAUGUAGAAAUGUAAGCAAGACAAUAAGAAAGAAAGACUCUGAUGCACAUGCGAUCCUCAAUGGGCUAACAGUGGUCUGCAUAUCAAAAGGGAAUAACAAAGUAUAUGGCCAACCAAAAUGAUGGCCACCCAUCCUACAACCAUGGUCUCAAACAUAAUACUUCUUUAACUGAUCUACAUUAGUUGGCUUUGAGAAUCGGUUUCCAUCUAGAUCCAUCAACCAUGCAGUGCCCUCUAGGGUCAACUCCCUAAUGAAAUAAGGUCCGCUCCAAUUAGGUCUGAACUUCCCUCUAGGAUCUCUAAUCAAUCCCUGGAUGACCUUCAAAACCAAAUCACCUCUCUGUAGUGGUCUAGGCUUUACUUGCUUUUUGAAUGCGCGAGCCAUCUUCCUUUGAUAGGCAUGAACAUGGUCUGUUGCCCUCAAUUCUCUCUCGAGUGGUAUCACUCUCUAAAGAUCUAACAACUGUGUGAGGUUGUUGUCAUACCACCCUGCCUCUAUGGAUGACAUAUUGAACAUCAUGAGUAACCGUCUCGUCAAGAUCUCGACUCAGUAUAAACAGAGACUGAAAUCAAUGACCCAAUUGUAGUCAACUACACUGAUGGUGUGUCAGGAACCAAUCUAAAUGGUGUAGAUGUCUGUGUAUUUGAGAUCACUCCAUCAACCUCAUAGCUUUCAUCCACUACUAUAGGCUCUGGCUCAGAAUCAUCCCAACUCAACAUGUGAAUGCAAUCAUCAGGCUCAAUGAAAUCCAUGAAAUGUAUGUCGCCGGCCGGCAAAGGGACUAUAUGUGAAGUAUGAGCUAGUAGAGGGUUAGUGGUUACACUUGAACCAAACCCUGAUUUAUCAAAUCUUGGAUAGCGUGUCUCAAAGUAGUACAACAAUCGGUUUCAUGCCUUGGCCCUUGAUGAUAUGUACAAUGUAGAUCCAUCCGAAACUGUGGCGGAAUAGGUUGAGACAAUGACCUAGGAGCAAGAAGCAUCAAUAAUCCAGCAUUUGUGAGCUUCCAAAGAGUCUGGCUCAACGACAUACCCAACUUUGAAAACUGUCUCAGUGUCCUCAAACCAAAAUGAGCAGGCAUUUAUGAAGCCUUAGGUCUAAGGUAUAAAGUUGGAGGUCUCUAUGUGAUUUGUGUUGCAUAGCAUGGUUGUACUAGAGCAGGGUAUGGGACUGGAGGCCUCUUUGUGCCUGAUACUGCAUAACAUGGUUGUACUAGUGUAGGAGAUGGGUAAGUUUGAUCAUACGGCUGAUGAGGUGCUUGUGGCCUAUACUGGUCAGGUGAAUAAGAGAGGUACGUCCCAAUAGGUUGUAGAAUUGGCUGAUGACACCUGAGAGGUCUUUGACUAGUAGAAGUGAUAGUACCCACAUCUGAUCUCUGUCUUCCAAUUGGUUUCUUCCCCUUAGCAUCAACAGGGGAAGAAUCAGACCAUAACCCUUUCAAAAUGUCAUCCUCCACGUCAUACAAUGCUGAAAUCAAAGAUCUAAAGUCUGUAAAAGGUACUCUAACCACAUGUCUAGCAAUCCAGGGUUGUAGACUCUUCAAAAUCAUCUGUAUAUGAUCUCUCUUUGAUGGUUUAUCAACAAUCUCUGCUAUCUUCCCCUACCAACAAGAGAUGAAGGAAGAAAUGGACUCAUCUGAUCUCUGUCUCAAAGCCUCUAGCUCUUUCCUCGACCAUCUACAAUAGUAUUAAAUGAAAACUAUCGCAAAAAAUCCUGAGUUAGGUCAUCCCAUGUCCUAUGUCACAAGGACUCCAAAGAUGCGAACCAACGUUGGGUUGUGCCACUCAAAGAUAAAGGAAACAUGGUGACCAUCUAUGACUUGUCUAACCCAUGGGCCCUCAUCACAAUACUAUAAAGUCGAAGAUGAAUGUGAGGACAACCAACACCCAUGUACCUCUCAAUGUCAGGCAUCAUAAAGGCCGGUAGACUGGCCACUGGUAUACUAUCAAGAUCAUCCCAAACAACUAAACUUUCAGAUACUCUCAACUGCCUGAUACGAUGCUCGAUAUGAUCUAUGUGUGCAUGAGUAUCCUUAGAGACUGUGGUGUGUUCUACUGUAGGUGGGAGAACCUCAGACUGGUCGUGUAAUUGAUAAGGCGAGGCUUGUGGUUUCGUCUGAUCAGGUGGUGGUGGUGGUGGCAAUAGUGAAUCGUGAGGCACCUCGUCCUAAAUUAUAGGUUGUCUGCUCUGCUAACUACCCAUAUCCUGUCUGAGAUUGGUCAAAGCCUCCUGAAUGGAAGCCAUAGCUGCUGUGAACUGGUCAACUAUAAUGGACUACUGAUCCAUGUAUGAUCUCAUGGGAGUGUAAACCAGUCUACCCUCUACUCUAACCCAAGAUGGUAUAUCCAUACUAAGAAUGAAAAACCAAUCCUACAAAGCAUGAAGCACGAGAUAAGGUAUGGUAUAGGAAAGACACGAAAGAAAUGCUAAUCUGAACUGGAAGAAACAAGUCAUCACAAAGCGAAAGGGUAGUCCAACUAUAACUCAAACUCAUAUUGAUCUCUAAGCUUUCUCAAUUAGAGACCAAAUGAGAAAGUACUAGAUUCGAAUUGUAACUAAAGAGGCUCUAAAAUCCCUCAAAUGCACUCACAUGUAGGAAAGAAGUCCUAAUCAAAGGAUCUAAGGCUCAACCUACAAGGUUAAGGUGGCUCUAGAAAUAAGAGGGGUGGACUUUAAAAGAUCCCUAGCAGAAGCGAUCAUACCCUCCAGUGGUACGCAACCCUCUGCAUACUUCCGAAGAGAUGGGGCACUUCUAUGCAAGGUGGUCAUGACCUUUAUACAUGCACUACCUCGACAUCCCAAGGGGUUUCCUAUAGUGAAAGCUCUCACAAUUCUCAACACUCAAUAGUCAACUAAAGUGUGCAGUGAACGGUGUAGGUGCAUCUGAAAAGCCUAUGAAGCCAAAGCAGAAAAUGAAACACACCGGUCACACAAAUAUCCAUGAAACCUAGCUCUGGGCUAUACAGGUGUGGACCCGCAUUUUUCACGUGCGCCCCCACUCGAUCUGCGAGACUCGCUUUUUAUUAUUUUUGUGAAAAAUUGAUUUUUGAAAAGAAAGUUGGAGUCACCACCUAUUUUAUUUUUAUUUUAAAGGGAAAAUAAAACAAGAAAGAAAAACCCUAAAAAGUGACUCCAUAGUUUUGGAAAAAGCAUGUCUUUGAGAAACCCGAGUCUAGGUUCGGGGAUCAGAUUACUUAUUGGGAAGGUACCUCUAGGAGGUAGCACCCCUCUAAGCCCUCUAAAGGUCUCUACUAACAAAGUUAAGGGAAAUGUGGCCAUUAAUCAGUUAAAUAUGGAUACCUAAGUAGGUUAGGUGAUUUCAAAUAUUGCAUGCCUAAAGAGAAAACCAACCAUAAGAGAGAGUUGAAGUGCGUACCUGAACGGCUUCUCAAGCGCUAUUAUAAAACAUAAAAGUUAGUGUAGAAAUGUAGCACACAACAUUUGUUUUAUUCAAGCAAAUCAGGCAUAUAUGAAGACAUCCAAGAAUCACGUCAAAUAUGGAUAUGGUCAUCAAUGACAUACAAGUCCAUAGAGUUCUAAAAAAUAGAUGAGAAGAGAGCGUACCUGGAUAGCAAGCUAGUACUCCUCUAUGGGAAGCAAGAAUAUCUCAACAAUAAAUAUAAAGUGAAUUCAAGUAUUUCAUCAAGAAGAAUCAAAAAUCAACAUAUCAAGCAAACAGUAUUGAAGUGAGUAUCAUGAAUGUCGGGCCCCCACCAAAGCCCUAAUUAAUUUUGCAUGAAUUGAUUCUAUGAAUUCCAUUGUUUGGAAUCAUGAAUUUUGUUCAUGCUUGGAAAAAAUUGAGAAAAAUCAAGAAAAUCAGUUGAAAAUCGAAUAAAACAAUGAAAGUGCAUGCCCGAAGGAAAAUGGUAGCAGAAGGGUGUUGAAAUCUGGAUUUUAUUGCCUAGAGAGGGUCUAAAGAUGGGUUUUCCAAACUUGAGAAUAUUUAGUUGAACAACGGUUCUAAAAUUCAAUUUAAAACAGUAAAUUCCCAAUCAAAGAAGCAAAUAGAGGAGAAGGUGUGUGUAGCAAGGUUGCCAUGAUGGAGUGGAGCUUGGGAAUAAAAUUUGAGACUGUCUUGCUGGUGUUGAAUCCCCAAAUAUAUUCUGCCUUCUUUUGUCACCUUCCGAGGCUAUCCUGGCAUAAUCAACUUUCCAUAUCUAUGUUUUCCUUGGAUCUAUGGGCUCAGACUGAAGCAGUUACUAAAUGGAUUUUGCAGUAUUAGCUAGGAAGCUCUUGGAAGUAGGAGUAACUGAAUUGGCAUAAAAUCUGCGAUUCUGUCCAGCUUUAUUUCCCCAUCAAACCUUUAAAUUUCUGCAUAAUGUCUUCAGUAUUCUGCCCAUCUGUUUCUUCUCGGAAAACCUAUCAGAAUUGUUUUUCUUUCAAUCCCAUAAUGUCUUCACCGAUUUCUUCAUUCUUCAUCUAUGUUUCAUUAAGCACCAAGACCUUGCUUUUCUUGAGUAGCACUCAGCCAAGACAAACUAGCUGCCUCUGACCCAUGCUCCAAUUCUCUCCAUUCUCAGUAGAUGCAGAAUCUGGCUUUCCUUAUUUCUUCCUGACUUUAUCCUAAAGCUGGCACUUGUUCGGAGCCUCCCAAAACCUAAAUCUGAGUACUCUUCAAAUGGGUCAAGAUUGCUCCGUAUAGCCCCUUCAAACAUGGUUGGAUCCUGAAGGAUAAUGCUUAGUCUGGACCGCAAAUCAUGUAGUCCAAUGGAAGAGAUGUUGGAACCAUCUAUCAUAAUCUGGCCAGUAGCAGGUUCGACAAUUCGAAAGAGGGUUUGUAUGAGGGUUAAUUUACCACUGCCAGUUCGCCCUUCGAUGCCAGUCUUCAUUCCUCCCACUUUGCUUUGAAUUCCCAUCGUCAAACUUCAAGAGUGAAACAGGGGCCGGAUUAAUUGCAAAAAUAGUUUUCUGGUGUCUGUAAAUGAAAUCAAAACUGAUUAAACCAUUCCUUGUCCGUAUAAGCCAUUUGCCAGAACAGGAUUAUGAGAAUCUGAUCAUAUCACAUCAUGGAGAAUACCAUGAACUCCACUUUUCAUAUUCAGCCUUUGGAUCCCACGGAUGAUUUUGGAUAUAGCUCUAUAUUGAUCUAUUUGAAUUCUCUGGACAUAAUUUAAGGGAGCUCCGUAUCAUCAUUUAGGUUCUUUGGAUAAUACUUCAUCUCCACUUGCAGGUUUCAGAAAUGAGGCAUUAGGAAGGCCCCAAUCCAUGCAAAGCAGAACAAUGAGAAAAGCCAUCAAUACCAAUUUUGGUCAUGACAAUCAUAGUGUGAGAGUUUAUAGGAUCCCUUAGAGUUUGCAGAAAUGUAAGUAGUAGACCCAAGAGCCUUUAAUAAAGCCCAUAAUCCUAUACUCCUCUGUAUGUAGUCUCUUUGCCGAAAACUCUGUACCUCCCAAAUUCUUUGAACAAGCAAACUGCUAUACUACUGUUGUCCUUGAGCUGCUCAUCAUGGACACCAAUAAAUUGAACAAUGAAUGCGGCAGCAAGAAGGCAUAUCUUAUUGCACAGUCUAUAAGUUCUGAGAUGAGGUAUGAGCAUAUCCGAUUAUGGUUGGGCACAAGUUUAUGCUCUUCACGGUCCUCUUGGACAUCAAACCAUGUCUCGGCCACUACCUAGUAUGCAGAUUCCCAGUUUAUUGUUGCCUUUAGGGAUCACAAAGUUCAUUUUUAUCUCAAGUCUUGGAAAAUCAAUUCUCUUCCUCAUCAACCUAUUGGAAUAUCUCAAAGCCAAUCAUCCAGUACCCGAGCUUCAGCCCAUUAACACUCAACCUUACGAAACCUAACAAGCCGUACAGGUUCUCUCCAGUGAUUGAAUCGUUAUAACAUGUAUGUAUGGUGGUAAUCAGAUGAGAGACGUUUGAACUUGAAUACAUCAACUCCUCGACUCUGAAAUGCUGCUUUUAGGACUCUAAAGAAGUUACGAGGAUUAUCAACUUCUUCUUGUACAAGUUCUAUAAAGGAUUCUAAUAACCCCAUGCUGAUCUUUGGCAAACUGUUUCUUGAUUUUGAGAAUAAAUCCCUUGUCUGUUCAUUGUGGAGCUCAAAGAUUUGUGACAAAGAAGUUAAAUCGAGACGUAGAAGUAGUAUUUGAAUUGGAUAAAUCAAACGACUCCUCAAAGACAUCGAGCAUAUAAACCACAAUCAUGACUAAGUCCUUCCUUGGUGCGUGUCUCUCCUGAUCGGGUUUGGCCAUAAGCAAAAAUAGAGACAUUAUAUCCAUCCAAAGCUGAUUGUACAAGUGGCUGAACAUCACUGGAAAUUUCAGCUUGCCCAACAUGAGGCCCAUAAACCCUUUAUGUUGCCUUUGGUUGUCAGUAAGUCAUUAAAUAACCUUUUUUUUUUCUUGUAGACUGACAAAAAGUCUUAGCCACAUUUCCGGUUGCUUUACUAUCACUGCCAAAAGAUACUUGCUGCAACCCAAAUACAUGCUCAUCAGACAUGAUAUCAAGACUCAAAUCAAUUCAGAACCCCUGCCCCACCUUACCUUCAUAGCCUUUAGUUAGACCUUCUUUAUUUGAGUUGUCAUUAUGCCUGUCAGUCCUGAUAUGGGAUACACAAAAACCAAAUGUUCCUUGCUGAAACUCAUUAGUAUACUCUGCUGUUACGGAAUCAAAUAUGACAAUAGCUUUCUAUACAUCCCUUUCUGCUUUUAUCAAUUGCGCAACUUGGGCUGAUCUGAUUUGCUUCGACUUGUUGAUAAUCAUCUUGUUGCCCAUUUUAACUUUCAAGGCAAACUUUUGAUAGUGGUGUCUUCAUCAUCCAAUCCGUUAUCAAGGUUCAACAGGUUCUCAAUAAACCAAUAUCUCCAAUCUCUGUCUCUUCUUCUUUUUUUAGUGAGUUGAACCCUAGGCAGUCCCUUCAUAGAAGUCCCCUUUUCCCUGUUUUCUUCGGUGAAGAGAGAUCCAUGAGACUUCUCUAGCAGAUUCAGACCCAAUUUUUGAGGUUUUAUUUGCACAUUAUUUGGAAAUUCCAGUACUAUUACUGAAUUCUUAUAUGCAUUUAUAAGCUACUCAAAUGCUGCCCCAGAUUUCAAGAGCUCCUCAUAGCCUUCUGAUUGAGUUAUCUGUCCAGCUUCCACAACUAGAAUUUUAUCGACUUCAAAGAGAAACUCCACUUAAUGAGUCACUAGAAUGACGAUUUUAUGAGCAAGGGCAGCCACGACGCAUUCAUAGAAAAGAAUUGCAGUUGUAUGUGCAUCUACUGCACUAAAGAGAUCAUCUAGGAAAUACACAUCUGAAUCAUUAUAAAUUCCCCUUGCCAAUUGGAUCCUCUGCUUUUGGAGUUGAUGAACACUAUCAUUGGACACUUGACUAUAUAAGAAACAGCCUCAACCUCUGAUUAUGGUACAAGAAUAUAAUCAAGGAUACUGAAAUUCUUCAAGUCGAACUUCGAAUUACAAUAAGCCAUUACUGGAAAGUGACUUCUGAGGAGAAAAACAAGUUCUUGAUCAGAUUUCCUGCACUAACUGAUAGAAUGUUCCUGUCAUCAAAAUUGACAGUUCUUGCUGCUUCAGGGUCAAAUAACCGUUCAGUGAAAUGACUUGAGACUAAGUGAAAACCAGAAGCAUUUGCCCAUGGAGAAACGUUUGAAUUUGAAGGUCCUAGAAACAAGUCAUUGUUAGGAACUUCUACUGCUUGUUUCCACAGUUUCUUACGAUCAACUCUUCCUCUCCAUGCACACUGUGUGGAGACUGCCGCUUUCUUUAAUCCCGUAUAAUGCGAGUGAGCUAAGUAUUUAUGACAUUGACUCUGGAUAACAAUUGCUGCUCUUGUCUACCUCCUGGAGCGAAACUCAUUACGAGCAGCCAAGCCACGCAUACCUCUUUGAAUGCAAAGAGUAGACGAGCACAAUUCUUUAUAAGCUUUCAUACGCAAAUCUUUUUGGAUCCUUGGAACAGAAACUUCUCUCCGUAUAAUCUCAUAAACUUGGCGAGUUAUCAUCUGCAAGCAGCUUGGAUUUGUAUUGCAGAACGACGCAUUGAGACGAAACUUCUGCGAGACAAAUGGGAACAAACUUUCCUCUGGAUAAUGCUGGCAAAUCUUCUUAAAACCCCACUCAUUCGGGCAUCUGGAUCAGCCAUCUGACCAGCCCUAAGAAAAACCUUUGUUUCACCAAUCUGAUAGCUUUUAAGUCCAACCUUCUCUAGCAGCCUCUUACAAGCAGCAAUCUCACCAGAACUCCCCUUCGAGACAUCAGGUGCAAGGAUGCCAAAACGAAACUCAACAAACGUUCUUCUUGUGGGAUAUCCAGCACAACUGAUCCUAAUUGCUUCCAAGACACCCCCACAACGUAGUUACUGUUAAACAUUAUUAUUCUCAAAGAUUGAUGGCUUAAGAGGAUUAUUUGGCUUCACACAGCGAAUGUAAUAUGGCUCAGUGGCACUCAGUGUUUCAAGCAAAGAUUGCAAUUGUCACUUAAACCGAGAACCUAUUGAUGAGAACUUCAAUGUUUUGGAAAAAUCCUCAGGUAAAGGUGAGAACAAGUCUGCCACGAAGGAGAAUCUGGAAGCACUCAGAAGUGAUUGAUGCUCAGCAACAACAUAAUUUUUGUUUUUAUCCAAGAAGUGCUCAGUUUGAUAUGUGACAUCACCAGCAUAGUGAUAAAUGGUGAAGUCAGUGCGUGAUAACUUUGGCUUGCUGAAGCGCAUAUGGUUUUUAAAUGUCUGGUAUAACUUUUGGGAAAAUGUUUCAUGUGUUGAUCUUAGGAACACGCAAGCUUCUUCCAGUAGAGCAAUUACACCACCAGGUUUCUUUUCAAUAAGUUCUAGAACAUCCUUAUUAUCGACAAAAUCAAUGUAACUCUAAUCAAUUUCUUCUUUCGUAUAUUCUUCUUACUCCAUUUUGAAAACGUGAUGAUUAAAAUGUUGCUGAAGUUUCCCAUUUGUCAAAUUGAUGCAAAAUUGCUCAAAGCUGUUUGUGUUGAAACUCUCAAAUCCAUAAUUAUCCAGCACCCCAAUCAAACACAUUGAGUCAGGGUCUUGACCAGUUGAACUAUUAAUCUUAUCCACAAGCCAGACAUUUUGUGAUGGUCUCAUCACGGGUUACAAUUAUACAUUUGCAGAGGGAAUCUUCUAGUGUCUUCUCAUCACACAUGAAAAGCUCAACUGCAGUUCUCAGAUGGAACCGAGAUUUUUCAUCUUUGGGUUCAGAUGAGUCUGUUUCCUUUCCCUUUUUGAAUUCAAUGUUUCCAAGAUGGAGAGUUGCAGCAACAACUCGAAAGAUUCCUUCCUACUCAUCAGAACUUAUUCCAACAAUGUCCAUUGCCUUUCUUGUUGCAAUGUAUUCCUUGGAAUCAUCAACCCCUUCCAACUCAUAGCAAUUUGAUUGAUUUAGAUAGUGGAAAGUUCUUGCAUUUCCCAAUUUGAACCUUUGAACAUUCUCUGCUGAUGCAUCACAAGGCAUGUAGAAGCAGUGAUAAUUUCUCAGGAUCGGGUACUUGACAAACACAGGAUCUUUCCGGCAAAUAAGUCGUGAUAGCUGCUCUUGAAAUCUUUCUCCUUUGAUCAAAUUGAAUCUCCACAAACUUACCAAACCGACUUGAAUUAUUGUUUCUGACAGUCUUUGCAUCACCGAAUGCUUCUGGAACUGGAUUGGACUCAAGAAUUUGUUGCUCAACAGUCCUCACAUAAAACAUCUUGAAACACCCUUAAAGCAUCCUCAAAGCUACAAAACUUCGUAAACAAAUCAAACAUUCCAGCUUGAACAUACCCCUUUGAGAAGAACCCAUUUUUCAGUGCAAGUGAAUAUACCAGUUUACCAUACAAAAGAGGCCCCAGGGCAGUACAAGCCGAAAGAACACUCCCAUAAGUGAACUGGUUGGGUUCCAAUUCUAAAAAAUGCAUCUUACAAAAACUCUUCCAUGAAUCCUCAGAUGAAAGGUUCUGGUUGCAGCCUGAAAUUAAAAUAUCCCAGGAAAUAACAUUUGGGUGAGGAGUUUUAUCAAGCAAACUGGGUGCAUGAACCAUGGAAUUGGAUUUACAGUACCAAUCCAUUAAAGAAUCGACUAUGAAGGUGUUGGAUUGCCACCAGCUUUGCCAUCCCGCUACUACCCGUCACCUAGGAUCAGAUUUUAACUGUACUUCACAUUUAACAGUCUAUAGCCAAGCUGGAAAAGAUAUGUUACCAUCUCCCACAACAUCUCCUUUGUUCGAGAAUUCCACUGAUCAUCUCGGAAUCACAAAAUUUCUAUGCACCACUGAAAAGUUUUUCAUCAAAGUGCAUGAUUUUAGCACAGAAGGGAACAUAUUACGACUUGGGUAUCUUCCAGAAGCUAGCACUUGAAUGAAGAAAGGGGUCAUGGGAAAUGGCAUAGUCAAGAUUCUGAACCUGAAGCUCCUGGUGUGUGCCUUUUAGUUGUGUGAAACCAAUCAUCUUGACGUUUAGGUUCCGCAAAAGUGCUCAUUCAAAGUCUGAAACUUUUAGAUUUCUAUUCUCAAAGGUAUUAUGCCCUCUGUCAAUAUCCCCAGCAAUGCAGCAGCACAGAUUUCAAAUCCCACAAUCUUGAGCAUAUACUAUGUAACUACACUGGUCUUCCAUCCUUCUAGUGGCUUUAUGCAGAUAUCCAUAACAGGAUCAACCUCAAUACUUGCCAAGAGCAAGCCUCCCAAUAAUGGCAUCUCAAACUUUCUCAAAGGAACUGGAAACAGAGGAAUACAGGGAAAGAGCAAAAGACAAGGAAAAGGAGCAAGGCAUAAAACAUUCACCAAACAUGCUGAACCCAUUUCAUUAUUUUAUCCAUGGGUUUAACAAUUAGUGGGCUAAUCCAUGGCAAAUGUCUUAAAAGAAAAGCACAAAAUGCAACAAGCUCUUCUAGUAUGAAACAGUAAACCGAAGCAUAGUCAAAUAUUUCCUUAAUGGAACCAGAGAAAAGAAAGAUUAAAGCAACAAUAACCAAUCCAUAACAACCCAACAAGCAAUGUAAAAAUCAUUUGAGAAAGAGGUGGGAGAAGCAUGAAAGAUGACAUAAGCGGGAAAACCAUAACAGCCAUACCUGAAAGUCUCUUCUGCAGCAAGGUGUGCUGGGCUUCAGGCUUGCUGCUCCUACUCCCAAGACUAGCCGAAAACCCUGUGAACCGUCCCUUCUGUUCUACUCCUCUUCUCUCUUGCUCUCCCUGAUUUUCUUCCAGAUCUCUCCUCCUCUGCUUUUCGUCCCUUUUUUUUCCUCUCUAAGGAUCUGGUCUUCCUCCCUUUCAUGCGUGCUGCCAGUCCCACUUUCCAAAAAAAAACCUUCUUGCUGAAAAGGAAAAUCCUACUUCAUUUUCUCCUUUCUUUCCUUUCUUUCCUUUCUUUUCUUCUUGUAGCCGAUCCCCACAUGGAAGAAGUAUAUGUGUUGUCCCUAUAAAAAUAAAAUCUCCCAUUUUUCAAAAUUCUGGUUAUUCUCCUUCCAAAAAAAAAAUGGCUGCCCUUUUCCUCAUACCAAAGAUAAGCCAAGAAAUCUGAGUUAGAAAACUUAUAAUAUAAUAUAAUAAAAUAAAAUAAAAUGAAAUGAAAAUAAUAAAGAAAGUCAUGCAAGCCACACAAGUCAUGUAGGUCAUGCAAUUAAGUGAGUCUAAAAGUGUCUAAUGGGCCAAGUGUUUCUAAGUGGGCCUAGAGCGGUGCCUAAUGGGCCAUGUGUAUCUAAAAGCUAUCCUAAAAAAAACAAGAAAAACCUAAGUCUAAGUUAGGGCUGCCAAGGGUCACAAUAAGGGAUCAAAUAAUCCCUCAACCAAAAUCUCCGAGGUGACUCAAAAAAGGUAAGUUGUACGAGUAGUAAUGGGUCACCAAGGAACUACUGUGGAGCACUGAAAACGAAAUUAAGGACAUGUGCUAAAGAGACAAAAUUGAGGGUCUACAACAGGUCUUCAAAGAUUGGACUCCAAUCAACAUCAAUGUGUCAGCCUCAUCUAGAAUGCUUCCAAACUUCGAUAUAACCCAUCUCUAGAUCCUACUCCUAAUCAACUAGCCCGGUCAGAGAAACAAGUACACACAAGGCCUCACACUUGCAAAUGUAAGAAUCGAAAAGAAGUGAAUGAUUAAAACUAGAGGGUUGGAGGUAAGGGGAUUGAUGUGCGACCCACACAGAUAAGCAACAUGCAAUCACACAGGAGAAGAGCAGUCAUGCAACAAGCAAUCAAGCAGAGCACAAGUAUAUCAUCCAUGUUCACACGCAAGCCAAAUGAGGACAUGACAAUCAAAAUGAAUGCAACAAGGAUGACAUGCUCAAAGAUGAUCAAGAUAAUAUACAAGCAAAAGAGUCAACACUAAGACAACAAGAUAUACAACAAUGUGAACAUACAUGUCAAAGUGAGCAAGAUAAUCAUGGCAAGAGCAAAUUCAAUACACUAAAACAAACGAGAGAAUCAAUCAAUAUCAUCACCAUGUUAAUAUCCCAAAUGGAUAUAGAAAUCAAUAAGAGGAAAAUCAUCACAUCAAAAUCCUCAAUGUGUUAUGAUCACUCAAGCAUAAAGAAGCACAAAGGGAAGGUAUCCAUCAACCGACUAAUCAAACGCCACAUUUGCCUCAACUUAAGUUCAAGUUUGACUCUCUAAUUCCCCAUUGGAAUCGCCAUUUUAUGAACCCCGCAUUUUUGCACGAUGCGUUCCUACUCGAUGGCGAACUCGCUUUUAAUUUAUUUGGUGAAAAAUAUGAUAUUUAGAAAAGACUUGGAGUCGCCACUUAUUUUUGUUUUAUUUUUAAGGGAAAACAAAAUAAGAAAGAGAACCCUAAGUGUGACUCCUUAUUUGGAAAAGACAGUAUGUGAAACCAAAGUUGGGUCCGGGGUCGGAUUACCUAUUAGGAAGGUACGAUGGUGAGUCGUAACACCCUUUUAAGCCCUAUAAUAAGGUCUCUUUUAAAUAAGAUGAAGCAAGUGUGACAAUUGAUAAGGAAAUCAAUGGAUAUCAAAAUAAUCAAAUAAUAAAAUGAAUCAUGCAUGAGAAUUAGAAAAGUGAGAAUGAGAUCAUACCUUAUCAGCAAAUAAUAAUGCACUAUCAUGAAAUGAGGUUAGUGCACAAUAAUAAAUAUAAAAUAUAUCGCAUGUGUCACAAAACAUAGUAAGAAAUCCUCAAUGGUGGUUAUGCAUUUCACUCAAAUCAUUUUUGAAGAAAAUAUCUCAAAUGUUGGGCCCCCACCAAAGCCCAAUUGAUUUUGCAUGAAAUAGUUCCACAAAUUCCAUUAUUUCGGAAUUAUGAAAAUUGCAUUCAUGCUUAUUAAAAAUUGAAAAAAAUAAAAAAUUAUUUGAGGAUUAAAGAAAAUUUGUGAAGGUGCUUGCUUGGAAUAAAACGACAGCAAGUUUAUUAAAAAAAAAUGGGAUUUUUGGUAACCCUAAUCCUCAAGGAGGGAAGAAGAAGAGAAAUGACCUAAAAUUAUUUGAAAACAGGAGUGAAAUUAAAAUUAUUUUGAAAAUCUGGAGUUUUGGAAAUUAUUUGAAAAUUUAAGUUUUGAAAUUUUUUUGAAAAUUGUGAAAAUUAUUUGAAAGUUGGAAUUUUGAAGAAUUAUUUGAAAAUGAAAAUUUUGAAAAUUAAAUUUGAAAAUUGAAAUUUUAGACAAUUAUUUGAGAAUGGAAGUUUUGAAAAUUGGAAUUUUGAAUAAUUAUUUGAGAAUGAAAGUUUUGAAAAUUAAAUUAAAAAUUGGAAUUUUGAAGAAUUACUUGAGAAUAAAAGUUUUGAAAAUUAAAUUUGAAAGAAAUUAGAGUUUUGAAAAUUAUUUGAGAAUGAAAUUUUUUUAAAUUAAAUUUCAAAAUUGGAAUUUUGGAAAAUUAUUUGAAAAUGAAAAUUUUAAAAAUUAAAAUAAAUUUUCAACAUCAAAAGAUGAAGAAACAAGAGGAUGGCAUGAGGCCAUCAGGAUUGCAUGCCAAAAGUGGCCAUGCAUGAAUGUGGACCCUGGGUGCAAGGUGUAGGUGGUAUAUGAGAAAAAAAAACCUUGCCAAACAGAGCCUAGACAUCCAUCACCCGUGGGGCGCUCAUCACUCCUUUCAAACAUCAAAUACAUCAUCACUCAUACCAUCAUACUCAAGCAAGCUAAAUUUGACGACUUUAGGAGCCUGACCCGGGUCCUUGAAGUGGGACAACUUCAGAUCUUGGAAGCCUUUCAUCUGCUAUUGGAGUUGUUGAAGCUACUACUGUGGGUUGGGUUGCCUUCCUUCCGGCCGAUUUUCGCCAUUGUUGUUUCCACCAUUUUUUUUCCCACCUUUGCUUCGUAAGAGGUUUCUUUUUUGCUGUGACUUCUGCUACAGGUUUCACAGCCAUUGCCAUAUUCUUGUCAGAAUGGGUAGCUCGAUUCAUGCACCUUUGUCUGUGAUUCACAGGGGAAGAAUUGGACAUGAAAAGUGAGAACCCAUUGUCGCCAAAGAAGGCUAAAGAUGAGGAAAGUCCUUUGAAGCUGGAAUAGACCUUGUAGGGCUCGAAAAUGAGACAAGAUCUAAUCAGAUUGUGGAUACUGGACCCAUAGAAAGAUGAAAUCCAACCACUUAAGAAAGAAUCAACACCACCAUUGUUGCAUUGUAGCCUUCGUUUGGCCCACCGUCUCAAUCUCUUUGGUGUCUGAAAAUUGACGAUUUUAGAGGGUGGUCUUUCUCGCACGCCACUGACAUGCAAGCUGGAGAGCCUCCUCCUAAUCCGUGCUAUUACGGAUGCUCAUAUCAACCAUGGAUGUAGACUUCUCUGGAUUUUCCACUGCGUGCUCAUUUCACUCAUUCCACCUUUCACUUUUAUCUAACUUCUCCGCCAUUGUGGAGUUCUCCAAGCUCUGCAACUGCUUCGGCUUUUCUUCAACCCUAGAAAGCUCUCCUCAGGCAAAAAGUGGCUUGGCUACCAAUGAUAUGUGCAUGAUCAGAAAGCCCAAUACACUUAAUGCAAAUGCCAAGUUCAAAACAAAAGUAAGAAAAGUGGUUACAAUGGUGCUUGUAGUUCUUUGCCCCAACGCAAUUGACAACCCAUACACAGUGAUGGUCCAUCUUCAAUAUGCAUCUCCCACAAAUAAAGCAAUGAUGGCACCGGGGUGGUUUAAAUUGGUUUCACUUCCGAUAAAGCCGGACUGCUUCACUUGCUGGGUCUGCAACCAUAUUUUCCUGGUCCACACCUAAGCCUACACUAGUAUGUUCUGAACCCUGCAAUAGAUCACCAUCUCCUUUCUCCUCAUCCACCAUGGGCUUCCAAUUCAAUGGAACACCACUCGGAUCUGUGGAAACAACAGAAAAGUAGCUCCAUAGUAGCAUCACCAACAAAGAAUGAAAUAGCAGCAAGAGAGGCCCAGGAUUAUGAAGAUCAUGACAGAGUCGACGCCAUGCAGUGCCAUAUAGAAUUUGAAGACAUUCCAUGCCAUUACAGCUCCAGAUCUCUCUACUCUUCAGCUGGAUACUCUUUUCUAUUUUUGCUCUCAAAGUCUCCUCACCCAGCUCUUUGUUUUUCUCUCAAAACCUCUUCUGUUUCUUGCCCUCAACAUUUUCUAUUUAAUGAUCAGAUCACCAUCAUUUGAAACUCUCCCAUUCCUGCCAUCUCCCUUGCUCUGUUAUUCUAUUUUUUUCGGUACCCACUGCUCUCUAUUUUUCUCCAAACCUUCAUGUUGGAAAACCAUCUCCAAUUUUACUUUUCGAGCUCAGUCUUCUCUCACCCCCUGCUGAAAAACCUUCUCCUAUAAGCUUCCACCAGCUCCACUGCUUACCAUCUAUCCACAUGUCUCUAUCCCAACCACCACCAUGGCAAGGUGGUGGCAUCCUUUACCACACGUCUCAGCAUGCAGCUCACCUGGAAAUUGUCCCCCACUCCAAAUGAAAAAUGCCCAGCUCACUACCCGGGUGCCCCACAAAGGUCACAGGAAAAACCAAAAAAUAAAAUCCAUUAAAAUGUAAUAAAAUAAUGGUAAUAAAUAUAAAUAAAAUAAAAUAAGUCCAUUGGUCCAAAAAGAGGGGUAUAUAUAUAUAUAUAUGGGUCUAUAUAUAUAUUUAAAGUUUUUCCCACAAAUUAUAAACCUUUCUAUGUUGUAGUAGUACGUAUGAUACGUGUUGUAAAAUCUUAAACCCUUUUAUUUAAGGUUAUAUUUGGUUCUUGAAAAAUGAGAAAAAAAUUAAAAAAAAUGUAAAAUAAAAUAAAAUAGAGGAAACACUUUGGAUGAAAGAUUUGAAAUUCAUAAAUUAUUUAUGUAUAUUACUCUAUAUUCAUUUCAUUUAUUUGAACUCAAGAUUAAAUAAUUUGAAAAUAAAUAUAUUUUUAAUUAUAUUUGACUUUUAUAUAUAUAUAUUUUUCAUAUUUAUGAUAAUUUUUUUAAUAUUAUUUUUCUUUUUUUAAGCACUCUCAAGGAACCAAACACAAUUUUGGAGCGGAAAAAAUAUAGAAAAUAGAAAAUGAGGAUCAAAGUUAACCCAUAUUUUAACAUUUUACCAUUGAAUUCUCACAAUCUCAAUAAACCUAAUAUAAAGUUUAUAUACUUUUUCAUUUAUGAGACAAAUAUGAGGACACCAAUUUUGUAGAAAGUAAAAUGCAAAAAAUCUAUAUCUCUUUCUUGAAUGUGGGAUUUUUCAAAUAUUCAAUUGAUAAAAUGGAAUGAUCUUUUAUUGGGUGAAUAGAGGGCUCAUUUUCUUAAAUAAUUUAAAUUUCUUUUUCCAAGGCACAAUUAUUUGAAAACUUUUUUACUUUUCUAACCAACCAAUAAUAUUGAACAUCUUAAAAAUAAUAUUAAAUCAUUUAUUGAUUUAAAUAAUAAAACUAUUAUAAUAAUAAAUUAAGUAACCAUAAAAUUUAUCAAACCAUGAGUAUGAAAAGUAAUGGACUUAGGAUCUUAAAAGAAUGACUCCCUAUAAAAUAGGAAUCUUGAUUUAUAAACUCAUGAACAUAAAAAUACUUUUCUUAACCGUCAAAUUGUUCCCCUAAAUUCAUGACAAAGAUUCUAUGUAGAGACCCUCCGUCUAAGGGCUCAUUAGGAGACAGUGAUCUCAUUAUAGAAUUAAAUAAAAAAUGAAGCCAUUGACUCAAAUGGUGGAACAAGAUCAAGUAAAAUAGAGACAAAGAAAAUGUCGAUAAAGCAUGGUGGUCGUUAAAGCAUGCAUUCAUAAUGAAAUAGAUAAAAAAAAAAUGAAUUACUCGACAUACUUCUAAUCAUGUCCAUCGAAGUAUCCAUCAAAGUAUAGUAAGUCUUUCAACUAACCAUUUUGUUAUGUCGUACCUAACACAAUGUAUUAAGCACAUAUGUUAUAUCUUUUGAUACUAACAAAAGAACCAAGACAUUGUCUUCAUUCAUUCUUCUUUCCAUAAUAUUCUCUACCCCUAUCUAAUCUUAUAAUUUUGAACAUAAUCAUAACAUGAAAAAUCAUUAAUAAAGGAGAUAAAAAACUUUUUCUCCUCCAAAUGAUCAAAGGUUCCACCUAUAUUGGUGUAUAUAAUCCUAACAAGUGGUGUACUCAUUUGUUUGUUUUGUUGGGCUUGUUUUCUUCUAAUAAAAUUAAUUUAUAAUUUGAGAGCAGUACAAUUUAAGUUGAGAAGAAUUUCAUUCUUACUAAUAAUCUCUUUAAUCUUUUUAUGACAAUAUGGCCAUUUCUAUUGCACCUAUCGACCCACAUUUUUUAGGUGCAUCCUCACUAAAAGACAAACCCCUUUUGUUUUGGAAUAAAUUAGUUUUUGGAGUUAUUGCUUACUUUUAUUUAUUUUUUAAGAGAAAACAAAAUAAGAAAGGACUUGUAAAAAUGAAUAAAAAAAAAUCUAGGAACUAAGAAUGAGUUAAAAGGUUAAGCAACUUAAUGAGAAACUGUUAGGCACCAUGUUGAGCCUCAUGAUACAUUGGUUUUUACUAAGUAGAGGAAAUUUUGAUAUUUUACUAAUUAGUUAACAUAUACAAUACUAAUAAAAACAAUAAAACAUAUAAUAACAUGACAUGCUGAUGCCGAUUUACAACACAACUUGUGAAUUGCAUGAAUAUAUUACAUGAAUAAGGCCUAAGAUCUAACCAUAAACUAGGGAUGACAACAAGGCUGGUUUAGGAUGGGAAAUCCCUAUCCUAACCCCAAUCUUGUCUCAUCUAUUUAUAUUUAUUCUUAUCCCUUCCCAAAAUACAAAUUUAAAUGGGACAAGGUGGAUAUAGAAAAUUCUCAUACUCGUCCCAUCCCGUUUAACCUUUUUAUUUAUUUAUUUCUUAUAAAAUUUUAAAUGGUGUUAAAAAUAAAUAUAAUUUAUAAUUUUAUAAAUAUUAUAAAAAUUUUUAUUUUAUUGUUAUAAAAAAGAAAUAUUUUAUAUAUUUUAAAAAAUUUUUAAAUUUUAAAAAAUUAUUAAAAUAAAUUUUUAUUCAAUAAUAUAUAUAAUUAAGUUAGGGCAAGGUAUGAUAAAGGCAUCCCAAGUUUUUUUUUGAAAAAAAAUUCAAACCCAUCCCAAACUUGUAUACAUAUUUCUUGAACUUAUCCUUUUAGGGGCAAGACAAAACCGGUAUUAUAAAAAUUCAUCCUUUUGUCAUUCCCAUGUCAAAUGAAAAUCAUGAUUUGAAAAGAAUUUUCAAUAUAAAGAGUCUAAAAAAUUCUUUAGGGAAUUAAAAUUAGCAGUUGGAAAGCCAGUGGGGAGCAUGCAAGUGGCAAGAAAGAGAAAGAGCAUGAAAUAUCCUAAAACAAUACCAGACUAUGGUACUAAAAUUUUGAUAUCAUACAAAACCAUACCAAUACCAUGGCAAGGGGAUACAAGUGACGUUAUAUUUGGUAUGAGAUCUGACAUCUGACCAAAUCGAUAUCAACUUCCAUGUCAUAUCUAACAUUAGCACAAAAUUGGAGCCAACCUAAAAUGAUACAAUUGAUAUUGGGCAGUACCAAAUUCGAUGACAAGUAGGAAUUGAUAUCAAAUCUGAUACUGUAAAUGAUGUCGCAGGAAAAUGAAAACCAAUUAAUAAAGAGCCUAAAAAUUCAAUUGGUAUUGGAAUGCACAUCCCUAGAUCUGAAAUCGGAUUUGAAAUAGAUGUCAGAUGCGAAAAACUACAUUUGAUAUCUCAAAGAUAUGCAAUUUCUAGUAGAUGAACAUUCUGAUAUUGGUAUAGGUAUCAAAUCCAAUAUUGACACAAAAGUCAUACCAGGUUCCACUACAAGAAAAAUGGGAAAAAAUGACGAUUUUUACGCCUCAAGAAAGGUAAUAAAUGACACUUCUCUAAAGUAUCAUCUUCUGACUUGACAUUGUAUGUGUUAGCCAACAAUGACGCUUUUAGGAAGUGUCAUAUUUGAUAAAUGCGUUCAAUGACACUUAAAGAAAUGUCAUAUUUGACUAAUGUUAACAAUCACACUCGUAAAAAGUAUCAUCUUUGAACAUUUUCUAUUGAAAUUAUUUUUACAAAAUUAGUAAUAUUGACACUUAUAAGAGCAUCAUCUUUAAUGUAUUUUAUCAAUGACAUGUUUAGAAGUGUCAUAUUUGAACAUUUCAUAUUAAAAAUAAUAUAUAUAUAUAUAUAUAUAUAUCCUAUUAUUAAAAUGUGAUUUUUUUUUAUAGAAUUAAAUAACAAUAAAAAUGUAGCCCUAAAAUUAAAUUGAAUUUUGCUAAGAAAAAUAUCUUCAAAUAUUGAUAUACAAUAACCUAGUUCAAACCAUCAAUGUAACUACUUAUAUAUAAUUAUUACAUAUAAAUUAAUUUAUUAUUUGUUUCAAAAUAUUUCAAUAAUCAUUUCUAAUUCUUUGAACAAAAGAACAAAUAAUAGUGCAAUAACUAUUAAGGUCAAUAUUCUACAAAAAAUAAGUUCAACCUCUAAAUAACUUUAUUAAUGUAAUCUUCAUGGUUUUCAAUAUCACCUCCUUUAACAUAAUAAUUUAUCCUCUUUUAAUAAACCAAUUCCUUUUGCAACCUAUAAACGAAUAUAGGAAGAAUAGAAAAUCUUUAAAUUAUACAUUCAAUAACCAAUAAGUACAAUUGAAAUUAUAACUCACAAAAAUUUGAAGGGGAAAAAACACUAGAACCAAUAUAAAAUAAAAAAUUAAAAAAUUUGAGAAAAAUAACAUGAGUUUGAGAAAAAUAAUUAGAGCUUAUCACUUGAAGAUAAGAUGUCUUUCAUUGAUUGAACAAAGAAACUUUGUAAUAAAAUAGUGUCUCAUUUGUAAAAAUAAAAAAAUAAAAAAAAAAAAAAAAAAAAAACUUCAAGAGUAAUAUAUUUCCAAAUAAAGUAUAGCAUCAAAAAGUUAAAAAUAACGAAUCAUGGUACCUUAGAACAACAAAAGGUUAAAUGAAACAUGAUAUUAACAUUAACUCACCCAAAAUAAGUAUUUUGCAAGAUGAGAAUCUACCUGAGCAAAAUUAGUAAGGACAAAGAAAGAGAAGAUAGCUAGAUUGAGAAUGGUACCUUUUAUUAUACUAUAAAAGAAACAAUGAAUCAACUUCUCACAAGCAUGAUGUUCAAAAAAGAGCAUCUCAAGUUUUGAAUUCAAAAUCUAAAAGAAAAGCAAUUAGUUAUGAACAUGAAGCUAGGUUUGAUCAUACUUAAUAUUAUAACUAUGAAAUUAUUGAGUUUUACUUGUUUUGGGCUUCUUAGAGGUUUAAAUUUGGUCUUUUAAAGGUUUGGAAGUAUUCAAGGAUGAUUUCAUUUACUUUAUUUUAUGUCAUGAAAAAAAAAAAAUAAGUGCAAAAAAUUUUAAACAAUGAAGCCAUAGAUGUAUGGUGUCCAGGAGCAUGGUUGCAUGACUACAUCCAUUGCUUUCAAUCCAUAUAGCUCAGAGUGGGAAAAUAGAGAAGGGUUUCAUAGGAUCCUUAUCUGGGCUUAGAAAUUAAAGCAUUAAUCCCAGAAACUUUUCUAUGACAAUUAUUCAUUGAAUUUUCUUUCUUUUUUAACUUUUAAGGGAUGUGCCUUCAACUGUACAUCUAUCACAACAAUUAUUUUGAACUUUUGGGAAAAAACAAAGAAAGGAGAAGAAGAGUAGCCUAAUGGGGAAUAUAUUUUCACCUAAAUUAAGAUUCACAAAAGCUAAUUGAACAUUUGGUUAAUUAUUCUAUGAAAAAUAAUCAGUUGAAGAAAAUAACUAAGCUACUCACAACAAAUUCAAAGCAAAAAAUGGUAAGAUCAACAACUCUCCUAAGCUAGCUUGCAGCUUCUGCCACUAGCUUAAUAACAAUACUUUGAUCAUUGAGAUCUUGGUUUUCUUUCCUAGUGGGAAAAUACUUCAAGCUGUGGAGAAGAAUCAUAUUUGAAAUCAUUGUACUAAUAAAACCAAUCCAUUUAGGAAAAUAAUAUCAAUCUAAUCAUCACAAAAAUUUAUUGGAAAAGAAGAGAGUUGUUCUUUCUAUUUUUAUUUUUUAUUUUAGUUCUGGCCAUUAAAAAGUAGAUUUUGUUUUUAAUGGGGUUAUUUACUAAGAAAUACAAAACUAUAGAGAAUUUCUACUUACAAUUUUGAGCAUUCCACUUGUGUCAUAGUGAUACCCUUCAAAGUUAAGUCUUCCAUCCAAAUGCUCUUGGUUAUUGGAAUAUGGUUGUAUAUCACAACAUGAUAUUCAUAACAAAAUGAUUGAAUUAAAACGAAAAUUUUCAUAAGAAGCAAUGUCUUUUUGGCCUCAAAAGUUAAAUACAUUGUCAAUAGCCAAGCUUUGAGUCUUCUUUGGGAUGUUGUAGAUACUUAUAGAAGAGAUGCUUUUAAGAGAAUUCUUGUUAAAUAAUUCUUGUCCAAUAAAGGUUCCAAUGAGUCUCCCCUGAAUCUUCCUGUUUUAGACAAGGAGCCAUUACUUCCCAAAGAGGGAUUUGUUGUGCUAGACAACUGAAAAUUAAGCAACUUUAGUUCCUUCUGAUCUACAUAGACUAUAUAAUGCUCUAGACUUCCUACUAGUCUUAGUAGAGCAGUUAUAGUUGGAAAAGAUCUAACUUCAAAGUCACUAACAAUAACAGCAAUAUUAGUUCCAUUGUCAAUGGGAUAUUUUCAAACUUUUCUCUCCACUUUCAUUUUGAUUCAAAACAAGUAUCAUUAGAGUAAAGUUUCAUAUAUAACUAAUACUAAGAUAAGAAUAACAAGUACCCAUGUACAAACCAAUUUAGUAUGAGGAUUUAGGUCAAGGAUAAGGGGUAUUGUUCUUUGGUUGUACUUCAGAACUUUAUUUAUUCAUUAUAAGCUUGGGUGGACUUCCCUUUUGUAAGUAACUCUUAGUCUAUUCACAUUUAACUUCACCUAGGGGAAGAAAACAAGACAAUUUUAAAAUGAUAUUGAGGAAAAUGCAAAUAUUAAAAACUACAACAGGGUACACCUUAAUAAUGACUACAAAAUUCAACAUUUUCUAAAGGAAUGCCAACAACAAUACCAACAUUUAGCUUUCUAAAUCCUCUAAUAUUUAUUUAUAUGACAUCAUAUUAACCAUAAUAAAUUAAAAAAAAUAGAGAAAACAACGUAGUAACAUGCAUUCAUGAUAUAGCUUGAGAAAUAUAUUUGGAUAUCCUUGAUUUCCAAUGAAGUUUAUAUUUCACCUAAAUAUUCCGGAGAAACCAUACCAACAUGCAUCUAGACUUAGGAAAUGAAUGUUAAACACAAUGGUUAAAUCCUUCCUAAUUAAAUUAGUCAAUUAUUGCACAUUAAUAUCAAAUAAUUAAUAUAUCCAAGCUUUAAAUUGCAUUAAAUGGGUUCAUCUCUAUCUCUUGUAUUUCUAUCUCCUUCACAUUUACUCUCUACGCAUCAUAAAAAAUACCAUGUCAUGAUUCCUCUUUCUAUUAUGUCUAAAACAACAUUAUUAUAGAUGUGAUAGAAAAGAAUCACUUCAAGGUAUACCCAAAUAGACCUAUAAGACAUUUAAAAAAGUUUCCUUUCAACCCAUCAACAUAGCAAGAUAAGUCAAUUAAACACAUGGGAGUUGAGAAUUCAACUCCUUAUAGAUUAAUCACUUAAUGGAAAGAGAGUACUUUCUUUUCAUCCUAAGGACCAAGCUCUAAAGUAUAGGUGUUGAGUUGGUCCUCCAAUGAAUCCAAAAUGUCUACAGAGCAAUAAACAAUUCACUUGGGUUUUAUAAUAUUAACUUUAAAAAGACCAUUUUCUCAAUGGCGUUGAUUAAUAGCAAUAAUACUUUCAUUCAUUUAAAAUAUUACCUGAGGAAAUCCAUAUCCCUUUGAUGCCUAGUUGCCUACUGUUAGCUCCUUAGCCUCUUCACCCAACGAUGGAAAAAAGAGCUUCAUGAGAAGGCCUUGCACCCAUGAGAGCCUAGAUAGAGAGCAAGGAUAGCCUGGAGGUUUGGUGAUUCAAACCCCAAGAGAUAAAAUGAGGAGACCAUGUGCACGCUAGAAAGGCACUGCACGCGCACUAGGCAGGCACCGUGCACGCACUAGGCAGGCACCGUGCACGCACUAGGCAGGCACCGUGCACGCACUAGGCCACAACAGCACGCACACUAGGCAUAUGUAGGUUAUGGAGUUGGUACAAAUGGAGGGUGAGAUUUAUUUUGGAAUAUAAUUUAUAAUUAUUUAAAUAUUCCAUUAUCUCUCCUCAAGCAAGUCUGAUGUCUCUUCCAAACAUCUUGAGAAUGGCACAUAUUGCUCUUUAAGGGGGGGUUAGGUGACUCAAGGGGGCACUAAGGCCAAGCCUUGACUGCACCAAGGGGGGCACCAUGGCACAAACCUAGGCGUGCCUAAGACGCAUGGACAACACUCAAGCAUGCACACAUAGGCUCCAUGACAUGCGUAGUGUGCACCCCGUGGCCACAACAGCACGAGGCCUGGUACGACCUACCUUCUCCCCAUGCUAGCACGAGGACGCCUAAGCCUUGUGCAGCGAGCCAAUUGGAGAAGCCAUGGGCGCAAUGCCAUGGUUCGAUAGGCCACUAAGCGUGCAAUUGGCUUAGACCUUUGAUGACUAUGCAUGGCACAGGGACGUAAUGCCUAGUGCACCAGGAAAGAACAACCAUAUGCACAAUGCCAUGGCUUGUUGCUGUGAAGCCUUAACCUGACGGAGAGAGCUAGGCACAUGCCUAGGCCAUGGGCACCUUAACAUGGCACGGGCUCACACAUCAGUGUAGGUGUAAACCCUCUAUUUUGUCCUUCUAACACAUGUCCUAUUAAGUAUUUGUCCGAUACUUUACAACAAUUCCUUGGUGGCCCAUUACUACUAGUGUAACCUAUCUUUUCUAAGCCACCAUGGGGACUUUGGUUAAGGGAUUUAUCUAACCCCAUUGUGACUCUUGGCAGCCCUAAUUUAGACUUAGGCUCACUUAGGCACCCUACGUCCAUUUAGGUACACUUGGCCCAUUAGGCACCACUUUAGGCUCACUUUAGGCCCACUUAGGCACCCUAGGCCCAUUUAGGUAAACUUGGCCCAUUAGGCACCACUUUAGGCCCACUUAGGCACCCAAGGCCCAUUUAAAUACACUUGGUCCAUUAGGCACCACCUUAGGCCCACUUAGGUACCCUAGGCCCAUUUAGGUACACUUGGCCCAUUAGGCACCACUUUAGGCCCACUUAGGCACCCUAGGCUCAUUUAGGUACACUUGGCUCAUUAGGCACCACCCUAGGCCCACUUAGGCACUAGAUACACUUGGCCCAUUAGGCACCACCUUAUGCCCACUGAGGUACCCUAGGCCCAUUUAGGUACACUUGGUCCAUUAGGCACCACUUUAGGCCCACUUAGGCACCCUAGGCCCAUUUAGACACACCUAACCCAUUAGGCACCACCCUAGGCCCACUUAGGCACCCUAGGCCCAUUAUGCACCAUCCUAGGCCCAAUUAGGCACCCUAGGCCCAUUUAGACACACUUGGCUCAUUAGGCACCACCAUAGGCCCACUUAGGCACCCUAGGCCCAUUUAGACACACCUGGCCCAUUGGGCACCACCCUAAACCCACUUAGGCACCCUAGGCCCAUUUAGACACAUCUGGCCCAUUAAGCACCACCUUAGGCCCACUUAGACACCACCCUAGGCCCAUUUAGGCACCUUAAGCCCGUUUAGAUACACUUGGCCCAUUAGGCACCACCCUAGGCCCAUUUAGACACACCUGGCCCAUUAGGCACCACCUUAGGCCCACUUAGCCACUCUAGGCCCAUUUAGGCACACUUGGCCAUUUAGGCCCCACCUUAGGCACCCUAGGCCCAUUUAGGCACACUUGGCCCAUUAGGCACCACUUUAGGCCCACUUAGGCACCCUAGGCCCAUUCAGAUCAUUUUUUGCAUGGAUGCAUUGUUUUCAUGGUUUGCCUGGUUGCAUGGCUCGUAUGGUUUGCAUGUGCUUGAUUUUGCUUUUUGUUUUUUUUAUCUUUCUCAAUUUAUUAGUUUUAUUCAUUUAUUUACUUAUUUUUAGAAAAUUGCAUGAGCUUAAUGAUCAUAUUCAUUUUGUUUUUAUUUAUCUAUUUAUUAAUUUAUUUUGGUAGAAAGUUGCUUGAAUUGAUAAUUCAUUUUAGUUUUGCAUGUGAUCUAUAUUUUUAAUUUUGUUUAAAAUUGUAUAUUUUGGAUUUUUAAUUCUUAGUUACACGUUUUUAUUUAUUUAUUAUUCUAACCCUUAGUUUUCUUUUAUUUGUAUUUUAUUUUUUUAUUAUUUGUUUUGGCAUGGGAUUCCACGUGCUCCAUAUGGGAAAGGAGAGGGAGCAGGCAUGGGAAAGGAAGGGAACACCAUUAGAGAAAGGAAAAUUGGGAUAGCUGGCUGGUGAUUGGAAUGAGAGAGAUGGAGAAGAAAAGGGAAGGUGUGGUUUGAAAAAAGUGAAAGGAAAUGGAGCAUGCAUGGGAAAGGAAUGGACCAUUUUAGAAAAGAAAAUUGGGACAGUCGGCUGGUGAUUGGGGAGAGAGGAAGAGAGAAAAGAAAAACUCACCAGAAAAUGAAGAUGGAACAUGAGUGAGUUGGAUUGAAAGAAAAGGAAAAACACACCAUUAAGGAAAAGAUUGGUAGCCACACGUAAGGAAUGUUGAAAAGAAAACGAUUAGAAAAGGAAAAGAUGUAGUUGCACCGGAAAAAGAAAAAAAACUCCAGAGGUGAGAAAACACUAAGCAGGAAAGGAAAAAGAGAACCAUUGAGAAGCAAGAGGAACAACCGCACUCUUAAGAGAUUUUUCCAGAACAGACUCACCAAGUGAAGAAAAUAGAAAUGUACAAGAACCGGUCACAUGAUUCUCCAAGGCUGCCACUUCGUCUUCAAAAUAAGGGAGGAGUUUAUGAGUUGGUGCAUGUGGUCGGUUUAUCAAUUGGACAACCCGAUUUUAUUAAACAAAGUCCAAUUCCAAGGGUUGGUGUCAUUGUAGUCUUUUGCAUCCUGAGUGAUCAUUGGAUUCAUAUUAUUGAUAUCCAUGUUGGGUUGAAUGAAGAUGGCUUGAUAUUGGAAUGAGAGAUUUUUGUGGUAUUGGUUGUUAAUUAUGGGUUCCAUGUCAGGAAUCAUUCAACGUCCUCUUAUUGCCGCCACCGUGGUUACUGUAGCUUCUAUCUCCUCUUAUCUAUCUGAAAAAUUGCAGCCUCUAAAGUCAUGUUCUACCUUGAAACCGAUUUGUGAUAGUUCGGCAUAAGAAUCAAAGUCAUCAUGAAUGUCUUACAUAUCUCUCUCUAAGUUGUCAAAUUUCUCAUUUGUUUCAAUAUCUAGAUGAAAGAGAGGAUGAGAAAGAAAUAAGACAGAGAGAGUUGACUUGCCAUUCAGAUCGUAAUGAUUCAAGAAUUCCAAUCAUUUGAGAAUAUAGAGGCCUUAAAAAUGUCGGAAACUAUAGAAGAGUCUAAACUAGACUCCAGAAUAGCAAGACCUCUAUAAGCUGUGGAACUUUACCUUUAUCCACAUGACAGUCCAUACAUGUUUCAAGAGAGAAGUGAAUAUUGCUCAGAACCAUUUUCAUCGAUCGCUUGAAGAAUUGUGGUGAUUUUUUUGUUGGUCCAGUUUUUAGGUCCAUUUUGAUUGAGGAGGUUGAAUGGUGCGUUUUUAUGUUGGUGUCACAUCAAACUCGGAUUCAUUAUAGCAAAGAGAAGCUACCGCCGGAGAGAGUGUCGAUCUUCAAAAGUGAUGGUGGCGCCGACAUAUGUGAGGCCAUGCAGCUGAUUAAAGGUCCAUCAUGCUACCCAUUGAAGCAUUUUUUUUUCUCCAUGCUCAAUCAGGCCCUCCAUGCACAACACACUCUAAAACAACUUGAAUAGAGGCUAGCAUUCACAUGCAUAGGAAAAAGGGAGAUUUUUCAAUCUCCACAAAGCACCACAGUCGCCAUCUGAGACAACAAGGCAACCAUGACGCAACCAUAUGGGAGGAUGCAGCAACCACUUUCGCAUUUUUUCUAUGUAUCUCUAGAAACUCCUUUGUACAGACCACACACGCCCCAAUGAAGGAGAUUCAACAGAUUUUAAGAGGGGGAAUGUGCCGUUUGUGAUAAAUUUACCUUCACCAUUUGUCCGAGUAUACAUGCUGCCAAUCUCCACAAAAUGGAUGGUAAUCUCUAUGGUUCUUCAAAUGACACGUGCUCCCUAUUCCCAAUUCCCUUUUGGCUGCAUAUACCUGACUUCUUCUUAGUGGAACCAUCAUCCUCUUUGUUGUUUAGGAUAGGGGAUACUUCAUGGGACCCACUAAAAUUCCUCUUCAAUUCUUUGAUAACAUCAAAAUUCCAGUUGCCCAUUGUGAGUUUAGUGUUGAUUUUGUAAAUCUGAAUUUUAUACCUUGUGGGGAACAUUUUCCUAAUGCAGCAACAUUGCCAUUUUGGGAGGAUAAUUCUAGUGGUGCAAAAAUUUUCAGAAACCUUUUUUUCCUUGCUGCCAGUUUUCAUUCAACCACUGACCCUUUAGUGUUAAAUUCAUUACACCAACUUUAGAAUAUUUUUAAAAAAAAUUUCCAAAACUUUCAUGAUUUUCCUCACUUCUUGAACUUGAAUUUAAAGUUUUUUUUUUAGUUAGAAAUCCAUUCUGGAAUAGAAGAUAUAAAUGAGUCUUUAGGAGGGUUCCAUUUUCACCCAGUUUUGGACACCCGAGAUUUUUUUACAAAAAUAAAAUACUAGAAAACUUUUUAAAUUUGAUUCAAUAUUUUUUCUCAAUUAAAGGCUUCUUUAAAUUUAUCUUAGAGACAUAAAAUAUUUAAAAAAAUUGCAUUUUUGAGGGAAAUAUGACUUUUCAAAGUCGUACCUAUUGUGCAUGUUGGAUUCUGGACAUCUGAUUAGUUUGAGUGUUUUAAAAAAUUUUUGAGUACUAUCCAACCCUGGAUUUAUUUUUUAUAUGAUAUAGACACUUUGAAAUAUGUGUGUGAUUUUUUUAUGAUUUUAUAUGAUCAUUUAUUAUUUUUAAAGAAUUCAUUUAUGCAUGUCACUUUUUUGUUAUCUAAUCUGGACUUUGUAGAACCUUUAGGUGUCUUUGCUGCAAUCUGUCCUUUGAAUGAGUGUUUGGAUUUCGGUAUGUUGAUGUAGAUGUGUAGGAUUUGUUUCUUGAAAUUUUUCAUAAUUAAAUUCCACUCUAAACCAUUUUAUUAGAAAUUGUUUUUUGAUGUUUCCUUUUCUAACUGCAUGCAGAUGGUUUUAUACUUUACUCGAAAUUGUUAUUAUUUUUGGAGUCAUUUGAUUUAUCUUAGCUCAAUUUUUGCUUUGGUACUGUAUAUUAGACAUAAUAAAGAUGUUAUAUAAUAUAUACUUGUCCUAACCAUUGUAGCCUCUUUUGAGGAAUCUUAUAAAUUAUGCAUGUUACCCAAGUACGCCCUCUAUCACCCACUUUCUAAAUUAUGUGAAUAUGCUUGUCACUAUGAACUAUGUCUAUGUUUGAUAGUACUUGGGUGUCUUGAUAUUUGUUUCAUUGUUCAAUUAUUUUUUAUAAAGCACAUGCUGGGUGAUAUGUUAUUUGAACUAACCAUUGAUGUCUUGUGAUAGUGCUUAAGAUGCAACUCAAGUACGCACCAUUUGACUCUCUUUUAUAAUCAUGAUUUGACUUUCUUGCUUAAUAUGUUAAUUCUGAAAUCACCUUAGUCUACUUAGGUACCCUCAAUCAAUUAAUUAAUUGCCACAUUCCCCUCAACUUAGUCAGUAGAGACCUUUGUAAGGCUUAGAAGGGUGCUACCUCCUAGAGGUACCUUCUCAAUAAGUAACCUGAUCCUCGGACCUAGACUUGGGUUUUCAAAUACAUACUUUUCCAAAAACUAUGGAGUCAUUUUUUAGGGUUUUAUUUCUUGUUUUAUUUUUCCUUUAAAAUAAAAUAAAAUAAGUGGUGACUCCGACUUUUCCAAAUAAAAAGUGAGUCUUGUCGAUCGAGUGGGGGUGCAUGUGAAAAUACGGGUCCACAGUAGGAAAGACACACUGAUGCAUCAGACACCUAGUCAGCUGGUUGGUGCAUGUUGUUGGUUUAGUAGGCCUUGAUCAGAGACAUCAGCAGCUUGAUGGAAAAAGCUCAAGGGGAUGGCAGCUAGCUAGUGGUAGCUAGUGAUCAGGACAACAUUCAACUACCAGGGGACUGGCAGAUGGUUGUGAUGUUGAUGGUUGAUACGAAGAGACACCUUGGACUGAAGGGGUGUCUCUAGCUGAGUGGUUUAUGCAAGAAGUUCCCUAGCUAGGUGGUUAUGCAAGCAGUUAUGGCGGUUAUGGCAGUUGCAUAACCACCAACAUGCUUCUUGGUUUUGAAAUUCAAAUUGUAAACUGCAGGUUGAGUCAUUUAAAAAGGCCCCUGCAUCUUUGAGACAGAGCAUGAGAUGUUCUUUGAAUGCUUAAGGGGUUUAAGCAUUGUACUCUGACUCAGGCAAAGUGUUGAGACACUUUGGAAAAAAAAAAUUUGUAUCUUGUAGAGUUGAAUAAUACAAGUUGGGAAGGGUGUUCCUGUAAUUGUUGUGGCUUGUUAUAGUGCUUUUACAAGGGUUUGAAAUGAAGGUUGGCUAAGGAAGACUCCUUAGCACCGCACACUCAUUGAAAAAAAAAAGGGCAGAUUCUAAGGGUGUGACAAGUGGUAUUAGAGCCUGCACCAGAGAUGGCUGGUUGUAGUGCAAUGGAAGCCUUGCAAGAGAGGAUUGCUCAGAUGAAAGAAAUGUUGGGGAAAUGGUUUCUUGGAGAUGGCACUGUGGCUUUGUGGGCAGAGCACACUGUGGGGGAAAUCCAAGUGUAGAGGAGUUUGCUAGAGACCCAUGACAAAUUCUUUGAGGAGAAAUUUGCUGGCUUGAAAGUAGAGAUCCAAUCCUUGAUGAAUGACUUCAAGGGCGCCCUGCAGUCUUAUGAGGAAGACAUUGCAGUCCUCGAGAAUGUUGUAUUAUAAGGAUGCUCCUCAGGCCCUGAAGCCCCUCCCAAAGUCUGGGUCCCAAAGCCUUAGAGCUUUAAUGGUAACAGGAACACGAAGAAGUUGGAGAAUUUCUUAUGGGACAUGGAGCAGUUUUUCAGGGUUGUUCAUGUUCCUGAUGGCAAUAAGGUAUCCAUUACUAGUAUGUAUUUGACUGGUGAUGCCAAACUAUUGUGGCGAACAAGGAUGGAGGAUGAUGUAGAGUUUGGAAGGCCCCAAAUCACCACUUGGGAGACUCUAAAGAAUGAAUUGAAAGAUCAAUUCCUCCCCACUAACACUACUUGGAUGGCCAGGGAAUCAUUGAAAAGACUCAGACACACCGGAUUAGUAAGGGACUAUGUUAAGGAAUUCAGUUCCUUGAUGUUGGAUAUAAAGAACAUGUCAAAGGAGGACAAACUUUUCAACUUUAUGUUUAGAUUGCAAGGAUGGGCUUAAACGGAACUUUGGAGGCAAGGGGUUCAUGAUCUCCUUGUUGCCAUGAUUACAACAGAUUGCUUGGUGGAUUACAAGAUGGGUGGCACCAUCUCCACCACGUAGAAACCAAAUUCAGAAGGAGGCAGGAAGGCUAAGGUUGAGGGCAAGACUUCUAAGAAGUCAGGGUGGAAGAAACAGAAUAAGAAGAAUUUGUACAGCAGUCCACCCGGAUGACAGGAUGCUUUAUUUGCAAUUGCCCACACCGAGCCAGGAAUUGCCCCAAAAGAGAAAAACUCUCGACCCUUAUGACUACAGAUGAUAAGGGAGAAUCUAACUCAGAGACCCCUCAUAGAUUCAAUCCAUUGCAACUCCUGAAUGUAAUUCAUGGUGAGACUCCUAUCCAAAAGUCUCUAAUGCAUGUGCAUGCGAUUGUGAAUGGUGUGUAGGUUAAGGCUAUGGUGGACAGUGGUGCCACUCACAAUUUUGUGGCCAAUCGAGAGGUAACUAGGUUGGGAUUGAAAUUGGAAGAGGAUACUAAUCGGAUCAAGGCAGUCAAUAGCAAAGCUCAGAAGAUCCAAGGUGUAGCCAAGAAUGUCCCUAUGCAAGUUGGUGACUGGAAAGGCACGUGUAGCCUACUUUGUGUGCCCUUGGAUGAUUUCGAUUUGCUCCUUGGUGUAGACUUCCUCCUGAAGGCUAAGGUGGCCUUGAUCCCACAUCUUGGUGGAUUGGUGGUUCUGGAAUAAAGACAACCUUAUUUCGUGCAAGCUUUGAGGGCAAAGAAUGGUGGUAAGGGUCAGCCUGAGAUGCUAUCCGCUAUCCAGUUAAAGAAAGGAUUGAAGUGGAGCCAGGAUACUUAUGUUACAACCUUAAUUCAAUGGUCAAAAUUAUGAAGGAGUUCAGAGAUGUGAUGCCUGCAUAACUCCCCGAGGAAUUGCCAUCCCGAUGACCUGUUGACUAUAAGAUUGAAUUGUUGCCUGGACCGAAGCUCUCGACCCAAGCCCCUUACAGUAUGUCUCAUUUAGAACUGUUGGAGCUACGCAAACAAUUGAGGGAAUUGUUGGAUGCAGGCCUGAUCUAGUCCUCAAGGGCUUUAUAUGGUGCACCGGUGCUGUUCCAAAAGAAGCACAAUGGCUCUCUACGUAUGUGUGUGGAUUACAGGGCUUUCAAUAAGGUGACCAUAAAGAACAAAUACUUGAUCCCUUUAGCAGCCAAGCUAUUUGACAAAUUGUCAAAGGCCUCUUAUUUCACCAAGUUGAACCUUAGAUCGGUCUAUUGGCAAGUGUGGAUUGCAACAGGAGAUGAGGGAAAAACCACCUGUGUAACUCAAUAUGGUUCAUACAAGUUUCUGGUAAUGCCCUUUGGGCGAACUAAUGCCCUUGCUACUUUUUCCAAUUUAAUGAAUGAUGUCAUGUUUGAUUACUUGGAUGCAUUUGAGGUAGUACAUCUAGAUGAUAUUGUCGUAUACAACCGACUCUAACAGAACAUGAAAGACAUUUGAGAUUGGUGUUCCAGCGACUGAGGGAGCACAGGAUUUAUGUAAAGCUAGAGAAAUGUGAGUUUGCUCAGAUGGAGAUCACAUUUCUUAGACACAAGAUCAGUGGAGGCUUGAUCAGGAUGGAUGAAGGCAAAGUGUAGACUAUCAAGGGGUGGCCAGUCCCUAGCAAAUUGACAGAGUUGCGGUCCUUCCUUGGCUUGGCCAACUACUAUAGAAGGUUCAUUAAAGGGUAUUCAAAAAUGGUGUCUCCCCUUACUAACCUAUUAAAGAAGGACAAUAAGUGGGAUUGGAGCAUGCAGUGUCAGAUGGCCUUUGAAGGCUUGAAGGAAGCCAUCUCCACUGAGCCUAUGUUACGAUUGCCAAACUUGGACUUACCUUUUGAAGUCCAAACGAAUGUCUCAGAUAGCGCCUUGGGUGGGGUUUUGGUGUAGGAUGUUUGAACAAUGCUGAGCAGAAAUACCCCACUCAUGAGAAGGAGAUGAUAACUGUGGUUCAUUGCUUGUAUCAGUGGAGGCAUUAUUUGUUGGGAAGCAUAUUCACAGUGGUCACUAACAAUGUGGCCAACACCUUCUUCAAAACUCAGAAGAAGUUGAGUCCCAAAUAGGGCCGAUGGUAGGAGUUCUUGGCUGACUUCAAGUUUGAGUGGUUGCAUCGACCAGGAAAGCAUAACACAGUGGCUAAUGCCCUUAGUAGAAAAGAGGUAAUUGCCUACAUCACGACCCUCUCAAAAGUCAUCUCUAACUUCAAUGAAAUAAUUAAGCAAGUUGUAGAGCAAGAUGUUGCAUAUGGCCGGUUGAGACAACAAGUUGAGGAGGGUGUGAUAAGGAGGAAUUGGCUAGAAGGAGACCUCCUUAUGGCAAAAUGAGGAAUAUGGUAUGUUUUUGUAGGUGGCUUGAGAAGAGAAUUGUUGCAGGAAACUCAUGAUGCAAAGUGGGCAGGCCAUCACGAUGAAGAAAGGACUCUGGAAUUGCUAGCUAGAUCUUAUUAUAUGCCAAAGAUGGAGGAGGAUGUGCAGACUUAUGUGAAAUCCUGUCUGGUUUGUCAGAUAGACAAGACUAAGAGAAAGAAGGUUGUAGGGUUGUUGCAGGCCCUUCCCAUUCCAGAAAAACCUUAGGAGAGCAUUUCCAUGGAUUUCAUUAUCGGAUUUUCAAAGGUUCGUGACUUCAAAUCUAUUUUUGUUAUUGUGGAUAGAUUUUCUAAGUACUCUGUGUUUGUACCUGCUCCUGAUCAUGUCCUGCGGAGGAAGCGAUUAGGCUAUUUUUCAGCCAUGUUGUAAAGCACUUUGGGUUGCCUCGAGACAUAGUGAGUGAUUAAGAUGCACGAUUCACAGGCCGAUUUUGGGUGGAGCUGUUCAAACUCUUGGGUUCAAAGUUGAAGUUUUCCAUAGCCAAUCAUCCUCAGACUGAUGGGCAGACAGAGAUGAUCAAUGUCUUACUAGAGGAAUACCUCAGGCACUAUGUGACGGCAACACAAAAGAACUGGGUUGAUUUACUUGACACUGCACAAUUGUUCUACAAUCUGCAAAGGAGUUCAACAACAGGGAUGAGUCCCUUUGAAUUGGUUAUUGGAAUGCAACCAAGGAUGCCUUUGGAGGUGGCCAACCAAAAGACAAGAGGAAAUAGCCCUACAACAUAUAAAUUGGCUCAGUCCCAAUAGGAGAUGUUUGAUGAGGCCCGAGACAGUCUACAAAAGGCAGCCAGACGGAUGAAGAAGUAUGCAGACCGUGAUCAGCGACCCUUGAAAUUUCAAGUUGGGGAUAAGGUCUUCCUAAAAUUGACUCCUCAGGUAUGGAAGAAGAUUAGCAACAAGACAAGGUAGAGGGGUCUAAUUGCUAAAUAUGAUGGACCGUAUAAGGUAAUAAAAUGGGUGGGGCAGGUGGCCUACAUGAUGAAGCUACCUGAGAGACUCAAGCUUCACCCAACUUUUCAUGUCAGCUUUCUAAAGCCAUACCAUGAGGAUCUAGAUGAAGAGAGGGUGCAGACAAAGCGGGUCCUUCCCUUGGUCAUGAAGCAAUUUGAUCAAGAGGUGAAGAAGAUCUUGGAUCACAAGACCAUGGGACAUAGUAGAAAGAACCGUUGAACUGAUUUCUUGGUUCAAUGGAAGGGGACUUCAGAAGCAAAAGCUACAUGGGAAAUGGAUGUUACCUUAUGGCAGUUUGAGGAUGUGGUCCGGGCAUACUAGCAAACUAAGUCAAUGAGGGCGUCGACUUCAGCAGGCGGGAGUGGGUUUAUCAACGCCCUAGCCUUUUGACCCAACGGUGGAAAAAAAAGCCUCAUAGGAAGGCCUUGUACCCAUGAUAGCUUAGAUAGAGAGUAAGGAUAGCCUGGAGGUUUGGUGGUUCAAACCCUAUGAGAUAAAAUGAGGAGAUCAUGUGUUCGCCAGACAGGCACUGCACACACCAGACGGGCACUGCGUGCACACCAAAUGGGCACCACACACACACACCAAACGAGCACCGCACACAUCAAGUAUUCAUCGCGCAUGUACUAGACAGACAUCGCAUGCUCGCCAGACAGGCACCGCACUUGCGCUGCGUGUGCACCAGGCAGACAUCACGCAUGCACUAGGCGUGCACCAAGUAGGCACAAUGAGCUCACUAAGCCACACCAGUUCGCACACCAGGCAUAUGUGGGCUAUGAAAUUGGUCCAGAUGGAGGGUGAGGUUUAUUUUGGAAUAUAAUUUAUAAUUAUUUAAAUAUUCCAUUAUGUCUCCUCAAGCAGGUAUGAUGUCUUCUCCAGACAUCUUGAGAAUGACCUGUAUUACUCUUUAAAAGGGAGAAUGAGGGGUAGGUGACUAAAGGGGGCACCAAGGCCAAGUCUUGACUGCACCAAGGGGGGCACCAUGGCAUGGCCUUGGGUGUGCCUAGGACACAAAUGACACUCAAGCAUGCACACAUGGGCUCCAUGAGAUGUGUGGCAUGCACCCCGUGGCAGCAACGACACGGGGCCCAAUACGACCUACCUCCUCCCCAUCUGGCACGAGAGCGCCUAAGCCUUGUACAACAAGCCAAUUAGAGAAGCUAUGGACACAAUGCCAUGGUUCGAUGGGGUACUAGGCGUUCAGUUGGCUUGGACCCAUGAUGACUAUGCAUGGCACAUGGACGCAAUGCCUUGUGCACCAAGAAGGAACAGCCAUGGGCGUAAUGCUAGUUGCUGUGGAGCCUUGACCUGAUGGAGGGAGCUAGAAACAUGCCCAGACCAUGGGCACCUUGACAUGGCAUGGGCUCACACAUCAGUGUAGGGAAGACACAAUGAUGCACCAGACACCUGGUCAGCUGGUUGGUGCAUGUUGUUGGUUUAGUAGGCCUUGAUCAGAGACAUCAGUAGCUUGAUGAAAAGGCUCGAGGGAAUGGCAGCUAGCUAGUGGUAGCAAGAGAUCAGGACAACAUUCAGUUACCAGGGGACUGGUAGAUGGUUGUGAUGCUGAUGGCUGGUGCGAAGAGACACCUUGGACUAAAUGGGUGUCUCCAACUGGAUGGUUUAUGCAAGUAGUUCCCUAGCUACAUUGCUUUUACAAGGGUUGGAAAGGAAGGUUGGCUAAGGAAGAGUUAUUAGCACUGCACACUCAUUGAAAAAAAAUUAGGCAAAUUCUAAGGGUGUGACACCUACCAUGCUUGGUAGAAAAAUAAGGAAUAAAAUAAAUAAAUGAAUUUAAUUUCAAAUUUACACCAAACCACACCAAAUGACCUUGGCUUUGUUUUUAUCUUGCUAACUUGUUGGAUUGUUUCGAAGAAAAAAUAAUUUUUUCUAAUGAGAAUUAAAAACAAUUAUGCAAUCUAUUUAUAAUUGAUAGAUUCAUUUAUAUUAUUACACCCAUAAUGCUCUUUUUCUUUUUUCCAUUUUUUUCUUUCUUUUCUUCUAUUAUUUCUUCCUCUUUGGAGAAAGAAGAAUUAAUUAAGAAAGGCCUAGUAAAUAAUGUUGCUACAUUUAAUUUCCUUAAGUUUUCAUAAUGUUGCCCAUAAGAUUAGCAGCACAUAUAAGUGAUAAUCAAAAUUGACCUAGUAAAUAAUACUCAUUCCAAGAGUUGAAAGUUCCACUUCCUUAUGUUGCUACAUUUACCUUUGCAUAAUGAUUAAUCAACUAAACAAGAGAUUAAGCAUGUGAAUAAACACAAAGCAAUACAUCAUGUCUUACAAAACCACAUCAACCAAAGAUAGAAAACUAAAACUAAAACUAAACUAAACUAAAAUAAAUAUAUAUAUAUAUAUGGAGAUUCAUUUUCUAAUUCAUACCAAGGAAAAACAUUAAUGAAAUAAUUUUAGUAAAAAAUUUGUUUCCUAUUUUCCAUUUAACUCAGCCAAAGAUAUUUAACAAAGGUUAUUGCAAAUGCUAAUAGAAAAGAAAUAAAGUUUCUUCAUUUAGCUUUAGGAAUCAUACCUCACUACAUCUAAAAGGCAUUUUUUUACUGAAGAAAAAUUUUCAUAUAAAUGUUUUUGGUCAUAACAUCAAAACCAUUAAUGCUCCAUUUAUCUCAAUAAAUAUUUUAUGACAAGUCAAAAUUUAUUCAUGGCCUGUUCUAGAGAGAGGAAUUCAAUCACAUGUAUAUCAAAGCACCCUAAGUCACAUACUCCAAUCUAAAAUUUCCCAAAAAGUUAAUAAAAGCCUAUGGUGCAACUACCAAGAAUAAAUAGUAAUAACAUACACAAAAUAAUAAAAUAUAACUUGUUUGGUGCAAUAUUUAAGCUCAUUCCCAUUAAAUCUAAAGUUAUUUGUGGUGAUGCACCAAAGAGAAACGCUGACCACAAACAGUACAAAUACAUGACUAGAGUAGUGCUAUUUAGGAGCUCUUAAGAUAACUCACUCUAGUGUUGGGCAUAAUACAUUAGUGAGAAUAAAUAAUUUAGUUAAGUAAAUUUAACUGGGCAAUUAGUGAUAUGACAUAGUCCAUCAUGGUAGCAACUCAGCAGGAAUUAGAAAAGCAAAAGAUAAACCCUGCAAAAUAUAGACACCAAACAAAUCUCAGCAUAAAAGAAAAGAAAAUUUCAAAGAUAAAUCUGACAGGUUCACUAUCUUUGAGUCCCACUCUACAACAAUUAUUAAGUUAAAUUUUGAUGCUCUCCCAGUCUUCUUAGUGAGAAUCCACUCAUAUGAGCUGUCCACGAUCAUUGCAUCGAAUUUGAUCAAUGACUUGGUGUUUUCAAAGUCUUUUACCCAUUGAUAUGCUCAUAUGCUCUUCCAGUCUCAAUAAUCUUAAAACCUAUUCUAAAACAACCCAAUAAAAGAAAAAUAUGAAAAGCAUAUUUGAUUCCACAAAAAUGCAGAAACUUGUUCCAAAUAUCCUAAAUUCACGAUCCAGAGAGUCCUAGAAAUUUAAAACAUUUCACUUUUCACUUUAAGAUUUCCAAUUUCCAUGCCUGUACUACCACUUACAUAUUAGAUUCAAGUUGGUCUUGGAAAAAAAAACCACCACAUCUUCUUGUUAUUUCAAAAAAGAUAUCACAACAGGAUCUUAAAAAUAAAAACCCCCAAACAGAUCUGGUUAUACUGACCAACUACACCUCGUUGUUUCACGAUGUGAUGUAUCACCCCGAAAUCGCCUCCCGCCUCUGUUCUAAUUUUGUUGUCGUUUGAAUCUAUGAGAUUCCAAUCCCGACAAGUCAAGGAUAAUUGUAGAUUGGGGUGUGAGCAUGGUAGUCUUCCAAGGGUUAAGGUUUUCAACGAAGAGUGAAGGUUUAUGGUUUUCAACCAGAGUGAAGGCUUAGUGUUCUUUAAGCUCUGAGAGUUUGGGUUUUCUAAGGGAUUUGAUACUCAAAACUGGUAUAAUAUGUAAGAAAAUGGUGAAGACUCAUCUGGGUGAAAAUAUGUCUUCUGGGGUGCAAGGAAUCAUAUGGAGGGACUGAAAAAUAUUAUAUAUUGUGUAGAAAAGAACGUGGCGCUUUUCAGAAGCGCCAAGGAUACCUAAAAAUGUUAGUAUACAAUGACACUUAUUUUAAGCGCCAAUGAUUUUAAACUUGUAUAGUUCAAUGAUGCUUGUAGAAGUUAUUAAAAAACAAAAAUUAAAUUUACAAUUAUGUAUGAGUUAAACAUAAAUAUGUUUUUAAUUAUAAAACAAUUUUUUUAUUCUAAUGAAAAAAAAUUACUAUAAGAUAAAAAUAAUUUUAAUAUUCAUUUUUAAUACAAAUCAAAUAAGUACUUUAAUUAUUUUUUUAUCAAUUUCUUGUUUGACCAUAAUUUCUUAUGUUUUUUUUUUUUAGAAAUUAUUUUUAACCUAAAGAACCAAAAAAAGUUUUUUAAUGUUUUAUAAAAAUAAAGAUAUUUGGAAAGUUGUUUUUAUAAAAGGAUUUUAAAAAUAAAAAACAAAAAUACUUAGUUGGAUAUUUAAAAAAAAAAAAUUUGUUUUGAUUUUAUAAAAAUAUUUUAAAUGCAAUUUAUAUAAUACUAAUUAAUUAAAUAUACUUGAAGUCUUAUAAUAAAAUCAUAAAUAGCAAAUUAAUAAAUUUAAAAAAUAAAUAGUUUUAGUGAAACAUAAAUAGCAAUAUUAUAAUAAAAUCAUAAAUUAUAUUUUUAGUAGAAAAUAUACAAUUUUAUUAUAUGUUAGAAAAAUAGGAUAUUUUGUUAUAUUCAUAAAUAUAAGGUAUUAAUGAGUUUAUUGUUGUCGUUUGAAUUUAUGAGAUUCCAUUCCCGACAAGUCUUGUACAAAAAGCAAAAAUUUACCUUGUCUUCUUAAAACUCAUUUCAAAAUUUAAAAUUUUUAAGUGAUCUUUUUUUUUCUUUUUACUUUCAUAACUUUUGAAAAUUUUAAAAAUACUUUCAACUACAUAAGAUAUCUACUCACAUUUUUAUAAGUAAUUUAUGCAUUUUAUGUAUAACUUUCCAUUUUUUCAAAUAAAAAACAGGAAAUGUAUCCAACCAUGCACUUGUAUAUUUAGUGGUCUUUGAUAAGAAGAUCAAAAUAUUGGUUCAUGUUUUUAUAUAUGGAGAUGGAUAAACAAAUAUAAGGGGAUUUAUUGAUGGAGAUAAAAAAAAUUUAAGGUCUGUUUAGUGGUGUUUUUAAAAAAUUUGUUUUCAAAAUAGAGGAAAAAAAAACAAUUUUUGAAAAUUUUUAAUAAACAAGAGUGUUUGGAAAGAUAUUUUUUUAAAAAUAGUUUUUAAACAAAAAGCUUAUUUGGAUGAAAAAAAAAUUGUAUUGUUUUUAAAAAACGACGUCUUACUUUUAUUUUAUAAAUUUCAUUUAUAAUAAUAUGAAAUCAAAUUCAAGUUAAGUCUUAUUAAAAAACAAAAAUUAAAUUUACAAUUAUGUAUGAGUUAAACAUAAAUAAGUUUUUUAAUUAUGAAACAAUUUUUUUAUUCUAAUGAAAAAAAUUACUAUAAGAUAAAAAUAAUUUUAAUAUUCAUUUUUAAUACAAAUCAAAUAAGUACUUUAAUUUUUUUUUUUUAUCAAUUUCUUGUUUGACCAUAAUUUCUUAUGUUUUUUUUUUAGAAAUUAUUUUUAACCUAAAGAACCAAUUUUUUUUUAAAAUAUUUUAUAAAAAUAAAGAUAUAUGGAAAGUUGUUUUUAUAAAAGGAUUUUAAAAAUAAAAAACAAAAGGACUUAUUUGGAUUUUUUUUUUUUUUAAAAAAGAAAUUGUUUUGAUUUUAUAAAAAUAUUUUAAAUUCAAUUUAUAUAAUACUAAUUAAUUAAAUUUACUUGAAGUCUUAUUGAAAAUGAAAAUAAUUUUGUAAUUACAAAUAAAUUAAAAAAAAUAAAUAGUUUUAGUGAAACAUAAAUAGCAAUAUUAUAAUAAAAUCAUAAAUUAUAUUUUUAGUGGAAAAUAUACAAUUUUAUUAUAUGUUAGAAAAAUAGGAGAUUGUUGUAAAACAAGGACAAAUAUAAUGCAAAUCAAAGUAGUAGAGAUAAAAUAUAUCUUACUUUGAUAUAUAAUAUGGAAGAAGGAAUCAAAUAAGAGAAUUGAGAAAGUGAAAGAAAGAGAGAGAGAGAGAGACUGAGAGGAAGAGCUUUCUUUCUUUUCUCGGGAUGCUUUUACAUUGGGGGGGGGGGGGGGGGGGGGGGGAAAAAACCCUUUUAAGGCCUCCAAAAAAAAAACCCCCUUACCCCCCUUUAAAAAGAAUAAAAGGGGGUUUUAAAGGGCCCCAAAGGGGGGCUUUCUUUAUUUUUUUUUUUAAACCCCCCCCCUUGGAGAACCCCCAAUUAAAAAAAAAAUUCCCCUUAAAAACCUNNNNNNNNNNNNNNNNNNNNNNNNNNNNNNNNNNNNNNNNNNNNNNNNNNNNNNNNNNNNNNNNNNNNNNNNNNNNNNNNNNNNNNNNNNNNNNNNNNNNUGGACGUGUACAAUUGGUAAGAUACAUAAGUGCACCAAUAGCACUAAGAUAUGGUACCUUAGGACCAAGUAACUCUUCAUCCUUUUCGCAAGGACGAAAUGGGUCAUUUUUCACAUCAAGUGAUCGGACAACCAUUGGAGAACUUAAAGGAUGCGCUUUAUCCAUAUAAAAACGCUUCAAAACUUUCUUAAUGUAUGUUGAUUGAUGUACUAAAACUCCAUUUGGAAAAUGCUCGAUUUGCAGGCCGAGACAAAAUUUUGUUUUUCCAAGAUCUUUCAUCUCAAAUUCCUUUUUCAAGUAAUUUGUUGUUCUUAUGAGCUCUUCAGGAGUUCCAACAAGAUUUAAGUCAUCAACAUACACUGCAAUAAUUGCAAAUCCGGUUUCUGAUUUCUUAAUGAAAAUGCAUGGGCAUAUAGGGUUAUUCACAUACCCUUCUUUUAGCAAGUAUUCGCUAAGGCGAUUGUACCACAUGCGUCCAGAUUGCUUUAAUCCAUACAAGGAUCGUUGUAACUUGAUUGAGUACAUGCUACGAGGCUUUGUAUUACUUGCAUCAGGCAAUUUAAAUCCUUCGGGGAUUUUCAUGUAUAUAUCAUUAUCCAUGGAUCCGUAUAAAUAUGCUGUAAUAACAUCCAUGAGACGCAUAUCCAGUCCUUCUGAGACUGCCAAACUAAUUAAGAAACGAAAUGUGAUUGCGUCUAUGACGGGAGAAUAUGUUUCCUCGUAGUCAAUACCAGGUCUCUGCGAGAAACCUUGUGCUACUAAUCGCGCUUUAUAUCUUAUGAUCUCAUUAUUCUCAUUGCGCUUUCGUACAAAUACCCAUUUGUACCCAACAGGCUUUACAUCUUCAGGUGUUUGGACUAUAUGUCCAAAAACUUCUCGUUUUGUUAAUGAGUUUAAUUCUGCUUGUAUAGCUUCUUUCCAUUUUGGCCAAUCAUUUCUAUGUCGACAUUCUUCCACAUUUCGUGGUUCGGGAUCUUCAUCAUUUCUUAUGAUAUCAGAGGCCACUUGGAAAGCAAAAAUAUUGUUAAUAACAAUAUUAUUUUGAUCCCAUUUUUCUCCCUUUUGUACAUAACUUACUGAGAUCUCACAAUUUUCAGGUACCUGUGCCUCUUCAGGAGCUUCUCGUUCAAUAUGUGGAUCUUCAGGGGUUUCUUGUUCAAUAUGUGCCUCUUCGGGGGCUUCUUGUUUAAUAUGUACCUCUUCAGGGGCUUUCUGCAUUAUUUGUGCCUCUUCUAGGGCUAUAGAUUUAUCAAUUUUAAACUGAUCAGUCAUUUUGAUGGCCUCUUCUAGAGUGCCAAGUUUUUCUUGGGUUCUCCUCUUCCGGGGAGUUACAUCCUUUGAGCCGACAGGUCUACCACGCUUCAAGCGUAUCUUAGAUUCAUUUGUUAACUGUCCUAUAGGGACAUCAAUCCGUGCUGGAGUAUUUGCAGCCGAGAUAUGUGACUUUGUCACUUUCUUUGUAUCAAUGAAUGCAUCUGGUAAUUGAUUUGCAAGAUUUUGCAAAUGAAUGAUCCUUUGAACUUCUAGUUCACAUUGAUUUGUACGAGGAUCAAGAUGGGUCAUAGUAGAUGUCUUCCAACUAAUUUCUCGUCGUUCUUCAGGAAUCGACUUUUCUCUCCCUAAUGAUGGGAAAACACUCUCAUUAAAAUGACAAUCCGCAAAGCGGGCUAUAAAAACAUCUCCUAUCAAAGGUUCAAGAUAUCUUAUGAUAGAUGGAGAAUCAAAAACCUACAUAAACCCCAAGUCUUCGUUGGGGACCCAUUNNNNNNNNNNNNNNNNNNNNNNNNNNNNNNNNNNNNNNNNNNNNNNNNNNNNNNNNNNNNNNNNNNNNNNNNNNNNNNNNNNNNNNNNNNNNNNNNNNNNGGAGACGUUUGAUGAAGGAUCUGCUAAACCAUUCUGGGUAUGGGUAUGAGCAACAGGAUGCUCAAUAUUUAUCCCUACUGACAUGCAAUAGUCAAUGAAUGUUUGAGAAGUAAAUUCGCCAGCAUUAUCAAGACAUAUUGUCUUAAUUGGAUAAUCUGGAAAUUGUGCUCGUAAUCUGAUUAUUUGUGCAAGGAGUCUAGCAAAGGCUACGUUACGUGUAGAAAGGAGACAAACAUGUGACCACCUAGUAGAAGCAUCUAUUAAGAUCAUAAAAUAACGGAAUGGUCCACAUGGUGGAUGGAUAGGCCCACAUAUGUCCCCAUGUAUUCUUUCUAAAAAGAUUGGUGACUCAGAUAUGACUUUAGUAAAAGAUGGUCUGAUUAUCAAUUUACCUUGUGAGCAAGCAGCACAUGAGUAUUCAUUGGGCGAAAGAAUCUUCUGGUUCUUUAGUGGAUGCCCAUGUGAGUGUUCGAUUAUUCGACGCAUCAUUGAAGACCCUGGGUGACCUAGCCUAUCAUGCCAAAGGACAAAAACUUUUGGGUCGUUGAACUUCUGGUUCACGACAACAUAUGAUUCAAUAGGCUUUAUAGUUGUAUGAUACAACCCAGAGGAAAAAGCUGGGAGUUUUUCCAUUAUAAGCUUCUGGCCAGAUAUAAUGGAAGUAAUAUAAAGAUAUUCUACAUUAUCUUCAUUCAUAGUUUCAAUAUGAUAUCCAUUUCUGCGGAUAUCUUUAAAACUGAGCAAAUUUCUUCUGGAUUUGCUAGAAUAUAACGCAUCAUUUAUAUGGAAUCUAGUUCCAUUUGGCAAUGUUAUGUUUGCUCUUCUAGAGCCUUCAACUAAGUUUGUAGUACCAGAUAUGGUACUUACAUUAGCUUUUAUUAAUGUCAAUUCGAGGAAAUAUCUUUUAUCUCGAAGAAUUGUGUGCGUGGUCGCACAGUCUGUGAGACAUACAUCAUCCUCAUUCAUCUUGAGACCAAAUAACACAUGGAUUUCAGAUAUAACAAAAAAACAAGGCAUAAUGUAAAUAACAAAGUAAAUCAGAUGUAAAUAUAAGACAUAAUAAUAUAUUAUUUUAUAUAUAGAGUAACAUCAAUCAAUGUUAAUUUUUUCAUCAUUUAUCAAAUGGUCUGGUUUUUCAUUGGGACCUCCAAAGAAAUCAAUGUCAUAGUAGGUUAGGUCCAAUCCAUCACCAUCGGUAAAGUUCAUCUCUAUCUCUUUUCCUUUAGCUUUUAUUGAUGCUUGGUAAAGGUCGACCAAAUGUUUGGGCGUACGACAGGUACGCGACCAAUGCCCCUUCAUACCACAUCUAUAACAAUUAUUCUCAUGGUUCUUAGGAGGUUUAUCUUGUAAACGCUUCCCAUUUUCUUGUAUUGUCUCAGUAUUGUUCCACUUCUGGUGGUGCAAUGAGGCUUUCAUUUUCUGAGAAUUAUUACUAUAAGAACCAUGGUAUCGAGGAUUUCUUCCAUGACCACGACCACGACCACGUCCUCGUCCUCGUCCACGUCCACGAGUUUGGGACGAUAUUACAUUCACUUCAGGGAAUGGUUCAGAUCCAGUUGGACGAGACUGAUGAUUUCUCAUCAAAAGCUCAUUAUUUUGUUCAGCAACAAGAAGACAUGAUAUUAAUUUAGAAUAUUUUGUAAAUCUACGCUCUCGAUAUUGCUGCUGCAGGAGCACAUUCGAGGCAUGAAACGUAGUAAAAGUUUUCUCUAACAUGUCUUCCUCUGUGAUUUUUUCUCCACACAGCUUUAAUUGAGAGCUAAUUUUGAAAAGUGCAGAGUUGUAUUCACUAACAGUUUUAAAAUCUUGCAACCUUAGGUGCAUCCAAUCAUAUCGGGCUUUUGGGAGAAUCACAGUUUUCUGGUGGUCAUAUCUUUCCUUCAAAUUACUCCAUAGAGUAAAAGGGUCCUUUACCGUAAGAUACUCAUUUUUUAAACCUUCAUGGAGGUGAUGGCGAAGGAAAAUCAAUGCUUUUGCGCGAUCCUGCAGGGAUGCUUGAUUUCCUUGUUUGAUCGUAGCUCCAAGGUUCAUUGCAUCAAGAUGUAAUUCAGCAUCAAGGAUCCAAGAUAGAUAGUUCUUUCCCGAAAUGUCAAGUGCCACAAAUUCGAGUUUUGUGAUAUUCGACAUUGUCAAAUAACUUCAGAGCAAUUCGUGCUGAUAACGUGUUGUAAAACAAGGACAAAUAUAAUGCAAAUCAAAGUAGUAGAGAUAAAAUAUAUCUUACUUUGAUAUAUAAUAUGGAAGAAGGAAUCAAAUAAGAUAAUUGAGAAAGUGAAAGAAAGAGAGAGAGAGAGAGAAUGAGAGGAAGAGCUUUCUUUCUUUUCUCGGGAUGCUUUUACAUGGGGGGGUAAGAAGCCUUUUAUAGGCUUCAUAAUAUGAACUCCCAUUACUCAUCUUAAAGAUGAGUAAAUGGAGUUCAUAAUGGCCAUCAAUGUGGUCAUUCAUUACUUUUCAUUUACAACAGAGAUUUUAUUAUAUUCAUAAAUUUAAGGUAUUAAUGAGUUUAUUAUUUCAGUUUAAAAUUAUUUUUUAAAAAAUAAUAGACUUAUUAACAAAUCCAACCUAUUAAAUCUUAUUUAAUUUGAAGUUAAUUUGCUUAGCAAAAAAAAAAAAAUAAUAAUGAUUUUAUGUAGAAAAUAAAUAAUAGAGUGUGUGUUUUUCUAUUGUUUUUAAAAAUUGGUGAAAAUAACUUUUACUUAUUCAAAUUGUUCUCUAUUUCACAUUAUUUUUAAAAAUUGAAAAUAGUCAAACAAUGUUAUGAAUUUUUAAAAACUUUGUUAAAAGCUCUGAAAUACUCAAAUGAGUAGAUUUAAAUAAGAAAAAAAAACAAAAUGAAUAUAAGAAACAAAUCAUAGGACAUAGAAAAGAGUAAUUAUAGGAAAAGUGUAUGACUAUGACUCUCGAUAUGAAGAAUGUAUGACAUGUGUUUAACUUAAAAAAAAAAAAAAUACUAUGGUAAAAGAGAUGACAUGGUAUUGGAGUAGGCAAUGCAAAAGCUGGCUUGCAUAAAAUAGUUGUUCGUGAGCAAUGUAUUUGUACUUGUGAAAAAAAAAAUAUUUGAAUGAUUAGUUCUAUAAAAUUAAAUAAAAAUAAAUAGAUAUAGACAAAUAAAUUGGGAAGUAAUAAAUACACACAUCAAGUUUGUUUUCUUUGUAUUGAUUGAAAGUUAGGAACGAUUAUUCAAUUUCUUAUUUAUUACGAGUUUUGAAAACCAUUCACAAAAAGUAGUGUUGAUAGCAUUUCUUAUUUAUUUUGAGUAACAAGAUUCUAUUUGAAAACACAAAUAUGAAAAAUAUUUUUUUUCUUAUUAUCUAUGACGAUUUUCUAUAUUGCAAAAGUUCUCAAAAUAUUCUUGAUAUUUUCAAUUAUUACUUAGAGUAUUCUAUAAAUAAAUAAAUAAAUAAAAUUUGUUCUACAAAAAAUGAUAUGCUUUCACAAGAAAUUCUCAAAAACCUAUAUUUCAUAAAAAAAUCUGUCCAAUGUGCUUUACAAAUUAAAAUUUACUUUUCUAUUUUAAAGAAUAAAAACUAUUUUUAAGAAUAAUUUUUAAAAUGCCUAAAAAUAAAGUGAAGCAUAACACUACAUGAAAGUGAAGAAUUAAAAUGACGAAGAACAAGUUAUGAUUUUCAUGAAAAUAAAUUUUUUAUUUAUCUCAUUAUUUCUAAUAACUAAUCUAAACACACAAGUUAAUAAAAAGCUAAGUAAAUUUCUCAUUCUUGUUUUCUUAUUAUUUUAUUUGUGAUGCCUCACUAACAUAAAAGAACGCUUUUGAUAAGCAACAAUAAUUUAUGACUGAAGAAAAUAAAAAUAAGUAGCAUUAAUCUUUUGCCAAAGAAAAUAAUAUAAUAAAGGAACUUUUGACAUUGGUUCACAUUUUGCUUUAACUUACCCCUUUAGCCUCAUAUAUUUUUUUAUUUAGUAAUCUUGUGCUAUUAAGUAACCUACAUAGAACCCUUAUAAAAUAAUACUCUUGCAACCAAAAGGAAAAUUUAUUAUGUUAUUGGGGUUAUUAAUUUAUCGAUAAAUAAAUAAUUUGUUAAUUCAUCAAUAAUUGAAUAUUUAUUAAUUUAUAAAAAGUAUUAUGUUUCUAUUGUUCCGUUCUUGUACAUGCAUGACUUAUAAAUCUAAAAAUAAUAGAUGUGCUAAAAAGUUAAUACAUGGAAGCCUAAAAGACUUUAAAAAGUAAAAGAUGAUUAUAAUUAUAAAAAAAUAUAAAGACUCUUAAAAAGAAGAGAUAUGGUGUGUCAAAACUUAAUGUCCUAAAAGAUAAAGAGGUUCAAAUAUGUAAUGAUAAGAGUGACUUGAGAAAAUAGAAAUUAUAAAAAGUUUAUCAAUACUAUAUUAUGCAAUUCUAUUUGCUAUAUUAUGAAUUUUAUUUGCUCAUUCAUUAUAUUCCUUGGGCCCCUAUGAAUUUCUAAAAAUAUUAUUAUCUUAUGCAUUUAGCAAGGUUAUUAAUUAGCAUAUUGGCCCAAAUUAAGAUAGAAAAUUUUUAUUAUUUAAACAAUGUUAUUAAUUUAUCAAAUAUUUAUUUAUCGAGAUUUUACUAUAAUUAAUGUUAUAAUUAUUAUAAAUAUUUUUUUAAUGAAACCAAUAUUUGGUAAGUAGGGUAUGUUGGAUUAUACAUUACUUUUUAUAAUUAAAAAUUUAAAUCAAAUUUGAAAAUCAUAUGUGCUACAAAAAAAAAUUCCUAAUUUCUAUUUAAAAAAAAUUGGAAAUUUAUUAGGGGAAAAAAAUCCCUUUUGAGGAUUUUUCUUUUUGCUUUUCAUGUUCAAUAUCAAAGAAAAAAAAAUGUCAUUUCAUGCACUGUAAUAGUAAUUUUGAAAGACUUAAAAAAAUUACCCUCAACACCUCCAUUUGGAUCACCAACUUAGAAAUUCCAUGUGAGCAAGCUCCAAGUCAGCUCUCCACCUAAGCUGAUGAUAUGACUCAUGUAUAUGUCAUCAUCCAACAAAGAAAAUCCACAUAGAUUAGAUUAAAAGGAAAAAAAAAAUCAAAAAUUGGAUUUUGAGAUUUACCCCUAAACAAGUCAUCUUCUUUCUCUUUAGGAAAGCAAACCCUAGCUCCAAAAACUCAUUUUCUUUCUCUUUCAUUCAUAGCCACAAACCAUCAACCUGUCACAACCCCAAAUAACCCAUAAAAAAUUUGCUAUCUCCUCAUUCUGAUACAACCCAUCAACCUCAAACAAACUUCCAAACAUCAUCCCUUAUUUUCUUUCUCCUCCCUCAUCGGAAGAUGAUCUCCACAUUCCCCCACUAAACAUUAGCCCCAAACAACCAUCCAAAUAUCAACCCAAAUAACUAACUCCACGAAGAACCCCUUUUCUUCUUCGCCCUUCACCAUUGACAAAGUGAUUUCUCCCCUUCCUUUGCUUCCCCUUUGUACUUUUCCUUUCUAGAGAAAAAGAAACAAAUAAAGAGAGAGUGAAUAAAGCAUAUAAAUAUUAUAGUUGCAUUUCAACUUCGAAGUUAAGGUUUUUCUAGGCGAUAUAUAUAUAUAUAUAUAUAUUUUAUCAUUUUUUUUUGUUUUUUGUUUUUUAUUCUUUGAGAUUUGAAAAGUGUCAAUUAUGUGAUUUUGUGCAUUUUGGUGAAUCAAACUUGAUUAAAUUGCAUAUCUCUACAUUUUGAACUUUAAUCAAUAAUUUAAUUAUCUUUUUUUAAAUUGUAAUUAAUUUAAGGUUUAAUUUAUUUGUAAUGAAUUAUAGUUUUAAUUUUCAAUAAUUAUGGCAAAAUGAGAUGUUGGUGACCUUUAUUGAUUUUGUUUUCUUUUCUUAAUUGUUGUGUUUGUGAUCUAUAUGGUUGGGAGAAUAAGGAAAAGGGAAGAAAAAUCUUGCAUGUGCAUCUUCCUUAAUUAUCAAAUGGAUAACUUAUUUAACCUCAAAUUGUAUUGGUAAAAUUCUCAACAAAAUUUAUGUACAUUAUGUAAGAAAAUUGCUUCUCAAGAAGCUUUAAUCAUCAACCAUGAGCAUACCAAAUAAAACAAAAACCAAAUGUACCUUUUUGCUCACAAUAAUUCAACUUAACUCUAUAUUUGGCCUUUACUAAGCAACAAUUCUCAAAACUCAACUUCUUCAAUCCUUCUAGUAAUCGUCCAAUAAGAAUAUCCAACAACAACUUCAAGCCUUUGUGAAAUUUGCAAAUUUUUGUUAGUGUUGAAAACAACUAAACAAUCACACCAAAAACAAGAAAGCAAACAAAAAGAAACAAACCUAAUCUAAUAUGUACAUGAAACCAAACCUUUUAAAAUGACUUUUCAAAUUUGAUACACAACUACACAAACUCAAAGAAACACAAAAAUCAAAAUCAAGCAAACACUUAUCUAGCAUACCUACUACACACAUGGGAUAAAGUAAACUCUGAGGCCUCUUUACCCCAUAGAUGAAAACAAUCACUUGCUAACCUACACCUACACUUCAAAGAUAAUUACAAAAUGAAAUAGUCCAUCAGUAAUCAUGCAGUAUUGUAUUAACAAUCAAAAUUUUACUAGCGAUAUUUUGGACAAUAAAUCCAUAUUUUUAUUAAAAUUAAAAGUUAUCACACUAUCGAAAAAGCCAUCAAAAUAAGAAAAACCAAAAAAAUGAAAAUGAAACCUAUAUGUGAAAACCUAUUAAAAUUGGAUUUCAUCAAUUCCAUCGGAUGUGUGCUUUGUGGUUUGUUAACAAUUUCAAGCAUAGUGAAUUUUCCUUGUUAAUUUUAAUUUCACCCUCUAAUUUGACUCAAACGAAGUCUCAUCUAUAUGCUUCAUGGAAACUUGAUUAUUAUCAUCUCUUUAAUAUAAGAGUAACUCAUGUCCCUUGAGCUUAUGCAUUCUUUCUUUAAAACAUUCUUGGUUUAGUUCAAGUUCAUCAAUGUUUUCUAGAUUUAGCUCACUCAUUAAUGUUUUUUUGAAUUUAGCUCGAGGAUAUCAAUUGAAAGGUUUUGUUACUUCAUGGUAUUUGUGUUUGAUUGCCUCAAAAAAACAAAUAUAUAUAUAUAUAUAUGUUGAAGAGCCUACUCUUUGAAAACAUGUUAUUUUUUUAGGAAUUGCUUUUAUAUAACAAUGAGUCGUUUUUAGGAAAUGUUAGUGUGGACCCGCAUUUUCUCCACAAAUGUGAAUUGAUGCAUCCCCAUUUGGUUGUGACAUUUUAAACUUUAUGGAAAAAUGAUUAUUUUAUUUUUCUUUUAGGAAUUGCUUUUAUAAAAGGUUUGACAACUUUAUACUAAAGAUUGGUUUCAAAAGGAGCAGUUAUGAUGGUUGUUUCUAUUUCAAGAAGUUACAAGGAAGUCUAAUGAUGUUUCUUCUAAUAUAUGUCGAUGAUAUGUUAUUGGCUUGCAAAUAUAAGUCACAAAUUCAAGAGGUGAAGAGGAUUCUAAAGUCAAAAUUUGAUAUGAUGGAUCUUGGGAAGGCAAAAAGAAUACUCAGCAUGGAAAUUAUAAGAAACAGAUAGGAUCGUACUUUAUUCUUGUCACAAAAGGGCUACUUAGAAAAGGUUUUGAAGAGGUUUUCCAUAGAGAAUUCAAAACCUGUAAGUAUACCAUUUGCAGGACAUUUCAUAUUGUCAAUGACACAAUGUCCUCAAUCUGAAGUUGAAAGGAAAGAGAUGAAUUUUGUUCCAUAUGCUAAUGCUAUAGGGUCACUCAUGUAUGCAAUGGUGUGCUCACGACUAGAUAUUGCUCAUUCAGUAAGUGUUUUGAGCAAGUUUAUGGCUAACCCAGGUAGAAAGCAUUGGAAUGGAGUUAAAUGGUUGUUAAGAUAUGUAAGAGGAUCUCUUGGUAUCACAAGUUAUGUGGAUUCAAAUUAUGCAAGGGAUCUUGAUAAGAGAAGGUCAACUACAAGUUAUAUUUUUAUCUUAUUUGGAGGACUUGUUAGUUGUAAGUCACAACUACAAUCGAUAGUGGCACUUUCAACAACUGAAGUUGAAUAUAUAGCAACUAGUGAAGCCAUGAAAGAAGCUCUUUAGUUGCAAGGACUUGUUAAGGACCCUGGAGUGUUGAAUAGUGUAGUGGAAAUAUUUUCAAACAGUCAGAGUGCAAUUCAAUUGUGUGAAAAUCUUGUGUUUCAUGAAAGGACCAAACAUGUCGAUGUUAGAUAUCACUCAUUAGAGAAAUUGUAAGCUCAGGAGCAGUGAAGCUAAAGAAGAUUUCCAUAGCUAAUAAUCUAGUUGACAUGGAAACUAAAGUUCUACCAGUAAGCAAAUUUAGGUAUUGCCUGGAUUUAGUCCAAGUAAUGUGCAACUAAUGUUUAAGUCAAAUCUUCAUCCCAAGAAUUGAAAUUCAAUUUUUUGAACUAAGGUGGAGAAUGUGGAAUUUGGUGGUCCAAAAAUUGUUUGGCCACGUAAGCAAAAUUAGUUGAUUAACUAACUGAAAGCAUAUCUGUUUGCUUAGCCUUUUCCAUGUACUUGUAUAAAAGUGUGAAAUAUAAAAAAAGAUGUGUGAGUUUUCUGAAUGACAGAACAGAAGUGAGAGGAUUUCAAAGUGAGAGGAUUUCAAAGUGUGAGUCUUCGUCAUUGUACUGUAGAGAGAGCUUGAAAGAUUCUUGAGGGUGUAAAAUGGUUCAAUCUUAGUGGAUUUUUGGAGGUGAUCUUAAUCCGUGGAUGUAGGAUUCAAAUCUUAGAUCCGAACCAAAUAAAUCCUACUUGUUUUGUUCUGUUUUUUCUGAUUUUUGGUAUUGUUUUUCUUUGUUUUCUUAAAUUGGUGUUCAAUCUCAAUUUAUUGAGGAACUUGGAUAAAACCUCAACAUUCCCUAAAAAAUGUUGUCACCUUCACUGAUCUCAUGACAUGUAAUCACCAUUUCAAUUUGAACUCAUUUCCAAACUUUCCAAAUCAAUUUUGUAAGCUAACAUAUGCUUUUUCUUGAGGUCUCAAAUUUUAAAAUUUUCCAUUUAUGACAUUUAAUUCAAAUUAGCAAUACCACUAUUCUUCACUCAACUCCCUGGUUUCAAAAGUUCAAAGUAAGAAUCAAUAAUAAAAUCAAUAAUAAUAAAUUAAGAAUGAAGACAAAAUAAAUAAAUAUAAUUAAAAUAAAAACAAAACAUAAUAAAGAUGCAAAAAAUAAAAUAAAAGAACAAAUAAAAAUAAAAAUAAAAGUAGAGAAUAUAAAAUUAUAUAGAAUAAUAAUAAUAAUAAUCAUGGGGAUGGAGACGGGUUCAAAGUAGAGAAUAGACUAAUUCAACUGGUUUAAUCGUUGACCGGAGCCUAAUUGGGUCCAGGUAGCCUAGUUGGGUUGGAAUGCCACUGAACUGCUCUUGAAUCGAAUGGACCAGCGAUCAAGCCGCUGACCUGGCCGCCGAUUCGGACUUGAUCUCUUUCUUUCAUAGAUAUUUUUUAUGCCCAAAAUGGGCUCAAAUAUGUGUUAUAUCUUGGGCCCAAGCCCGUUAUGUUUGUAUCAAGGGUAAUAGGCAAAGUAUUCCUCAUCUGCUUAUACAGUUGUUUUAUUCCUUAUUUGCUUCCAUGUGGGAUUGCUGCAACGUGGGCUGAGUAAAACCCAUAAAAUACGGAUGCAACCUGGGCUGAGAAAAAUCCAUAAAAUAUGGAUGCAACUUGGGGUUUUGAACUGACCUUGGGUUCAAAACGCAUGGGCAGCACCACUUUGCUGAAUAUGCUAUGCAUGUAAAGAGACACAAGAAUUAUAUAAUAAAAUUCUUCUUAAAAAUUUUAUAAUAUAGUAAAAAUGUAAAUAAUAUAAAUAAAAUAAUGUAAUAUGUAUAGAGGAAAUUAAGUAAUUUUCAAUAAAUAUCUUUAUAUUUAAAUAUUUUCUAUAUAUAUAUAUAUAUUAUUUAAUAAAAUGUUAAAAUAUUAAUACAUCUAUAUUUUACUUCAAUAAUAUUAAAGAUGAAAAAACUAAAUAUUAUUAAUUUUAAAUUUUUUAUAUGUCUAAAAAAUUUAUAUUAUAUUUUUAAUUUUAAUGAUAUAUAACAUAAAUAUUUAUGAUAUCACUGGUUCGAUAAUGAUUCAAUCAUAAGUCCAACCAAUGAACCAGUAACUUUUUCGAUUUAAUGAUCGAUCCGAUUUUAAAAACAUUGUAAGGGAUAGAUCCCUACCAAGACCCACAUUGAUGGGUCUUUUUGUUAUCUCUAUUAGAAAGACUUCCUUAUGUUUGGAAGUACAUUCGAAAAUCAUAUUUAAAAAUUUAAAGAAUCACUUUUGAAUAAUAACUUCAUAGAUGAUUGAAUCUUCCAAAAAUCUAUUUUUUGUUAAUAUUAGUUUAUAUCAAAACACUAAGUGGUUCUUCAUAAAAAUGUUUCUAAUGGAGCAAUACUAAUGAAAGAUUCAUAGACUAAUAGUUUACUUGAGAGUGAUUUUAAGAAAAGUUAGUCAUAAAUACUUUCUUGCAAAAAUUAAGCAUUUAAAAAAAUUUUGAAAAUCAUUUGAAGUGAUUCCUAAAUAAUUAUUUGGUAGAUGAUUCUUCAAAAAAUAGCUUUUUUGUUAUAUAAUAUUUUAUCAAAAAAUGAUUAAAGCACUUCUUUUUGGUUUGUAUUCAAAUAAUAAGUGACUUUUCUUAAAAGCAUUUAUGAUAAAAGUGAUACUAAUUAAAGUGAAUAUGCACUUGGAAACUAUUGUUGUGGUAUUAGAGAAGUGUCUUUACUAGGAUAUUUUGGCUACCAUCAAGACCACAACAAAAAUAAACCUUGAUCAAUUGUAAUGAUGUGACUCACAUCCUUUUGUGCACAUAUUGGUCCUUAUUGAAUUAAUUGUAUCUGUAUGGUUAGGAGUCUUACACCAAUGUGUAGGAUCGACUUUAACACUGUUUUUAAUGAUCUACUCCCUCUCAUGUAGGGAUAGUCUACACUAGAUCUAAUAUGUGUUGGAAAAUUUUUUAUAUGGGCUAACAUUAAUUGAAUAAUUUGUAUUUGCAAAAACGGGUUAAUGGAUAGUCUAUUAUAUAAUGAGCCCAAUUAACUAGUGAUUACAUUUUGGAUUGAGUUUUGCAUCUUUUGAGUAGAAGCUCAGUUGAGUGGCAAGUGUAGGUUAUGGGUCUCAUUGAAGCCCAUUAUGGGAGGGCCCAAUGAGAAUCCAAUUUGAGUUAUGAUAAGUCCCCUCUCUAAUCUAGAUAAAAAGGGUUUUUCUGUUUUCCCAUAGAGCCACCAUAGCUGUUAUCAAGAUCAUAGAGAGGAAGACUUGGUUGCAACAAUCAAUCAUGGCUCAAACAGGUAUGUUCUUUAGAGUGAUUUCCUAUUGUUAGUAUCCUUUAAUCAUGUAUGAUUAAUCUAUGUGAUUAUGUAAAUAUUUUACAUGUGGUAUCAGAGCCUGAUUUACAUGAUUUAGGAUUUACAAUUGGAAAUCGAAAAUAAAAUUUUUAGUUUCUUAUUUUAUUUUAUUUUCGAAGCUGAAUCUGUGAUCCAUGAAUGUGUAUGUCUUUUUGUUUUUUAGUUUCUUUUGAUUGUGAAACUUUAGGCCUUUUGUUCCUUUUGUCACAAGCUUCAAAUUGAUAUAUCAUAUGUGCAAUCUUGUUGUUUAAAUUGGGAGUAAUUAAGUUUUUAAAUUUUCGGAAUUUUCUUGUUUAAAGAUUCAAGAAAAAUUUUAUUUGUUCAAAUUAUUGUGUUUUACUCAAAUUAAACUCUUAGAUUUUGUUGUUUACAUAUAUUAUAGUUGAUAUGUAGCAUCAAUUUCGGUUUUUUGGCUCAAUUUGGUGAAAAUUGAAAAUUCGAAAAUAUGGGUAUGAACCCUAGUAAAUUCGUUUUAUAUUUUUUUUAAAAAUUAAGCAAGAUUGAGAAGCUUUUUUUUGUUUAAUUAAUUGUUGUAGAGAGAUUUCUUAAUUGUUAAGGUAAAAAUGCAUAUAAAAUGAGGCCGAAAUAGGUGUUAAAAUAGAGUUUUUCAAUAUUGGCUAUGGAGGUAUGAAAAACCGAAUUUUGUUAAUCAACUAUGGAGAUCUUUAAGUUGUUUUUUUUAUGAUUAAAUGUCCUAGAAUUGUUAGAAACAACCUAAAGUUUAAAACCCCUCAAGAUCCCGAUCAAAAAAACUUUUUUUUGAUUGUUUGUAAUCCGGGUUGCAACCAGGUCAUUUGACCCGUAUUGCAGAAUUUUUGACUCAAUGCUGGAGGUUGAAGAUGACCUCCAGCACAUGUUCCCCACUUACAUAUUAAGUGUGUGAGGCACGUGUAACCUCAUUCGGUGUCCAUUUUGAGCCCCGUUUUUUCCUGUGCGCUCAUUUUUUUGUAAUCUAUUUUUAUGGAUAUAUUAUUUUAUUUUUUGGGGGUCAAAAAUAUUUAUUAAAUGAUUAUUACUUAUUUAUGUGAUUUAAUUAGCUUAAAAUUAUUUUUUGGUAUAAUUGUCUAUUGAGAAUUUACCAGAAAUUAUGCUAAUAUAUAUGGAAUAGGAGUGUAGUACUUGCUCUCUCUAGAUUGAAACCUUUUCAAGCAUACUCUCCCACCUGGUCUAAAUCAUAUAAACUAGUUAAAUAAUUAGUUUAAAGUGCAAUUAAAAAAAAAAAUUGUUGUUCAAAUUCUUGCAACUAUAAUUGAUCAUAUGCAAAUAUAUCGCUAAUAUGCACUACUGUUGUUGGGCAAUAUUUUUUUUUUUAAUUUAUCCAAAUUUGGAACGUUGCAUGUGAAUUGUUCAGGUUAUUUCACCAAAGUGAUUUAACCAUCAAAAUUUGCAAGUUUAUGAGUUCCUAUUUUGUUGAUGGGGAAAAUUUUAGAUUAAUUUGUACAAUUGCCUGCCCAAAGGGGGUUAUUGUGCAAAUUAAUUUAACAACAUGAGGAUAUUGAAUGAGAUAAAUAAUUUGAUAAAUUUAUUUGCCCAAAGGAAAUAAGUUUUAAUGAAUUAUUUGUUGAUCUUCAUGCUUAGAGAAUAGUUGUUUAUUGUAGACUCUGCCCAAAGGGGAGUUUAUAAUAGUACAAUUGAUUCUUGUAUUGUAUUGCUUAUGCUUAUCUAAGUUUUUUUUUUUACCUAUUGCCCAUAAUUGAUCUAGUUGCAGAAUUUUGUCAAUCAGUUUCCUUUGCAAUGAACAACAAUAAUGCUACAAUUGAAAUUCUAAGUGGGUCGAACUAUAAGAGAUGGAGAUCAGACAUAGAGUUUGUUUUAGGAAUGAUGGACUUGGACAUGACUCUACGUGAAGAUGAACCUCCUAAGCCUACUAAUAAAAGCACCGAAGCUAUGAGAGCUCAUUAUGCGAAAUGGGAAAGAUCGAACCGUUUGAGUCUCAUUUCAAUCAAGAGGUCCAUUGUUGAGCAUCUCCUUGGAGGAAUACCUAAGAGCAACAAUGCUAAGGAAUUUCUUGUUAUUGUGGCAAAUAGAUACCAAACAUCUGACAAUGCUGAAGUUGGGCAUUUUAUGGAUGAAUUGAUGAAUAUGAGGUAUGAUGAUAUGAAAGGGGUUCGUGAGUAUAUCCUAAAAAUGGUGCAUCUUCAUACUAGAUUGAAAGCACUAGACAUUCUCAUUCCUGAUAAGUUUAUUGUUCAUCUAGCCCUCAAUAUUUGCCAUCUUCUUUUAGCCAAAUCAAGGUUGCAUACAACACCCUGAAUCAGUCUUGGGGUGUGAAUGACCUGAUCACUAAGUGUGUAGCUGAGGAAGAAAAGCUGAAAAAAGAAAAGAAUGAAUCUGCUCAUCUCGUUGCUCUUGGAAAACCAAAUAAUCAAAAGAGAGUUGAAAAGGCUAGAAAGCCCAACUUCCAUAGUCAUAAGAAAAAUAAGAAUUUCAAGAAGAGUGGGAGUGAAAAGCAGAAGAAUGGAAAUGCCAAGAACACAGACCUUAAAUCACUGCAACAAAAAGGGUCACAAGAGGGUUGAUUGCUUUAACUUUAAGAAUUGGCUAUAGAAGAAAAAGAAGAAACGAGGUAUGUUAUCUCCCUGUGUCUGUUUUGAAUCUAAUUUAGUUAAUGUUCCUUUAGAUUCAUGGUGGCUUGACAGUGGUGCUACUGUUCAUGUUGCAACUUCUUUACAGGGGAUAAGAAAUCUGAGGAAGCCAAGUGAAAAAGAGUCAAAGCUUAAAGUUGGUAGUGACAUCGGGAUUGAUGUUGAGCAUAUUGGGGUUGUUGUUUUAGAAUUAGAUUUUGGUUUUCGGCUUGUUUUGGACAAUGUUUUUUGUGUACCUUCGUUUAGAAGGAAUUUAAUUUCCCUUUCAGUACUUGAUAAAACUGGAUAUAGUUUCACUUUUGCAAAUAAAAGAGUUGAUGUGAUUUAUGACUCUAAAGUGAUUGGCAAUUGUGUUUUAUCUUACGGGCUUUAUAGAUUGUCGUUGUUAUCUACUUGUUCUUACAAUGUUGAAAACAAUGUUGCUAAAAGACCUUUGACUAAGGAAAGAUCUUCAUUGUUAUGGCAUAAGCGUUUGGGGCACAUUUCUAAAGAACGAGUAGAACGCUUAAUUAGUUCUGGGAUUCUUCCCUGCCUUGAUUCUGAUGAUUUAGAGCUUCAUUAGAUGGAUGUCAAGACAGCUUUUCUCAAUGGUGAUUUGAGUGAGGAGGUCUACAUGUCACAACCUAAAGGAUUUAAGGAAAAUAGAAAAGAGAACAUGGUAUGCAAAUUGAAAAGGUCAAUUUAUGGUCUCAAGCAAGCUUCUCGCCAGUGGUACUUGAAAUUUGACAAAAUUAUGACGUCUUUUGGUUUUAUAGAGAACAAGUUUGACCAGUGCGUUUACAUGAAGGUUAAUGGGAGCAAAUACAUUUUCAUGGUCUCUAUAUCGAUGACAUUCUACUUACUAGUAGCGAUGUGAAUCUCUUGAAUGAUAUCAAGCGUAUUUUGUCUGCUAAUUUUAACAUAAAGGAUCUUGGAGAAGCAUCUUUUGUGUUGGGUAUUGAGAUUUAUCGUGAUAGAUCUCGAAACCUCCUUGGGCUAUCUCAGAGAGCCUAUAUCAAUCGUGUGGUUAAAAGAUUCAAUAUGCAGGCGUGCAAAGCUGGUGAUGUACUUGUUGUGAAGGGAGAUAAACUCAAUAAUGAACAAUGUCCAAAGAAUGAUUUGGAAAAGGAUGCCAUGAAGACUAUUCCUUAUGAUAAUGCCAUUGGUAGCCUGAUGUAUGCACAAGUAUGUACGAGACCUGAUAUCGCCUUCAUUAUUAAUGUUCUUGGUAGAUAUUUAUUGAACCCUGGACAUGAUCAUUGGGUUGUUGCAAAGAAAGUCAUGAGAUAUCUACAAAGACUGAAGGAUUUUAUGCUUGUGUAUAGGAGGAUGGAUAAUCUCGAGGUAGUUGGAUACUUAGAUUCUGAUUUUGGUGGUUGUUCUGAUGAUCGCAAAUCUACUUCAGGAUACAUUUUUAUGUUAGCUGGUGGAGCCAUUUCAUGGAAAAGUGUCAAAUAGAACCUAAUUGCAUCCUCGACCAUGUAUGUUGACUUUGUAGCUUGUUAUGGUGCAUCAUCUCAAGCUGUUUAGCUAAGAAAUUUGAUUUCAAAGUUGCAGGUUGUUGAUUCCAUCUUUCGACCCAUUGUGAUUUAUUGUGACAAUAAUGCAGUUGUAUUCUACUCUGAGAGCAAUAAGAUUAGUACGGGUUCUAAGCAUAUGGAAAUCAAGUACCUUAUAGUCAAGGACUUAGGGAAGAAAGAAGAUAUUGUGAUUGAGCCCAUAAGAACUGAGUCCAUGCUAGUUGAUCCUCUAACCAAAGGUUUAAAGCCUAUAACGUUCAAGGAACAUGUUAUGAAUAUGGGUGUCAUUAAGUCUUUUGAUUCUUUGGUUUGGUGGGAGCUUUUGUGAUUUCCCUUAUUUCAAUUAUUGUUUUAUGUAAACAUUGAUCAUUAUUGUUCUACGACUUGCAAAAUUAAAAUAUUUUUAUUAUGAUCAUCAUAAUUAAGUAUUAUAUUAUAGCAUGUCGUAAUUGAAUUACAUACAACAUGGUAUCUUGAGAUAUUGAACCUUAAGAAUUACAGUUGUAUACUAUUGGAUGUCACAAAUACCAUUAUUUUGAGAUCUUGUGGUGCACUGUUGGUGACAUAUGACUUGUUAAAGUCAAGCAAUUUCAUAUUGUUUAGAAAUUGCAUCAAUUUCAUUUUGUUGAGAAAUUGCAAUUACAAUUUCAUUUUGCUGGUAAAUUGUAAUGAGGACUGAUAAGAAACAAUGCAUAUAGAUGAUGAUCACAUGUUGGCAUUGAUUUCUUACUACACUACUGGGUUUACGAUCCAUGUCCAUAUGGUUAUAAAUAUUCGUGACUAUAAGGGGCAUUAUGUUUGUUGAGAUUAACAUAUAGACCAUUAUAGUCCAAUAUUAAGACAAUGUUAGACCAGCUAAGUUUAACAAGAUGCUACUUAUAGACUGUCAUUUCUUUAAAAAAAAAGGUGUGGCCACACAAAAUAAACUUUUUUGUACUUAACCCGAGAGUCUUAUUUUCAAAAUGAAUUUAAUGAAUCCUCAAAAACAAUUAAUGUAGCCCAAGUGGGAGAAUGUUGGAAAAAAUUUUAUAUGGGCUAACAUUAAUUGAAUAAUUUGUAUUUGCAAAAAUGGGUUAAUGGAUAGUCUAUUAUAUAAUGAGCCCAAUUAACUAGUGAUUACAUUUUGGAUUGAGUUUUGCAUCUUUUGAGUAGAAGCUCAGUUGAGUGGCAAGUGUAGGCUAUGGGUCUCAUUGAAGCCCAUUAUGGGAGGGCCCAAUGAGAAUCCAAUUUGAGUUAUGCUAAGUCCCCUCUCUAAUCUAGAUAAAAAGGGUUUUUUUGUUUUCCCAUAGAGCCACCAUAGUUGUUAUCAAGAUCAUAGAGAGGAAGACUUGGUUGCAACAAUCAAUCACGGUUUUUUAUCAUGGCUCAAAUAGGUAUGUUCUUUAUAGUGAUUUCCUAUUAUUAGUGUCCUUUAAUCAUGUAUGAUUAAUCUAUGUGAUUAUGUAAAUAUUUUACAAUAUGGCCUUAUGACUUUAAAAUGUGACAACAUAGUUUAAAGGAUUGAUAUGAGAUAUCAAACCAGUUUAUUCAUGUAUGAGGGGUUGGUGAAAUCUAUCAAAUGAUGGUUUUGAAUACCCUUGUAUUUGGAUCUCAUGUAAGUGUUCAUGGUAUGAUAUAUUACCAUUGAAGAAUUUGGUAAAAGUAACUAGAAUGUAUAAGAAUUUUCUUAGAAAAUGUUUUUGAAUUUUGACAAAUAUACAUGACCCUCAACAAAAAAGUUUGUAUUUAAUAUCAGUUCACAUAAGCAAAAAUAAUACUAAUAAAAUAUAAGGUGCACAAAAUCUUAAAUUCACUCACAUUUUAGAUCAUAGAUAAUUGAAUUGUAGCAACUUAUAGAGUUCAAUCUUUUGAAUAAAACAUACUAAAGAUAUCCAACUUAGAGAUAAAUAACCUUCCAAGUUCGAUUCAAACAAAGGAAACAUCAUUAGUAGGUGCCUCUUUACUAAGGAUGUUAAUCUAUGCAUCUCCUCAAAAGAGAAGUCGAGCAUACCUAAAAUAAAGACAUGAAAAAAAAAAGGCAAUACUCCUAAGAUUUGAGAAUAUAUAUGUAAGAAAAAAUGAAGAAUAAUAACACAAUUGAAGGCAGUGUUUCACUCACAUGGAUUAUAAAAUUUGUCUCCUUCAAAAUCCUCUUCCCCACAAUCUCAAUCAUUAGAAUCCAAUUCCUUAGAAUCUUCCUCUUUAUAGUUCUGGGCAUUCAGCAAACAUAAAGUCUCAUAUUGGGUAGGAAAGAUAAAAACUAGAAUGAUGAAAGUUAAAAUAGAAUUAGGACAUAAAUUCAUUUGGAUAGGAGGGAAAAUCAUAGGAUAAUUAUCCUUGUGUUCUCUAUAAGUGGUAGUUAUUUAUUUAGUGCUAAUUCUUGGUUACAUUUUGGCAACAAUAUUGAUAAAUAUUAUAAACCACCUCAAGUCUUGCCUGGUUCUUCUAUGCAUAAAUGAGACUCUCUAAUUAGAAUCUUGGUGUAGAACUUCAAAUGGAUGUCUACCUUUGACUUUUGACAAAAGGAAAAAUAUUAUCAUAACCUGUAAUAUCUCAUAUUAGAUAAGGGAAAAUAGUCCUAAUAUCUUUAUAAUGGAUUUCUCUUAAAUAAGUGGAUGACUUUGAAAAGUGUGAGAGCUCAUUAGGAACAAAGUGAAUAAUAUCUAUAUGGGAGGGAAUAAAUAGUUACAAAAGGUAUUAGAGUCAAUCCCUAAGCCCGACAUUACAUGACCAUAUAAACUAUUUUUUUUUCUAGAUGCUUUAUGUUUUUUGUCAACAAAAUCAAAGAUGAUAAAAGAAUGAAGAUUUGACAAUUCUUAUAUCACUUUCGUCCCUUUAAUGAUGUCUACACCAUCAAGAAAUUAAUUCUCAGACCCAAAUCCAAAAAAAAAGAAAUUUCCUUUUUUUCUUUUAUUUUAGACUAGAUAAAUUGAUACUAGCUAAAUUAAUUCCCAAUCCAAUACAAGUAUCCUUCACUCUUUAGGUUUCAACAAGACUUCAAUUUUCUUAUCCAAUUAAACAUCACAAUCUACAAACCAAAAAGAAAAGGAGAAUAUUGUCUAUAAUAGGUAAAUAUUUCCCAUCCAAUGUCCCAUAAUAGUCUAAAUCUAUAUUAAAUCCCAAACAAUUUUUAAAAUUCAAGAAUGAUAUACCUUCAAACAUGUGAUAAUAACUUAGGCCUCUCCCUCAAACUCUAACUUGGAAAAUAAAAGUCAAAUAAGAUUUUAUUGAAUUUCCCAGCUUGCUAAAUUAUGGUUCCAUGAGACACCCCCAAUUCUAGAACUAUUUCAACUUGUAAGACAUCUUUUAUCAAUGCUAACACGAUUAUUCAAUGAACUUAAUAAUCAAAUUUCUUGCUUCAAUUAUUCUAAAUAAUCAAGUUAGAUGCAAGAUUAGCUCUUAUGCUAUUCUAAAUUAAUUUUUUAACCACAAUACUAGACUCCUCGCUCUCUACCUUUGGAUUUUAUUACAUAUACACAUGUAUUCGUACAUACAUAUGUAAACUUUCUGACAAGCAUUUUGUAGUUGUUGCACAACUUGGGCCUUCAAAAAAUUUCACCAAAACACAAUCACUUGAACCUUUCAUUUCUUAAAUAAUCAAUAAAUUCAUGUGCAAUUGUUUAAAAAAUAAUAGUAACUCCUAUAUAAAAUGUAAAUUUUUUAAAAGACUUACCUCAAAAGGAUAAUAGUUUAUAAAAAAUUGAGGUAUUAAAAUUUUUUUACUAUCUUAAAUUUUAAAAUUUUAAAGAACAUAUAGUAAGUUCAUACUUUUUGUAUAAGAGUUCUUAUAUUUUAUAUGGAAUGUAUUAUUAUUUCUUCUUAAAAUAAAUAAAUAAAUAAAGUGUAUCUAAAUGAAACCUUAAGUAUCAAAUUUUUUUCUAUAACUAUUCUAACUUGAUGUUCUAACUUCUGGCUUCAACUACAAUGCUAUAUUCUCUUUUUAUAGUUCUGCACCUAAAUUGAUUGGUGUGUGUGUAUAGAUUUAAAUAUUUUGACAUGCACUUUCACUUCUUAAGUCACAAGAGAGCCUCAUGGCUUCUUAAACAUGUUAAGAAAUUAGAAUAUGAAAGAGUAAUGAUGUCACUAAGGUAGCAAACAAUAUCAACACAAAUUGCUUAUAUUAAGAAAUUAAACAUGUCACCUUCCAAACCUAUUUCUUGAAAGAGUAUCUCCACUUUAUCACAAUUGCACACUUUUAAUUCCUUCAAAAGUUGUCAUCUUGAAGCAAACCUUCUCGAAUAAAAUCUUUUGAGUUGGUGUAAGGAUUCGAGUGUAAAAGAGGUUAGUUUAGGGAAUAAGAAUAAAGGUGUCGUUUCAUCUUCAUCUUCAUCUUCAUUGACAACAAUUACCUCUAAUACUUCACAAGAUAAUAUGCAUAGGUCCUCAAGUUGCACAAGGGCUUUUGCCACGGAAAGGGGAAAAACAUUCAAUAUUUUGUUGCAAGAAGCUACAUGCAAGUGCUUUAGUUUGGAAAAGGAAUCUGCUGAAAGUUGGUUGUGCCACAAUGCUCUCACAUUAUCCACAAGGUAGGGAAUGCAGCCUGUGCAAUUGAUGAUCCCUUUUGGUUCUACACGCAUGUAAAUAGAAUAUGAAAAAGCACAAAAAUAAAUUCACAAUUUUAUCUAAAUAUUUUCUAAAUGGGAAACUUUAUUAUUAUGAGGGGUCUAAAACUAUUAGCUUGAGAGGUCUCAUUAUAUAAGACUUUGCUUUUGUUAUUUUCCAUUUAUACGUACGUUCUCCAAUAUAACUUUUAUUGAUUAAAAAUGAGUAGAUAAUGCAAUUUUCUCAUAUUAUUUAACAUUGACAUGUUGGAUUGGUUUUUACUAUGCCCCUCAAUCCAUCUCUAUCUUAUUCUUGAUUUAUACCAAUGCUACUUAAAAAUGGAAAACUUGCUUAUGGCAACAAGCUUGGAACUCAUUAGGAAGGAAAGUUUAUUGUCAUUAAUCGUAUGAAACUAAUAGAAUUCUCAUUAUAUAAUUCUUUGGUUUUAUUAUUUUUUGUUAAGCUAACCAAAUUCAGUUAGGAAGUUAGCUAACCUGUAACUAUGGUCAGUUAGUAACUAAAGUCAGUUGGUAACCAAAGUUAAAUUCCAGAAGUUUUGAUAUAAAAACAAAUGUAAAUCAAUCAGAUGAAAAAAUGAAAGCAAGAACACAUUUCAGUUCCAGAUUUUCCAAUACCCUGUUUUCUCUUCGUUAUACUCUGUUUUUCUGCUACAACCUGUUCUCUUCAUUUUCUCUUCAACAAAACAUUUUUCAUUUAUACAUUCUCCAAUACAAUUUUACUAACUUAAAAUGAGUAGAUAAUGUGACUUUAUUAUAGUAGUAAAUUAUUAAGCAUUUAUAUAUUGGAGUAAUAUGUAUAUGAUUAUUUUAUCUGGUUUUUUCAUAAACUUGGUUACUAUAGCAUAUAUUAAGAGGUAAUAAUAUAUAUAUAUAUGAAAUCCUGGUUAAAAGCAACAUGCAUUUGGAAGUGAAGAUAGAUUGCACAAUCUAAAAACUUGACAUAUCUUUUUUUAUUAAUUAAUUAUUAUUUUAAAAAGGUUUUAUUCAUGUGAUUUGAUGAAUGGACAAAUAAGAUUUGAAAAUAAAAAUAAAUUAAAUAUAUUUAUCAAACACUUUCUAAAAUAUCGAUUUACUAUCACAAAUUAUAAAAUCAAAAUUAUAAAAUUAAAACAUUGGUUUCCAACUGCAAGUUCAUCAUUUUAUUAAUAUCUAUAUUAUGUUUAUCUUCUUCUUCUACAUUUUGUUUGAUGAUUGUUAUUUUUUUGGUAAUAAACAAAGUAUUUCAUAAUUUUAAAACUUUAUAACUCUUAUAAAAAGAUUCAUUCUUUCCAAAAUCGAAUUCUUCUCUAAUAUAUAUAUAUAUUUAUAAUUUUCUUUAAACCAUAUUAAUAUCAAAUUUUCCUUUCACGGAAAUAAAAAGAGCUUAAUAUAGAAAGAAAAUUAACAAAAAUAUUGAUUUUUAAAAUAGUUAGGCAAAAAAUCAUAUAAUAAUUAAAAUUUAUUCAGAAAAUUAAAAUAAAGAUAAUAAAUGUAUGAUAAAUAAGAAAAUUUUAAAAAGGAAGAAAGACAGGUACAAAUACUUUUUACUAAAAUUUUAUAUAAUUUUCUCUUUUAAGUUUACUUUUUAAUUUUACAAAUACUUUUUAAUUUUGGUUUUUAUUUUUUAGAAUUUAUUUAUUUAGUGUAAAAGUAGUAGUAUAAAUAAAUACUAGAAAUGGCAGAAAUGAGAUAUCAAGUAGUAAGAUACCUGUUGAUUGAAAAAUGUCGCCGACUCCGGGAUACCGCUGCUUCUUGUGGUGUAGAAGCUAAUGAGCUUUGGGAGAACCCUCAGUGACAAGGAUUGCAGUUGAGGAAAAGCUGAUUCCCUUCCAUGUUGUGUGGGAAGAGAGAAGACAUAUUUCAAACUCUCACACUGACUCACUCUUACAAUUCUUAAGUUACCAAAAGACCCCAUUCCAUGGCAUACGGCCUCCAAGUUACCGAGGGAAGUAAGAAACAGUUCCUCCAACAUACAGAAUGUAUUACGUGGUGGAACCCAUUCCACUGAAGUGGAAUGAAGGAUGUAUUGCAUGGUAGAUACAGAGAUACUUCACUUGAGGAAAACCAUCCUCGUCUAACUCAUAAACCACAUGUUUAGUAUCAUUCAAUCUCCACAACUGUACAACUUGACUUCUCUUCAACAGUUUGGAGAAGCGGUUCACCACAUGAAGACUUUUAAUCCCAUCCAGCCUCAAAACCUUCUCGAGGCUUUAUACUCAUAAUCAUUUGGCAACCUUGCUAUGGAUUUCUCCUCAUCGUAUGGCCUCCAAGAAUCACAUCAUCUUCGGGAAGCAAACUGGGAUUAGAUACUUCUAACUCCAAAGUCCUCAAGCCGGAUAGGUGUUUCAGCUCAGAAAGGCAAGCAUUAAUUCUUUCUCCGCUAUUAAAUCCUUCUGCCUCCCAUUCAAUAUUAACACUUCCUUUCAUGCUCAAAUACUCUAAUCGAGAUAGACUGAAUAUAAGAUUUUGUGGAAUUACUUUGAGGGAGAAGCAAUACCGCAAAUCCAACACCCUUAGAUCACUCAAUUCCAUCAUUUCUUUUGGCAACUGAUAAAUGUGGAAGCAUGCCAAACAGAGAACUUGUAGUCUCUCCAGGUGUCCAAUUACUGCUAUGUCUUCUAGCACGCAUCUAUUUAGACACAAUGUGCGAAGAUUUAAGAGAAAACCAAGCGAUGAAGGAGAUGGCUUGAGAGAUACUCCAGACAAAUCUAAAACUGUCAGUUCUUUGGUGUCUUGGAAAAAGAUGUCUGGAAUUUUCAAGUAAAAAUCACUUGAAUACAAUAAAAAGAACUUGAGUUUGGGACAUACCAAUCCUUGAGGAAGCUCAUCGAUGUUUUUGCAUUACAAAGAGAUAUGAGUGCAAUUUCUGCAUUCAUUCAUCCACUGCCAUUCUUCUUGUAAUCCAACCGCUUCUUUCACCACAAAUUGAUGAGGAUCUUUGGAUGCAAUUGAUAUGGCAACAUCACGAACAACAUCAUGCAUUCUGACAAACGCGUCAUUGAAAAACAAGCUCGAAAAUCACUCAUUGCCUCUGUCUUCAUCGUCAAGCAAGCUUGAGGCUUUCAGGUUUUCCACCAGUGUAAUUAGUUUAUUUGCUGCUUUCUCCCAUGAAUAGAAUCCUUAAAACAAAUUCAAACCCAUAGCAUAUAGUAGCAAGAAAUCCAUGUAAAUAUCUCCCAACCCCAGAACACCACAAAGUAAAAACAAUGACUUUACUUCAUCACUUUCCAAAUGGUUGUAGCUCAGCUCCAGACAUGAGUAGACGUCUUUACUCACUCCUCUGAUGUUUGUUGGUGCAGACCUUCUCAGUUCUUCCAAGGCAUUCUCCCAUACAUGCACACUCUCACCUCUUAAUGCAUUUGCAAUGGUGACAAUUGCAACUGGUAGACCGUCACAUUUUUUAGCUACAUCAACUGCUAUGGGUGAUUCAUGCCCAAUUGGUGUCUCAGCUGAUUUGUGUUCAGCUGGUGCUCCUUGAUUGAGGAAGUGAUCAACAAAAUUUAUUACCUAUAACACCAUACACUAGGGUAGCAAAGAAAAAGCUACUAUAGUAUAGUGGCUCUAGGGUCGUUCACUGGGAAUGACUAACAAGCAAUCAAUGAUACCAAUUCCAAGUGAAUUGGUCUUGUUUCAUUUCAAGGUUAGCUUAAGAAAUAAAACACAAACUUUGAUUUGUAAAGGUUGAGACUUAAACUAACUAACUUAACAGAAGUUUGGAAUAAUUUAGGAAGAAAAGCAUUCCUUGGAGAUUUAGGUUCACUGGGGUGGUUCCUCAUGCAAAAGACAUAGCUCCGGUCAGUUGGUUCAUUUCCUCGCAUUAGAGAUUCAACUUAUAGUCAAUUCUCUAACCGGUGAUGUACAGAGACUCCUUCAAUUAGAUUUCACUUUAAUUCUCUCACUGAUGCAACUUGCAAUGGUUUAAGCCUCUCACUAAGCCUUAGCCAUUCAAGGUGAUCUUUAACCUUGGAUUACCCGUCAAAAGCUCGCAAGAGAUAACUAAUGGAUGUCUCCUAGGAGUCCAAAAGCUUAUCAAGUGUUGGCUAUUCUAGAAAAUCCUACCCUAAAGUCACCUACCAGAGGCUCGCAAGGGGUAAACUAGUGCAUUUCCAUGGUUGGAAAUCACUUGCCUUACCAAGUGUUGGCCCAGGUGACUCCAAGGUGUUUUAAGUUAACUAAAAACAUAGAAAUCACUAAAGGAUUUCACUUCCUCUUCAUUACUAGCUAAAACCACAGAGCUUUGCAUUCUUGCACUUGGAACCUUCCCUGGCAACCUUAGCUCCAAGGAAUUAGAAGUUUAGUUACUCAUUCUCUGGGGAAAACUCCUCAGAGAAUUCAUAACUUAGAAAUAAAAUGAAAAUACAAAGUGAGAAGGUAAGGCAGUAGAAAGAAAAUAGACUUUACUUGCUUACCCAAACGGUUACAGAAGGAACUCCUCCCUGAGAACAGGCUCCCGAGAGGUAUUUAUAUCAAAACAAUAUAAAACUAAUUUUUACAAAGAUAUUUAAUCUUUUUACUAACUUAAAAACUAAGGAAUCAUGUAAUUGGUGGUUUACAAGGAGUAUUUUGGGAUUUAGACAACAAAAAAUCUAAUGGAAAAUAUCUCCCAAUGUCGGUAGCAAGCUUCGGAAGGCUUCAAGAACCAUUUUGCAGGAGAAAAAUGGUGUCUGCGAAAUUUCGCAGACACCCAAGAGGGCUGCGAAGUUGGCUUCCACCUUGAGGUUCCCAGCUCCCUUCUCGCGGCAUGGUUCGUGUAUCGUCAGAAGGAGAAACACCUUACUGUACAAAAAUGCUGCGAAAUCACUUCGCAACAAAAGGGUGAUUUCGCAACACUUUGCAAAAUGCUUCCUUCAGCUCGGACUGACUGGCUUGUAAUGGCUGCAACUUCUUCGUUUCAACUCCGAAUUGCACACCGUUUGAAGCAUUGGAUUGUUAACUUCCUGAAAUUUGAAAUGGUAUAUAGCAUGCAUCAUUUGGACUUCAGAAAGUGCUCCAAAAGUGGCUGCUACGACUGUCAUCAAGAAUAAGCUACAUGGCAGAUUCUCUUUGCUUUUUCUCCUUGCAAUCCGGAUUCACUCUUGGCAAAUGACUUCUCAACUUUGCCCAAGAUUCCUCAAAGCUCUCCUCAUUCUUGACUUGCUUUGGUGAUCAAUAUACUAUCAAAAACACCAAAACUUAUACAAAGUGAUCAAAAUUGCUUUAAAGGAUCCUUAACAUGCCAAUUGAGUUAAAAGGCCUAAACUACUACUCAAAAGUGUUUAAAAGGAUUAAUUAUAGGCUAUCAAAUAGCACUUUUUGAGUAGUAAUCAAUGGGAUGCAGUUCAGGCUUCUCCACGGAAUCAACUGCUGUCUUCUUGAAUAAAUUCCAGGCUUCAUCUUCACUUAAAUGUUGAAGAUGGAACUCCUUUUGAGUACGCAUAUCUUUAGAUAAAACCUGACGCUCCCGGGAAGUCAGCAGCACUUUGCACCCCUUGUGAUCAUCUCGGUAAGGAAUUCCUAUUUCUCCCAACUCAAGUUUCCCCCAAAUAUAAGUUAAAUGAGUUUGAAGAAGGAUAUACAAAUAAUUUGUUGAUUUUGAAUUUAUUUUUUUAUUUUUCUUCCACUUUUUCUCAUAUUUUUCCUCAAAUUUUCUGGGAACCAAACAUUAGCUUAGGAUUUUGAAACUGGAAAUGGAAAUGAGACAUAAAACAUGUUUUCUGGUGGCAUGUUUUGAAAGCUGUUUGAGAAAACGUUUUGUAAAGAUAAGUCAUUAAAAAAUCUUUAAAAAUGCAAGCACUAUAAUAAUUGAAAAUGAUAAAAUGAUAAAACAACCUUACCUUGACAAACAAACAGAGCAUUCUACUGCCAAUGUUGGCUCGCAAAACAGUGUCAAGAAAGUAAUAUAAUAAUAACAUAUUUAUUUAAAUAGAGAUUGUGUUUAGUGGAACAAUUAAAGGGUAAAUUAUGUUUAGUGGAAUAAUAAAGGGUUUCUGUGGCCUGUAUCUCUCUACCCAUAUCACAAAUUGAAAAAAAAAAUAGAAAAAUUAAGAAAAAUAAAAUUUUUAAUAAAUAUAAGUCUAGAUCAAAUAAAUAAAAGGAAUAGGUAUUAAAGUAGAUUUAGCUUAAACAAAAAAUAAAAAAGAAGAUUCUUAGAAACAAAUUUAGGGAACAAGAGUUUUACAUAAAAUUGGAAUUUAGAAAGUAAUUAAUUAAAUUGAAAUAAAUUAAUAACAAUAAAUAAUAUUAACAUAAAAUUUAUUAAGAAUAUCAAACUAUAAUUUUAGAUAAAUUGUUAAUAUUAGUAAUUGUUUUUUAGGUACAUUAUGCUAAGUUAUGUUUAAGCUCUCAGUAUUUAAAUUUUCAGUUCUUCAAGAUAAAGGGAAAUCAAUACAAAUUUUGUAAAAGAAAAUAUUUUUUUUGUAUAUAUUAUUUUAAAAUUAUAUCAAAUAUUAUUUUGUUUCUUUACAUGGAUCAAAUACAUUUUGCAUGAAAAAUAUGUUAGAUUAUCUUUGACUAUUUAUAACCAAAAAUACAAAUAUUUUGCGAGUUCAAAUAAAAUGAAACAAAUUGUUUAACUUUAGUUUAUUUUACCCUAGUUGACAAAGGGAUUAUUUUAGACCUUUAUAUUCAUUUGUUGGGAAAUAUGAUUGCAUUGAAUAUGGGUUUUAUUUCAUCCACCUUAAAAAGUAAGACUACCUAGUUGUAAAGUCCCAUUUAAUUGGGCAUUGUUUUCUCUUUCUUAGUAAGAGUAAAUACAUUUUAAAAUAAUUUGAUUUUGAUUUAAUAAGAAAUUAUUAUUGACAUAAAUAAUAUUGGUUGAAAAUUUUGAAUAUCUUAACAUGUUUGAACUUCAAGAAGUUUUAUGAAAAUGAUUGUAAAAUCAUGUCUUACUAUUUGUAUUCAUAUUUGAAAAUUUUUCAUCCAUAAAACUAUAUCAAUAUUCUUUAUUCAUUGCUAUAUAAAUUGAGAAUUUUGAAACUAAUUAAUCAAAUUGAAAUUGAUUAAUAAUAAUAAUAAUAAAUAUUAAGAAUAAUAAUAGUAAUACAAAAUAUUAUUAGAAAUGUGAAACUAUCAUUUUAGUAAGAUAACUAAUUGUAGUAGUUGUUUUUAACCUAUGUUAUGCUAUGUAAGGUUUUAGUUUUUCAAGAUUUAAAUUCUUCAAGAAUUUGAAUACUUCUUUAAGGUAAGGAAAAUUAACACACAAUAUUAUAAGAAAUGUCAAAGUAUAAUUUUAGAAAAAUAGCUAAUUAUAAUAGUUGUUUUUUACCCAUGUUAUGGUGGUGAGGUUAAAGUUCUUCAAGAUUUUUUUUUUUUUUUUUUAAGAAUUUGAAUGCUUCUUCUAGGUAAGGAAAUUAAUACAGAUUUUAUGAAAGAAAAUAUAUCAUUUUUGUAUGUUAUUUUGGAAUUAUAUAAAAUGUUUUUUUGCAUGUAUCAAAUACAUUUUGCAUGAAAAUAUGUUAGAUCAUGAUCUUCGGGGUUUUUUUUUUUUUUUUUUUUUUGUAGUAGAAAAAUAUGAAGAUAUUAUAAUUUUUAUAAGUUUGGAUCAAAUGAAACAAAUUGUUUGGCUUUGGUUGAUUGGCCCAAGUUGGUUUAAGAGAAAUUGAAGCUGGGAUUGGGUGAGUAUUCAUUGCAAAUCCAUUACUGAUGAUGAUUAUUUUGAUGAAGCAAAGCAUGAGAUUAGGUGUCUACCUAUUUGCAUGCUGACUAGGCUUAUCCAACUUGUUGCUCUCUAAUUUAUGUUUACUAUCUUUAUUUAGUGAAUUUGAAAAGGUACCUAUCGUGGUGCCAGUAGACCAUUAAGUGGGAGUGAGGAAAUCUUUUGUGCCUUUUUUCUUUUGAAUUAUUAAUCCAAUUUAACUAAUUACCCAAAUUAAUUACUUGUUCAAUGAAGCCAAUCCGUGAAGAACGUAAAAGGAACCAUCCCAAAUAAAUAUAAAAAGUACUAGUACCAGUACUAAGUCCCAUUUGGAUCCACUUCUUAUUUUUAAAAAUAGAAGUCAGUAAUAACUUCUAUAUAAAAAAAUAGAAACUCUUAUACAAAAAAUGUUUAGAUUUAUCUUAUGUCUCUAAAAAUUAUUUUUAAAAGAUUUUAAAAUUUAAGGUAGUAAAAUUUUUUUUGAUACUCUUUAGAAGCUUUUAAGGGGUUAUUAUUGUGCCUCUUUGAGGGGUUUCUUGUUGAACAGGGCUCUUUGGAUUUUCAUAUUUGAUAUUAGCAAUGGCUUUCACUAAUACUAUCAUCCAAUAUCUUCCAUCUUUUUCUAAAAAAAAAGUUAUUUUUGAAAAUUUCCAGUAAUAUGGGGACAAAUUAACAAAGAUUGAUCAUGAUGUAAAUCUGCGACUAAUUGAUGAGUACAACGUCUAUGGAUUGUCAACUCUGAUACUCUUAAAAAAUGGACAGGAAGUUCCAAAAAGAAGAAGGGAAGUUGCAAUUACAAAAGCCAAGCUAAAAGAAUAUGUGGUGGAUGCUCUUUUGAAGUCGAUAUCAGUAGCAUAGUUCACUUCUGGAUUACAAAAAAUUUGCUGCGUAAUUAUCUCCUUUGUAUAUUAAUUCUUAUCCUAUUUCAUUUGUACAAUAUAUAUUUCUAUAAACAAUUGAAAAUUUUGAUCCUGAGAUUAGAUUUGAGGUGUAGGUUAAAUGUAAUUUUUCAUGCCUAGCAAUUUUCUGGUAUCUACUCCCUGAAUAUUUAUAGAAAACUGAUGUUAUUUUGUUUUUUGUGUUGGUGCACUACCAACAAAGAAGUAUUUAGCUAGUCUCCGCGUGACGUAGACAGCGGUUGCACCUGCACAAAAGAAUGUCUGGAUGGGUUUUCCGAACAUACCCCUCUGAAGCUUAAGUAAAAAAUGGAAGACUUGAGCAAGAGAUUUUUUGGAAAAAAAGUGGUAGCAUACCUUUCCUUUGGUGAAUAAUGGCUAUUUAUCCUUGCCCAAAAGUAGCAUCUUCUCAAUGCCUUAAUCGUGCCUUUGAUUGCAUUUUUACCGUCUUUAAUGUUAAUGACUGUCAGCUCAUAACGAUUGUUGUGCCUUGAUGAGUCGAGAAAUACUCUGGCGUUUUAGCUUCAUAACGGUUGCGUUAAUCAAUGCGCUUAAUGUCUGUUGUACCUAAUGCUUAGCAAGCAGGAAUGUAUCGUGCUCGAUUGGUUUGUGUCCAUCUAUACCCAGGGUAGACAAAUAAUGCUAAAUGGCUCUUGUACAGAAUAUGCGUUAUGGAUCAUGCUAGACGAUAGUGAGCGUCCCACAAUGCUCCUUAAUUCUUGCAAUUAGGUUCAACUAGGUUCCAAAUGGUCAGGUGGAAGAAUUUUAUUGCCCAUGCAUUUAAAUUAUUAGUGCCAUGGGACAUGUGUCCAUUGCAUGCGUCGCAAAGGGUCACAUCAUUAGGACAUGUAUCCACACCAUGCACGCCUUGAUGCAUGCACCCAUGCCUUAUAUAAGAGAUUGCUUUUGGGUUUCCUUUUCCAUUUCAUUUUGAGGGUUCAUUUUUCAUGCCUUCUCUGUGAUUUUUCAUUACUGCCUAUGAUUUCGACUUUGUCAUUGGCUUUCAGCAUUGUUGCCAACAACAUUCUUCUUUCAAAUUAGUUCUUUCUAUCUCAUGGUCUUCAUUGUAGUGUAGUAUUAUGUUUCUCUAUUCAUAUUGCUUUUUGAUUGAGUUUUUUUUAUCUUUGAAGACUGCUUUCUCCAUUUCUGCUUUUAAAUGCUCUUGGUUGUUUGUUGUUGUGAGGUUGUGUAUGUAUAGACUAGCUUUUUGGUGUCGGAAUCUUCCUCUAGGCUUCCUAUAGGGAGCUUUUUCUUUGCAAAGUUUGGCUAGUUUUAGAUAACUUGCCCAACAAGUCUCUGUUGGUUUUGGUCCGUAUAGGUUGAGAUGGUAUUUCAUUCUAGGAAAACAACCCGUUUACAAACCUGUUUGAUUAAGGCGUCAUUGUGUUGACCAAUUUGUAUUUUUGCCACAUCGGUUUGUAACAACCCGCACCCAACCAUGUAGAUAUUGUCCGCUUUGGGCCCAAGAGGGCCCUCACGGCUUUAAAACGCGUCUACUUGGUUAAGAGGAGUCUCUACAUAUAUAACGCUAGGAACUUUCUCUCAUAUCCGAUGUGGGACAUCACCAACACUCCCCAUGUAGACACAACGUCCUCGUUGUGUCACAUGGGAUUGCGGGGCCAAACAGACAAACACCCCUUACAGGGCCAAAAAAAUCCCCACACCGGGGUCGGGGAUCGGCUCUAAUACCAUUUGUAAGGAUCCGCACCCAACCGUGUAGAUAUUGUCCACUUUGGGCCCAAGAGGGCCCUCACGGAUUUAAAACGUGUCUACUUGGUUAAGAGGAGUCUCUACAUAUAUAACGCCAGAAACUUUCUCUCAUAUCCGAUGUGGGACAUCACCAACAACCAAACAAACCCCCACACAGGGGUCGGGGAUCGGCUCUAAUACCAUUUGUAACGACCUGCACCCAACCAAGUAGAUAUUGUCCACUUUGGGCUCAAGGGGGCCCUCACGACUUUAAAACGCAUCUACUUGGUUAAGAGGAGCCUCUACAUAUAUAGCGUUAGGAUCUUUCUCCCCUAUCCGAUGUGGGACAUCACAAACACCCCCCAUGCAGACACAACGUCCUCGUUGUGUCCCAUGGGAUUGUAGGGUCAAACAGACAAACACCCCUUAUGGGGCCAAAUAAACCCCCACACCGGGGUCGGGGAUCGGCUUUGAUACCAUUUGUAACGACCCGCACCCAACCAUGUAGAUAUUGUCCACUUUGGGCCCAAGGGGGCCCUCACGACUUUAAAACGCGUCUAUUUGGUUAAGAGGAGCCUUUACAUAUAUAGCGCCAGGAACAUUAUCCCCUAUCUGAUGUGGGACAUCACAAACACCCCUCCAUGCAGACACAACGUCCUCGUUGUGUCCCAUGGGAUUGUAAGGCCAAAUAGACAAACAAACACCCCUUACGGGGCCAAACAAACCCCCACACCGGGUCGGGGAUCGGCUCUAAUACCAUUUGUAAUGACCCGCACCCAACCAUUUAGAUAUUGUCCGCUUUGGGCCCAAGAGGGCCCUCACGGCUUUAAAACGCGUCUACUUGGUUAAGAGGAGUCUCUACAUAUAUAGCGCUAGGAACAUUCUCCCCUCUUGAAACUUUAGCCACAUAACUCAUGAAGUUCAUGGCUUCCUCUGCUAUCUCGUAUUCAAUAUGGCAUGCACAACUAGCAAUUUGUAAAUUAGAAACAGAGAAAACAAAAGAAAACAAAAGAAAAACAAUUCUAAGAAAAAAUUAAGGUAAACUAAAAACUAAAUAAAAAGUAUACUAAAAUAUGAACAAAGAAAAAUAAACAAAUAAAAAGAGUUAGUAAAAGGAAAAGAAAAGUCACCAAACUUGUGAUGAAGAUCACAAGUACUCUAAAAAGGUCAUAUCACUGUAAAGUGGCACCAUCCCCGGCAACGGCGCCAUUUGAUUCAUGCCCAAUUGGUGUCUCAGCUGAUUCGUGUCCAGCUGGUGCUCCUUGAUUGAGGGAGUAAUCAACAAAAUUUAUAACCUAUUACACCAUAUACUAGGGUAGCAAAGAAAAAGCUACUAUAGCAUAGUGGCUCUAGGAUCGUUCAAUGGGAUGGGCUUUCACUUCACAAAUGAUAUUAAUUCAAAGUUGAAUUGGUGUCUUUUCAUUUCAAGGUUAGCUUUAGAAGAAAACAUAAAGAUGUUUGAAAGAAAAAGGUUUGGUUUUAAACUAACCAAAAAUAGUAACUGAUUUUACUUACAAAGAAAAGUGUUUCUUGGAGUUUCAGAUCACUAGGCUUAGAUUCCUCAUACAAAAAGAGAGUUCCGGUCACUUGUUUCUUUUUCCUCGCAUUAGAGAAUUAACAUAUAGUUCCUUCUCCAACCGGUGUUGUACAGAUGCUUCCCAUUAAUGGGUUCAAGCACUAAAUCCCUCUCACUGAUGCAUCUUGCAAUGGCUCAUACCUCUCAUCUAGCACUUGCCAUUCAAGGUGAUCUUUAACCUUGGAUUACCCGUCAAAAGCUCGCAAGAGAUAACUAAUGGAUGUCUCCUUGGAGUCCAAAAGCUUACCAAGUGUUGGCUAUUCUAGAAAAUCCUACCUUCAAGUCACCUCCCAGAAGCUCGCAAGAGAUAAACUAGUGCAUCUCCAUGGACGGAGAUCACUUGCCUUACCAAGUGUUGGCUCAGGUGAAUUGAAGGCGUUUUAAGUUAACUAAAAAGAUAAAAACCAUUAACGGGUCACACUUUCUCUUCAUUAAAAACUAAAACAACAAAACUUCCAAUUUAUGCAUGUGGAAACUUACCCGGUUACCUUAGCUCCAAGAGACGAAGAGCCUAGCCUCUCAUCCUUUGAGGGAAAACCCUCAGAGUUUGAUUGGCUAGAAAGAAAAAUAACGAGAAAACAAAAAUAUAUAGGAAAAACAGAGCAAGUGCUCUGUAGAAUAUAUUUCUUCCUUUCAAAACUGUACAAAGGAUGCGUCUUCCUCCUCCUCCUCUUCCCUCUCGAGAUGAUAUAUAUAAAGAAAAUUACAAAACAAAAUAUCUGAGGUUAUUCACCCUUUUUCCAACUUAAUAACUAAGGAAUCCUAUAAUUGGUGGGUUAUAAGGAGAAAAUGGGGAUUUAGACAUCAAAAAAUCUAAAGCAAAAUAUCCAAAAGUGUCGGUCGCAACUAUCAGGAAGCUUCAGGACCGUUGCACUGUGCAAAAUGGCUGCGAAAUCAUUUCGCAGCAAAAGGAUGAUUUCGCAGCCAUACAAAAUUCUUCCUUCAGCUUGGAGUGAUCAGUUUGCAAUAGUUGUAACUCCUUCAUUUCAACUCCAAAUUGCUUACUGUUUGAAGAAUUGGAUUGUUGACUUCCUGAGCUUCGAAACAACAUAUAGCAUGCAUAAAUUGGACUUCAGGAAGUGGUCCAAAAGUGGCUGACAUGACUGUCAUCAAGAAUGCUUCAUGGCAGAUUUCUCUUUACUUCCCUUCCUUGCAUUCCGGAUUUGCUUAUGGCAAAGGACUUCAAAGCUUCGAUUCUUCAUGUUUCUGAGCUUUCCAUUGCUUUGCCAUGGAUUCCAAAUAACUCACCUCAAUCUCGGAUUGCUUUGGUGAUCAAAAAGCUAUCAAAACACCAAAACUUAACACAAUUUGAUUAGAAGUGCUUGCAAAGGUCCUUAAUAUGUUAAUUGGGUUAAAAGGCAAUAACUACUACUCAAAAGUGUUUAAAAGAGUUAAUUACAAGCUAUCAAAUAGCACUUUUUGAGUAGUAAUCAGCAGACUAUUUCGUCAAAGGAUCAGAGACCCAUCCUCAUAUGGGGGAUUUUGACGUUGUGACUGAUAUAAAGGGAGUGGAUGAGCUUCAACAUCAAUUUCACCAUUUACAAUUAGGAGAUGAGACUUUUGGUACAUCAGUGUUAGUGAUGAUUGUUCAUUCGUUACCAAAUCGAGCCAACUUUUUAUCUUUGUGCUUUCCAGAGGAGACUACUGAUUGUGGAGUAGAUGUUGAGCCUACUGGGGUGACUGAUGGAGUUGUUCCUUGUGAGGAGUAUAGGAUUGAAAUAGAUAUGAUGAGUAUGAAUUAGAUUGCUAAGAUGGUUCAAUUUGAGUUUGCUUCACCGUUCGAUCUGUUCGGGGUGUCUACUAUCGAGGUUGUCGAGGAGAUCCAGACAGUUCUUACUCCAGAGCUUAUGGAGGAUGUUAUAGUUGGUGAUGAUGAGUUUUAAGACACUUUUGGCUUUAUUAAGGGAGCGUCCAACUUUGUGGACCCACCACCUUUAUUUAACAUUUUAUCGGGAUUCAUUUCCCGCUUUGACGAUGUUUAUGAUUCUGUAUCCAUGGAUUUGAAUAUUUUUUAGUAUUUGCCAAUCUCUUGUGAUAGUAUUUAUAUAUCUGCACCCUACUCACUCACUCCACAGAUACUUGAUAUAGAUGAUGAGAUCACACAGCCUGAUUCAAAUAGAGACUCUUCUGAUCAUGACUCAGAUCCCAUAGAUGAAAGAAUUUCACCCGCUAUAGGGGAUGUUGAAAUUAUUGAUUUUGGCAUAGAGGAUUAGCCUAGAGAGCUGAAGAUUGGUUCACCCCUGUCUACAGACGAGAAGGAUAGACUUAUUCAUUUACUCAGGUCAUACUUGGAUAUUUUUGCAUGGUCUUAUGAGAACAUGUCGGGUCUAGAUCCCUCUAUAGUCCAGCACCAUCUGCCUAUCUUGCCACAUGUCAGACCCGUUAAGCAUAAAUUGAGGAGAUUGCACCCACGUUGGAGUCUACAGGUGAAAGAGGAAAUUUAGAAACAACUCAGUGUUGGAUUUAUAUCAGUGGUUGAGUAUCCAGAGUGGUUGGCUAAUGUCGUCUCUGUUCCCAAAAAGGAUGGCAAAGUUAGAGUUUGUGUUAAUUUCAGAGACCUUAAUAAAGCUAGUCCUAAGGAUGAUUUUCCUCUCCCACACAUUGAUCUGUUAGUUGAUAGUACUAUAGGUCAUUCGAUGUUAUCCUUCAUGGAUGGAUUUUUGGGGUAUAAUCAGAUUCUGAUGGCUCUAGAGGAUAUGGAGAAGACAACCUUCAUUACUAAGUGGGGUACUUACGGUUACAGAGUUAUGCCAUUUGGGUUGAGGAAUGUAGAAGCUACUUAUUAGAGAGCCGCUACCACUUUGUUUCAUGACAUGAUGCAUAGGAAUGUGGAAGUUUAUGUGGAUGAUAUGAUUGUGAAAUCCCGAAGUAGAGCAGAUCACCUAGCGGCUCUAGAGAAAUUCUUUUAGAGGAUUCAAAAAUUCAGGUUGAGGCUAAACCCUAAGAAAUGCACCUUUGGAGUGACUUCUAUGAAAUUGUUGGGGCAUAUGGUUAGUGAGCGGGGUCUAGAGGUUGACCCAGAUAAAAUCAGAGCCAUACUCGACAUGCUUGUGCCGAGGACUGAGAAAGAGAUCAAGGGUUUUCUGAGCAAAUUACAGUACAUCAGUUGUUUCAUAGCCAGAUUGACAGACAUAUGAGAACCCAUAUUUCAUCUUUUGAGAAAGAACCAACCAACAGUUUGGAAUGAUGUACUUGGGGUACUUGAUGAUGAUGCACAUGAUCUCAUGUUGCAAGAGCAUGAUUCGCGUACUCCCUUAUGGUCGUUUCCUCACCAAAGUGUUCAAGGAUGUCGGCGUUCACUUAAGUAGAGAGACAGAUUUUGAGGUUCCCAGCACUUAUGACACGUAUGAUGAUCAGUCGAUGGCAAUGAUGAAAUUUGAGAAGGUCUCCGAUGGUUCUUGGGUUAGAAAAGCAGAGAGAGCACCAACACAAGCCUUGGGACAGGGAUGACACAUCUCAGAGUAGAAAAGGAGGCCGAGAUACGAGAGGUGGAGGGAGGAGUAGACAAUCAGAGUGGCUAUUGGUAGAGAGAGCCCGAACUUGACAUUCUUCCACUCUAAUCAGAGGGUAUUCAGUUUGAGGCUACCUUCUCUGAGUCGAUGAUGUUUGAGCCGACUUAUAUAGCAGGACCAUCUACUCAACCGUCAUUCAUUGAUUCUUCCUUUGAACCUAGAUUCAUUGAGAUACCACCUUCUCAGGAACCUCUCACUUUUGACCAUACUCCUUUGAUGGAUCUAUCUGCUCAAAUUAGUUCUCUAGGCAAUCGCAUGGAGGAGCUUGUUGUUGUAAGUGAUACUCAAUUCUAUUCCAUGGAAGAUCAUAGGGAUUAGUAUCAGGCUGGUUUCACUUCACAGUUUGAGCAUCUCCAACAGAGGUUUGAGCGUAUUGAGGAUCGAAUGGAUCAACAUCAGGCUGGCUUCACCUCAUAGUUUGAGCAUCUCCAAUAGAGGAUUGAGUGCAUUGAGGAUCGCUUAGAGAAUUAACAUGAGGAGAUGAUGGCUUACCUACUUUCUUUGUUUCCACCUCCACCUUCUCAACCUUGAUUUCGUAGAGACCCCUUUUGUUCCUUUUUUAUGUUGCCAAAAAGGGGAGAUAUUUAGUCUAUAGAAGACUUACAUGCAUCUCAUUGUCAUAUCAUAUGUUUGGAUCGUACAUAUUGGAUAGUGAUACAUUUGACUUAUAUAUGAUAUGCUUAUAUGUUUCAUGACUUAUAUUGUUUCUUAUUGCAAAUUCAUUUUGUCUAGCAUGCCUUGAUUUUCUUGGUUUUAACUUCGUAAAUUUUGAUUGUUGACCCAUGAUUGGUUUGAGGGGGAGAUUCUUCUUCUCCUAGAUAACCAAGGUUUGUCAUCAUCGAAAAGGGGGAGAUUGUUAGCCCAAGGGUUCUCCUAAUUAGGUUUUGAUGAUAACAAACCAUUGUUAAGUUACUAGUUGAUUUGAUUUACAAAGAAUUUCAGGUGUUAAUUUGAAAAUUCAUCAAAUGACCUAAUGAAUGCAAGAUCAAGACCUUUGAAAGACCUUUAAUCAUAGGAAACAUAUGUAAGAUGAAUGCAUGGGUGCACUUAGGUUUUACAUAUCAUUUCAUGCAUCUUUCAAAAACUCGAUUUAUUCUUUAAAGUUACAGUUUCAUCAAAACCUGAGUUUUAUCAAAUGAACCUUAGUCAAAUCUCUUCAAAAUUGGCAUAUUAAUUUACCUAAAGACCUUGCCUAAGUGUUAGAAGAGAAAAUAACAAAAAAAGAUAGGUUUUCGGGCAAAAAAUGGUGAGCUAGUCGAGGCACUGGCCAACCGGCUCAACCGACUAGGGGUGUCGGUCGAUCGAUUCUCUCUUCCCGAUCGAGGUCUGGUCGAGAUGAGCAAAAAACACUUUCUCUUUUCCAGUAGCCUUUCCUUCCAGGUCGAGGUAUUUGCCUUCUUGGUCGACCUCCAGUUGAGGGUAAUGGUCACCUGCCAAGCAUUAAAUGCUCUAAUGGCUAGUGAAUCGGUUGACCCUCAAUUUCGCCGGUUGAGGCUGCUUUUUGGUUUUCUUGGCUCCUAAGGUUAGAAACUUAUAAAUAGAGAGCUCCACUUCAUUUAUGAGUAAGCGAACACCUGCAUUUAUUUGUCUACCCACUUGUUCUUACCUUAAAAGCUCUCAUUCUUUUCUUGGUGCAUUAAAUCCCCAUUUGCAUAUCAUUUAGUGCACCUUUGUGAUAAUCCUAGCCUUAAGUUGUAUUUGAGUUAUUGUUGAGCUAAGUUGAGAGAUUCAUUCUUGUUAAUUGAGUGUUAAAGCCUUCAAGCGAGUUAAAACUUGAAGAGAUUCUGUAAGAGUCCAUUAGAGUCGGAAUCCAAGUGUAAAAGUGAUUAGAAACUUGGUUGAAGCUUCAAGUUAAUAGAACCCUCGCUUGGUUAGGAGCUUGAGCAGAGUGGACCUAGGCAAGAAAGUGUCGAACCACUAUAAAAUCUGAGUUUGAUUUCUCUAACUCUAUCUCUUUAUAUUUGCUUAUCUUGUGCUUAAAUUUGCUGUGUUUAAAAAGAUUUUUUUUUAAAAAAAACCCAAUUCACCCUUCUCUUGGGUGUUUUUCUCAUUUAAGAUUAGCGUUUAUUUUCUCAUAAAUAUAUGAACUUUUCUAAAAAAAAAAAAAAAAAACCCCAGCUAACUUAAUCAUCAGAGAAGGUGAUCCUAGGGAAAAACCGGGCAAGCCUUGUGUAGUAGGUACAAGGAAGCGCGCAGCAAGAAGAAGACGAUUACUUAAGAAAUUCUCAGCUCCAACAAUAGUUGCAACUUUAAAAAAUAAAAAUAAAAUAAAAAACUAUAUGAAUAUCAUUAAUGAUUUUGAGACAAAUUUUAUUUACUAUUUUUAAAAUUUUUCUUGAAAUCUUAGUAUAUUAAUUAUCAUUAGUACUUAAUAGUAAAUCUUAAUAUAUUAAAUAGUUGCGAUGUUCAUGUGACAUCUAUCAUCAAAUUGGAUUUUUUUUAAGCCCAUUAAGGGUAUUAUUGGUAUUUCUAGUUGAUAAAUUCUUCAAAUGUUCUUCACAUCAAUUAUGCAUACACUUCUAUGCUUUGAAUCCAAAUAUGUAUUUUAUAUGGACCUCUCACCUAUUUGUUAGGAAUGAAAACCCUUAAACAUAAUUGUUUCUAUUUUAAAAAGUAAGGUGAAAAGGAAUGUUUUAAAGAAAAUGGUGGAAAAAAUGCAUCGCACACCUUGGAAAAAAAGAAAAAAAGAGAAAAAAACAAUUGUUGGUCUAAUCAACCAAUUCUUUGAUCCAACGAUUCAAAAUCAGUUUAAAGGUGAAAAUGGUAAAAAUGUGAAUCCAACCAAACGUGCAAUCAAUCAAUAAUUUGACCAAUCUAAUUCGAUUUCAAAAACAUUGUUUUACCUUCUCCAAUAGGGUAAUAAUGACUCACUAUUGAUCACCUAGUUUUUAGGUAAUAGUGAUUCAUCACAAUCCUUGCCUUCCAACUAUCAUUUUAAGGUUGGGUCAAUAUAUACAAAAAGGGUGAUCAAUCACAUCAUAUUACAUGUAUAUUUAGGUUCCAUUUCUUUGUACUAAGUUUGGUUUUAUUGCUUUAUAUCUUGUUCCUAUUUUUUUGCACCUUUGCCUUAUUACUUUGUAAUUAAUCCUAUUUUCUUUUGUGCCUUCAUCCCAUUAUUUCAAUCCUUAAGGUAAAAAAUUUAACAAGUAGAUCUUGAUUGGGUGCCUUAAACUUUUUCAUUAUUUAUUUUCAUCAUUAUAUAUAUUAUUAUAUUGGCAAAUUUAAAAACUUGUUCAUGGUAUUGAAAAAAAAAUAUCAAUUUUUAAAAAUAUUUCUUAAAAUAUGAUAACUAAAAAAUUAUUCUUAAACUUAUGGCAAUCAAGAAGUUAUCUUUUAAGACAAGCCAGUUAGAACAUUAAAGCAUAUGCUACAAGUCUAUUGGCAAAAAGACACACGCCUCUUGAAGUUGAUUGAAUAAAUCAUCAAUACAUGGUAAUGAACAUCGAUUAAGAAUGGUAGCCUUAUUAGAAUCUCAAUAAUCUAUGCAUAACCUCGUAUUACCGUCCCUGUGUACAAAGAGGACAUGGGCUCCCCAUGGUGACACACUUGAUCGUAUGAGUCACAUAUCCAAUAACUCCUAUAAUUGAACCUUCAACUCCCUAAGCUCUGUUGGAGCCAUACGGUAUGGCACCUUGGAUGUUGGUGUAGUUCUUGGCACCAAGUUUAUGGCAAAGUCCAUCUCUCUCGCUGGUGGUAAUCUAGGCAAGUCUGUUAGAAAAGCCUCUAGAAACUCACAUGCCACUGGUAUGUCCUCAAGUCAUGGCUCUAUAGCAUGACUAUCCACAACAUGAGCAAGGAAAUCCCAACAACCCUCACUUAUUAAAUCACUGCUUACAUAGUUGAGAUCAAAUAUGGUGGUGAUAAGACCCUUGAAUGCUUAACUCCAACCUCAAGGGCACCUGGUAAUUUGAAAAAUAAUUCAUAAAGCAUGAUAUGUGGCUAACCAAUCCAUCCUGAGAAUAACAUCAAAGUCUUGCAUAGCCAUGAGUACCAAGUCUACUAGCAACUCCCAGUAACUAAUGGUCUCAACACAUCCUCUAUAUAUUAUGUUUACAAUCACCCCAUCCCAAUUGGAGUAUUUUUAUUUUUAUUUUUAUUUUUUAAUUUUCAAAUGAUAACUUAAAAUAGAAAACACUUAUAGAAAAUUAUAAAACUAAUAAAACGAGAAUAAAAUUAAAUUAUAAAAUUAAUUUUUUUAUUUAAUAAAAUUAAAGAUAUUCAUAUAUCUACAUUUUAUUCACAUUUCACUAACUUUAAAUUUUCUCAUUGUUAUUUAUAUUUUAUUAAUUUUAUGAUAUUAUUCGAUUUUAUGUAAAUGGUGAAUAAUCAUUAUAUAUUAUUAUAAUGGUAAUUAUAAACAGAAGGAAUUUGGUCUUUGGUUAACACCUUUCCCCUUUUAAAUAAAGAGGAGCCCUAAAAUGGGGCUGCCCACUACCCACAUGACAUUUGAAAUAUUAAAGUUUAAAAAAAGCUGUUUGAAAACUCACGCUUUAAAAAAAGUUUGGGUGAUAAUGGUUUUGAUCAAUUGCUUUUGAAAAAAAUUAAAAAGUUGUUUGAAAACCCAUUGAUAUGUGUUUGGAAAAUUAAAAAUCUAUUUGUAAACCUAUCCUUUGGAAAAAGUGGGGUGAAAACCAAUACUUCAAAGAAAAUAAAGUUUCAAAGGCUAUUUGAAAACCAACUUUUUAUGACUAGGUGUACCUUAAAAGAUGUAUAAUUGAUGCUAACUUCAUGAAAAUUUAUGUACAAUAACAUCUUUUACUAUUAGUAUUCACAUAUGUAUUUACACCUUUUUCUUCAUUUUCAUUAUUUACUUUUUAUAUUAGAUUAUUGAAAAUAUUGUUUACACGCAUGCAUAAAUAUCAAAUAUAAUUUUUAUUUUUAUCUUAUAUAUAUAUAUAUAUAUAAACACUUGUAUUCAAUGUACACAACAUUUGUAUUAUUAGUAGAAGACAUGUAUAAGUUUGUAUAUUUAUGUGAUUUUUUCAUUUUCUUUGACUAUUUUUUUUAUAGUAUUGGAAACAUUAUUUUCAUAGAUGCAUGAAUGUCAAAUACAAUUUUUUAAAUUUGUCACACAUGUACAAGUUAGACAUUUAUACUAGUUGUAUAAGGUUUGUACAAAUCUACAUGUUAUGAAUAUGAAAAUAUUAAAAUGUUGUACAUCCUUUUUAUCCGGUUAAUAUGCAAAUAACUUAUAGAUCAUCUCUGAAAGUGAAGCAAAGGAAUUGAUAUAAUGAUCACUAAAAUUGCAAAUAAAAAAUAAAAGUAAUUAAUUAGAAUUUGAUUAUUAUUAUUUAUAAUUUGAAAUAUCCUACUAACCCAUAUUAUCACUUAUAAUUUAAAUUAAAGAUAUAUUUUCUUAAUUUGAACAAUUAAGUAAUACUAAGUCUUAUUGAGAUUAAAUAGUAUGCAAUUUAAUAUAAUUCUAUAGUUUAAUUGUAAAUAUGUUGUUACUUAAUGAAAUUUCAAAACUAAAAAAUUUCAAAAUUUUAAAAUAAAAAAUUAUAAUAAUCGAACCUUAAAUUAAUAAAAAUUAAACUAAGAUACACUACAACAAAUAUGAGGUUUUGUCAUAAAUUAAUUUUUUUAUUAAAAGAGAUUAUUUUGUAGUAAGAGAUUUUUUUUCCACAAAAAAAUUAUUUAUGGUGAGUUUGUUGCUAUAUUAUUUUUAACCAUAAAAUUUAAUAUUAUACCAAAAACAAAUACUUUUUCUACAAAAUAAAAUUUGUGACAGCAUAUCAUUUUUUUUUUACCAUAAAAAAAAAAAAUUAUAGUAACAUGUCAUUUUUGACAUAAAAAUAUUCAUGAUAAAAGGUUAGUUUUUACCAUUUUUUUUAAAAAAAUCACUUUGAAAGAUCACCCCUUUAUCAUGGUAUAAAAUUUCUAGCGAUUUAUGUUUUACUACAAAAGAUCACCCCUUUGGAAGCCCAUCGUCAUGAGGGUGGCCUCAAUCCUGGAAGCCCAGCUUCAUGUGGGCUAUUAGCAUUGCUUCUUAGUAUUGCAAACCAAAGAUAAUAGAACAUGAUGCGUUUCAAAAAUUUUAUAAUAAUGAAAAUGUAAAUAAUAUAAGUAAAAUAAUAUAAUAUUUUUUAAAAUUAUAAAUAAUAUGCUAUAUAAAUUUUAAUGUAUAGGUAAAUUAAUUAAAUUUCAAUAAACGUCUUCAUAUUUAAAUAUUAUAUAUGUUUUAUUUAAUAAAAUGUUAAAAUAUUAAUAUAUUUAAUUAAUUUGAUAACAUUAAAGAUGAAAAAAUAAAUAUUAUUGAUUUUUAUUUUCUUUAUAUAUAUUUACAUUUUUUUAAGUAUUUUAAAUUUUAAGAAUAUAUAGACUAUAUAUUUAUAAAAUUAUUUGAUCACCAUUUGACCACCAAUCCAAUCAUUGAAAUAUAAAUUAGUGACUUUUCUAAUUCAAUGACCUGUUCGGUUUUGAAACUAUUGUUUGUAUCAACUUCUAUUGUAUUAAUCAAGUUCUCCCCAUCCACUUUUGGGCCAAAAACUGGUUCUACAUUUGGGGGUGCUAGCACUGUAUUUUGUCAUCAAAAACUGGUUCACAGUUCUGAAAACUAGUUCUGCUUUUCAUCAACUUUUCCGGUUCAGAAUGUAUGAUGUCAAUUCGAUCAAAAUUAAAUGAGAUGAAAUUACCUGAAUUAUACCACCAUGAUCUUCUCUUAAGUGGUCUGUCUCUGUUGAUGACCAUGUUCCAGGCCAAUGUGAACCAUGCAUCAGCCAUCCCAGUAGCUUUUGGAGCUUUAAUGGCUUCCAAAAGAUGACCAAUUCUGGGAAAAUGGUAAAAAUAUGGACCUUGAGAAGUCACCAAGACGAUCAUCCCUAUUAUUUUAGGGUCCAGAAGACAUUGCCAUUGUUACUCUCAUCAGAUUCCAUGUUAUCCAAGUGGAGAACUCAGGAUAAUAUAUUGUAUAGAUAGUAGUCUCAUUUCUAUGAUAGAAAUAUAGUCCAGUCUUUGUAGACAGGAUGGCAUUUAUGAGCAUAUCUUUACGUUUAACUCUUCUUAAUUUUUUCCUCUUUGUAUAAAGAAUCCGCUAUUAUCAACACAUAUUUAUCCAUGUCAGAUUACUAAAAAUACAGCUCUUAAGUAAUUCCUAAGUUAGAGAAACUAUUCAUGAACAGGGCAUACCCUAUCAGCUGCCUCCUUGGUUUAGGACAAGUGACCACAUCAUUCUGACCAAGACAUUUCUCCACCAUGACUGUACUUCUCAACUCUCAACUCUAAUAAACAUGAUUUAAGUAGGAUAAACAUGUAAAAAUUGUGAGAAUUCCACAUUUAAACUAGAAACUGAAGUCUGGUAGUAGCAAAUUUAAGGUAGCCUUGAAUUCUUAGCAACUAAUCAGACCAUUAACCAACAAAAAAAUGCAACUGAACCGCUUCUUUUUAACAUGGAGAAGAUUGAAGAAGCUCAAAGAAAGAUCCAGCCUUCAUUUUCUCUCAUUCCAAAUGCAGAAAACCCUAAGCCUUGAAUUUUUCACUCUCGUUCCUUAUAUCUUUUUAGCAACCAAAUGAAGCAUAGUAAACCUUAAUUUACUUUGUAGAUGAAUUAACAAUGCCAGACCAAACAAACACAUAAUAAUGAUCAACACAUGUAUAGAAAUUCAAAUUUUCUUCUAAACCUAUGCCAUGUUGCUGAUUGUUAGUGAGGAUUAGUUAAGAAUUACUGUCGACAAAUGGGAAAUGCUAAUCCCUUCUGUUGAGUUAUCAGUUUUACCUAAAAACUUAGUAGGUCAGGUAAUGAACCAACAAUGUAUAUUGAGCUGACUUACUUGAACAUGUUAACACUCUUCCUGUCACGCCCCAUGACCCACUCCAAGGGCGUGACGGUCAUUUCACACCUCAAACCCGAAGGCUUAAAGUAUAAUCUGACCCAAACAAUCAUAUUGUAACUGAAUGUUACCAAUUACCAAAUACCUGUUCAGAGUAGCGGAACAAAAUCUAAAAUCCUCAAAAUUCAAUUUCCAAAUAACUUCCAAUUAUCAAAAGAUUCAAAUGAACAUAACUAAUAGUUAAACAAAAUCCAACAUAAAAUCCUAAGUCAAAUCCUAAUGAUGACCAUUCCUCAGCCUAGCCAUCACUCCUCACCCGAACUAAGAGUACCUGAAAAAUUUUCAACAAUUGGGAAUGAGCUCACAGCCCAAUAAGGAAUAUUAAUGCAAUUCAUGGAUCAAAUAUUUUCAUUUCAAAUAGGAGAUAUCAAUUUUUUUUUUCUCAUCAAAUAUCAGAGUUCCAAAAAUACCAAUAUAUUCAAAAUUCAACCAACCAAUUUCAUAUCAAAUUCAAACACUUUCACAUCAGAUUCAAUCAAAUCCAUUCAAUUUUUCAUUACUCUGGUUAUCAAAUAUCAAAUGCCCAGUUAGGUGGGACUUUUCAAAUGGGUGGCUAGUCUCAAAUUGUUCCUGGUGGACGGAACCAAACACUACUAGUACUAGUAACCUCUAACCAAACCCCUAGAGGCUGGGGUCCAAAUCAAUUACAUUCCCACCAUGAAAUGUAAAGGUCAACUAUUAUAUCCCGUUGACAGGGCCAAAUAGUCAACUAUUAUAUCCCGUUGACAAGGGCCAAAUAAACCAGAAUGAUGUUUUUGUUCAAGUAUUCAAAUUUACACAACAUAAUAUCUCCAUAUUUUGUGUCAUAAAUAAAACAAAAUAUUCCAACAUAACAUUUAGUGCAAAACAAUUUGAUCCAUGCAUGGUAACAAAAAAUCAUUUUCUUUUCCACAAUUCAAAAUAACAUAUAAUAUAAUUUAAUUUUAUAAAUAUUACAUUAACUUCCCUUACCUCAAAAGAAGUCCUUGAAAGCUUGGGAGAAGAAUAAUUCUGAAAAAUAUAAUCUACUCUUCACCUAAUAUAGCAUAAGAGAAACAAUUAUUACUAUUUAUUUAUAAUUUAACUAAUCUAUUCCUUAUUUAGAAUAAAACUAAUAAAUUCUCAAUUUGUUUCUAAUAACACAUUACUAAUUUAAUUUAAUUAAAUUAUAACUUUAUUUCAUUAUAAAAUUCUAUAUAUAUAUAUAUAUAUUGCUAAAUCUCUUAUUCUAUUUAUUACAAAAAUACCAUUAUUACUAUUAUCUUAUUUGUUAAUCUAAAACUAAAUAUUAUUAUUAUUAUUUUUUAAUUAACCAAUUCAAAGCCACUCAACCAUUACUCAUCUCGGGUACACACCAAAAAGCUUUUUUUUUUUUUUUUUUUUCCUUCCUUCUAGUGUGCACACGCGUCUCUUGUGUCUCUGUUUUUUUUUUUUUUUUCUAUUCUUUGUUCCAGUAGCAUCCUUGCUUCCAGCAGAGUACACGCGUACGGCCCUUUUUUUUUUUUUUUUUUUUUCCUUCCUUCCUUCCUUCCGGUGCUGUGCACACGCGUUCUUUUUUUUUUUUUUAUAUUAAAAUUAACCCUAACCUAAAAUCGAAAUAUUCCAAGGAAUUUUUUUUUUUUCAUCUAAUAAAACUUAAUAUCUCCCAAAUUCCAAUAAUAAAAUCAAAAUCUUAGAUUUUCACUAUUUGAUAUUAAAACGAAUUAAAAAAAAAAUAAUCUAACCCUAAUCUAGAUUUGGAGUUUUCCAAAAAAUAUAUCUAAUGCUUGAAAUUAACUAAUGAAUCUAAAAUAAUAAUCUAGGGGUUAGAAACUUACCUAUAGAGAUCUGUUAUUUAACCCUGAAAUCUGACUCCAACCUUACGUUCUCUGGAAUUCUGCAAACAGGAACUCUAUUCAGAAAAGAAGGGAAAGAAUAAAAUUUCUAAUUUAUACCUAGGGUAUUUAUUCAUAAAAUUACACUUUUACCCCUCUUCCACUUUAUUAAAUUAAUUAAUCAAUUAAUUUAAUUAUUAAUAACAAUUUCCUAAAUUACCCUUAAGAGAAAAUGCUUGGGUGUUACAUCCUCCCCUCCUUAACAAAAGUUUAGUCUUCUAAACUUGACAUACCUGAGUCUUGAAAUAAUUGAGGAUGUUUUUCUCUCAUCUCUUCUUCUAACUCCCAAGUAGCUUCACGAACACUAUGGUUGCUCCAUUGAACCUUUACCAAUUUGACAACAGCAUGUCGCAGUACCUUAUCCAUCACAUCCACAAUUUGAACGGGUACCUCUUCAUAGUUCAAGUCCUCAGAAAUUUGAAUAGGCUCCAACUCCACAAUAUGAGAGGGAUCAUAAAUAUACUUCCUCAAGGUUGAAACAUGGAAAACAUUAUGAAUCUUAGAUAGACUUGGGGGCAAGGCUACUUUAUAUGCCAAAGUGCCUACUCUUUCUAAUAUUUCAAACGGACCCACAAAACGAGGACUAAGUUUUCCUUUUCUCCCAAAUCUCAUCACAGACUUCAUAGGUGAAACUUUCAAGAACACAUGAUCACCUACCUCAAACUCCAAAUCUCGCCUACGAUGAUCAGCAUAACUCUUAUGUCUACUUUGAGCUGCUUUUAAUCUUUCUUUAAUCAAAGCAACUUUUUCAACAGUCAACUGCACAAGUUCAGGCCCCAAAAGUUUCCUUUCUCCAACAUCAUUCCAACAGAUAGGAGAUCGACAUUUCCUACNNNNNNNNNNNNNNNNNNNNNNNNNNNNNNNNNNNNNNNNNNNNNNNNNNNNNNNNNNNNNNNNNNNNNNNNNNNNNNNNNNNNNNNNNNNNNNNNNNNNAUACACCACAAAUCCUCCUGAACCUGAAGGGAUAGUCAAAAUAGGAGCUGACACUAAUCUAUUCUUCAACUCUUGGAAGCUACAUUCACAAUCAUCAGACCACUCAAACUUAACUCCCUUCUGUGUCAACUUAGUUAAAGGUAGGGCAAUCUUAGAGAACCCUUCUAUAAACCGCCUAUAGUAACCAGCAAGUCCCAAGAAACUUCGAAUCUCAAUCACAGUACUAGGUCUUCUCCAAUUAGCUACAGCAUCUACCUUGCCAGGGUCAACUGAGAUGCCAUCAUUGCUUACCACAUGCCCAAGGAAAGAAAUUCGGUCCAACCAAAACUCACACUUCUUCAGUUUAGCAUACAACUGCUUAUCUCUGAGGGUCUGUAAUACAAUACUCAAAUGGCCCUCAUGCUCCUCUCUACUUCUUGAGUAAACCAAGAUGUCAUCUAUAAAAACCACCACAAACUGAUCUAAAUAGGGUUUGAAUACCCUAUUCAUCAAGUCCAUAAAAGCAGUAGGUUCAUUAGUCAAACCAAAAGGCAUAAUAAGAAACUCAUAGUGCCCAUACCUAGUUCGAAAAGCAGUCUUGGGUACAUCUUCCCCUCUAACCCUCAACUGGUGAUAACCCGAUGGAAGAUCUAUCUUGGAGAACAUACAAGCACCUUGUAGCUGAUCAAACAAAUCAUCUAUCCGAGGAAGGGGAUACUUAUUCCUCACUGUCACCUUAUUCAACUCCCUAUAGUCAAUGCAAAGUCUCAUUGAGCCAUCCUUCUUUUUUACAAAUAGAACAGGAGCUCCCCAAGGUGAAACACUAGGCCUGAUAAAACCCUUGUCUAAUAACUCCUGAAGCUGAACUUUCAACUCCUUAAGCUCCACAGGUGCCAUCCUGUAUGGGGCCUUAGACAUAGGACCUGUUCCUGGUACUAGAUCGAUAGUGAACUCCACCUCUCUCUCUGGUGGCAAGCCAGGCAAAUCCUCUGGAAAGACAUCAGGAUACUCCCUUACUAUGGGUAUGUCUUCCAACUUCAAAUCACUUUCAUUACUUACCACACUAGCCAAAAAUCCUUGGCAACCCUUCUUAAGCAAGCUACUAGCUCGCAAGGCUGAGAUCAUACGCAGUGGUCUGUCCACAUGCUUCCCUUCAAAGCUAAACUUAGGCUGACCAGGAAUACUAAACGUCACCCUUUUCUCAAAACAGUCAACAGAGGCAUGGUAGGAAGCUAACCAAUCCAUCCCCAAAAUCACAUCAAAAUCCUGAAGGUCAAGGAGUAUUAAAUCAACUGGCAUUUCCCUAUAACCAAUCAUCACAAUACAAUUUCUAAGCAUUCUACUAGCCACCAUAGAAUCUCCCACAGGAGUAGCAACAAUCAAAUCAAAGUCCAUGCUAGCAACAGGCAAACCCAACAAACCAGCAAAAGAUACUGAAACAAAAGAGUGUGUUGAUCCAGGAUCAAUCAAGACUCUAGCAAAUAAGGUGUGGAUUCGAAGAGUACCUGUCACCACAUCAGAAGUGGCCUGAGCAUCUCGAUGAGUCAUAGCAAACACCCGUCCUUGGGCUUUGGGUUUCUGUUUAUCCUCCUUAUUUUCCUCCUUAGGCUUCCCAGUGAUGAACUUCCUAUUCUCUGGACAAUCUCUAAUCAAAUGUCCUUGCUUCCCACAACCAAAGCAAGCUCCNNNNNNNNNNNNNNNNNNNNNNNNNNNNNNNNNNNNNNNNNNNNNNNNNNNNNNNNNNNNNNNNNNNNNNNNNNNNNNNNNNNNNNNNNNNNNNNNNNNNAAGCAAGCUCCAGUCUCUCUAUAGCAUGUCCUACCCCCAUGCUUCUUACCACAAGUAGGACAAGCCCCAUCUAAAUUCUGCGCUGCCUUCCCUUUAUUAUGAUUUCUUCCUGAUGUAGACCUUCGCUGUGCUUGAUUACCAUGAGCACCAUCACUCCUAUUUCGCUUCCUUUGCUGUUCUCUAUACUGAUGAAGCUCCUCAUUAUCUUUCUCUGCUAUAAGGGCUCUGUCAACAACCUCUGAAUAGACACCAAGCUUCAGAAUAGAUAUCUUGUUCUUCAAAUAAGGCUUCAAUCCAUCCUGAAACUUUAAUGCCUUUUCCUCCUCUGUAGCAAUCAACUGUGGGGAAAAACGUGAUAACUCUGUAAAUUUGGCCUCAUACUGAGCCACAGUCAUAUCCCCCUGUUCCAAACGAAUAAACUCUCCCACCUUCUGCCGCCUAACACUGUCAGGAAAAUACUUCUUGUAGAAAGCCUCCCUAAAUUGUCUCCAUGUUAUGGGUCCCUGAUCCUCCAAAAGUCUCCUAGUCAUACGCCACCAAUGAUCUGCCUCUUUAUCUAACAUAAAAGCUGCAUAAGAGGCUUUUUGCUCCUCAGAGCAAUCUAUGACACCAAAGAUUUUCUCCAUCUUAAGGAUCCAAGCCUCUGCCUCUGUGGGAUCUGUAGCACCAGAAAAGUAAGGAGGACCCAAUUUCUUGAAGUCAUCAAAAGAGCUACCCCUAGAAGAUGAAGACUGUCCCUGAACAUUAGUCCCAACAGCUCGAGCUUGGCGUUCAACUAAACCAGCUAGUGUCCCAAGAUACCUAUAGAUCCCUUCUGCACUCACGGGAGGCAAACCCUCAACUGGAGGUACAUCAUCAUUAGCCUGAUUGUUUUGGGAAGAUGCAGGUCUCCUUGGUGGCAUGGUGUCCUAUAAAGCAAUAGGUGUAACUAAAUUAGUCACUAAGAAGUCAAAUAAGCAAAUCAGAAUUGUAAGGAAUAAAAAGAAUCAGACUAGAUGAAGUUGAAACUUAAACUAAUACGUCACUCAUCUAUUCCCAAAGGUACACUAAACAAGUUCCCAUCAAGAUCACAACCUAGUGCUCUGAUACCACUCUGUCACGCCCCAUGACCCACUCCAAGGGCGUGACGGUCAUUUCACACCUCAAACCCGAAGGUUUAAAGUAUAAUCUGACCCAAACAAUCAUAUUGUAACUGAAUGUUACCAAUUACCAAAUACCUGUUCAGAGUAGCGGAACAAAAUCUAAAAUCCUCAAAAUUCAAUUUCCAAAUAACUUCCAAUUAUCAAAAGAUUCAAAUGAACAUAACUAAUAGUUAAACAAAAUCCAACAUAAAAUCCUAAGUCAAAUCCUAAUGAUGACCAUUCCUCAGCCUAGCCAUCACUCCUCACCCGAACUAAGAGUACCUGAAAAAUUUUCAACAAUUGGGAAUGAGCUCACAGCCCAAUAAGGAAUAUUAAUGCAAUUCAUGGAUCAAAUAUUUUCAUUUCAAAUAGGAGAUAUCAAUUUUUUUUUUCUCAUCAAAUAUCAGAGUUCCAAAAAUACCAAUAUAUUCAAAAUUCAACCAACCAAUUUCAUAUCAAAUUCAAACACUUUCACAUCAGAUUCAAUCAAAUCCAUUCAAUUUUUCAUUACUCUGGUUAUCAAAUAUCAAAUGCCCAGUUAGGUGGGACUUUUCAAAUGGGUGGCUAGCCUCAAAUUGUUCCUGGUGGACGGAACCAAACACUACUAAUACUAGUAACCUCUAACCAAACCCCUAGAGGUUGGGGUCCAAAUCAAUUACAUUCCCACCAUGAAAUGUAAAGGUCAACUAUUAUAUCCCGUUGACAGGGCCAAAUAGUCAACUAUUAUAUCCCGUUGACAAGGGCCAAAUAAACCAGAAUGAUGUUUUUGUUCAAGUAUUUAAAUUUACACAACAUAAUAUCUCCAUAUUUUGUGUCAUAAAUAAAACAAAAUAUUCCAACAUAACAUUUAGUGCAAAACAAUUUGAUCCAUGCAUGGUAACAAAAAAUCAUUUUCUUUUCCACAAUUCAAAAUAACAUAUAAUAUAAUUUAAUUUUAUAAAUAUUACAUUAACUUCCCUUACCUCAAAAGAAGUCCUUGAAAGCUUGGGAGAAGAAUAAUUCUGAAAAAUAUAAUCUACUCUUCACCUAAUAUAGCAUAAGAGAAACAAUUAUUACUAUUUAUUUAUAAUUUAACUAAUCUAUUCCUUAUUUAAAAUAAAACUAAUAAAUUCUCAAUUUGUUUCUAAUAACACAUUACUAAUUUAAUUUAAUUAAAUUAUAACUUUAUUUCAUUAUAAAAUUCUAUAUAUAUAUAUAUAUAUUGCUAAAUCUCUUAUUCUAUUUAUUACAAAAAUACCAUUAUUACUAUUAUCUUAUUUGUUAAUCUAAUUAUUUAGUGCAUAUUCUUGGUUACAUUUAGGCAACAAUAUUGAUAAAUAUUAUAAACCACCUCAAGUCUUGCCUGGUUCUAUGCAUAAAUGAGACUCUCUAAUUAGAGUCUUGGUGUAGAACUUCAAAUGGAUGUCUACCUUUGACUUUUGACAAAAGGAAAAAUAUUAUCAUGACCUGUAAUAUCUCAUAUUAGAUAAGGGAAAAUAGUCCCAAUAACUUUAUAAUGGAUUUCUCUUAAAUAAGUGGAUGACUUUGAAAGGUGUGAGAGCUCAUUAGGACCAAAGUGAAUAAUAUCCAUAUGGGAGGGAAUAAAUAGUUACAAAAGGUAUUAGAGUCAAUCCCUAAGCCCGACAUUACAUGACCAUAUAAACUUUUUUUUUUCUAGAUGCUUUAUGUUUUUUGUCAACAAAAUCAAAGAUGAUAAAAGAAUGAAGAUUUGACAAUUCUUAUAUCACUUUCAUCCCUUUAAUGAUGUCUUUUAUUUUAGACUAGAUAAAUUGAUACUAGUUAAAUUAAUUCCCAAUCCAAUACAAGUAUCCUUCACUCUUUAGGUUUCAACAAGACUUCAAUUUUCUUAUCCAAUUACACAUCACAAUCUACAAACCAAAAAGAAAAGGAGAAUAUUGUCUAUAAUAGGUAAAUAUUUCCCAUCCAAUGUCCCAUAAUAGUCUAAAUCUAUAUUAAAUCCCAAACAAUUUUUAAAAUUCAAGAAUGAUAUACCUUCAAACAUGUGAUAAAAACUUAGGCCUCUCCCUCAAACUCUAACUUGGAAAAUAAAAGUUAAAUAAGAUUUUAUAAAAGCUAAAGUAUGGUUCCAUGAGAUACCCCCAACUCUAGAACUAUUUCAACUUGUAAGACAUCUUUUAUCAAUGCUAACACGAUUAUUCAAUGAACUUAAUAAUCAAAUUUCUUGCUUCAAUUAUUCUAAAUAAUCAAGUUAGAUGCAAGAUUAGCUCUUAUGCUAUUCAAAAUUAAUUUUUUAACCACAAUACUAGACUCCUCGCCCCCUACCUUUGGAUUUUGUUACAUAUACACAUGUAUUCGUACAUACAUAUGUAAACUUUCUAACAAGCAUUUUGUAGUCGUUGCACAACAUGGGCCUUCAAAAAAUUUCACCAAAACACAAUAACUUGAACCUUUCAUUUCUUGAAUAAUCAAUAAAUUCAUGUGCAAUUGUUUAAAAAAUAAUAGUAACUCCUAUAUAAGAUGUAAAUUUUUUAAAACACUUACCUCAAAAGGAUAAUAGUUUAUAAAAAAAUUGAGGUAUUAAAUUUUUUUUACUAUCUUAAAUUUAAAAAUUUUAAAGAACAUAUAGUAAGUUCAUACUUUUUGUAUAAGAGUUCUUAUAUUUUAUAUGGAAUGUAUUAUUAUUUCUUCUUAAAAUAAAUAAAUAAAUAAAGUGUAUCUAAAUGAAGCCUUAAGUAUCAAAUUUUUUUCUAUAACUAUUCUAAGUACUUGAUGUUCUAACUUCUGGCUUCAACUACAAUGCUAUAUUCUCUUUUUAUAGUUCUGCACCUAAAUUGAUUGGUGUGUGUGUGUAUGGAUUUGAAUAUUUUGACAUGCACUUUCACUUCUUAAGUCACAAGACAGCCUCAUGGCUUCUUAAACAUGUUAAGAAAUUAGAAUAUGAAAGAGUAAUGAUGUCACUAAGGUAGCAAACAAUAUCAACCCAAAUUGCUUAUAUUAAGAAAUUAAACAUGUUCUUUUAGACUUGAAUAAAAUAAAAAUUAUGUGGUAUUGCUUUUUGUCUUUUUCACAUAACAAUAUAAAUUAAGAAUCCAUUUGAAAGUGAUUUUAAAAAGGGCUAAUAGUACUUCAUAAUGUUUGAAAACAUUUUCUUAUAAAAAUUAGGUAUUUGACAAAUUUUUGAAAGUGGUAAAAAAUUUAGAGAAUUUCAUGAAAUGGUUCUUGGACAAUAACUCGGUAAAAAAUUGUUUUGUUGUUAUACAAAACAAUACUAUCAAAACAUUUUAUUUUUUAGUUUAUAUCCAAACACUGAGUGAUUUUAAAAAAAAAUGUUUCUAAUGGGAAUGCUAUUAACAAAAAUGUUAAAGAUAAAAAUAUUUUGACUAGAAUAACUCCCAAAUAGCCUUUACAGGAUAAUACACAAAUAGGAUUAGACUAGCAUUUACCAUAUUUAUAGAAUAGCCAAUGGAAAAGAUGGUAUUAAGAGUAGAAAUAAUUAGUUAGGGGAAUUAUUCCAUUCGUACCUGUACCAUGAACAUCUUGUGUAUGGUGGUAUUCAGGUCACCUUCCCAACAUUGUUCGAAAAAAAGAUCACCCAUUUGUACACAUUGUAGCCUUGGUGUGUCUAAGACUUCUGAAUGGUCACCCAUUUGUACACAUUUUAGCCUUGGUGUGUCUAAGACUCCCUUGCAAAAAAAUUUCAUCUUAGGGCAUGCUGCCAUACUUAUUUCUUCCAAGAAUGGGAAUCGGAAGGCAUAUCUUGCUGAGCAAAAACUUUUUAGAUUUGGUAAACAAUCAAGUUCCAACCUUGUUAAUCUAGCAAAAUCAAUCUCAUCAUUUGGUGGUUCAUCUCCCUCAUUUGCCACUAUUUCUUUCAUCAUGUGGCAUUCUUUUAUAAUAAGUGUUUUGAGUUGCACCAGUCUUUUAGCCAUUGAGGGUGUUACCAAAUUAAUCAAACUCCUACAAUUGACCAUCUCUAGAGUUUCAACACUUUGCAAAUAUGGGCUUAAUCCAAAUAAAUGCAUCAACAUAGGUAGAUCCUCGAGGUGUAUUUCAGUUAAUCGUGGAAGCGUGUCAACAUGAAAUUCUUCACUUGAAAGCCUUUCCACUUGGAUAACCUCAUUCACUGAAUCACACUUUGUCACCUCUAGUCGUUCUAGAUUAUGUAAUAUUUGAACCAUGUUUGAGGAAAUCAUAACCAAAAUACCAUGAUGCUUUGUUAUAUUCAACACUCUUAGUUUGGAAAAUGACACCCUUGAAAAUUGGCCCCGCCAUAUCUCCACAGUGCCCUUUAACGUCAAUCUCAAUUCUUCCAAAUUAGGGAAUGCUUCCUGACAAACCAUAUUACACAAGAUGAAUGAUAUUUAAUUUAUGUGAACAAAAUAUUUGGUAAAGAAAUAAGUUAUAUAUAUAAAGUUAUCUUCUUUGAGCUUUCAAAUAACUCAAUAAAUGAUAAAAAUAAACAAGCCUUAAUGUUAAACUCAUGAUCAUUUAUAAAUUAAGGCUUUGAGAUACCAUGGUAGUUAGCCAACAUUUAUAUAUUUCAUAAUUACAGUUAUUAUUAUUGUUGUUGUUGUUGUUAUUGUUUUCCACACAAGGCAUAAUGAAUUAUUGCAUCUAAAUGAUCAAGGUACAAUUACCUACUACAUGUACAUGAUUAGGAACUCCUUGAAUCUUUAGUAGUUUGAUAGGUUUUGAUGCAAUGUGACUAAAAAUAAAUUGGAUUAGUGGUGCACAUUAAUUCAAAUAAAACUAUAACAUUUUUUUUGUUAUAUUCUAAGUAAACACUACUAGAAAUUAGUGCAAUUUGGUUUAAAAUUCAAUUAAGUAAACUUGUUCUUAAAGCAUUAUAUGAAUUGCUUGAGUCUAAUAUUAACUAAAAAUGAUUAUACUAUAAAAGCUCUAAAGUAAUUUAUUUUUAUCAUAAGUUAAGUAGGAUAAUUUUAUAAAUAAUUGGUUGUAGUUUCUAGUAUUAUUAUAUACAAUUGUUAUGUUUGUUGCACCUCCAAAAAUCUACUCUUAUAAUUAAUUGUGUAUUAUUCUUCACAUUCACAAUAAUUUAUGUAGUAUGAUUAAUUUAGCAACAAAAUAUAAGUUUACUUCAAAUCAUUUUAAAUUCUUAUGAUAUUAAAGUUUAAGAUUAAAAUAAUGACAUAUUAGUUAAAAGGGAUAAGGACCUAUAGUGUAACAUAUAAAAUUUAGAAAACUCAAGAAAGGCUAGACACAUACCUUUUCGACCAAGAAGAGUGAUUGUUGAAUUUUGUUAUCAAGUUCACCUUCCAAACCUAUUUCUUGAAAGAGUAUCUCCACUUUAUCACAAUUGCACACUUUUAAUUCCUUCAAAAGUGGCCAUCUUGAAGCAAACCUUCCCGAAUAAAAUCUUUUGAGUUGGUGUAAGGAUUCGAGUGUAAAAGAGGUUAGUUUAGGGAAUAAGAAUAAAGGUGUUGUUUCAUCUUCAUCUUCAUCUUCAUCUUCAUUGACAACAAUUACCUCUAAUGCUUCACAAGAUAAUAUGCAUAGGUCCUCAAGUUGCACAAGGGCUUUCGCCACGGAAAGGGGAAAAACAUUCAAUAUUUUGUUGCAGGAAGCUACAUGCAAGUGCUUUAGCUUGGAAAAGGAAUCUGCUGAAAGUUGGUUGUGCCAUAAUGCUCUCACAUUAUCCAGAUUUUCUACAUGUAAGUACUCCAAGGCAGGGAAUGCAACCUGUGAAAUUGAUGAUCCCUUUUAGUUAAUACAUUCCCAAUAACUACACGCGUGUAAAUAGAAUAUGACAAGUAUAGAAGGUGAAUAUGUGAAUAUGAAAAAGCACAAAAAUAAAUUCACAAUUUUAUCUGAAUAUUUUCUAAAUAGGAAACUUUAUUAUUAUAAGGGGUCUAAAACUACUAGCUAGAGAGGUCUCAUUAUAUAAGACUUUGCUUUUGUUAUUUUUCAUUUAUACUUUCUCCAAUAUAAUUUUUAUUGAUUAAAAAUGAGUAGAUAAUGCAAUUUUCUCAUAUUAUUUAACAUUGACAUGUUGGAUUGGUUUUUACUAUGCCCCUCAAUCCAUCUCUAUCUUAUUCUUGCUUUAUACCUAAUAUGUAUAUGAUUAUUUAAUUUACAAAUCGUUUGAGUGAUAAACCAAUACCAAUGCUACUUAAAAAUGGAAAACUUGCUUAUGGCAACAACCUUGGAACUCAUUAGGAAGGAAAGUUUAUUGUCAUUAAUGGUAUGAAACUAAUAGAAUUCUCAUUAUAUAAUUCUUUGGUUUUAUUAUUUUUCAUUUAUACAUUCUCCAAUACAAUUUUACUAACUUAAAAUGAGUAGAUAAUGUGACUUUAUUAUAGUAUUAAAUUAUAAAGCAUUUAUAUAUUGGAGUAAUAUGUAUAUGAUUAUUUUAUCCGGUUUUUUCAUAAACUUUGUUACUAUAGCAUAUAUUAAGAGGUAAUAAUACUUACUAAAAUAUCGAUUUACUAUCACAAAUUAUAAAAUAAAACAUUGGUUUCCAACUGCAAGUUCAUCAUUUUAUUAAUAUCUAUAUUUUGUGUAUCCUUUUCUUGAUUGUUAUUUUUUUGGUAAUAAACAAAGUAUUUCAUAAUUUUAAAACUUUAUAACUCUUAUAAAAAGUAUUUCUUUCUUUCCAAAAUCAAAUUCUUCUCUAAAAUAAAAAAAAAAAUAUAUUUAUAAUUUUAUUUAAGCUAUAUUAAUAUCAAAUUUUCCUUUCAUGAAAAUAAAAAGAGCUUAAUAUAGAAAGAAAAUUAACAAAAAUAUUAACGUUUAAAAUAGUUAAGCAAAAAUCAUAUAAUAAAAAAUAAUGAAUUGGACCUUCAAAAUUAUUUUUAAAAAAAUUAACAUAAUAAAUUAAUGAAAAAGAAAGUGAAGAUUAAGCCUUAAAAUUUAUUCAGAAAAUUAAAAUAAAGCUAAUAAAUGUAUGAUAAAUAAGAAAAUUUUAAAAAGGAAGAAAGACAGGUACAAUUACUUUUUACUAAAAUUUUAUAUAAUUUUCGCUUUUAAGUUUACUUUUCAAUUUUACAAAUACUUUUUAAUUUUGGUUUUUAUUUUUUAGAAUUUAUUUAUUUAGUGUAAAAGUAGCAGUAUAAAUAAAUACCAGAAAUGGCAGAAAUUAGAUAUCAAGUAGUAAGAUACCUGUUGAUUGAAAAAUGUCGCCGACUCCGGGAUACCGCUGCUUCUUGUGGUGUAGAAGCUAAUGAGCUUUGGGAGAACCCUCAGUGACAAGGAUUGCAGUUGAGGAAAAGCUGAUUCCCUUCCAUGUUGUGUGGGAAGAGAGAAGACAUAUUUCAACCUCUCACAAUGACUCACUCUUACAAUUCUUAAGUUACCAAAAGACCCCAUCAGAAUUGGGCCAUGGCAUACUGCCUCCAAGUUACUGAGGGAAGUAAGAAACAGUUCCUCCAACAUACAGAAGGUAUUACGUGGUGGAACCCAUUCCACUGAAGUGGAAUGAAGGAUGUAUUGCAUGGUAGGACAGCUCCAGAUACAGAGAUACUUCACUUGAGGAAAACCAUCCUCGUCUAACUCAUAAACCACAUGUUUAGUAUCAUUCAAUCUCCACAACUGUACAACUUGACUUCUCUUCAACAGUUUGGAGAAGCGGUUCACCACAUGAAGACUUUUAACCCCAUCCAGCCUCAACCUUCUCGAGGCUUUAUACUCAUAAUCAUUUGGCAACCUUGCUAUGGCUUUCUCCUCAUCGUAUGGCCUCCAAGAAUCACCUAUUACUAUUGAAUAUCUGGUCAAUGUCAAGUUGUCAAAGAGCACAUCAUCUUCGGGAAGCAAACUGGGAUUAGAUACUUCUAACUCCAAAGUCCUCAAGCCGGAUAGGUGUUUCAGCUCAGAAAGGCAAGCAUUAAUUCUUUCUCCGCUAUUAAAUCCUUCUGCCUCCCAUUCAAUAUUAACACUUCCUUUCAUGCUCAAAUACUCUAAUCGAGAUAGACUGAAUAUAAGAUUUUGUGGAAUUACUUUGAGGGAGAAGCAAUACCGCAAAUCCAACACCCUUAGAUCACUCAAUUUCAUCAUUUCUUUUGGCAACUGAUAAAUGUGGGAGCAAGCCAAACUAAGAACUUGUAGUCUCUCCAGGUGUCCAAUUACUGCUAUGUCUUCGAGCACGCAUCUAUUUAGACACAAUGUGCGAAGAUUUAAAAGAAAACCAAGCGAUGAAGGAGAUGGCUUGAGAGACACUCCAGACAAAUCUAAAACUGUCAGUUCUUUGGUGUCUUGGAAAAAGGUGUCUGGAAUUUUCAAGUAAGAAUCACCUGAAUACAAUAAAAAGAACUUAAGUUUGGGACAUACCAAUCCUUGAGGAAGCUCAUCUAUGUUUUUGCAUUUCAAAGAGAUACGAGUGCAAUUUCUGCAUUCAUUCAUCCAUUGCCAUUCUUCUUGUAAUCCAACCGCUUCUUUCACCACAAAUUGAUGAGGAUCUUUGGAUGCAAUUGAUAUGGCAACAUCACGAACAACAUCAUGCAUUCUGACAAACGCGUCAUUGAAAAACAAGCUCGAAAAUCUCUCAUUGCCUCUGUCUUCAUCGUCAAGCAACAAGCUUGAGCCUUUCAGAUUUUCCACCAGUGUGAUUAGUUUAUUUGCUGCUUUCUCCCAUGAAAAGAAUCCUUUAAACAAAUUCAAUCCCAUAGCAUAUAGUAGCAAGAAAUCCAUGUAAAUAUCUCCCAACCCCAGAACACCACAAAGUAAAAACAAGGACUUUACUUCAUCACUUUCCAAAUGGUUGUAGCUCAGCUCCAGACAUGAGUAGACGUCUUUACUCACUCCUCUGAUGUUUGUUGGUGCAGACCUUCUCAGUUCUUCCAAGGCAUUCUCCCAUACAUGCACACUCUCACCUCUUAAUGCAUUUGCAAUGGUGACAAUUGCAACUGGUAGACCGUCACAUUUUUUAGCUACAUCAACUGCUAUGGGACGCAGUUCAGGCCUCUCCACUGAAUCACCUGCUGUCUUCUUGAAUAAAUUCCAGGCUUCAUCUUCACUUAAAUGUUGAAGAUGGAACUCCUUUUGAGUACGCAUAUCUUUAGAUAAAACCUGAUGCUCCCGGGAAGUCAGCAGCACUUUGCACCCCUUGUGAUCAUCUCGGUAAGGAAUUCCUAUUUCUCCCAACUCAAGUUUCCCCCAGAUAUCAUCUAAGAUCACCAGGAUUUUCUCCUCUCUCUUCAACCUUUGCCUCAGGCGACCUGCUCUAUCCUCCUUCACCUCAAAUUUCAAACCCAACAUUCUUGCAAUUUUUUCUUGAAUUUCUGCGAUGUUGGGAGUUUGGGAUAUGUGUAACACCAUGACCACCUUGUGAAAGAGCUUGUCUUCCUCCGCUUGUUGGGCUACUUGUUUGACAAGAGUGGUUUUGCCCACGCCGCCCAUUCCCCAGACACCGAUCAUGCGCAUAUCUUCGUUUCUCAAGGCCUCCAUAAUUUGGUUAAAAGUAGACUCUCUUGACUGGAAAGCCCCAUAAUCUUUGAAAGAUGCAGAGCUGAUGAAUGGAGGAGGAGGAGGAGGAGGGCGAUACGAUACUCUGUCACCAAAGUUAUGAGCUUCUUGGAUUUUAUCAACAAUCUCCGCAGCCUGCUUCUCUGCUUGCUUGCUUAGUUGGUAGCGGGACUUUAAAUAGAAACAGCUCUUGCUUGCUUUCCUUUCAUCUUCAUUGAAAUCGUUUCUCUUUUGGAUGAUCCCUUCGGCAUACGUCUGCCACUCCUGAACACCAGGAAAGAUUUCAUCCCCUUGCCUAUUAGCCUCAUCCACAGGUACCUGCAGCCUCUCCCUUGCAAGAUGGAGACUGUCAAUUCGUUGGUUGAGAUCCGUAAUGUUGCGAUGGUAGUUAACCAGAUAACCCAGUGGACGUAUAAUUGAAUCAACCAGGUACUCUGCAACUUUUGCUGCAACGGAAAUAACAAUUUCAACCAUUUCCAACUUCUUUUUUCUAGAAAUAGAUGGGAAUUGAGCGAAAACAGAUAAGGAAAAGGGAAACAACAGCAGGAGAAGGAGAAGGAGAAGGAAAAUACACGAAAGAUUGGUAUUUGAUCGAAUCUGUUGUGGCAGAAGAAAUGGAAGGUUUGAGGUAUGGAAGGAGCAGAGUUUGUGGGAGGCAGCAGAUUUUCCUUUUUUUCUUUUUUAUGGAAAUUAAAAGAGAGUGAUUACAGGUGAAGAAUGAGAAAUAGUUGAUAUAAAAAAAAUAAAUAAAUGAGAAAAAGGUUACAGAGGGAAGAGAUUGAGAAAGCUUUGGAUUAUGGAUUUUACUUCUUGGAAGCAAAUGGAAAAGGAGCAGAGUAUAUGUUGAGGUCCUGAGGGGAAGAAGAGGAAGAAGGCAGGAAGGGAAUCAGACACUGAGUGUUCCUCAGGCAACAAUUGUGACAGACGGACAGCAGGAAAAGGGGAGAUGCCAGGUAGCCUACCUGAAACUAAAAUGACUCAGGCGUCUUUUAUAUAUAUAUGUUUCACGGGAAAAGCAUUCUUUAAUUCACCAAUUUACGAAAAAAGAUAUUCGUUCCUCAACUUUCAUAUCUGAACACAACUGUACAAAACAUUUGAUAAAAAUGAGAGGAGGGUUACAGAGGGAAGAGAUUGAGGAAGCUUCGGAUCUUGAAUUUUAUUUAUCGGAAGCCCGAGGGGAAAAGGCGAGCGCAGGAAAGGAAUCAGAUACUGAGUGUUCCUCAAGCAAUUGUGAGAGACAGGCAGCAGCAAAAGGUGAGAUGCCAUGAUUCGGAGGUCUUGGUUUUUUUAGUGGGAAAAGCAUCCUUCCAUACAACCUUUUUCUUUUUUUAUCUUUUUCUUUCUUCAUAUUUAAACAGAGCUUUUCACGCGUGACUGCCUGGGCCAUGUUUGCUUGCUGGUCUAAAAAAUUAUAAUUAAAAUUAAUAAUUUAUUUUUACCGCUUAGUUCAAGUUUAUUUUAUUUACUUAUUAUAAAAAUUAAAUAAAUUUUAUAACAAAUAAAUAAAUAAAUUUUUAAUUCAUUUUAAUUAUAUUUAAUUUUAUAUUGUUACAUAUUAAAUUUAAACAUAAAAAAAAAUUAUAUCAAAUUCAUUUACUGACCCAUAGAGAGACUAAAGUUUGGAAUUGGAUAAAUAGUAAAUAUUCAUUGAAAAUUUAUUAAUGGUAAUUGUUAAUUUGCUGAAAAGGUACCUAAAGGGGAGUAAACUUGUCAUGUUCAAAAACAUAAUACUAAUUUUUUCUUUCAUUUUUUUUGUUGUUUUUUUUUUCAUGUUAAAAUACAGGUUCAAUGCAGUGUGCAAACUUGAUAUUAGGGGUAAAAUUGUAAUUAUAAUAAAUAAAGAAAUAAAUAAAAUUAAACCAUAUAUUAAAAACCCUAUAUAAAAAUAAUAUGAUUUCUUUGACAUCUUUAUACAAAAGUCUUUUUACACAUAUAGUGGAGAGAUGAAGGAACGUAGGAUUUGACAAUUUGGGAGUUUAAAGUUUGAACAUCGGUUUUUUCAUUGAUUAUUAUUUUAUAUUCAUUAAAUAGUUUUGAAGCAUUUAAAUGUUUGUUUGAAAAUUUAAAUCAAAGUUAGAGUUUGAUUUAUUUAUUUAUUUUUUUAAAAUAAAAAAGAUAUGUACAUACAUUGAUUUAUUAAUAGAGAAAUUGUGGUUAUCUAGUUGAGUAGAUAAAAAAAAAAUAGAACUAAAAAUAAAAAUCAUACUGUAGACCCCCAUUUGGGAUUCAUUAUACCUCAUUUUUCCUACAACUCAUCUUUGCAUGUGGAAAGCUCUCAAGGUGCCACAUGCUGUCUCCUGAUUGACUGGUAAGGAAUCACAAUAGUGCUUUUGAAGAAGCAACCAAAAGGCGACAUCUGGCAAGGAAUCUGCAGGAGCGUAUUCUUUCUGUUACGGAGAGGGCCAGUUGCCAGAGGAGGGGGUCCUUUUUUGGACGUGUUGGUUGAGGGAUAUUUUGGGGGUGAGGGAGGCAGCUACAGGGAAGGGGGAGUUUAAGAGAGUGAGGGGUUCUGGAUAGAGUUUUUUGGAGGAGAGGACACUUUUUUUUGGGAGAUCCUGGAGUUGAAGAAAAGAGGAGGACGUUCUGGAACUUGAGGAGAGGUAUUUCUUUAGCUUGGAGGGCAAGAACUCUGAAAGAGCAUCUCCAGGUACGUUUAUGAUAACUUUCUUGGGCUAUUCUCACUCACCCUCUAUUUUCUUUUUACCUUACGCUCUCUCCAUUUGUCUUUGGUUUUUUUUCUGGGCAUUGGUGGAUGGUUCUGUUAGACAACCACACUGCACACACUGGUUAGUUCAUAAGAAAAUAAAAGAAAACUGAAAAAAAAAAAACAGAGAAUUAAGGAAGAAGAUUAGACCGAGUCUUGUGGAAAACACAAUCUCCUUAAAACAUAUUCGCCUUCUCCACAGGUGCUUUGAGAAUCGCAAGGCGUCUGUCUCCCAGGAUAAAACGAUCUUCGAAUGGCAGCAACAACACUCUGCAGCCACUCCGGCAAACUGGAAAUUGUUCAACUCUAUCACAGACAUGGAAGGAAGGAACUCUUCAACACUCUGACAAUACUCCAAAGUUUUUCUGUUCUUUUUUUUAUUUGAAAGAAAGUCUACCACUAUUUAUAGACUUCAAGGAGGGAAGAACACAGACAGGUUCAGAAAGCCAAAAUGAAUUUGGCUUCUUGAGACUCUUAGAAUUCUGGAAAAAUGAAUGAAUUUACUUAAUUCAAUGGAUUUACUUAAUUUCAUUCAUUCCCUUUUUCCAACAAUUCCCCACAUGAAAGAAAUUAAGACACGAUGAACUUUGUGAUAGAGUACAACGGUUGAAACCUGCAUAGGAGAGGUAGGUGUUACCUUUUGAACCUUCCCUUGUAGAAAUAUGUUUACUCUACUAGCUAAACAGUAGACACGAUGUCCUUGAACUGUUCUGCCAUUUAUGUAGAUGAUGACAUAUCUCACACAGGAAUCUUCCUAACAUAUUUCAAUUCUCACUUUUAUGUUCAUUUUGGCCAUGAACAUACGCCUGGUUCUGUAAGAGUUUAAUAAGAAUUGUGCCCUAUUCAAUUCCCUUAGAAGCGGCCCCACUUCACUCUUACAUAGGUGAUCUCUUAAUCACGAGUAACCCGCAUUACUCUGUUCGGAUUUCCGAAGCAUAAGGAUCAUUAAAAGCAUAGCUUACCCUUUCCUCUUACGGGCAUCACUAUUUUAUCAUAGGAAUGGACUAGGGAAGAUCCCCACAGUGAUUUAACAAAGUCUUUACAGUUUAGUUGUCCCUUUUGAACCUAGAUCUCGGGAUCUCCAGUCAACUAGGUUGGGUAUCCACUGUAUUGACUUAUUCUUUUAUGGGCUUUAGUCCCAUUCCCCUUGAUGACUUUUCAACUAACUCUCUUUUUAACCCUUUGGUUAGUGGAUCCGCAAUGUUAUCUUUGGAUUUCACAUAGUCCACAGAGAUAACCCCAGUUGAGAGUAGUUGUCUAAUGGUAUUGUGUCUACGACGAAUGUGUCUAGACUUACCAUUAUACAUAUUACUCUAUGCUCUACCAAUUGCAGAUUGACUAUCACAAUGUAUGCAAAUUGGAGGCACAGGCUUUGACCACCUUGGAAUAUCCUCUAGGAAGUGGCGUAACCAUUUAGCCUCUUCCCCACAUUUAUCUAGUGCUAUAAAUUCAGAUUCCAUUGUGGAUCUGGCAAUAACCGUUUGUUUUGAGGAUUUCCACGACACUGCUGCACCUCCUAGUGUAAACACAUAACCACUAUGGGAUUUUGAGUCUUUAACAUUAGAUAUCCAAUUCGCAUCACUAUAUCCUUCAAGUACAGCAGGAUAUCUCGUAUAGUGCAGCCCAUAAUCACGAGUAAACCGUAAGUACUUUAGUACUCUUAUAAUUCCUUGCCAAUGCUUGGCUCCGGGAUUACUCAUAUAUCUACUCAGUUUACUAACCGCAUAGGCUAUGUCUGGUCUUGUACAACUCAUUAAGUACAUUAGACUACCUAUUACUCUAGAGUAUUCUACUUGAGAAACACUCUCACCUUUAUUCUUGGACAAAUGUAGAGUUACAUCCACCGGUGUUCUAGCAACUCCAGAAUUAUCUUUAUCAAACUUUCCAAGAAUUUUGUCUACAUAAUGUGACUGACUUAAUAUGAGUUCAUCUGAUGUUCUUUUGAUUUUUAUUCCCAAUAUAACAUCAGCAAGUCCCAUGUCUUUCAUGUCAAACCUUGAAUUCAACAUGUUCUUUGUAGAUGUGAUCAUCUUAUCAUCACUACCAACAAUAAUCAUGUCAUCUACAUACAAACAUACAAUGACAUAUCCAUGUUCUGUAUCCUUGACAUAAACACACUUGUCACAUUCAUUGAUUUUGAAGCCAUGUGACAACAUAACAUUGUCAAAUUUUUCAUGCCAUUGUUUCGGUGCUUGUUUUAAGCCAUACAAAGAUUUCACCAGUUUACAAACUUUAUUUUCUUGUCCUGGAGCUGAAAAACCCUCAGGUUGCUCCAUAUAGAUUUCUUCAUCUAAAUCUCCAUUUAGAAAGGCUGUUUUUACAUCCAUUUGAUGUAUUUCAAGAUUUCUCAAUGCAGCAAUUGCAAGUACCAUCCUUAUGGAAUUUAUUCUCGUCACAGGAGAAUAUGUGUCAAAAUAAUCUAGGCCUUCAAUUUGUCUGUAGCCUUUGAUUACAAGUCUUGCUUUAUACUUGUCAAUUGAUCCAUCUACUUUCAUCUUUCUCUUGAAAAUCCACUUGGAACUUAAAGGUUUACAACCUGGUGGAAGAUCCACUAGUUCCCAAGUAUGGUUUUGCAAUAUGGAAUCAAUUUCACUCUUAAUGGCCUCUUUCCACAUAAGACCUUCUGUAGAGUUCACUACCUCUUUAAAAGUUUGAGGUUCGCCUUCAAGCAUAAAAGUUAGAAAAUCUGGACCAAAAGACUUUUCUGUCCUUACCCUUUUGCUAUGUCUAGGUUCUACCUCAACUUCUUCAUUUUGAUCCUGACUCUCAAGCAUUCUUUUUGAUGAACUUGGCUCUUCUUUGGAUUUACAUGGAAAUACAUCUUCAAAGAAUGAUGCAUUCUUUGAUUCCAUUAUCGUGUUCUUAUGAAUAUCUGGGAUAUUUGAUUCAUAAACAAGAAACCGAUAAGCAUUACUAUUAUGUGCAUAGCCAAUGAAAAUGCAAUCAAUAGUCUUAGGUCCUAUUUUCACCUUUUUAGGUGGAGGAACUGCCACUUUAGCAAGACAUCCCCACAUUCGUAAGUAUGUGUAGGAUGGCUUUCUUCCUUUCCAUAACUCAUAUGGAGUCUUUUCUGCUUUCUUUUUGGGUACCUUAUUCAAAAGGUAAUUAGCAGUUAAAAUGGCUUCUCCCCACAUGUUUUGUGGCAAACUAGAACUUAUUAACAUUGCAUUCAUCAUUUCCUUUAAGGUACGAUUCUUUCGCUCAGCCACUCCAUUGGAUUGAGGCGAAUAAGGUGUUGUUGUUUCGUGUAUAAUCCCAUGUUGAGCAAAAAUGUCAANNNNNNNNNNNNNNNNNNNNNNNNNNNNNNNNNNNNNNNNNNNNNNNNNNNNNNNNNNNNNNNNNNNNNNNNNNNNNNNNNNNNNNNNNNNNNNNNNNNNNNNNNNNNNNNNNNNNNNNNNNNNNNNNNNNNNNNNNNNNNNNNNNNNNNNNNNNNNNNNNNNNNNNNNNNNNNNNNNNNNNNNNNNNNNNNNNNNNNNNNNNNNNNNNNNNNNNNNNNNNNNNNNNNNNNNNNNNNNNNNNNNNNNNNNNNNNNNNNNNNNNNNNNNNNNNNNNNNNNNNNNNNNNNNNNNNNNNNNNNNNNNNNNNNNNNNNNNCCUCAGCAUGUAUCUCAUGCAAGAUUACUUGAAGUUCUUGGACUUGACUUACCACAGUCUUGGAAUCUACCAUCUUAUAGUCGAGGAAGCGACCCACAACAAAUUUCUUAGCCCCGGCAUCCUCAGUUUUAUAUUUCCGGUCUAGAGAUUCCCAUAGCUCCUUAGCUGUUUUCUUGUCAGAAUAAACAUUGUACAACGAAUCAGCUAAACCAUUCAUGACAUAAUUUCUACACAAGAAGUCAGAAUGUUUCCAAGCAUCUAUAGCACUGAUGACUUGGAUAUCGUGCUCGUCUUCUUUGAGCUUAGGAGCAUCCUCAGUCAAGAAUCUUGCAAGAUUCAACGUGGUCAAAUAGAAUAACAUCUUUUGUUGCCACCUUUUAAAAUUUAGUCCACUGAACUUCUCUGGUUUUUCUCCUGGUGAGACAGAGAUUGGUACAGCAGUAGGCAUCGCUGGCACUUGGGGCACAGUAGGGGUUGCCACUGGGGCUAAUUCAGUUACAACAACGUUAUCGGAUUCAGUUGUCAUUUUUCUGAAACAUCCAAGAAAAUGUGUCAAUUUCUUUUUUUUCCUUUUUUUUUUUUUUUCAAAAAAAAAAACUUCAAAAAAAACUGAAAAUCACUUUACAGAGUAUUCCCAAGAAAGACUAGUGGGGUAUAAUGACCCAGACCAGGACUAGCUUCCUUAGACAGAAUAUUCAGUUCCCAGGAAAUUGGAGGGGUCACAAAUGGUCCCGCUUAAAUUCCAAUUACCUUAGACAGAACUUCUUUGUAUCAUAAUUUCCAAAUUUUCAAAAGACUUGGUACAAACUUUAUAAGAAGGUAUUUUUCCCAUAAUAAAAAAACAUGAGUCACAGUCCAAUGGUGUCUUACUGAGUUGAGCAUGAGAAAAAGGGCUCAGGUUAAGAGUUCGAAACUUCUUUUUGUAACAAAUGGUUGUUUUUUUUUUUUUUUUUUUCUCUUCUAACAAAAAAACACAAAUUUGAAAUUUUUUUUUUUUUUCAGAUUUGUUUUUUUUUUUUUCCAGAUAAACCCAAUUUCAACAAACUUAAUUUUUUUUUUUCUUCUUCUUCUUCCUGAUAACUUGUUUCCUUUUCACCAACCACUGGUUUUCCUUUGAAAAAAUCUAUUUUAAGAAUGUUAGACAACCACACUGCACACACUGGUUAGUUCAUAAGAAAAUAAAAGAAAACUGAAAAAAAAAAAAAAACAGAAAAUUAAGGAAGAAGAUUAGACCGAGUCUUGUGGAAAACACAAUCUCCUUAAAACAGAUUCGCCUUCUCCACAGGUGCUUUGAGAAUCGCAAGGCGUCUGUCUCCCAGGAUAAAACGAUCUUCGAAUGGCAGCAACAACACUCUGCAGCCACUCAGGCGAACUGGAAAUUGUUCAACUCUAUCACGGACACGGAAGGAAGGAACUCUUCAACACUCUGACAAUACUCCAAAGUUUUUCUGUUCUUUUUUUUAUUUGAAAGAAAGUCUACCACUAUUUAUAAACUUCAAGGAGGGAAGAACACAGACAGGUUCAGAAAGCCAAAAUGAAUUUGGCUUCUUGAGACUCUUAGAAUUCUGGAAAAAUGAAUGAAUUUACUUAAUUCAAUGGAUUUACUUAAUUUCAUUCAUCCCCUUUUUCCAACAGGUUCAGAUAUGAGUGUGAUUACUGUGUUGCUCUCCUCUCGUAUCUGUUUUAUUUUAACAUGGCUGACUCUCAUUUUGGUAUUUGAUUUUAAAACUCUUUUUGCUACACUACUGGUCGGAACCCCUGGAUCUCAAUAUGAAAGGGGAUACCACUUAAUGCUUGGCUCAUUCUGUUUACUUUGUCAUGGGCACACUGUAUCUCGUUUUGUUUCCUCUUCCAUUUCUGGUAUCUCAAUCCAUGUCUUGGCUUCUGGUUCAUGUUUCUGGGUUUGUUUUGGGCUUUUGGUUUUGUAUUCUGAUCUGUGCUUAAGGGAAGAAGCCCUUGGGAGCACGAAUGACAAUGAGUAGAACAUUCAAGCUCUAUAAGUUGUUGGAUUCAACAAUGACCCCUGGUUUCAGAAAAAUGGAGUUUCGAGACGUGUCUAUCAUUGCCUGCCGCUGGUGUGCUUGUUCGUAUUUGCAAGUUCCCCAUUUAACAGAUUGAAUGAGUGCUCCAUUACUCUUGAUGCUUUAAAGUGGGUUGAUUGAGGAAUUGAGAAAGAAAUAAAGCAAGCAAAGCUGUCCUCGAAUGACGCCGGCGGCGAAACGCCUCUGCCAUCACCAGAAUCUUGAGGAACUUGCUUCUCAAAACUCUCUGGUGCUAUUUGAGUGUGUUGCUUUUAAGAGAGAGGACUACUCAGGCUAUAAUAAUAAGAGAAGAGCUGGUUCAAGAUGUGAUGAGCCCUUCCAUUUGGGGGCUUGUAGUACUCCCAAAUCCAGAUUCCUCCACUGCUAUGAAAAUGUCCAGAAUCAUGUGCCGAUCAAGACUCAAUAACAUCCUUAAUUUGCAGCAAUUCUGAUCUCAACCUGUUUAAAUGUUGAAGCUCUGCAAACUGGCCGUGAUGGAUAUAUAUCUGCUGACCUUCGAAACAAGGCUCAAAUGCUUAAUGCUCGUCAAGAAGCUGAGGUUGUUUUCCACAUGACUGUUUCUUCCUCAAUCUUGAUCCUGAAGACACCGAGAAUCGCAGCAAUAGUGCCAGUUCUCGAAGGAGAAUCACUAAAAGCCUUCCAAUAUCAUAUGCUGCUGUAGAAAAUCCAGUUUCUCUGCUUUCGUUUGGUGUAAUUUUCGUACAAUUUGGUAAAGGUUGUUAGGGUCUGGACUAAUCAGGAUUGGUUUUAGGGUUUCGAAUAUUUAGAAAUGAAGAUCGAGGAUUUGGAUGAUGUUGAAUCUGAUGGGAAGGAGAGUGUUUAUAGAAGGCAGGUUGUUAAGGUUGAUGCCAAGAUGGCUUUGGUCGGCGCGGGGGGCUCGGUUCCUCUUUUACUCGACUCUUCUGCAUAAUGUGUUUCGGAACAAGAUUCAGGCAGAGUUCAGAUGGUGGGAUGAAGUUGAUCAGUUCCUUCUGCUUGAUGCGGUUCCAUUUCCUAAGGAUGUCCCACGGCUGAAGCAGCUUGGUGUAGGUGGCGUAAUUACUCUAAAUGAACCUUGUGAAACUUUGAUUCUCACGUCUUGUAUCAUGCUCAUGAGAUAUACCACCUAGAUGUGGCUGAUUCUUGUAGGACUGGUGCUGCAAAAAAAUUGUGAUUUUCGGGUUGGCUCUGUGAUACAAGUCUGUCAUUAUUCCGAUAUUUGCCAUUGCCAUUGCUAUCUAUGUGAGUUUCAGCAUGGCUGUCAUGUAUGGAAUUGCAGUGGCAGCUUUGGGGAAUGCUCAGCACUAUCGCCGCUGGGCUUGCCAUUGAUGUGUACAGCCCCAUAAGUGGCAAUGCUGAUGGUAUCGCUGAAAUGGCUGAAAUGAGUCACAAAAUAUGUCAAAGAACUGAUUCUCGUGCUAGCAUGGGAGGAUAUAUCUCAUCACAAUCUGUGAAGAAAAUCAUUGAAAUUAAUUCCUACAUGCUUGGCACAAUGGCUGGAAGAGCUGCUGAAGACCACAUUAAAUUGUUGCAUCAGCCAACUUAUCGGAAUCAAAGGUUUAAGUUGUGGCUAAGCUAUUUUGAGAUAUAUGGUGGAAAACUCUUUGAUCUUCUCAGUGAUAGAAAGAAACUUUGUAUGAGAAAAGAUGGAAGGCAACAAGUUUGCAUUGUUGGACUGCAAGAAUUUGAAGUUUUUGGAUGUACAGGUUGUGAAAGGGAUCCUUGAGAGAAGUUUCUAUUCUAUGUGGUGGGGUCCCUGUUGAUGAUGAGACGACCUUCAUUGUCACUUUGAUGAGUCAGCCUGCUGCCCAUCUCAAAUAGCUUAUGGAUCAGAAUCCUAUGAGGUUAUAGGAUAUCCUCCUGCAACUGCCAUAAAAAGCCCAACCCCACUCUGCAUGGGUUGCAUGGCCACUUUUGGGCCACAUGUCUUUCUGCCUUUGUUUCACCUUUAUUUUUUAAAAUAAUCCUUCAAAUCCCAGUUUUCAAAUAGUUUCCAAUUUCUCGAUUUUCAAAUAAUUUCAACUUUUCAAAUAUUUAUCCUUAGUUAUUUUUCAGGAUUCAAAAUACCAAUUUCAAUAAAAUUUUGCCGCCAUUUUCUUUUCGACAAGCCACUUUCAAAUUUUCUUUGAUUUUUAAAAAUGUUUUAAAAUAAUUGUGAAUGUAUUUUCGUAAUUCUUAAUUAUAGAAUUUAUGAAAUUAAUUCACUCAAAAAUAAACAGGCUUUGGUGAGGGCCUCACAUAUGUGAUUUAUGAUUGAUUGAUUUAAUUGUCAUGCAUGAUUGAUUUUAUUCUACUCUAUGACCUGCUCGAAAUUAUUUCUUAAUUGUGCACUAACCUCACUUUUUGAUAGCAUAUUAUGGCUCGUCGUCCAGGUACGUAUUCAUUCUCACUCUCGUUAGUUUAUAUGCAUUUUCUGACUCCCAUAUGUGCAUGAUCGCUCUGAGUAUUCAUUGAUUUAUGCAUCAAUUGCCACAUCAGCUUCAUUUUAUUAGUAGAGACCCGACUUUAGGGACUUAGAGGAGUGCUACGGUCUUUACCGUACCUUCCUGAUAAGUAACCUGACCCCCGAGCCCGAUCCGGUUUUUCGCAGACCAUCUUUUCCGAAAUAAGGAGUCACACUUAGGGUUUUUCUUUCUUAUUUUGUUUACCCUUUAAAAAAAUAAAAAUAAAUAAGUGGUGACUCCAAGUUAUUUUCAAAUAAUAAAUCAAUUUUCAAAUUAAAAGAACGAGCUAGCCAUCGAGUGGAAGUGCAUGAGCCGAAAUGCGAGGUCCACACAUACAUAUUUAACACUAAAAAUAAAAAAAAAUUUAGAAAAAGAAAAAUUACAAACAAUCUGACCCUUGGUUUGAAUCCCAUAGUUAUUUAUUUUUUUUAUGCCUAUAUCAAGUGAGUGUGAUAAUGUUAGGGUGAGUGAAAUGGUUGUUUUAUGGGAGAAUAAAAAAAAAAGGAAAAAGAAAAAGAGAAGGAAAGAAUGAAUAGAAUGCGUAUGGAAAAAUAAAAAAGAGAAAGACAAUAAUAAUAAUAAUAAAAAGGAGAAAAAGAAAAAUGAAAAAGAGGAGGAAAGGAAUGAAGUGUAUAUAGAAAAAUGAAAAAGAGAAAGAUAAUGAUGAUAAAAGAAAAAGAAAAAAGAAAAAGAGAAGGAAAGAAGGAAUGUAGUGUAUAAUAAUAAUAAUAAUAAUAAUAAUAGGGAGAGAUACUUGUUUAAAUAAAGGUUGUGUUUAGUUCAAUAAUAAAAGGUUAGUAGAAUAAUAAAGGCAUUAAUUGUGUUAGUAGAAUAAUAAAAUAUUAAGGAAAAGUGGGUUUUGACUCACUAAUUUUAAAAAAAUAUAGAAAAAAAAAACACUAACUUUUAUAAAUUGGUUUUUUCUUCAUCCAUUUAAAAAUAUUUAAAAAUAUAUACAAUUUUUUAUAACUAAAAUAAUUAUUUCUUGAAAUAUCCUUUUACUUGAUAAUAUUAAAUAAAAUUAUCUAAAAUUAAUUUAUCUUUGAUAAAAGCGUUUUAUAAAUAAAUAUAUUAUAAAUUUUAUAUUAUAUAAUAUAAGAUACAAAUCAUUAUAUAAAAAAAAAUUCUAGGAUUUUCAAGUGAUAAAUAAAAUCUUUUUAAUCCCUUAAUUAAUAAUGAUUUUAUAUCUUGUACCAUAUAAAUCCCUUCAUUUUUUUAUUUAUUUUUAAUAAAAUUGAAUAGAAUUUUUUUUAGUUGACAUGAACAAUAAAAUAAGAAUUAUAAAAUUUAAAAUACACUUAAGAUUAAAAUAUAUAAAAAAAUACAAUUAAAAAAAAAUUAAAAAUUAAAAUAUUUACUCUCAUGGCAUUUUCAGCUUUUUCUCAAUAUCUAUACUUUCUGCCGAGGGUUUUAACUAAAUGAAAGUUAUUAUUUUAUUUUUAUAUUUUUAGCUUUAAAUUUUUUUUAGUUUUAAUUGUAUUUUUAAUUUUAAAAAUUUCUUUAUUAAUCUCAAAUUAGUUCUCAUAGUAAAUAUAUAUAUAUAUAUAUUAAUUGGUGUUAUUAACAUUAUAAGUAAAAUGAUUAUUUUAGAAAAUAAUUAUUUGAAUUAUGAAAAAGUGUAUAUAUUUUAUAAUAUUUUUAAAUGAGUGAAAAUAAAAUUAAUUUAUAAAAGUUAAAUUUCUUUUUCCUAUAUUUUAUUAAAUUAGAGAACACUUUUUCCAAGGAUUAAUUGUGUUAGUAGAAUAAUAAAGGGUUAUUGUGGUAGGUAUUUAUCUCCUAUCAUAUCACAUAAUGAUAACAAUUUAUGGUGGUAUAUUUUAUUUGAGAAUUUUAGGUUUCUGGUUCAUAAGUGUGCAUAAAGACAUUUUAAUAAGACUAUAAAAUUUUAUUAGAUUUUAUGAAUUAACUUUUUGGUAUGAGUAAAUUAAUUUAUUGGAGUCCAAUAAAGCGAAUUAAUGAAUUAAGACCUAGGUGAACUAGAUUAGGUGACUUAAUGUCAUGUGCAACAAUUUUAAUUUAUUUAUUUAAGAUAUUUUGGUUUAUUGAAUUAGUUUAAAUAACUAGCAGUAGUGGGCUAGAGAGGGGUUAACGUGAGCUAUUCUUUAGCUAGCUAUUUUUUAGUAAUUGUUGUUGUUUAAUCUCUAAGUUGUUGAGUUUGUUAAGUUAUAAAUUUCCUUAUUCUUGUGCAAUAAAAUCAUCAGAUGAAAAACUUGCAAAAACUUGUCUUUGUUUUUUGCUUUCCAAUUUCUUUCAAUUCUACUCAUAUUUUGUCUUAACAACAUAGCUCGAGGGUGAGGGAGGGGACGGGAUCGUGCCAUUAACUUAGAACAUGACAUAGUGGUAUCAGAGUCGGUUAUGGCUAACGAUCAAUGACUCCAAAGGCUUGAAAAUCAGGUUGAGAACCUGAGUUCAGGUCAAGAAAGGCUCCUUAAGCAUAUGGAAGAACUAGUGGGGGCAAUGAACUCCCGAUUAGACUUGCCGAAGGAAGGGUCCAUCAAUAGGAAUCGGGGACCACAUGGACAGGGUGGUGUUGGGUACGCAGGUAGACUAGUGGUUCCUAAGCUUGCAAAGCUUGAUUUUCCUCGCUAUGAUGGCUCGAAAGAUCCAACUCUAUGGAUUUGCCGCGUAGAACAAUUCUUUAAAAAUGUGUUUAAACUCCAUGGCAUGCCAAGUUCAAUAGUAUGUGAUCGGGACUCCACUUUUAUAAGUGAUUUUUGGAAAGAGCUUUUCAAAUUUCAGGGCACUAGCUUCAAUUUCAGCUCAUCUUACCACCCCCAAAUAGAUGGCCAAACUGAAGCAGUGAAUUGAACUCUUGAGAUGUACCCGCGUUGCUUUACUAGUUCAAGACCAAAGGAGUGGGUUCAAUGGGUUCCUUGGGCUGAAUUAUGUUACAACACCAGUUUACAUGCUUCUACUCGCAAAACUCCCUUCGAAGUGGUGUAUGGAAGAAAGUCUCCCAACUUGCUUUCCUAUGUUCCUAGUACAUCAAAAAUUGAAGCUAUACAUUGAUUGACUAGAUUCUCUUUGAAACCAAAAGUGAUGAGAAUUUUAUGGAACUUAAGAUACCAUUGUUUAGAAGCCUACUUUAGACCAUAUAUGGACUUUUUAAGUUUACAUACCAUAUGUUCCUUGCCUUUAUCCUGAAAACCUUCAGGUUGAUCCAUAUAAACCUCUUCAUGCAAGUCACCAUUCAAGAAGGCAGUUUUAACGUCCAUUUGAUGUAACUCUAAGUCAAAAUGACCUACUAAAGCCAUGACUAUUCUUAAGGAAUCUUUCUUGGAAACAAGAGAAAAUGCUUCCUUAUAGUCGAUUCAUUCCUUUUUAGUGUAUCAUUUUGCAACUAACCUAGCCUUGUAUCUUUCGACAUUUCCCUUAGAAUCAUGUUUGGUUUUAAAAAUCCAUUUGCAACCAAUAGUUUUAAUUCCUUUAGGCAAUUCUAUGAGAUUUGAAACUUCAUUAUCUUUCAUUGAUUUCAACUCUUCUUCCAUAACAUAAAGCCAUAGAGUUGGAUUUUCACGAUUGAUGGCUUAAUCAUAAGAAGUAGGAUCAUUUUCCAAGCCAACAUCAUAAUCCACUCAUUAAAAUAAACUUCAUAGUCAUUUGAUAUAGCAGGUCUUUUCUCUCUUUGUGCUCUACGUAAAGAUACUUCUAUAGUUGGGACAUUCUCAUUUUCAUUAUGAGAAACUUCUUAAGUCACACCAUAUUCCAUCAUUGGUGUUGAUACUUCAUUAGAGGUUAACUUUUUAAACUCAGUUCUCCCACUAAAAUAUUCAUUUUCUACAAACACAGCAUGUCUAGUUUCAACAAUUUUAGGGCCUAACCAUGACAAUAAAAUCUAAAACCUUUUGAUCUUUUAAGAUAGUUAAUGAAAUUACAACUUAUGCUUUUAGAAUCCAAUUUCUUUAUUUGUCGGUUAAAAUUUUUAGCUUCAGUUGGACAUCCCCACACAUGUAAAUAAUUCAAAGUUGGUUUCCUACCCACCCAUAACUCAUAAGGAGUUUUGGGUAUAGCCUUACUAAGAACACGAUUGAGAAUGUGAACAACAUUUUUCAAUGCUUCACCCCAUAAAAAUUCAAGCAAGGUUGAGUUACUCAUCAUACUUCUCCCCAUGUCAAUUAGAGUAUAAUUUCGUCGUUCUGCUACACCAUUUUGCUCUGGUGUUCCAGGCAUUAUGUAGUUUGCAAUGAUACCAUGCUCUCUUAAAAAUAAGGCAAAAGCACUAAGAUGUUGACCUAAUUCGGUGAACCUACCAUAAUAUUCACCACCUCUAUCAGAUCUUACACUUUUAAUUUAACGAUUGAGCUGGUUUUCAACCUUAGUUUUAUAAAUCUUAAAAACAUCUAAUGCUUCAAUUUUUUCACGAAUAAGAUACACAUAAGAUACAUCAUUACCUUGCUUUUUUUUUUUCUUAUAUUUUUACCUUUCUUGAAGGCUUUUUUAUUUGGACCAAUAGUGAGGUGAACCAUAUCAGACUUUUCCUCUUUAAGCCUCUCUUCUUCUUGAACACACAUGGUAAUUAGUUCACUCAUUUUUCACUUAUCCUUCUGAGUAUUAUAAUUAAUUUUGAAAGGACCAAAUUUUGAAGGAAGGGAAGUCAUUAUGAAGUGAACAAGAAAACCUUCAGAAAUUGCCAUGUCCAUUCCUCUCAAUUGAGAAGCCACAUCACUCAUCUUCAUGAUGUGCUCGAUCAUGUACACCACUAUGACCAUCAUAUUUCAUUGUUAUCAUUUUGAUCAUAAGAGUAAUUGCCAAGGACUUGGAAGUUCCUAAGAAUUGUUAUUCAACUGAUUUAAUAUAGCUAAUUGCAUUAUAUAAAUCUGGGAUUGCUCCACGAAUUGUAAGAGUGAUUGAACCUUUCAUAAUCAUUAGGCUCAUGCGAUUAGAACGCUCCCACUUUUCAUAUAAAUUGCCUUUUGUUCAUUAGUACUUUCAGAAGUAGGCUUUGUGGGUGUAGGCUUUCUUAAGGCAUAGUCCAAAUCCAUGCAACCAAAAACAUUUCCAAUUUGUUCCUUCCAUUUUUUAAAAUUUGCCCCACUUAAUUGUUCAAUACCAGACAAAUAACCUGUAAUAGUAGUAGGAUUCAUUGCUGCAAAAUAAAAUUUAAUUCAAAAGAAAAAUUAUUUUACAUCAUAAUAAUAUUUAACACCACACUUUACAAUAAUCUAACUACAACAAAAAUUAAGUUAGAUAUCACAUUAUUCAUAAAUAUAAGAAGAUAUCAUAUCAUGGUUCUUUCAUUGGACUGAACUACAAUCACAUAAUUAAAAAGUAUAUUAUUAUAAUCCCUCCGUUGGGUUGAAUUAUAAUAAUUCAUAAAUCAUAUAGAUAUGACAUAAUUAUUAAAAUAAAAGUAUUGAAAUGUAAAUGAUUCGUCCUAAAGUGCUUCUGUGCCAUUUGAUUCUAGCCCAGAUGGGUGUCAUCAACAAAAUUUAUAAACCUAUUUCACCAUACACUAGGGAAGCAUAGCUAGCAUAGCAUAGUGGCUCUAGGAUCGUCCACAGGGAUGGGUUUUCAUGGGACAAUUGAUAUUAGUUAAGAUACUGAAAUGGUGCUUUUCCUUUUGAAAGUUAGCUUUAAAAGAAAAUGUAAUUGUGGGUGGAAAAUGUUGAUUUUAAGUUAACCAAAAAUAGUAACUGAAAUUAAUUACAAAGAAAAGGUUUCUUGGAGUUUUAGGUCACUAGGUUUAGGUUCCUUAGGCAAAGGGGGAGAUUCCGGAUCUUUUCCUCGCGUUGGGAACAAUAACAUAAAUGAUGGUUAUCUCCCGAACCGGAUUUACAUUUAGCAAUUAGGAUUUGAUCCAAACGUGUUCCUAAAAACUGUAGUUGCUUCCCAUUAAUGGCUUCAAACACUAAAGACCUCUCCCUAUGAAUCAUCUUCCAAUGACUCGUAAAUGAUAACUAAUAGACAUCCAUGGAUCAAGCAAUAAGCAUCCAUGGAGCCCAAAAAGCUUACCAAGUAUUGGUCAUUUUGGGUAAUCCUACCUUUAAACCACAUUCCAGAGGCUCGCAAAUGAUAACUAAUAGACAUCCAUGGGGUUCGAAAAGCUUACCAAGUAUUGGCCCAGGUGAUUUUAAGGGAUUUUAAGUUAAACCUUGAAAUAAAAACCAUUAACUGGUAAUAACUCUCCUCAUUUAAAGCAAGGAAAACUCCCACCUUUGCACUCAGGUCCUUCACCUAACUUCCAUCACUCCAAGAAACGUAAAACCUAGCCACUCAUCCCUUGAGAAAUUAUCCUCAGAGGUUGUUUGGCUAGCAAGAAAAGUAAAAACAAAACAAAAUGAGAAGGAAAGGCAAAGCAACAGCUCUGUAUAUUUCUUCGUACCAGAAUUUACAAGUGUUCCUUGAAAAACAUCCAUCAUAAUAUCACACAUAUCUCUCCUUAUAUAUCUACUACCUAAAAGAUAUAUAAAAAAAUAAAAAAGAAAAUAUCUAAAAACUAAAAACUAAAUAAAAGGUAUACUAAAAUAUGAACAAUAAAGAAAUAAAAAGAGUUAGUAAAAGGAAAGGAAAAUAUCACAAGUACUCUGAAAAGGUCAUAUCACUGUAAAGUGGCACCGUCCCCGGCAACGGCGCCAUUUGAUUCGUGCCCAAUUGGUGUCUCAGUUGAUUCAUGUCCAGCUGGUGCUCCUUGAUUGAGGGAGUAAUCAACAAAAUUUAUAACCUAUUACACCAUAUACUAGGGUAGCAAAGACAAAGCUACUAUAGCAUAGUGGCUCUAGGAUCGUUCACUGGGAUGGGUUUUCACUUUGCAAAUGAUAUUAAUUCAAAGCUGAAUUGGUGCCUUUUCAUUUCAAGGUUAGCUUUAAAAGAAAACAUAAAGAUGUUUGAAAAAAAAAAGUUUGGUUUUAAACUAACCAAAAAUAGUAACUGAUUUUACUUACAAAGAAAAAUGUUUCUUGGAGUUUCAGAUCACUAGGCUCAGAUUCCUCAUACAAAAAGGGAGUUCCGGUCACUUGUUUCUUUUCCUCGCAUUAGAGAAUUAACAUAUAGUUCCUUCUCCAACCGGUGUUGUACAGAUACUUCCCAUUAAUGGGUUCAAACACUAAAUCCCUCUCACUGAUGCACCUUGCAAUGGCUCAUACCUCUCACCUAGCACUUGCCAUUCAAGGAGAUCUUUAACCUUGGAUUACCCGUCAAAAGCUCGCAAGAGAUAACUAAUGGAUGUCUCCUUGGAGUCUAAAAGCUUACCAAGUGUUGGCUAUUCUAGAAAAUCCUACCUUCAAGUCACCUCCCAAAAGCUCGCAAGAGAUAAACUAGUGAAUCUCCAUGGACGGAGAUCACUUGUCUUACCAAGUGUUGACUCAGGUGAAUUAAAGGCGUUUUAAGUUAACUAAAAAGAUAAAAACCAUUAACGGGUCACACUUUUUCUUCAUUAAAAACUAAAACAACAAAACUUCCAAUUUAUGCAUGUGGAAACUUACCCGACUUUCUUCACUCUAAGAGACAAAGAGCCUAGCCUCUCAUCCUCUGAGGAAAAAUCCUCAGAGUUUGAUUGGCUAGAAAGAAAACUAACGAGAAAACAAGAAUAUAUAUGAAAAACAGAGCAAGUGCUCUGUUCGUUGAUUCUAUAUAUGAUAUAUCUAUAUAUUUCUAUAUCUAUUACGGUGGAUGCAAGGGAAUAUAUAUAAAGACGUUUUUCCAACCUUCCUAACUAAGAAAUCUUAUGGUUGGUGGAUUACAAGGAGAAAAAUGGAAAUUCAUACAAAAAUAUCUGAAGAAAAAUAUCCCAAAGUGUCGGUCGCAAAUAUCGGGAAGCACUAAGGACCAUUUCGCAGGUGAAAACGAGGUCUGCGAGAUUUCGCAGACGCACAAAAAUGGCUGUGAAAUCACUUCGCAGCAAAAGGCUGAUUUCGCAGCGCUGCGAAGUUGGCUUUCAGCUUGCGGUGUUCGGCUUCCAACAUGUCGCAAUUAUUGGGAAACUUCAGGAGGAAAUCCACAGCACUGUGCAAAAAGGCUGCGAAAUCAUUUCGCAAUAAAAGGGUGAUUUCGCAACCGUGCAAAAUUCUUCCUUCAGCUUGGAGUGAUCGGAUUGAAAUGGUUGUAACUCCUUAACUUCAACUCCAAAUCACGCACUGUUUGAAGCAUUGGAUUCUUGACUUCCUGAGCUUUGAAAUGGUAUAUAACAUGUAGAAAAUGGACUUCGGGAAGUGCUCCAAAAGUGCGAAAGAAGACUAAAGCUACUGUCCUCUGUUUUCCUCUCUCCAGUGCUCUUUCCUUGCAUACUUUGAACGACUAAGGCAAAGGACUAUGAGGCUCCAAAGCUUGGUUUCUUCAUGAAUUUGAGCUUCCAAAAGCUUUGCCAUGAACUAUAUACAGCUCUCCCUCAUUCUUAAAUUGCUUUGGUGAGCAAAAAACUAUCAAAAACACAAAAACUUAACACAAUUUGAUUAGAAACAAUUACAAGGGUCCUUAACAUGCCAAUUGAGUUAAAAGGUAAUAACUACUACUCAAAAGUGUUUAAAAGAGUUAAUUAAAAGCUAUGAAAUAACACUUUUUGAGUAGUAAUCAGGUUACAAGGAGAAACUAGGAAAUUACACAAAAUAUCUGAAGAUAAAAAUCUAACAGAGUCGGUGCAUAAAUAUCUGGAGAUUACACAAUAAGUUUUGCAUGGUAUUCAAAAUUCCUUCAUGGUUGCAUCUUGGUUUCGUACUGUGUUUGAAAUUUUGCAUAGGGUGAGAAAUUUCUUUCACUCAUUCCUGCUCUCUAUCCUACAACUAUUGAAGCUCCUCUUGAUUUCACAUGCUAUGAGAAAAUUUUGCAUAGCCAUGCGAAAUUGCUGGUUACUAGAUUUCUUCUCUGAUUCUCUUCCUUGUAUACUUGAUUGGCUUCGCAAAGCGCUAUGAAGCUCCAAAGUUUGGAUUCUUCAUGUAAUUGAGCUUCAACUUGCUUUGCCAUGGACUACACAAAGUUCUCCCUCAUUCUUGGCUUGUUUUAAUGAUCAAAAGGCUACCAAAAACACCAAAACUUGCCAAAAAUUGAUCAAUAACACUUGCAAGGGUCCUUAAUGUGCCAAUUGAGUUAAAAGAUAUUAAUUACUACUCAAAAGUGUUUAAAACAGUUAAUUUCAAGCUAUAAAAGAGCACUUUUUAAGUAGUAAUCACUCCCCCUAACAGACAUAUUGCUAGUCCUUUAGCAAUGAAGGAGAGAUAAAGAAAAAUAAACAGUAAAAUAAUUUACAAAAUCAUACUGAUCACUCCAAAAAAAUUUCAAGUGGCAUGAUGUGGAUCAUACUCUCUCAUGGAACAUUAAGGAGGCAAAACCCAACCUUCAACAAGAGCCAUCAAAUAUCUUGCCUAAUCACAAUUUAUAAAAAGUAGGCAUUUUGAAAAUUUAAGUAUAAAAGGAAUUUCUACUCCCAAAGGGCCAAACCUUACUCUUCCACAAAAAUCUAUGUGUUAUUUAUUAGUUUCCAAAGAUAGUAUGUCGAACUAUUCUCUCCCCCCAUCCUAGUUCUUUCUCAAAUCUUAGCAAACUGAUCAACCUCCAAUAGGCUAAGAACGUACCUCUUUUAUUUCACAAUUUUUUUUCAUUGUAGGAGUGCAAUGCUAAAGGUAUUGUUUUCUAAAGUGUCCAUGUAACGAGGAUCCAUCGAUGACUCCCAACCAAUCAAGGUUUAGGGCAUCAAGCUUUAAGGAUGUUUCGACCACUAACUCCUCGGAUUUUACCCCGGACUUUUGAGAUUGGAAUUUAAUACCCAAGCACCUACAAUAUGUUAAACUCCACCUAUUCACUCUUGUAACAAGCAUUGAGGUCGGUGACUCCCAAACAAUAAAGGCUUAGGGCACCGGGUUUUAAAGACUUUCUCCAUAUACCCCUCGGACCUUGCUCGGGUUUCAAGGCAAGAGUAACACUUUGUUCUUUCUUAUAUUUUUUUUCAAAGGCUCAUUAGCCCUUUAUAAAGUGUCCCAACACUAUUAAAACGAGGUCAAAGGUACCAAGUUGAAAUUUUCCUAAGUUCAGGGGGUGAGAUAGUUUUUCAUCUUAUAAACGGAACCUAAUGUGCAUAAUGUGUGGUAAGAUUAAAGUGGAAGAAAUAAGAUUGAAUUCAAUAGGAGUUUCAAUAAUUCAUCAAUCUCAAUACGCAUAAUACAAACUCUAAGAUUCAAGUAAAAAGGUAAGAAUUCAAUUUCUCCCAUUUCAUUUUGAGAAUUUUUUCUUAAUAAUCACAAAGAGUAGAGUAAAAACUUUUAAAUAUAAGCAAAAAGUACUAAAUUAACAAUAUAACCUAGCAUUAUUAACAAAACUUCCUUUCUCAACUCUCCCCCCAACCAAGAUGAACAUUGCCCUCAAUGUGGCAAGAACGAUUGUAAAUAAAGGGAGGAAGUGGUACCUCCUGAGUGAAAUGGAGUCUAAGACGUAUAGGAGAAACCACAUGAUUCAAAAAACAAAAGAGUAAUGAGUAGAGGAAAUAGAAAAAUGCCAAGUAUAAACAAAAAUGAUGUCUAUAUAUUAAUCUAUAUUAAUAUGAGAAAGUACAAUAUGAGAUAUGAUCAGGUAAUGCAUCUAAUCUCAUAAUAUAAAGCAUCAAAACAAGGAACAAUCCACUAAUAUAAUAUGUAAAUACAAUAGGAUAAAGAGAUGUCCUAUGAUCAAGUAGCGGAGGCCUCUGGUAGAGAUGAUGCAUCCUCAGGUGGGGCGUCGCAAGGUGGCAGAGGGAUUCGCAGGGCGUUUUGGUUUUCGCACAAUGCCUUUUGGAAUUCGCUUAGUGAAUUUGGGUGUGCGAAAUGGGUUCGCAGAUCCCUUAUAAUUUCACACAAUAAACUCGCACAGCAAAUUCGCAAAGCAAAUUCGUAGACCAAAUUUUUGCACAGUAAAUUUACACAUGAAUUUCGCACACAAAUUUUGCAUGCCCUGCGAAUUUUUUUUUUUCUUUUAGUGCUCUACAAAAAUUUCGUGGAGUGUGCGAAAUUUUGUGUUCGUAGGGUGUGCGAAAGUUUCGCACCCCAUGCGAAAUGAACCAUGAAUUUCGCAGGGUGUGCGAAUUGCCUUAGUUUUCAGGGUUUUUCCUUUGCCAAAAAUAUUUAAGGAUAUGCCCAACUGUUUUGAAGUCCCCCUUGCAAUUGAUCAUAAAAAAACCUAAGUUAAAUCAAACCAAAGUAAAAUUAAAGCAAGAAAUCAAAAUCAAAAUAGUUCAAAACUAAAACAAAAAGAUAUGGACUUGCUAGUCUUUAGAAAGACUAAAUCCAUCCAAACCUUGGUCCUGUUUCAGCUUGCCUGGAUCCCAAACUUUUUCUCCCUUAUAAGGUCUUUGUGUCUCCUCCUCAUUGACUAAGGGUUCAAGUAACCCUUCAUCAUGCUUUGGCUUGGAUGUGUGCUAACCAACCUCUUUAUCACUCCUCACGAUGAUAACUGCUUUGACUUCCAUCACUUGUGAAGAUUCUCCCUCUCGAGCCUCCACUUCAUGGAUACCCUUGGGAUUUUGAUAAGAUUGAGAAGGAAACUUUCCUUUUUCUUGCACUAUGUUGAGGUUGGUAAGCCUUGAGAUUGCGUAUUGGAGAUUGUCUAUCUUCUGAGACAGAUCAUUUUGCAUCCCAUCCAGCUUUUUGUUCAAUGUACUCUCCACACUAUCAAUUCUCUGAUUCAGUUGAGCAUUGAUGAACUUCUGAUCUGCCACAAAGUCUCCCACAACCUUGCUAAGGUUCACUAUAGCUUGUUCAAGAUUCGAGCCUUGCGGAGGUGUGUGGUCAGGUUAUGUGUACUAAGGUGGCCUUGGUUUCCAAGAGAAAUUUGGAUGGUUCCUCCAAUUUGAAUUGUAGGUGUUGCGAUCACCAAACAUCUCUCUUACGGUUGGAAUGGUAAGACACUCCUUCACCAAGUGCUCAUAAGAUAGACAAAUGGAACAAGGGAUAACUUGCACUGGUUUCUCAAAAAUGGUGUGCGCUUCUUGUAUCUUCCUCAUUUCUAGCUCCUCCAAUCUUCUCACCAUAGCUGCAACUUUUGCCUUCAUGUCAAUGUCUUCAUUCAAAAUAUACAUCCCAACCUUAGCAUUAGGUUGAGACUUCAUUUUUCCCACUUCUUGAGCAUUUGGUUCAUCCCAUCCUCUUGAAACUUCAGUAACAUAAUUCAAAAAGUCCAUGGCUUUUUCCGAAUUCUUACUCAUGAAGUCUCCUCCACACAUAGUUUCUAGGAGUUGCUUCAUUGAAGAAGACAUACCAACGUAAAAAUAGCUCACUAAGAGCCAUGUGUCAAAGCCAUGGUGAGGACAAGCAUUGAUAGCUUCCAUGUACCUUUCCCAACACUCAUAGAAUUUCUCAUUCUCUUUAGCCGAGAAGUUCGAAAUUUACAUUUUCAAACCGUUGGUCCUAUGAGUAUGGAGGAACUUCUUAAGAAACUCGGCUUGCAAAUCAGUCCAAGUUCGGAUACUCCUUAACCUUAAAGAAUUAAGUCAAAUCUUGGUCUUAUCCUUCAAAGUGAAAGGGAAUAGCUUAAGCCUCAUCAAGUCAAUUAGAGCUCCUCCUUCUUGGAAUGUAUUACAAACCUCCUCGAAUUCUUUAAUAUAAGAGUAAGGAUUCUCACUUUCCAUCUCAUGGAAAGUAGGUAGGAGUGGCAUAAUGUGAGGUCGGAUUACUAGCUGCUUAGUGGGAGGCACUAUGCAUGACGGUGCACUCAUACGAGGUGGAUGCAUGCGGUCCCUCAUGGAUCGGUAUGCGUUGAAAUUAUCCUCUUGACCAUGUUGGCUAAAAUGAUCUUCAGGUGGAACAUCCAUGAUGUUUAAGCACACUUCCAACUCAGUUUCUCGAGGAGUUUCAAUCUUCACCAGUCUUCCAUCAAUAUCUCUUAUCCAAUUGGGCAUGCACAACUAGCAAUCACUAAAACAAAAACAAAGAAAACAAAAGCAAUACAAUACUAGGAAAAAGUUAAGGUUAGCUAAAAACUAAAUAAAAUAUAAAUAUAAACAAAGAAAAAGAAUUAGUAAAAAGAAAAAUCGCCAAACUUGUGAUGAAGAUCACAAGUAUUCACCAAAAGCGUUGUCAAUGUACUAUGGCACCAUCCUUGGCAACAACGCCAUUUGAUUCAUCCCAAAGUGCUUCUGUGCCAUUUGAUUUUGGCCUAAACGGGUGUCAUCAACAAAAUUUAUAAACCUAUUUCACCAUACACUAGGGUAGCAUAGCUAGCAUAGUAUAGUGGCUCUAGGAUCGUCCACAAGGAUGGGUUUUCAUGGUACAAUUGAUAUUAGUUAAGAUACUGAAAUGGUGUUUUUCCUUUUGAAAGUUAACUUUAAAAGAAAAUGUAAUUGUGGGUGGAAAAGGUUGAUUUUAAGUUAACCAAAAAUAGUAACUAAAAUUAAUUACAAAGAAAAGGUUUCUUGGAGUUUUAGGUCACUAGGUUCAAGUUCCUUAGGCAAAGGGGGAGAUUCCGGAUCUUUUCCUCGCGCUAGGGACAAUAACAUAAAUGAUGGUUAUCUCCCGAACCGGAUUUACAUUUAGCAAUUAGGAUUUGAUCCAAACGUGUUCCUAAAAACUAUAGUUGCUUCCCAUUAAUGACUUCAAACACUAAAGACCUCUCACUGUGAAUCAUCUUCCAAUGGCUCAUAAAUGAUAACUAAUAGACAUCCAUAAAUCAAGCAAUAAGCAUCCAUCGAGCUCGAAAAGCUUACCAAGUAUUGGCCAUUCUGGGUAAUCCUACCUUUAAACCACAUUCCAGAGGCUCGUAAAUGAUAACUAAUAGACAUCCAUGAGGUCCGAAAAGCUUACCAAGUAUUGGCCUAGGUGAUUUUAAGGGAUUUUAAGUUAAACCUUGAAAUAAAAACCAUUAACGGGUAACAACUCUCGUCAUUUAAAGCAAGGAAAACUUCCACCUUUGCACUCACGUCCGUCACCUAACUUCCAUCACUCCAAGAAAUGUAAAACCUAGCCACUCAUCCCCUGAGAAAUCAUCCUCAGAGGUUGUUUGGCUAGCAAGAAAAGUAAAAAAAACAAAAUGAGAAGAAAAGACAGAGCAACAACUUUGUAUAUUUCUUCGUACCAGAAUUUACAAGUGUUCCUUGAAAAACAUCCAUCAUAAUGUCACACAUAUCUCUCCUUAUAUAUCUGCUACCUAAAAGAUAUAAAAGAAAAUAUCUAAGUUAGUUACUAGGAGAAACUAGGAAAUUACACAAAAUAUCUGAAGAUAAAAAUCUAACGGAGUCGGUGCACAAAUAUCUGGAGAUUACACAAGAAGAUUUUGCAUACCAUGCAAAGUUUCGCAUGGUAUUCAAAAUUCCUUUAUGGUUGCAUCUUGGUUUUGCAUGGUGUUUGAAAUUUCGCACAGGGUGCGAAAUUUCUUUCACUCAAAGCUCCUCUUGAUUUCGCAUAGCCAUGAGAAAUUGCUGGUGGCUAGAUUUCUUCUCUGAUUCUCUUCCUUGCAUACUUGAUUGUCUUGGCAAAGGGCUAUGAAGCUCCAAAGCUUGGAUUCUUCAUGUAAUUGAGCUUCAACUUGCUUUGCCAUGGACUACACAAAGUUCUCUCUCAUUCUUGGCUUGUUUUAAUGAUAAAAAAGCUACCAAAAACACCAAAACUUGCUAAAAACUGAUUAAUAACACUUGCAAGGGUCCUUAAUGUGCCAAUUGAGUUAAAAGGUAUUAACUACUACUCAAAAGUGUUUAAAACAGUUAAUUUCAAGCUAUAAAAGAGCAUUUUUUCAGUAGUAAUCAGUAAAGAAGUUUAAAUCAUUGUGUAAAAACUUCAUCAACCUUUUAUUAUUUAACUUUAGUCAUAUAAUCAAACAUGGUGAUGAUUCUCCGUGGGGUUGAUCAACACUUGUUUCAUAAGUUGAACAACACCCACACAUAUGAUUAUCUUCAAACAAAAAAGUAAAUAAACAUACAUACUAAAAAAACUAUUUCUUGAGAUUUCCAUAAUCACAUAUUUAAGUUACUAAUUAUAUUUUUGUAAUUUUCAUAAAAUCAUACAAUAAAUAUGAUUGAAAUCAUGAAACAUUGAAAAUGUGUGUUACUACAUCAUUCAUAUGCAUCACAUGAUAUAUAUUUUAGUUGUCCAUAAGAUUAAACAAUAAUCAAAAAUGAAAAAAAAAUAUGUUUUAUGAUCCAAAAUUGGUUGGCUUUGAUACCAAUUGUUAACCAAACUUUUAUAAACUUUAUGCGGAAAUAAUUAUUUUUAAAAACAAUUUUGGAUGCAUGAAACAAAAUAAAUAUAAGUACUAAAAUAAUAAUCAUAUUCUUACCUUAAUCCAUGAUACCAAUAACACUUUUGAGGUGAGAUUGAGUCACCUUGUGAAUUGUAUUGUUAAGGUCUUCAACUCACUACUCUCAUAUAGUGGAUGGGUCAUUUGUGUGGUGUAUGUUGUUAAAAAUAAAACAACAAAAGGACAUAAGAGUGAGAAUGUGGCUUGGGACCUUAACUUAUAAUAAGUUGUACAUCUCUUAGUCUUCCCAUCAAAGACUCUAUGGGAGUUAUACUCAUUAUUUACAACCAUUAUGUACAAAUUAAUGGGUAAUGGUGAGUUAUUAACUUGAAUGCAUCUAUAUAAUUGCAUAGGUUAUACUUUUCCAUUUUCCUCCAUUACUCAUGAACAUAAUGUACAAAUUAAAUUUCAUAAUGAUGAGGUUACAAAAGUUGUAAUACUACAUUCAUAUAAAUUAAAUUUUCUAACUCUCCAUUUAUAAUUUAAGUCUUCCAUACAUAAGAUUCUUGGAUGCCCAAUCAAUUGAUUCACCUACCUAUCAAUUGAUACCCUUAAAUAAUAUUUACAUAAAUAUAAUUAUAUAUGACCACAUAUUAUAGGAAAAAAGCUAACAACUACAAGAAUAAAGAAGCCUUUAGAGCUUAUUUAUGUGGAUGUGCAACCUAAUUCAUCCAAGUUCUUUUGGUAAGAAUAAAUAUUUUUGCUUUUCAUUAAUGAUUUUAGUAGAGAUUAUAGUUUCUUAGCAUAGUUGCUCUUCAAGCACUUGCCUACAAUCUCACAUUCGACUUUGUUUAUGCUAUAUGAAUUUGUGGAAUAGUUUCAAUUUGACUUUUAUGUCUCAUCUUAGCCUAGCUAAAGUGACAUUCCAAAUAUAUAGUUUAUUUUGAUUGCUUUCUUAGUACUAAAAUAAAUAUCAUUUCAUUUUGCAUGCCAUCUAAGCACUAAGGUGAUUGCUCAUGUGAAUGGACCAAUCUAAAUCUGGUGAUAAUCAAAUAAUGUAUGUUGGUGGUAUCAAUAAAACUAAAAUGAAAUCCACAUCUAUGAGGAAUAAAUGCAUAAGAUACCUAUAAAUAAAAUGUGAAUACAAGAGGUGCCCAAAAAUAAAAUAGAUAUAAUGUUGGGAUUGAGUCCUUAAAAGCAAGACAUGAUGUAACAAAGUUAGAUUUAAUUGUCCCUUUGUUAUUCUUUUGGUGUAUUGACAUUGAUUUGUGCAUUCAACUCUUAUUUCUUACAUUGUACAUGACUUGGGUUUAUUAAGCGUUGCAUAGAAAAUAUAUGUCAUGGGUUCCUUGUAAGUAAAUAAGUUGUCCACGAUCAAUUCAUGGAUUUGGGCAAUCCAGUAGAGAUUGUAGUGCACAAUGUUCUAAUUGGAGGGAUAGUUUGUCUUGGUUGUCGGGAUGAGCUUCUCAUAGUAAGUGCAGUAGUGUAUGUGAUGUACACUGGUCAAAACUUAUGGUGAAUCAUGAUGCAAGACUAUCAAUUGUUAUGAUUCACCAAACUAUUAUACUACAUGAACUCGCAACCUUGAGAAGAUAUUGAGUUUGUGCCAAAAUCAAUAGGAGGCUUUGACUUAUUGGUGAGAUCCUAAAGUAGUCAUAUAUCCAAAUGGAUUAGGUCACUAUUGAUGGAGGCUAGUGACAACAAGUAUUCUCAAUAUAGGCACCAUUAUAUCUCAUGGGAUCUAGACAGUGUGGCCCCUUAGGUAAUCCAAAGGACAUGUGAUCAUGAAAUUUAUGGCGUUGCAGUAAUUCUUUAAGUGAAAUUUGACAUAUGCCCUUUAUGAGAUAGUGUAUGUCAUUUGAUCAUAUAAUAAGUAAGGUUUAUAACUCAAGGAUUAAAGAGGUAAUCUUGAUAAGUAAUUGUAGACCCUUCAUUUUGUCCUCUUAACACAUGUGAUACUAGUUUUUCUUCCAAUGCUUUUUUCUUAACUCAUCUCUUGGUGGUCCAUUAGCUCUUCUAUCUUUUUUUUUUAAGCCACCUUCAAGGACCCUUCAUUGACGGGCUCAUUUAGAUGACCUUGGUCACCCUUUAAGCUUAGGUUAGGUUUCACUUAGAGGUAUUUGCACUUAGUUCACUUAGGCACUUUUUAGGUUAGCUUUCACUUUGACACUUUCCUAGACUUAGAUCACAUAGACACCUUUUAAGUAUAGGUUCACUGAGAGGUUUUUUGAGCUUAGUUCACAUAGGUUUGUUUUUUGAUUUUAAUUACUUGAUUUUUGACAUUAGGUGAGUAUUUGACUUAUUUUUUUUUUUUAUUGUUUGAGGUGAAUUUUUGAUAUUUAAUUAUGUGAGUUUGAUAUUUCAUUUUUUGAUUUUAUCUAUUCCCUUAGUUUAAUAUUUUGACUUUUGUGAUUACAUGAGUUUAAUAUUUAUUUAUUUAUUUAUUUGCUUAUUUAUUUUUUAGGAAAAUUGCAUCAGGUUGGUUCUAAUUAUUUUUCUAGUUGUAUAAAUUAAUUUUUUUAUUUUCUUAUAUAUGUAUGUGAUUGAUUUUUAUUUAUUUAUUUAUUUUUUUUACUUUUCAUAAUUCCUAACUUCUAUUUUUUUUUUAUCUGAGAUUUCGGUGACUUUCCAAACAAAGAAGAUGGGCAUCUCGCAUAUGAUUCUUGAGGGAGUAUUAACGUGCACAAGGAAUGAUUUGAAAGGAUCCUGCACACUGCCAUAUAAAUCCAUGCGCAACAUGCAUCAAAGGAAACAAAUGGCAUUCUCCAUAUUGAGCCACGCACAGCCCAUAAAAGUGUACUGCCACUUUCCAUUCAGGAAUGAGAAGGCACAUGACACCUAAGAGAUUUUGGAGCCACCACGCACAUUUUUCUCUAAAAGGAAAGCACAACCACUUUCUAUAGGAGAGAGGUCUGCCAUCCGAGGCAUGCCGCAUUCAUGGAGGUCUUUUUUUAAGAGGAUUCAGCCUGCAGAAAUCGGGAAGAGGCUGCCCAUUGAAAAGAUCUCCACCGCCAGAUUUUUAGAGCAGCACGCACCAUUGAAAAAUAAGGAAUUCUUUUAGCUUAUGUUUGCUUACCAAAAAUGAAUAUGAAAAGAAAAAAAAUAUUGAGGAUUUCUAUUGCACUAUAAAAAAUAGGAAAGAAAACUAAAUAUAAUUAAAAUUAAUUUCAAAUUUAUAUAUUUUAAAAUUAUUGAGUUUUUAUAUAAUAGAUGAAAAUAAGUUAAAUGCAUUUGAAAAAUAAUUUGUUGAUUUUGAAUUUAUUUUUUCUUUUCUUCCAUUUUUUUCAUUAUUUUCUUUUCCUCAAUUUUUCUCGGAACCAAACAUUAGCUUAGGAUUUUGAAACUGGAAAUGGAAAUGAGACAUAAAACAUGUUUUCUGGUGGCAUGUUUUGAAAGCUGUUUAAGAAAACGUUUUGCCAAGAAAAGUCAUUAAAAAAUCUUUAAAAAUGCAAGCACUAUAAUAAUUGAAAAUGAUACAAAAAGGAAGUGUUUACUGGUUUUGACUUUGGUAACAAACAGCCUGAACCUUACCUUGACAAACAAACAGACAGAGCAUUCUACUGCCAAUGUUGGCUCGCAAAACAGUAUCAAGAAAGUAAUAUAAUAAUAACAUAUUUAUUUAAAUAGAGAUUGUGUUUAGUGGAACAAUUAAAGGGUAAAUUAUGUUUGGUGGAAUAAUAAAGGGUUUCUGUGGCCUGUAUCUCCCUACCCAUAUCACAAAUUGAAAAAAAUAAAUAAAAAAUAUAAGAAAAAUAAAAUUUGUAAAAAAUAUAAGUCUAGAUCAAAUAAAUAAAAGGAAUAGGUGUUAAAGUAGAUUUAGCUUAAACAAAAAAUAAAAAAGAAGAUUCUUAGAAACAAAUUUAGGGAACAAGAGUUUUACAUAAAAUUGGAAUUUAGAAAGUAAUUAGUUAAAUUGAAAUAAAUUAAUAACAAUAAAUAAUAUUAACAUAAAAUUUAUUAAGAAUAUCAAACUAUAAUUUUAGAUAAAUUGUUAAUAUUAGUAUUUGUUUUUUAGGUACAUUAGGCUAGGUUAUGUUUAAGCUCUCAAUAUUUAAAAUUUUUAGUUCUUCAAUAUAAAGGGAAAUCAAUACAAAUUUUGUAAAAGAAAAUAUUUUUUUUGUAUAUAUUAUUUUUAAAUUAUAUCAAAUAUUAUUUUGUUUCUUUACAUGGAUCAAAUACAUUUUACAUGAAAAAUAUGUUAGAUUAUCUUUGACUAUUUAUAACAAAAAAUACACAUAUUUUGCGAGUUCAAAUAAAAUGAAACAAAUUGUUUAACUUUGGUUUAUUUUACCCUAGUUGACAAAGGGAUUAUUAUCGACCUUUAUAUUCCUUUGUUGGGAAAUAUGAUUGCAUUGAACCUCAAUCUCUAUGGGUUUGGUUAGAGGCUUUGGACCUUAUAUAGUUUUAUUUCACCCACCUUAAAAAGUAAGGCUACCCAUUUGUAAAGUCCCAUUUAAUUGGGCUUUGUUUUCUCUUUCUUAGCACUAGUAGGAAAAAUGCAAUUUAUGGCGCUUGAUUCCUUGGCGCCUCUAAAAAGUGUCAAGGAAUUGGGUCAACCUUGGCGCUUGUAGAAUAUUUAUAAACCUAGGCGCUUCUAAACCAUGUAUAUUUGAUUCAAUGACGCUUUUUAAGUUGAUGCUUUUGGAAGUGUCAUGGUUGGAAAUGGAAGGUAACCUUGGCACUUUUAUAAGUGUCAUUGAAAUGGAGUUCAGACAUUGGCACUUACAUUAAGCGUCAUUGAAUUUACUAGUAUAUAUUUCUUUCUUUUUCCUCAUCCUAACACAUUACACUCUCAUCCCAACCCUUGGAGCCCUAAGCCAGGACAAUCACCCACAUCUUCAACCACCACCAGCACUAAUCGAUGAGAAAAUGUUACGAACAUGUUGAAGGUACUCUCAUUUCAUUUCUUUUUGGUUUGUUUGCUUACCUAGAAAAUGCGAGAAAAAACCAUAAAUUAGGUUUAAAUUUUUUGAAUCUAAAAUCUUGAAAUUUUUUGGAUCCAAAAUCUUGAAUUGGUUGAUUAGAUUGUUUCAGUUAUAUAUAACCUUCUGAUUUUUAUGUUUGAUUGAGAAAAACGUGAGAGGGAUUUGAAAAAUGCAGAGACCCUAUUUUCCUAAACCCUAACUCUUUAAACAAUCCAUUAUUGAGGCUUUCUCCAUUGUAAGGAACCUCGGGGUGCACUUGUUUUAUCCAUUAUCAGCUUAUAGAAUUGACUGCAUUUUUUCUUGGUUUCUCGAUCCACUUUACUUAACAUCUCUGGUGUUGCUCCUGGAAGGGGCAAUCAGUGUAUAGAAUGAUGCCAGUUGUUUAAAUAUGUUUCACUUGUCCAAUAAAUGGUUGAAUUUUUGUUUAAGGUUUGGAGUAACACCAUUGUGUCCAUUAUGCAGACAAUUUUUAUUUCAGAAUUUCUUAAUUUUCUGAAAUGUUUUAUGUGCAGUGUCUGGGUUGCACGCAGACCACCAGGCUAUGCUUUUAUCGACUUUGAUGACCGUAUGUUUUAAAGAUUUUCUUAUAAUGGUGUUUAUUGUUCUUGAAUUUUCUCUAUGCUUGAACCCCAUGCCAACAACCAUUUCAUCUCCUUUCUCUAAUUUCUGGACAAGUUUGUCUUCCUCUUCACCUCAAUAAUUAUUAUUAAUUUUCAUUGCUAUUCAGGGUUGGAGACCUAAUAAUAAGAAAGAAUAUUCUGUUCUGUGUUGGGUUUUGGGGAUUUUUGGGUUUCAUGUUGUUGUGUUUCGAUCGUGUUGAUGUUUUUGUUUGUAUGAUGAGAGGGAUGCUAGAUAAUGANNNNNNNNNNNNNNNNNNNNNNNNNNNNNNNNNNNNNNNNNNNNNNNNNNNNNNNNNNNNNNNNNNNNNNNNNNNNNNNNNNNNNNNNNNNNNNNNNNNNGGGAUAUCUAAGUAAAAGAAAUUUAUCUCUUAAUGACUUCAUCAACUGAGUUCAAACAUAAUUUAGUUUUUCUAUUGGCGUAAUUAUGUCGUUAAUUGAACUCACUUUAUGGGACAUCUCACCAUCUCACACAAAAGCCCCCCAAAAUACAGAAGAAAAGAGAUCAGUGCAAGGGGCACGUGAUUCCUUAAAACUACAAGAUGCAUAUCUAGAUUGGUAGUUAUUAUUAUUAUUAAUUUUUGAUAAGCAAAAGAGAAAUAGAAUGGGUAUGAAUUGGAAUUUGCGCUAGCUUUGAUUGCUUUUUUUUUUUUUAUAGUGAAAAAGACUUGUAAUUUUUUUUCCCUUUAAGAUUAUUGGCUACCAAAUUAAAAAUUAUUGAAUUUGCAUUUACCAAACUUGGUAUUAGAUAAGAAUUGCAGAACAAAGUUUUUUCUUAUGUUAAAAUAAUUGUUUUUCAAACUAUGGAAUUGCAUAUAUAUGAGUAAACUGAUUGUACUCUUAGAGUGAUCAGUUGGAAAGAUGACGGUAAUAAGUUCCUCAUUACCUAUUUCUUCCAACUUAGCUUAAAUAUAUUAUUUUACUCUUUCUAGUGUGAUUCUGUAUUCUGAUUGUCUUCUAAGCCUCUAUACAACAACUUAAUUAGAAUAUUGUCCAUAUUUUGAAGUAUCUUUUAUUUGAUAAUUCAACUUAUGUUUAUCCUUUAAGUUUCUUUCCCUUUGUCCUCCUCUAAUUUUUCCUUAUUGUCUUCGGCCACUUGAAUUCUUGAUAUAAAUCUUUGGGAGUUUUUUUUUGCAUAAUGAUAGUUAAAAAAAUAUUAAUUGAAUUUAUUUUAUUUUAUUUUAAAGAACUAGAUGAUUUUAAUAUUUAAAAAAUCAAAUUUAAAAUUUAUGAAGAUUAAUUUGAUUUGAUAUUUAAAAUUUUAAAAAUAUAAUUUUAUCGUUUAAUUAGUUUGUUUUUAUAUUUAAAAAUGUAAUUUUAGCUUUUAAAAAAAUUAGUGAUUUCAAUAUUUAAAAGUCAUUUACAACUACCUUAUCAACUCGAAAAGGUAAUUUGAAGGUAAUUUGGGAAGUGUUUAAAAAGUAAGAUGAUAUUUUUUUAUUUAUGGAGAUUUCUUUGAUUUUAUAUUAAAUAAAUCAAAAUUUUAAAAUUUAAUUUUAUUGUUUGAAACUUUUAGUGAUUUAAUUUUAAAUUUAAAAGUCAUUCAUGACUACCUUAUCAACUUGAAAAGGUAAUUUGGAGAUUGGUUGGAAAGUUAGAUAAUAUUUUUCUAUUUAUGGAGAUUAAUUAAUUUGAUUUGACAUUAAUUUUAAACUUUCCUUUUAAUAUAAAAUUUUAAUAGCUUCUAAGUAAAAGGUCAUAUAAGUCUUUAUACUUUAUUUUUUAAAGAAGUUUCCCCUUUAGGAAUUAUAUUAACUACAAUAUAGUAAAUUAAAACUUGUCUAAUACACUAACAGGCAUAUGAAAAUCGAACCAAAUUUUGAUACUAAUCUUGACUUUGUUGUUUUCAUUUGUGCUCUUGUAGAUCUUAGAUUAGUUUAAUUUCUUAAAUUUGGCAUAUUGGAUUAAGAUAUAUACCAUAAGUUUGGCAUAUAUUUUUUUACUCAUUUUAUAUCUUUUUUUUCAAUGAAAUAAUUUAGAUAAAAUGUGUAAUUCCACCUAUUUACCUAAAAACUAGAUGUUGAUGCAUGUAUACACUAUCAUUUAUUUUUUAAUAAAUAUAAUUAACUUUAUUUAUUUUUCAUUGUUAGGAUUGCAAGGUUUUGUCAUAUGUUGACAAGGUUUGUGGGUUUGUAAAAUAUAGUCUAGAUUAUGUGUUAAGAACAAGAAACCAAUUAUACCAAUUUUAUUAUUUAUUUCUCAAGUUAGUCUACCAAUGUAGGUUUAGAGUACGUCACUUAACAAAAGCUAUCCAAAUUCGUGAGCAUACCAUAUUUAUGUGGAGUUUGUUGUAGAUUUAUAAUAAGUUAAAAGAAACUAUUGUCUUUUCAAUGCCUUCUUCAACCUUGCGCACUCUACCUUAUACAAAGAAAAGAAAGAGGAUAGGUCAUUUCUAAUUUUUGUUUUUUAAGUGGACCUUCAUUUAAAGUAUUUGAGGUCUCUUUCAAUAUUAAAUGUAUAUAUUAUUUUAUUACUAAAAGUUACUCUAGAUGGUUGAGUGACUACACAACUAAUCCUAAUUUAAAAAUAUAAAAGUUUUGAGUCUUUUUUAUGUGGGUUCAUAAAUGUGUUCUCCUUCCCUCUUUAUUACGUUUCUAUUUUUUUUCUUUUUUCUUUUAUAAAAAAACAAGAGAUCCAACUUUCAAUGUUUUUUAAUAAUAUAUCUUCAUUAUUAUUGAAUGGAAUGAGAUGUAGUGAUUAGACAAAGUGGUCUUCUAUUGUUGAUACAGGAAAACAAGUUAUCAUUUUAUAUGACAAUUAGGAGUAGAAGGUAAUGAUUGUGACAACUAGGAGUAGAGGGCAAGAUGCACAUAAGACAUUGUUUUUAAAGGCAAGUAUCUCCUCUAUUUAUAAAGGUAAUCCACCACUACACUAGAAACUUCUCUCUUAAAGAUAGAAUAGCUUGAAAGGAUGACUAAAUAGAAGAUAAAAUUUUAUUUCUAUUACUUUACAAAUUAAUUAUUUACUUUUAUAAUUGCAUAGGAGUUAUAUGUUAUCCUAAACAAGACAAUGAUACAUUUCAUGGUUUUAUUGAAAUAAAAUAUAAAAAGAAGUUUAUUUUCCUAUCCUUGGAUUCUUAUCAUACACUUACCUAAUGAUUUAUAUUUUCAAAAACUUUGAACAAGCACCUCUUAUCAACUCAAUAAAAUUAAAAGUCAAAGGAACUAAAAUAAAAGUAAAAACUAAUCAAGUAAAUAAAAAAUAAAAAUAUAAGAAAUUAAUAUUAACAUAGUGAUAGUAAGAUGGUUUCCAUCUUAUUUGGACCUUGGUAUUAUUUUUAACUGUGCAUAGUAGGUCUUAUGUUAUUCUUUUAUUUGAUAAUGUUUUAAGAGUUCUUUAUUAAAAGUCCAUAAGGAGCUUCCCCAACUCCUAUGCUUUAUUAAUUAGCUUUGAGGUUUGCAUUUGUUAAUAUUGAAAGAAACUAUGUGUUUCUUUCUUAUGAAGUAGGCAACUAUUAUCAUUGUAAUUCUUAAAAUUGAUGCUUUUGACGUUACUUGUUGGGAACAUGCAAGUAAGUCUGCUAGUUGAAUAUUCAUGUUGAUCCACUAAGGGCAUAUUUGAGUGCAUUUUUUUCUUCUAUUAUUUUUCUUUCAUGAACUUUAUAUUAAUAAAUCAACAUCGGAAUAAACAAGAGUUCAAGUUCAUUGCAUUGCUUUUUAAAUAUAUAACUUAAUUAAUUCAUCUUUCAUUUGCUUCAAUUUUUUAUUGACUGCCAUUUUUAUUUUUAUUAAUAAGUUUGAACUCGAUAAUGAAUCAAUUUUCAAAUCUCAUGUAUGAUUGUUUGAACAUUCAUCAGCCAGUAUAUGAUUAUGUAAAUUUUGUUGAAUUUUAAAUUUCAUCAUCCAGUUAGAUUUGGUUAAAACUCUUCAUAAUAUACAUUAGUUUUUCUUGUAAAUUAUUUUGAAUUCUUUUUCUUAUAAUUUUCUCAUUUUCUUGUAGUGGCUAUUUUGUGAAAAAUUAAAUUUGUCAAUGUUUAUUUAUUUAUUUAUUUUUAAUUAACCUCUUUUGAUUUAUGUUACUCUAAUGUUAUUGAUAACCUCUCUGAAGCAAAAGCCUAAUGAAGAAGACUUUGACAGGGAUGAUGCCAAUGACAAGGUAAAUGAAGAUUUUUUUUUUCACUAUCAACAUAGUAUAAAUCAUUUUAAAAUGGAUCUUUUCAAUAAUUAAGGAAACUAAGACAUAUUCAUGUGGUUGUAUACUUAAUGAUUGAGAUAAUUAUCUUACUUAGUAGCAGUAUUUUUUAACACUAAUAAUUUAUUUACUCUAGUAAAACUUUUUACCUUUGACCCAAUAAGAAGAAUAUUAGCAUGUUUGUUUUAUUGCUUUACUUGAACAAAAGCUAAUUAAUGUGUUGGAUUAUUUUCUAUUCUCAUAUCCUCUUUGUUUCAAUUAUAUUGGUUGUUAUAUGUAUAAAUUUAAAGUUUUAUAUUUUUUUUUAUUUACAGCUUGCAAAGGAAAUUGGCUUACAAGAAGAAGAGAAAUCAUUACAAUAAAGCGAUGUUGGAAAUCAUGAAGAUGAUAUCAUUUAAAUCUUUAAGAGGUUGAACUAGACUUUUGUUGAUGAUGGUUUCUUUUUGUAGUUAUUGCACCAGUAUUUGUUCUUAUAUUGGAUUUAAAAAUUCUCAUUGAAAUAUUUUGAUCUAAUGAACAAAUUUAUAAUUUGUAUACAAGUAAUUAUACUAAUUAUUGAAACUAAGCCAUUAUAUAUUAAUAUUUGGAGAUAUUUUAAUUUGUACAAUUCAAUUUAAUUUUAUGAUUUUGCGUUUAUUUAAUUAUAUAGGAAAUUCAUUAUUUUAAAAACAUAAUGCCAAUAUUAUUAUUAAAAUAAAAUGCUUAAAGAUGACGCUUCUAUUAAGUGUCAUUAUUAACAUAAACCAAAGAUGACGCUUUUAAAAUUGUCAUUGAAAAAUAAUCUAAAGAUGACGCCUUGUAUAAGCGUCAUUAUUGACUAAAACAUAUAAUGACAGGGGAGAAAAGGACGCUUUAGAGAAGUGUCAUCUUAUGCUUUUCUUGACGCUUAAAAAACGUCAUUAAUUCCCAUUUUAAAAUAAUUUGAUUUUGAUUUAAUAUGAAAUUAUUAUUGACAUAAAUAAUAUUGGUUGAAAAUUUUGAAUAUCUUAACAUGUUUGAACUUCAAGAAGUUUUAUGAAAAUGAUUGUAAAAUCAUAUCUAACUAUUUGUAUUCAUAUUUGAAAAUUUUUCAUCCAUAAAACUAUAUCAAUAUUCUUUAUUCAUUUCUAUAUAAAUUGAGAAUUUUGAAACUAAUUAAUCAAAUUGAAAUUGACUAAUAAUAAUAAUAAUAAUAAUAAUAAAUAUUAAGAAUAAUAAUAGUAAUACAAAAUAUUAUUAGAAAUGUGAAACUAUCAUUUUAGUAAGAUAACUAAUUGUAGUAGUUGUUUUUAACCUAUGUUAUGCUAUGUAAGGUUUUAGUUUUUCAAUAUUUAAAUUCUUCAAGAAUUUGAAUACUUCUUUAAGGUAAGGAAAAUUAACACACAAUAUUAUAAGAAAUGUCAAAGUAUAAUUUUAGAAAAAUGGCUAAUUUUAAUAGUUGUUUUUGACCUAUGUUAUGGUGGUGAGGUUUAAGUUCUUCAAGAUUUUUUUUUUUUUUUUAGGAAUUUGAAUGCUUCUUCCAGGUAAGGAAAUUAAUACAGAUUUUAUGAAAGAAAAUACAUCAUUUUUAUAUGUUAUUUUGGAAUUAUAUAAAAUGUUUUUUUACAUGUAUGAAAUACAUAUUGCAUGAAAAUAUGUUAGAUCAUGAUCUUCGGGUAUUUUUUGUAGUAGAAAAAUAUGAAGAUAUUAUAAUUUUUAUAAGUUUGGAUCAAAUGAAACAAAUUGUGUGGCUUUGGUUGAUUGGCCCUAGUUGGUUUAAGAGAAAUUGAAGCUGGGAUUGGAUGAGUAUUCAUUACAAAUCCAUUAAUGGUGAUGAUUAUUUUGAUGAAGCAGAGCAUGAGAUUAGGUGUCUACCUAUUUGCAUGCUGACUAGGCUUAUCCAAUUUGUUGCUCUCUAAUUUAUGUUUACUAUCUUUAUUUAGUGAAUUUGAAAAGGUACCUGUCAUAGUGCCAAUAGACCUUUGAGUGGGAGUGAGAAAAUCUUUUGUGACUUUUUCUUUUGAAUUAUUAAUCCAAUUUAACUAAUUGCCCAAAUUAAUUACUUGUUCAAUGAAGCCAAUCCGUGAAGAAUGUAAAAGGAACCAUCCCAAAUAAAUAUAAAAAGUACUAGUACCAGUACUAAGUCCCAUUGGGAUCCACUUCUUAUUUUUAAAAAUAGAAGUCAGUAAUAACUUCUAUAUAAAAGAUAGAAACUCUUAUAAAAAAAUGUUUAGAUUUAUCUUAUGCUCCUCAAAAUUAUUUUUAAAAGAUUUUAAAAUUUAAGGUAGUAAAACUUUUUUGGUAUCUUCGAUAUAAAUGUCAUUUUUCAAUUGAAUACCCUGUUCUUAGUGGGAGGUUUGUGUGUAAUGCUGCAGCUUUAGAAGCUGUUAGGGGGCUAUUAUUGUGCCUCUUUGAGGGGUUUCUUGCUGAAUAGGGCAUUUCCUUUUGCUUAUGGUACACCAUAUUUUUCUUCUGUUGCUUUUAUGGAUAAGCUCUUUGGAUUUUCAUAUUUGAUAUUAGCAGUAGCUUUCACUAAUACUAUCAUACAAUAUCUUCUAUCUUUUUCUGAAAAAAGUUCUUUUUGAAAAUUUCCAGUAAUAUGGGAACAAAUUAACAAAGAUUGAUCAUGAUGUAAAUCUGCGACUAAUUGAAGAAUACAACGUCUAUGGAUUGUCAACUCUGAUACUCUUAAAAAAUUGAUAGGAAGUUCCAAAAAGCAGAAGGGAAUGUGCAAUUAUAAAAGCCAAGCUAAAAGAAUAUGUGGUGGAUGCUCUUCUGAAGUCGAUAUCAAUAGCAUAGUUCACUUCUGGAUUACAAAAAAUUUGCUACGUAAUUAUCUCCUUCUUUGUAUAUUAAUUCUUAUCCUAUUUCAUUUGUAUAGUAUAUAUUUCUAUAAACAAUGGAAAAUUUUGAUCUUGAGAUUAGCUUUGAGGUGUAGGUUGUUAAUAGCGGGAGAUACCAGAGUCACUGUAAUUUCCUAAUGUACUCGCCUCUUCAACUGAGAAUGAUGCUUCCUUCUUUUGCCCUGCAAAAGAUGUCCGGACAAGGGAUCCGGACACACCCUCCGAAGCCUUUGUUAGUUUGACAGUUCAGCAUAUUGAUAUUCUUGGGCCCUUUUUUUAAGAAUGCUUACCUGUUUCUUUGACUGGAUCGUCGGGGGCCUUUUAUAGUUUCUGAAGCUUCGUCACUUUGAAGGUGGGAAGACUCUUUGACUUUUGCGGUCAUGAUGGUACUCAAAGGGUGACAGAGCCAUCAUUGUCUUGCAGGCGGCUGACAAAGAUUGUUGGGGGGAUGAUUUGUUGUCACCCUUGUCUUUUUACUCUGUAGGCAGCGCAGGACAGGUCGUGGAAGGUCGCCUGAAAAGACCCACAAACGUCCUGUUAAGUAUACUUUUGGCGAAAUGAGUAAUGAUUGCCCGUGAAAUAUGGUCAGGAAUCCUGUUUGGGACGACAACUACUGGGUCCGGACUGGACGUCCAGACAGGGGGGGUGGGCGUGCCACAUGUCAAUCCAUGUGAUCAUCCGGACAGAGGGUGGGACGUGCCACGUGUCCACCAAAGGAGUGCCUUGUGAGGCCAGGGUGUCCUACCACGUGUACACUUAGGGGUGGUCCCUACAUAGGUCAAAUGUAAUUUUUCAUGCCUAGCGAUUUUCUGGUAUCUACUCCCUGAAUAUUUAUAGAAAAAUGAUGUUAUUUUGUUUUUUGUGUUGGUGCACUACCAACAAAGAAGUAUUUAGCUAGUCUUCGUGUGACGUAGAUAGCGAUUGCACCUGCACAAAAGAAUGUCUGGAUGGGUUUUCCGAGCAUGCCCCUCUGAAGUUUAAGUAAAAAAUGGAAGACUUGAGCAAAAGAUUUUUUGGAAAAAAAUGGUAGCAUACCUUUCCUUUGGUGAAUAAUGGCUAUUUAUUCUUGCCCAAAAGUAGCAUCUUCUCAUUGCCUUAAUUGUGCAUUUGAUUGCGUGUUUACCAUCUUUAAUGCUAAUGACUAUCAGCACAUAACGGUUGUUGUGCCUUGAUGAGUCGUGAAGUACUCUAGCGUUUUAGCUUCAUAACGGUUGCGUCAAUCAAUGCACUUAAUGUCUGUUGUAGCUAAUGCUUAGCAAGCGGGAAUGUAUCGUGCUCGAUUGGUUUUUGUCCAUCUAUACCCGGGGUAGACAAAUAAUGCUAAAUGGCUCUUGUGUAGAACAUGCAUUACAUUGGAUGGCAUGUAUGGAUCAUGCUAGGCAACAGUGAGCGUCCCACAAUGCUCCUUAAUUCUUGCAAUUGGGGCCAACUAGGUUCCAAAUGGUCAGGUGGAAGAAUUUUAUUGCCCACGCAUUAAAAUUAUUGGUGCCAUGGGACAUGUGUCCACUGCAUGUGUCACAAGGGGUCACAUCAUUAAGACAUGUAUCCACACCACGCACGCCUUGAUGCAUGCGCCCAUGCCUUAUAUAAGAGAUUACUUUUGGGUUUCCUUUUCCAUUUCAUUUUGAGGGUUCAUUUUGCAUGCCUUCUCUGUGUUUUAUCAUUAUUGCCUGUGACUUCGACUUUGUCAUUGGCCUUCAGUAUUGUUGCCAAUAGGAUUUCUUCUUUCAAGUUAGUUCUUUCUAUGUCAUGGUCUUCAUUAUAGUGCAGUAUUAUGUUUCUCUAUUCAUAUUGCUUUUUGUUUGAGUUUUUUUAUCUUUGAAGACUGUUUUCUCCAUUUCUGCUUUUAAAUGCUCUUGGUUGUUUGUUGUUGUGAGGUUGUGUAUGUAUAGACUAGCUUUUUGGUGUUAGAAUCUUCCUCUAGGCUUCCUAUAGGGAGCUUUUUCUUUGCAAAGUUUGGGUAGUUUUAGAUAACUUGCCAAACAAGUCUCUGUUGGUUUUGGUCCGUAUAGGUUGAGAUGGUAUUUCAUUAUGGGAAAACAACCCGUUUACAAGCCUAUUUGAUUAAGGCGUCAUUGUGUUGACCAAUUUGUGUUUUUGCCACACCGGUGUCUAUACGACUUCGUUUCUUAUGGCAUCAUGGAUAAAAAAGGAGUCGCUUCCACAAGUGGUAGGUCACAACGAGGCGGGAUGAAGGUUACUAGAUCCGAGUGCUCCAGAACAAAACACCUUAUAGACGAGCUAUAUGAACAAGAGUUUUAGGUUCUUUUUCACAUCCCUUACUCUAUACCCAUCCAGUUGUUAGACGAAGAAGCUCUGUUAACAUACGGGCUUCCCUAUGAUAUGGUUUACUUCACGAAGGAACGGUUCGUAGCUAUACUCCAUUUCCCAAUUUCGUCUCUCCUCAAACAGUUCUUACACUUCUCUGAGAUUCCACUCGCCUACAUUCAUCCAAACAUCAUCUAGAUGUUCAUAGGAUGCAGUGUCUUGGAUGCACUGUAUCAACUUGACCUCUCAUUCUUGGAGAUUCUCUUUGUUUAUACCAUCAAGAUGAGCCCUAAGGAGAGGUUUAGCUCAUCAUCUCAUAUCCUUUCUCUUUAGUUUGUAACCGAUCUUCCUGAUUCCAACAAAGAUUGGGAUAAAGAGUAUGUCUUCAUAUCCAGCCCUUAGAGUGGUUCAACAAAGGGGUUAAAUCAACUAUUCAGCCCUUGAACUACUAAGUAUAGUUUUCGUUUGCAUUGUUUUGCUAUUAUUGCCCUGUACAACUUCAUUGAUUAAAUAACUAAUGUUUUCUCCGUGCAGCCAAAGAGAGGUGCGACCACUUGGUUGAGUGGGUGGACAAAUCUUCAUUGACCAGUCUUAACAAGUUGUUCGAGAUUGAUGAAGUCGAAUAGAAGUUCUCUAUGCUAUUGAUCGAGAAGAACUUCGAAAGUUUAUUGGAGCACCAUCAAGCGUUUGUAAUUCUAGCGUUUCCAAGAUUUGCUUCUUCUACCUUUGUUCCUGGCGAGCAUUUUGUCUUAAAGAGUUUGCAUUCUACAAAGUUAGCAGGCUCAUUGAUGCUAAGGCAAGGUAAGCUUAUUUAGACGAGCAUGAAAAGAAACACCAGGAAGGCGCUUUACGCCAGACUCUUGUUUUUGCAUCUCAUCCAGCUUCGAGCUCCACACCCCGGUCGACUAAGGCAAAACCUACACCCUAUCCGGCUAAGAAGAAUCAAGCAUAAACUCAAGCGACUACGUCUAAUGAGGCUAUUAUAUCAGAUGGUGGUGAGCAUAGUGAGGCUCUCAAUCACGUUCUUCUGCCCAUAAUCAAUGAAGAAGAAAAAUAAAUAAAUGACUACCAACUUGCACGUCAAUUUUUGCGAAAUGCAACAAAAAAAAACUAUCUGAAGCCCUUGAGGUUGCAUCUCCUCUAGCUAAGAAAGGGAAGACGAGUGCCGAGAAGGGUUCAACCUCAAAGUCUUCUCUUGCUCUUCCUCCAGCUACUACUUCCUUGUCUACUCCAGCAGCUAAGCCGUUUGUUGAGGAGCUUCCUUUCUACUCUACGGGGGAACUUGUGGUUAUUCUGGCUGGAUCCACUCCAAGCUCCUAGCCAUCCCCUGCUACAACGAAGGACAUGCUUAGCUGGGAGGAGUUAGACGAAUUGCUAAAGCACUUCCCUUCAUUCAUAGACAUGGAACCUUCUGUCACCAAUAUGAAUUACCUCUUUCCGAUUGCUCAACAGAUCUUGGUCGAGGUUGACAACGACCCCGAACAAAGUUUCAUUGCUCGUGCUCCUUUUGGGACUCCGAACAGUGCUAUAGAGGUAAUCAUGCCUAUGAAGAGGUAUUUUGCCAUGUAGAUAGCUGAAGUAGUAAGAAACAUCCCGUCUUUCCAUUAUUUUUCUUUCUUUUCUCCCAUGCUUCAUCUAACUUUGGUUUAUCUCCUUAAAUUAUAGUUGGGGUUCGAAACUUAAUGAGGCAACGCGACCAUCUGUUCCAAAGGUUAGAGGUGGCAGAGAAGAUUAGUGCCUACACGACUCACACUAGGGAUGGACAGUAAGACCUACACGCCGAAUUGGAAACUGCCAAGGCUACUGCUGCUGCUGUGACCCAGAAAGAUGCUAAGGAGUGAGCUAGUCUACUUUGCAAGGCAGAGUUGGAGAAUAUGGUGCUUUAAUCGGAAGUGUGCAGUUUGAAGCUAGACAACGCCCCAUUAGGAUCCGCCAAGGCUCAAGCGAAGGAAUCGAGCACUUGGCUAAAGCUUGAGCUCGAGUAAGUGUGGGUUGGCUUCGUCAAAAAAGAAAAAAGAAAAAAAGAAAGAACUAGAAGCAGCUAACCAUGAGCAAGUAGAUGACAUGUUCUUCUAUGGCUACAAUUGCUGCAUAAGGAAGCAUAAAAUUACUAAUGGCAUUCCUAAUAUUUUGUAUGAUGACAAUGAUGAAACUAACCUGAGUGAAGACACUCCGGUAGUAGACAAACAGGAUGCUCAAGGGAAAGAUACCAAGACUCAGUUAAGUACUUCAACUUAGUAUACUUAGGCUACUAGCUACUACUAAACUAUGCUUUGUAAAUGAUAAUUUUGGUCAUUUAUGCCUUUGGUUUUGUAAAACCAUUAUUGGUCGUUUAGGCCUUCUGUUGUAAGACAAUGGUGGUUGUUUGGCCUUUUAAAUAUUCUUGGCUAACAAAGCCGUUUAUUCUUUUAUUUGGCAUACUUUGUAGUACAUGCCCCCUAGUGUUAACCUUAUAUAUUAUUUCUUAUCUUUGUGGCUCAUGCCACUUGUCUUAUGUAGUUUGGCUUCUUGAUUGCUAGUCAUUUUGACUUGACACCGUUUGACUUUUUCAUUGUUAGCCAUUUUUAGCUUUAUGCCAUUUGGCUUCAUGGCUUAUAUCGUUUAGGUUUUGCCCGUUUAGAGUUGCCAUUUGGCUUACCCUAUGAAGGGUUAUUUCUCAAUUUUUAGCUAAUUUUGAACACAUAAUAUUUGUAAAACAUCAUACUUUAUUUAUAGUACUUUUUCAAAUUUGCUACAUUUCAUGGUUUUAAUAUGGGCAUUUUGUCCAUAAUUUGUAGAUGGUGUAUCCCUGAAUCUCCUGCCUUAGUUAUAACAUACAUGUUUUCCCAAUUAAUUAGCUUGGAACUUACCAACUCCUAUUUCUGUUGUAUUCUUGAAGACCCGUCUCAGUACCAAAUCUCCUGGGUGGAAUAGUCACUAACGCGUUUUCUUAUUGUAUUGAGGAAUGACCCUUUGGUGAUAUGAGGCUAUUUGGAUAUCAAUUGCUUCCUAUUCCUCAUCUACCUAAUCCAAAUGUCUCUCCAAAUCAGUAUUAUUACUCCUAGCCAAAUCAAUAUUGUGAAACCAAGGUUUGGUUAAUCUUGAUUUUGAUGAUAACAAAACAAGGUUUAGAACUAAUGAUCAUAUUUCAAGUGUGAUUAGGCAAGACGACUUCCAAAGUGGCAAUCCAAAGACAAAUCAAGCCAAGGAGAAAUCAUGAAGAAGAAGACCACCUCAAAGAGAAGAGUUUUUCAAGACCAAAGCUUCUUAAGAUCUCUUUGUAAGGUUGUUGGUGCACUAAGACUUUCAUGCAUUUCAUUCUUUAUUUAUGCACCAAAAUCAUCCAAAAGUAAUAUUGUUUUAAAUAUAUUAAGAAUUGGAUGAUUUCAAGUUUUCAACUAAAACCUUGUGUUAAAUGAUUUUCAAACUUGUGUUAAAAGGUUUUAAGUUGAAAAAGGUUGAGUGUUGAGCCAAAAAAAUGGCUUAACUGGUUCAACCGGUUGUGCUCGUCCGGUCGAGGACCGGUUGAGGGAGGCCAAAAAGUUUCUCUCUCUCCCAGUGGCAUUCUCUUCCCGAUCAAGGUUGAACCUCAAUCGGUUGAGGUUCGGUCAAGGUCCGGUUGAGGUCCAGUUGAGGCCCAACGGUCACUUUUCCUAACAGCUAGUCAACCGGUCGACCCUUAGCUCGACUGGUCGAACCCCCAACGGCUAGUUUGGCUUUUUUCUUCUAUAAAAAGGCUCCAAUCUUCAUUGUUUCAUAAGCAAAACCUUCCCAAAUCAUUCUUGAUUAUAUUUGAGCCUUGGAACAUUGUUUCAUAACUUGCAUAUCUUUAGUGCACCAUUCAAUCCUAUUUUUUCUUGUAUCUUUGAGCCUAAAGUUCUAUUACUAGGAUUUUUGUGAGAUCAAUCUUUGUAUAUCUUUGAGAGGAAUUUUCUCAAGUGUGGGGUAUCACUUGAGAGGUAGUUCAAGAGUGGGAUAACUCUUGAGAAGUGUAAAGGGUGCUUAGAGCCAAAAGUCCAAGAUGGUGAAUUGGAACCACAAUCCAAUUGUAAAGAGAUUGGAAGCUUGGUUGAACCUUCAAGAUAGUGGAACCCUUACUCAGUUAGGAGGUUGAAGAGAGUGGACGUGGGCAAGGAAAUGCCGAACCACUAUAAACUCUCGUGUUUGCACUCUCUCUUCCCUAAGUCUUUUAAAUUAUAUGCAAUUGUAUUUAUUUUGUUUAUUAUAUAUUUGCAUAUAAUUGUCUCUUAUUUUUGCAUAGUUUAAUUUUGUGAAAAAAAGACCAUCACCCUAUUUAACCCCCCCCCACCCCCCCCCCCCCCUCUAGGGUGAUUACCAUAAGUUUGGGAUUAAGUCUCAAAUUCCUAACAAUUGGGUAUCAGAGCAAGGCUUCCUUGUUUAAGAACUUUAACCGUCCUAAAAAGUAAAUGGCUAUUCCAUCAAACCUCAUUCCCAAGGUUUGAAAGUUUUUNNNNNNNNNNNNNNNNNNNNNNNNNNNNNNNNNNNNNNNNNNNNNNNNNNNNNNNNNNNNNNNNNNNNNNNNNNNNNNNNNNNNNNNNNNNNNNNNNNNNUUUUAAAUUUAUAGCAAAUGUUUUUUUUUUUUUUUAUUAAAUUUUGCAAAAAAUUUUUUUUUUUUUUUGGCAUAGUUUAUUUUGGAAAAAAAAAGCCCUUCCCCUUUUUUACCCCCCCCCCCCCCCCCCCCCCCCCUCUAGGGUGAUUACCAUAGUUUGGAUUAGUCUCAAAUUCCUAACAAUUGGUAUCAGAGCAAGGCUUCUUGUUAAGACUUAACCGUCUAAGAAGUAAUGGCUAUUCCAUCAACCUCAUCCCAAGUUGAAAGUUUUUCAACCACCCGACCUCCACUUUUCACGGGAUCCGAUUAUCCCUAUUAGAAAACCAAAAUGACUUGGUUUAUCCAAUCUACUAAUCUUGAUUUAUGGGAUAUCAUUGAAGAUGGUCCCCACAUUCCUUGAAAAUUAGAAAAUGGAGUGAUGGUUCCAAAACUUAAGCAUGAAUGAGAUGAACUUGAUAGAAAGAAAGUUCAAUUAAAUGCCAAAGCCGUUUUUAUCUUACAUUGUGCUAUUGAUAUAAAUGAAUUUAAUCGUAUUUGGCAUUGUAAGUCGGCUAAGGAAAUUUGGAAACUAUUAGAAGUCACUUAUGAGGGAAACGACCAAGUUAAAGAGUCUAAAAUCAAUAUCCUUAUGCAUGAUUAUGAAUUAUUUUCUAUAAAGGAUUUUGAAUCUAUUGUUAAGAUGUUUUCUAGGUUUCUUAUGAUUGUGAAUGAACUUGAAGCCUUAGGAAAGACCUACACCGAAGUAGAGAAAGUCAUGAAGAUCUUAAGGUCUCUACCAAGGAAAUGGGAAACAAAAGUGACGGCUAUUAAUUCAAGAAGCGAAGGAUCUCACCAAGCUCUCACUUGAAGAACUCAUUGGGUCACUCAUGACUUAUGAGAUAGAGUUGUACAAUCAUCAAAGAGUUGAAUAAAAUGAGAAAAGUAUAGCCUUUAUGGCUAUAACAAAUGAUGAUGAUGAGAAAGAGAGUGAAAGUGAAAGUGAUGAGGUAAACUCCAACUCUAACCAUUUUGAUUUUCAAGAUGAGCUUCAAAAAUUAUAUUUUAAUCUUGAAAAACUUGGUUCCAAAAAUAUCCCUCUCAAGAAAAAGAUUUAUUGUCUUCUAAAUGAGCUCAAUGAGGAUAAUGAAAAUAUUGAAAAUAUUGAGAAGACAAAAAUUCCUUUUGAAAAGGAAAAUGAGGAGCUAAAAAUUCUCAAAUGGCCAAAAGACUUUUGAUAUGAUUUUGGCAAAUCAAAAAUUGCAUUUUUGAUAAAAAGAGGUUAGCCUACAAGCCUUUCAAAAAUCAAUUUCUUUUUAAAAGGAAACCUCUAGUUUUUCGCCUUUAACUAUUUGCGAUUUUUGUGAAAGAAGAGGUCACUUUGGUGAUAUUUGAAAAUCCCCUCAUGUUCUUCAAAACUCUAAAUUAUUUUGGAUUCCAAAGGAAAGAAAGACUAACCCUCUAGGACCCAAAAAGAUAUGGGUACCAAAGGUUUCUUAAAAUUGUUUUGUAGGGAUCCAUGCAAAAAGGAGGAUAUGCUUACCUUGGAAAGAACGUGUUGACAAUAUUGGUAACGGUAUCCCUUUUACAGCUAAAUUUGCAAUUGGUAUCAUUUUUGCUAACACUUGGUACAUCUUUUGAUAAUAUAACUUUUGGUAUCACUUUGAUAAAAUUGGCAUAUUUGUUAAACCAAGGUUUUGGAUUUAAAAAGAAGAUUUUUUAUAUACCUAUGUAAAAUUGAAUGAUCAUAUGCUUGUGUGCCCUAAAAUUUUUAUUUAAUUCAUGUUAAAUAUCUUUUUAAUGCAUAUGUUCUCCCAUAUAUUGUUUUCUAAAUCAUGCUUUAAAUGGGGAAUACUCUAAGGAUGAGCAAUCUUUUAUUUGGAAACUAUUCUCAAAUGAAAAAUGGAGAGAUUCAUUUUUAUGAGAAAUUAUAUUUUUUGAUAACAUGUGAUUCCCUUUAUAUACUUUAUUGAAACUUUUUGUUGAUGACAAAAAGGGGGAGAAGUAAUGGUAGGUUGCUAACUUGGGAAGAUAUUUCAAAUAUUGUUUUUAGCAAUCCUAUUCAUAUUGAUGUGAUGUCCUUUAUUGGUUAUAUUUGUAUGCAUCAUUUUUAAUAAUAAUGUCUUACCAAAUUGUUAAAUGCUCUUUAUGCUAUUUAUGUUUGAUUAUAUCAUUUUGAGCAUCCUUAAUAUACUCCUUGAAGUUUCUAAACUUGAAUAUUUUCUAAAUUCAAAGGAACAUAUAUUGAGGGGGAGCUUUUUAGCAAUCUUGGUUUUGUCAUCAUCAAAAAGGGGGAGAUUGUGAAACCAAGGUUUGGUUAAUCUUGAUUUUGAUGAUAACAAAACAAGGUUUAGAACUAAUGAUCAUAUUUCAAGUGUGAUUAGGCAAGACGACUUCCAAAGUGGCAAUCCAAAGACAAAUCAAGCCAAGGAGAAAUCAUGAAGAAGAAGACCACCUCAAAGAGAAGAGUUUUUCAAGACCAAAGCUUCUUAAGAUCUCUUUGUAAGGUUGUUGGUGCACUAAGACUUUCAUGCAUUUCAUUCUUUAUUUAUGCACCAAAAUCAUCCAAAAGUAAUAUUGUUUUAAAUAUCUUAAGAAUUGGAUGAUUUCAUUUUUUCAACUAAAACCUUGUGUUAAAUGAUUUUCAAACUUGUGUUAAAAGGUUUUAAGUUGAAAAAGGUUGAGUGUUGAGCCAAAAAAAUGGCUCAACCGGUUCAACCGGUCGAUCGGUUGUGCUCNNNNNNNNNNNNNNNNNNNNNNNNNNNNNNNNNNNNNNNNNNNNNNNNNNNNNNNNNNNNNNNNNNNNNNNNNNNNNNNNNNNNNNNNNNNNNNNNNNNNUUAUUAUAUAUUUGCAUAUAAUUGUCUCUUAUUGUUGCAUAGUUUAAAUUUGUGAAAAAGAGAUCAUCACCCUAUUUACCCCCCCCCCCCCCCCUAGGGGGAAUACCAAAAUUUGGAUUAACCCCAAAUUUCCAAAAAAAAUUAUUACCCACAGCCCCCCACAUGAAUAUUCUUGGUGGGGGGAUUUUGACUUUAGUUGGGAAAAUUGCUUCCAUCCCAUAUGCUAAAACAAAAGGGGGGGGCCCCAUGGGUUUUCGACUAGUCAUUUAAAAAACUUAUAAAAAGCUUGAUGGGUCGUCUACCCAUUUUUCUUUUGGCCCUUUAAGCCUUUUUUUUAAAGAAAUCGAAAGUGGUUUAUUAGUUUAUUUCACAUGCCUGUUGGUUUGGGGAAAUCUGGGGCUUACAUAAGGAUUUUUUAUCUUUAAUUUUGAACGGAAAGUUCAAAAAAAACUGCUAUCAAAAUAUAGCUCGGUGUCCAAGAUAAUUGCUUUAAGGAUUCCAAAANNNNNNNNNNNNNNNNNNNNNNNNNNNNNNNNNNNNNNNNNNNNNNNNNNNNNNNNNNNNNNNNNNNNNNNNNNNNNNNNNNNNNNNNNNNNNNNNNNNNAUGAGGGGGGAGCUUUUUAGCAAUCUUGGUUUUGUCAUCAUCAAAAAGGGGGAGAUUGUGAAACCAAGGUUUGGUUAAUCUUGAUUUUGAUGAUAACAAAACAAGGUUUAGAACUAAUGAUCAUAUUUCAAGUGUGAUUAGGCAAGACGACUUCCAAAGUGGCAAUCCAAAGACAAAUCAAGCCAAGGAGAAAUCAUGAAGAAGAAGACCACCUCAAAGAGAAGAGUUUUUCAAGACCAAAGCUUCUUAAGAUCUCUUUGUAAGGUUGUUGGUGCACUAAGACUUUCAUGCAUUUCAUUCUUUAUUUAUGCACCAAAAUCAUCCAAAAGUAAUAUUGUUUUAAAUAUCUUAAGAAUUGGAUGAUUUCAUUUUUUCAACUAAAACCUUGUGUUAAAUGAUUUUCAAACUUGUGUUAAAAGGUUUUAAGUUGAAAAAGGUUGAGUGUUGAGCCAAAAAAAUGGCUCAACCGGUUCAACCGGUCGAUCGGUUGUGCUCGUCUGGUCGAAGACCGGUUGAGGGAGGCCAAAAAGUUUAUCUCUCUCCUAGUGGCCUUCUCUUCCCGAUCAAGGUUGAACCUUAACCGGUUGAGGUCCGGUUGAGGUCUGGUUGAGGCCCAACGGUCACUUUUCCUAACGGUUAGUCAACCGAUUGACCCCUAGCUCGACCGGUCGAACCCCCAACGGCUAUUUUGACUUUUUUCUUCUAUAAAAAGGCUCCAAUCUUCAUUGUUUCAUAAGCAAAACCUUCCCAAAUCAUUCUUGAUUAUAUUUGAGCCUUGGAAGAGUGUUUUUGAGUGCACCAUUGUUUCAUAACUUGCAUAUCUUUAGUGCACCAUUCAAUCCUAGUUUUUCUUGUACCUUUGAGCCUAAAGUUCUAUUACUAGGAUUUUUGUGAGAUCAAUCUUUGUAUAUCUUUGAGAGGAAUUUUCUCAAGUGUGGGGUAUCACUUGAGAGGUUGUUCAAGAGUGGGAUAACUCUUGAAAAGUGUAAAGGGUGCUUGGAGCCAAAAGUCCAAGAGGGUGAAUUGGAACCAUAAUCCAAUUGUAAAGAGAUUGGAAGCUUGGUUGAAGCUUCAAGAUAGUGGAACCCUCACUUGGUUAGGAGGUUGAGGAGAGUGGACGUAGGCAAGGAAGUGCCGAACCACUAUAAACUCUCGUAUUUGCACUCUCUCUUCCCUAACUAUUUUAAAUUAUAUGCAAUUGUGUUUAUUUUGUUUAUUAUAUAUUUGCAUAUAAUUGUCUCUUAUUGUUGCAUAGUUUAAAUUUGUGAAAAAGAGAUCAUCACCCUAUUUACCCCCCCCCCCCCCUCUAGGGUGAUUACCAUAGUUUGGAUUAGCCUCAAAUUCCUAACAAAUAUUAUUACUCACAGCCUCCCACAUGACUAUUCUUGUUGUGGGCAUUCUGACUUCAGUUGGGAUAAUUGCUUCCAUCCCAUAUGCUAAAGCAAAUGGCGUGGCCCCUAUGGCUUUUCGACUAGUCAUUCAAUAAGCUUAUAAGACGCUUGAUGGUUCGUCUACCUAUUUUCCUUUUGCCCCUUUAAGCCUUUUCUUUAACGAAUUCGAUAGUGUUUUAUUAGUUCAUUUCACAUGCCUGUUGCUUUGGGGAUAUCUGGGCCUUACAUAAGGAUUUUUUAUCUUUAAUUUUGAACGGAAUGUUCAGAAAAUACUGCUAUCAAAUUAUAGCUCGUUGUCCAUGAUAAUUGCUUUAGGUAUUCCAAAACGACACACAAUAUUCUUCCAGACGAACUUGGAGACAUUUUUGUUCUUGAUGCUAGCAUUGGCUUCUGGUUCUACACACUAAAAUAAUUCGUUGUCAUGAGUAACAAUUUUUUCUAUGUUGCACCAAUUGGGAGCGGAUCGACUAUAUCUAUUCCCCAUUGUGGAAACAACGAAGCACUUGUGAUUGGAUUAAGGCAUUCAGACGGUAUUCAGGGUAUGGGAGCAUAUCUUUGGCAUUGAUCACACUUAUUGACAUAAGUCUCUGUGUCCUUCUUCAUGGUAAGCCAAUAGUAGCCUUGAGAAUAGGCACGAUAUGCCUAUUCUAAAAAAUCAAUUUAAAAUAUGCAAAUUCACACAAAAACAAAGGAAACACACCAUGAUGAGGAAAAGGUGGCUAUGCAUGGCCAUGUAGAAGUGGGGGUCUAGGGUGGAAAGGAGCUCAAUUGAUUGCAACUAUAAGAGUUGAUGGUUGCAGUUGUGACACUUGUAGACAUAAAAAUUUUAGCAAGUUAAAUUACCACUAAUUUGGUUUUCAAAAUAAAUAAAUAAAUAAAAAUAGAUAUCCUUUUAUGAAUAAGUUUCCUAAAAAAAGGAAACUAAUCUCCAACUAUAAAAAGGAUAAGAAUAAUAAUAAGAAAAACAUAUUAUUAUUAUUAUUAUUAUUAUUAUCUUGUUGGUAAAACCAUUCGAAGAAGAAAAUUUGCUAAAAUUAAUGAACUAAAUCCCUUGAAUUAAGUAACUAAAAUUCAAGAAUUCAAAAUUUAAUUUCCUAUCUUUACCUAUAAAUAGAGGUGACUUCUUUCAAGGAGGAUUAGGGGAAAUAUCCAUCGAAAAAAUCAAAAGGAAAAAAAUCCAGAUGAAAAAAUCUAGAAGAGAUCAGAAAAAUCAAAAUCAAGAAAAACGAGAUAUGCAAAACAACUUCAUAUGGGAAAAGAGGCUUCACAAAAAGAAAAUGAGCUUCAUAAAAUCUCCUUGUAAGUUUGAUAAACGACAGAAGGGCUACACAAGCAUUCUUCGUCAUUCAACAAGAUCAUUCAGAAAAAAGCCACUUCAAGCCCAUGAUUAAUCUUUAAAUCCAAGAAAACAAUUUUGUCUUCGUUCUUUAAGUUGUGGUCAAAACAAAAAAAAAAAAAUUCAAAGGAAAAGUAUUUUUUUUGAAAAGAAAAUUAUAUUUGAAAUUGUACCCCACACGAUUUUAAUUUCCCAUUGUUUUGCUAACUUUGCAGGAAUUUAUGAAAUUUGUGCCCACAACACCAACUCCUUUUUCAUUACAUCUGAUACGCUUUCUAUCUUGCUUCUGAGGUUUUGAAAUCUCCAAACUCAACCCAGUUGCUCCCUCGCGAUAGUAAGGAAAACAAGAGUACCUUAUUGCAGUUCCUUGACUGUUCUCCGCAUACCAGGCUUCGGUUCCCUCUUCUUUUAAUAUUUUAGAGACCGCUGAACAAGGGUGAGGUCCCACAUACUCCUCUUGUAACCACUGCCACUCUCCUGCACUCGCUUAAUCUUGAGGAUGCGUGAACACAUUAGGUUGGAAAGAUGACUUCCUUUGAAUAUAUAGAUCCAUGGAAUUUCAAGGAGUUUGCAUCAUGAGGAUUGAAGGCAAUCUCUGGGACAUUGAAUAUCCUUCGAAUAUGGCAAGCUCGGUUAGUGUCCUGCUGACUGGUCACCAUCCAUACAGUAGCAACGUGAAAGGAGACCAUGCUUCCGUGUCACCUUCCUGACCAAGAGGAGAGCCUCCGAUUGAGUGGAGCAUCUCACCAUGUUUGGGGAAGGUGCACCAUCCAUCAAAAUGUAGAAAUUUUGGAAGCUUAUGCCUUUGAAUUGAACAGCAGGUCCAAAGAAUUUGGAACCCUCCAAAAUUUCUGAACCCAUCUCUUCAUUGUCAUUUUCAGAUUGUUCUCGCUGCAUAAGGUUAGGAAUUGAUCCUAAAUUCAGAACUCAGCAAUUCAAUUAAUCCUUCCCAUUGCUUAAAACCUUCAUCAGAAAUUGACCUUCCAGCAAAAUCAAUUGGCUGCUACACAAUUCUACUCAGACGAAAUCAUCCCAAAUUUGUUGAAGCUAGAACAGUCCAGAACCCUUCUUACCAUGCUUCUAGUGAUACGCCCCAGCAAUCUUCAUAAUGCUUGAACUGAUGCCUUUGAGGUAUGAUAAAUUUCUGUAGUCUAAAGGAGCAACCAGAGCCAUCUCCGUCAAACCCUUGCUUUCAUUUCCAAAUUCUAGGAUCCAACAAAAAGGAACUUGUGUCGGAGGGGAACCAUUUCAAUGAUCCGCUUGAUGACUAUUCACUGGAAUACACCUUCUGGAGAGUCCUCCAGUAGGUUCCAUAGCUGCUCAUAGCCAUGGAUCCUUUGUUGUAGUUCAAAGCUGCUGAUGCACGUGGGAUCUUGAGGCAAUAGAACUGACAGAGUCCUGUUUCUCAUCUUCUGAGGCUCCAGCUUUAACUAAUCCAAUGCAGUAGGUGAUUGACCCAGAUUAAUAAAGAUUAGGCAAGGCAAGAAUAGAGCAUACACAAGCUUGCUGAGGAGCUUGAAGGUCGUCCUAGGGAUCAUCUAGGUUUUCUAGUGUGCAAGAACUAGUCCUAGCACCACAUCAAGACCCCUUUUUGAUAACCCAUGAACAUGUACCUUCCACCAUCUAUGAUUCCAAUACCAGUAACAAUAACAGGAUCAUUAGCCAAAGAUUGAACCAAAGUUAAUUCCCGGAUAUCCAAAUGAAUGAAGCGCCCAGUGAAAACUGCAAUCUUAAUUUAAGCCCUUGUGGCAGCAAGAGAAAAAUUGCCUGCAUCUCGUCCCAUAUCUGAUUUUCUUCAAUUCCUCCAGUCUCCUUGAAUAGCCCACGGUUAGCAAAAUCUCUAACAGACCGCAUUAGAAGGGAGAAGACAACAUCAUGUCAUGAACAUGACAUCUCUAACAUCCCGAUGCAUUCUUAAGUAGAGGAUUCCAAGGACGAUUGGAGACAUCUCUCCAGAAUAAUGAGAACCAACUCUGUGGCCAAGAAGAGUAUCAACACCGCCACUGCCUCGGGGCCCAUAAAGAAGCUAUGAUUGGCAUGCAUGACCAAGAGCAACUAAAGAAGCCAGGGAUAAAAGAAGUGUAGCUGGAAUCUGGGUGCCACCAUUCAAACUGUCAAGCAGACAAGUGUUCGGUGAUGCUGCCAUCUAAUAAGAAAACUCGUUGGACACCUCUUCUACGAACAAGUGAGGCAGCAGCCAAUUCUGAAAGGUGACAUUUAAUCAACUGAGUCCUUGACCUCCAAUAGCAAAACCCUACUCACCAAACCAUAGUCCAUUCUCACUAUAAUAACCACCUUCAAAACUAACACAGAUAGGGCCUGGAGUUGUUGAAACAUCGGAAGGCUCUUCUGGCCAAUUUUACACAGCUUCACCAGAGACCUUCUCAGACCAUUUCCCGAGGGUUUCUCGUGGAGCUUAUACAAAAGUCUGACCUGCUCUUUGAUAACAUCUUCAGCCUGAGGGCAUGUAUCCUUAUAGGAGUUCAUAACCAGACCCGGGUCUUCUUCCUCACAGCCCAUGCAUUUGGAUAAGAGCCAAGGACAAAGGAGAGCCACAAGAAGGAAGAAACCAUGGAAACAGAGCAUAAAAGAAAACAAAUAAAGAUAUGAGGCUCCACUUCAAGGGUUAUCAGUGAGCCUGCUAACUAGGUAGGAAAAUCCAUGUCAAAUAUGAACAGGUCAUGAUUCUCAAGCAUUUCACAGUGGAAUUGAAACAGAGUGAGGUCAUCUUCUAGCAAAAACCAAGAGGAAAGAGAGACAAAAAGCUAUAACAAUAAAUCCACAUUCAUCCCAGAAAAUCAACAGAAAUCAAACAAUGGGGGUAUCCACACUCAAACCAGCAAACAAUACCCAGAAGCAGCAGGAAGAAUAAUGGAUAAAUAAUGAUGAUAAGAAAAAGACUGAAAAUCAUGAUUAACUUACUUGGAGAUCCUCCCCCAAGCAGUGUUGUCUUGGCUUCAAGCAACCCCCAUCCUCUCCAAAAUCAACAAAACCAGUGAGCCAGCUAAACCAUCCUCCUCUGCUCUUCUUCUGCUGUUCCUCAUUUCUUCCUCUGGAAAUCAGAAUCCUCCUUUUCUCCUCCCUGCACCUCUCUAAAAACAGCUACGCCCCCUCUUCUCCUACUCUCGUUUUCUUCUCCUUUCAAGAAUGGCUCACAGCCUGCUCACUCUCUCUGUUUCACAUCUUUUUCUCAGCUCUCUCCAGACCCAGAAUAUCCCCAUCUUCUCUUUUUUGCUCCCUGAAUACAGCUUUUCUUUCAGCCUCAAGGCAUUCUGCAGCCCCUCAAACAGCCUCUGCUACGUGUCUUCCGCUGGUUCCCCUCAGAAAAUCGCUGCUCUCAUUAACAAACCUGCUGCCAUUUUCUAACAGCCUCUCCAUAUAUAACACGUGCUCCUCAAAAACCCCACCAUCUGGCAAAAAAUGUGAGAAUAAGGAGUCCCAAAAUGGGGGUCUACACUACGAUAUGUCGGUAUCAUUUCUCUAUUGAAGAGGAUCAAUAUUCAGCGCAUUUUUCCCUGUCCGAGUUAUGAUCUUUUACUUGGUAUAAAAGCUUUAGAAACUUCUUAUUGUUCUUAAAAAGUGAUGAUAUGUGUCAAUUUCUAAAUUUAUAGUUGAAGAAGAUGUGAUGCCAAUUUGUUUUCAAGAAAAAAAUUAUAUUAUUUUUUAUUAUUUACAAUUAGUAGGAAUAAAAACUUUUACUAUCAAAAUAAAUAUUAUUUAUACUAAAUCGGAUAAACAUUAAAAAAGAAUUAUGUUUUUCUUAAUUUUGAAUUUUAUCUUAAAAAUUAAUUUAUAUGACUUUUAAAAAAAAUUAAUUUAGUUUUAAAUGUUUUUGUUUCUUUUUUUUUUUUCUUUUUUUCUUUUUUUCUUUUUUUAAUUUUUAUUUUACAAAGGAGAGGUCUUCAAACUCAUGAAUAAAAGGAUUAGAAUUUAAGAUACUUAAAAAAUUAUUCAAUACACUCAAUACUUCUAUUUAUUGGGUUUCCUUAAAAAUUUGGGGAACUUAAACCUUUGUUUCUUCAUUUCGCUUUAUUCUUAAUCGUUCUUUAUUAGGAACAAAGAAAUUCAAGUGAAAUAAAAUUUACAAUGAUUUUAGUUUUAAUAUUUAAAAAUAAUAAUAAUUAGAAACAGUUAAAUAUAAUGUAAUUUAACUUAUGAAAACUUAAUAUGAUGUUUUCAAACAUUAAGGCAUCAUCUUCAUCUAAAAAGAUAGGAGAUGUUUUAUCUUCCAAUGCAAAUUGAACGAGAGUAAGAGAGUGAAUAUAUGUGAAGUUUACUUGAUAGUAAGUAUGAUCUAAUUGAAAAUGACAUACUAGCAAGGAGGAAAAUGUCGGGAUAUAUCGGCGAUAUAUCGUGUAUCGGGAAGGGUCGACACGAUAUUUCGUGAAGAAAAAUCGGAGGGGAGAUAUUUCCGUAAAUAUCGCCAAAAUAUUGACAAUAUAUUGGUUCGGAGAGAUAUAUUGGAGAUUUUUUGAAAAAAUCGCCUUUGGUGGCAAAAUAUCGGUGAUAUAUCGGAGAUAUAUCGCUGAUUUUUUGGUGAUAUUUCCCCUCCUUCAUGCAACGUGAUUUGACAGCCCAGAUCACGCUCAUGUUGAUCCGACGGCUUAGAUGUGAUUCCAAUGGUAAUAUGGCGAUCCAACGGCCAGAUUACUCCCAAUUUUUUAUCCAACGGCCAAAAUUGAUUUUCAACGAUAAAUUAAUGUUCCAACGGCUAUUUUGGCCCAAAUUUAUUCUAUAAAUAGCCCAAAUUUCAUCUAUUUUUGCUUUCAUUCUUUAUUUGCUCUAUCAUUACUCCAAUUUUUAUUAAGGUUGCGCAAUUAUUUAAUCAUUUUAAGGUAUAUUUGUUUUAAAUUGUAAUUAAUUUUGUUUGCAAUUAUAAUUAAUCCAUGUAUUUUUAAUUAAUUAGUAUGUUUGCAAUAUGGAUUAUUUAAUGCUAUUUUUACAUUCAAUUGUAAUUAAUUUUUAUAUUUUUAUUGAAUUAACUUAGGUUAAUUUGAUUAUUUAAUUAUAAAUUGAUAUGUUUAUUUUAGAUGAUUAUUUGUGAUUUAUUUUCACAUUUAGAAUUAAAUUAAACUAGUUAACUUAGCUAAAUUAUUUAAUUAAUUUAAUUAACAUGCUAAAUUAUUUAAUUAAUUUAAUUAACAUGCUAAAUUAUUUAAUUAAUUUAAUUAACAUGAACUAGUAUAUUUUGAAUAUGAAAUAUGUUUAUUUAAUGAAUUUAAUGUGUACAAAUUAUUGAUAUUUAAUGAAAUAAAAUAUUUUAUGUGACUUUAUAAUGAGAACAAUUACAAAAUUAACAUUUCUUAUAGAUUGACAUGAUAUAAUUACAUUUAAUAUUGCAAAUUAUAUCAUAUAUAUAUCAAUUUUUUUAAUAAAACAACUUUAAAAUGUCUAUUAUACUUCUAAUUAUAUUAUUAUGAGGUUUUCCUUGCAUUUUCAUGAGUUUUUAACAAUUUUAAGCUUACCAAUACUUUUUUCCAGAAUAUCCACCGAUAUAUCCAUAAAAUCGAAGUAUCGAUAUAUCCAUGAUUACCGAUAUUUUCAUCCUUGCAUACUAGUAACCAUAUUCAAAACUAAUAUAAAUAUAUAAAUUUAUAAAUAUUUUCAAAUUUAUAAAAAUAAUUUUAAUUUUGAACAAAUGAGUUCCCAUUUUCCUUUUUUUUUUUUCAAAUAAAGGUGCCAAAAAGCACAAUUCCCAAAAGAAAAUUUUUCUUAUGUUCGUAAAACAUAAUAUAAAAUAGAUUAUAUUUAAUUAAAAAAAUCAAAUAUAAAAUUAUGGUUUUGUUAUGAUACCAAUAAGGUACAACCAAUCAUGAGUGUGAUUUGUAUACCUUUGUCAUGCCUUAUGCCUCAGUUCCUUUAAUUUGUACUUGGGAUUCUACAUUUUAUCAUUAUUUUGUACUUAGAUGUCAUUAUUUUUGUACUGUAGUCACUAUUUUUUCAUAUCUUGAUUUUAUGUACUUGUACCUUCAUUCAACAACUCAAAUAUCACCAUAUAUUUUUAGAACUCAUAUAAAAAGAUAUCAUAGCAUGGAAUAAAAUUAGUAAUAUAAUAAUAUUAGUAUUUUAUAACCCUAAGCAGCCUAUUUAAUAUAGGUUAACUUAAAAGAAAAUCUGAUAAAAUUUCAAAGUUGAAAGAAGUAGAGCCCUAACUCUCUCCUUGUCAAAGGUACUCAAUUUUUUGAGAACAAAAAGUUAGAGCUUGUUUAAAAAUUAAUUUUUAAACUAUUUUUUUUCCUCUCUACAACAAAAACCAUUUUUUUACUUAGAAAACAUAUUUGAGAAAUUUUUAAUAGAAAAUAGUUCUUUUUUAAGAAUUUGUUUUGAAAAAUAAAUUGUUUUUAAUAUUAACUUUGAGGUGUUUUCUAUUGUUUUUUGUAGAGUGUUUUAAAUAAUAAUUAAAAAUAUGAAGAAUAUUUAGAAACUUUUGCAUUUUAUACCUUCAUGAAAAAUAAGUCGAGAAAAUAUUUCUCAAAAUUUGAUAAAUAAAUAAAAAAUACUUCUAAAGAAAAGAUCUUACUUGUGGCUAAGCCUAUAUAUUAAUUAUCAAAUAACAUUGGAAAAUAGUAAACAAGAUUAACAAAGGUAUGUUCAAUAUUUACAAACUGAGUUUGUGGUUGGUGAGGCCUCAACUUGAGCGCAACCUGCGUUUGCUUAUUUCAAACCAAUCUUAUAUUUAGUUUUAAAAAUUUUUAAAUAUAAAAAUUAUAUGUAUAAAUAUAAAAUUAUUUAAUAAUAAUAAUAAAUAUAAUUGGAGGGACGGGUGGAAAUGGGUUCAAAGCAGAGAAUAGGGUCCACUUCCCUUCCCUCAACCUCGAUUCUUACUCUUCUUAGCUACCUCAUGAGGGAUGGAUCCCUACCAAGACCUGUGUGGAUGGGUUUUUUUGUUAUCUCUAUUAGAAAUACUUCCUAAUGUUUGGAAGCACAUUUGAAAAUCACAUAUCGAAAUUCAAAGAAUCGCUUUUGAACAAUCACUUCAUAGGUGAUUGAAUCUUCCAAAAAUCUAUUUUUUUGUUAUAUUUAGAGUGCGUUUGGCGGUGAUUAUAGGAAGUGUUUUUAACAUUUUUUAAAUGUCAAUUCGCGCAUUUUUUUAUUAGAAAAGACUUUUUUCUUCUUUUGUGAUUGUAGUUCAUUAGUUCCAUGCUAGUUUAUUUUAAUCUAUAUGAUAUUUUAAAUGUGUUUGUGAUUUUAAUCUAAUUAGUUUUUAAGCAAUGUUUAGUUUAGUUUAGUUUAAAUUUAUUCUAUAAUUUGAAAGCGUUCAUGAUUUGAAUUCAAUUGUUUGACCAAACCUCUUAGAUAAAGUUCAUGUUUUUUGUCUUAAUUCCAAUUUUAGUUUAGUUUUAAUUUGCUGAUUUAUUUAUUUGUUUUGGCUUAAAUGUAUUUGCAAUUUCAAUUUGAUAGUUUAGCUGAUCUCAUUAGAUGAUGUUGAUGUUUUUAAUUCUAAUUUAAUCUAGUAUUAAAUUUUUUUUUAGUUUGAAUGUGUUUGUGUGUUCCUGAUUUCGUUAAUUUUGAUUCUAAUCCAUUUAUAUCCAAUUUUGUAGUUGAUUCUAAUUUUGGUUAAUUAAUUUAGUUAAACAUGUGUUAUUAUUUUCAUGUCUUAAGUAUGAUAAUUUUAAUUUUGAUCCAUCAAUAUUUAGUUUUAGUGUUUUUAGAGUUUUGGUUAAUUAAUUUAGUCAAUCACAUGUUAUUAUUUUCAUAUUUUGAGUAUGGCAUAUUUUGGUAUUGAUCUAUUAAUAUUUGGUUUAAGUUUUUAGGAAUUUUAGAUAAUCAAUCUAGUUAAUUGCAUGUUAUUGUUUUUCAUAUUUUUCAAGUUUGCAAAACUUUGGUUUUUGAUUUAUCAUAUUUUGUUAGAGUGUUAAUUUACUUUAAUUAACCCCACAUUAUUAUCUCCAUAUGUUAAGUUUGUUGACUUUAAUCUUUGAUUGUUUUUUUUAUUUGUUUUAAUUCAUGUGCUUCUUGUAUUCUAAAUGUUAGUCUUGGAUAAUAUUUUUGUUAGUUUGUUUUAUUAGGAAGUCAUAAGUUUGUUGCCUUAGUGAUUGUUAGUCACAUCCCUUUUUUUAAAGGCCACUGGAAACCCAUGAAGGUUGGCCCUACUCUCACCACUUUAAUUGGCCUGAUUGUCUAAAUCUUUAUUUUAUGAUUUUUGUUUUCCUUUUGUUUUGAUUGGUAUUUUGUUUUCUAUGUUUUGUUGUUUUCAAAAUUAAUUUUUUUUAUUUUAAAACAAAACACUUUUCUCAAAAGAUCCCUUUAAAAAUCUAUUUAAAAAAAAAUCAUUUAGAGUCUUUAGAAUCAAAAUCUCCUUUUUUUUUUAUUUAAAUAAUAUGCAACCAUAUCUUGAUCGGUUUGCAUCUUUCUCAGUUUUCAAUGAAAAUUUUGGUUUUGAACAAAACACGAAUCAAAGCUUGUGGUCCUAAAUAAAUGGGAUAAUUCUAAGCUAAAUUUGUGUAUAUCAAUUGGGGAAUUGGUGAAACCCCUACAUAAGAAAAUCUUUUCAAAACUUAUUUUUGCUACCACCCUUGCUAUUUGUUGUAAUCAUAUCUAUCUAUUUUUUAGGAAUUGUAUACAAGAUGUGUGUGAUAAUUGAUUAUUUCAUAUAUUCUACUCAUUUUUGCUAUGCAAAUUGGAUAAUAAGCAUGCCAGAAUUUCUUAUUUUAUUAUUUAUUAUCUAACCCCCCAUGUCCUGAGGAAACGUAUUAUGAGUUAUCUAUGCUACCCAGGUACGCUCCCUAACACCCACUUUCUAAAUUUUGUAAAUAUGAUUGUCAUUAUGAACUAUGUCUAUGUUUGACAGUGCUUAGGUGUCUUGAUAUUGGUUACAUUGUUCGAUCAUUUAUGAUAAAGUGCAUGCUGGGUGAUAUACUAUUUAAACUAACCUUUGCUGUUUUGUGAUAGCGCUUAAGAAGUGGUCUAGGUACACACCCUAAAUCUUCUUUAUGAUUUGUGAUUGGUUUUCUUGUUUAGCAUGCUAUUUUUCGAAGUCACCUAGCCUACCUAGGUAUCUAUAAUUAACCAAUUAAUUGCCACGUUUCUUUCAACUUAGUCAGUAGAAACCUUUAUAGGGCUUAGAGGGGUGCUACCUCUUAGAGGUACCUUCCCAAUAAAUAACAUGAUCCCCGGACCUAGACUUGGGUUUUUCAAAGACAUGCUUUUCCAAAAACUAUGGAGUCAUUUUUUAGGGUUUUAUUUCUUGUUUUAUUUUCCCUUUAAAAUAAAAUAAAAUAAAAUAAGUGGCGACUCUAACUUUUCCAAAAUUAAUUUUUCACUCAAUAAAAGUGAGUCUCGCCAAUGGAGUGGGGGCGCAUGUGAAGAAUGCGGGUCCACAUUAUGAUAUGGACCCUAGAGCAAAAAACAUUCUUAUAGUAUAUAGAAUAUACUAUAAGGCUAUGACCACUUCAGUAAAUGCUAAGUGUUUACUGAAAUCUCUAAAAGGGAAAACCCUUUUGUUCCAAGCCAAUGAGGAACAAUCCUUAGUUAUGACCCCUGAAAAUAUCCCUUAGGAAUCUCUAACCUAUUCAAACACCUGGAAUUUCACUUCGUUAGCUCUUCCAAAACCUAUUCAAAAUAGGAAGCCUCUCUUUAUCAUGCAAGAUGAUAAAGGGAAUGUCACUAUCCAAUUUCCAAAAAGAGAAGAAGGAUAGAGUAGUAGAAUCUUUGUUCAAGGAAGUAGAACUUCCUCUCAUCCUAGGCAAUCUUUUGAGAUAAAUUCUCGAAAAUUGCUGUCAAACUUGAUAAUGUGGAUUUUACUCUAAACAUCCCUCAUCCUAAGUAUGUUACCCAGGAGUCACCUCUAACUUCACCAACACCCUCUCAAAUGUUGUCUGACAAACCUAACCAAUUGAUGGUUAUAGAUAGCACUGAACCCUUUCAAAUAGAUAAGGAAUACCUUAGCAAAGAGUUGCAUCUUCCAAAACAUAACAAAAAGAGAGAAUGGUUAUUCUCCACCAAACUUACCACUCAAACAAGACAUAAGUUUAGAGAAGAAUGGUAUAAGUGUAAGGAAAGAAAUAUGAUAGAUAUCCCUAUGUUCACAUACCUUGAGAUAUAUGCUUCAAAUAACGAUAUUGACUACCCUUUCCUAGAAGUCAAUAUCUUUCAAAAGGGACAAGUUGGGAAAACUACAUCCAAUAAAACUAUUGUUUCAAAUCACCCUCCACUAGAAGAAGUUACCAUAACCGCUCAAAUGUUGACAUAAUAGCUUCUCCUUUCAAAACAUUAAAUCCAAAGGAUAAUGAAGGAAGAACAGUAACAUUAAAAGAUUGUAAAAACCUUCAACAACAAAAUAAUUUUACAAAUCAAAUUCUAGGUACUCUCUUCUCUCAACUUGAUAGGAUAGAAGACAAACUAGAAGAUCGUCAAAUAUCUCGUCAAAUAGUUACUCCUCAUUUUCUCUAGAUAAAAAUCAUCCAAUUUUCAAACCUACAGAAGUAGGGAAUCAGAAACUUAAACUUUCAAACAAUAACAAUAAUGAUUUGAUUCAAACUUUAACAAAGAAAAUUGAACAAUUUGAUCUUUCAAACAAAGCGUCAACUUCAAAUACAAAGUCUGUUAAUGUUAUAACAGAAAUUACUCCAAAAAAUGUAAACCAAAUACAAACUAUGUUUGAGGAACAAGACCCUCAAAUAAAUAGAAUUGCCCAUAAAUUCAAACAGCAAACCAAAACUAGGAAUUAUUAUCCUAGAACAACUCCUCUUGAUCUUCAAUAUGAAGAAAUGAAUCAAAUUGUACGGUCAAAGUAUGAUGAAGAUGGCAUCUAUGAAUGGAACAUAGAUGAUGUAAGUGAUCAUCAAGUCUUGAAUAUUCUUCAAGAAAUGAUCAUGGCUUCCAUAGCCUACAAAUCUAAAGAAAACUUUGACCAUCUGAUCUGUGUACACUUGGUUGCAGGAUUUACAGGCCAACUCAAAGGAUGGUGGGACAAUGCUCUCAUUGAAGAAGAAAAAAUCUUUAUUCAAACUAGCUUAGAUGAAAGAGGAAACCAAAAUUCAAUUCACACCUUAAUCUUCGCUAUUACCAAACAUUUUCUUGGAGAUCCAAUUGUCUUCGAAGCCUGUACCUCAGAAAUCCUUCAAAAUAUUAGAUAUAGAAAACUGAGUGACUAUAGAUGGUAUAAAGAAGUAUACUUUGCUAAAGUCCACUCAAGAACAGAUGUUAACUAACCCUAUUGGAAAGAAAGGUUCCUCAAUGGGUUACCAAAAUCCUUUAGUCAAAUAGUCUAAAUGAGAAUCAAAGAGAUGUAUAAUGGUAUUAUCCCUUAUGAUUCUUUAACCUAUGGCCAAUUAGCAAAUUUUGUUAGUCAAGAAGCAUUAAAUCUUUGCUCCUUGAUCAAAGUUAAUGCUACCCUCAAAAAGUAUCUUAGAACAUCCGAGAAAAAGUUAGGAUCAUUUUGUGCCCAGUAUGGGUAUGAUAAUCCUCUGCCUCCUUCAGUCAAACAAGAAAAGUUCUAUAGAUCUAAGAAGAAAAGGUAAAAUAAAAAAAUUUCAAAUUUCAAAAAAGAAUCCUUCUAUAGAAAACCCAAGCAUAAGAAACAUUCAAAUAAAAAAAUAUAAAAAUUUGUCUUCGAAAAAAAUAAAUAAAGAAAGAAGAUAUAAAAUGUUUCAAAUGUGGCAAAAAAAAUGGCAUAUCGCUCUAAAUUGCAAAAUCAAAGAAAUAUUUGCAAAUUUAGACAUUAUAAAACGUCUCAAAUAGCAAAUGAUUAACUUAAUCAAAACAUAAUUAUAGUCAGAUUCGUCUAGUCAAACUUCAGUAGAAUCAUCUAGUGAUGACCAGCUUCUUCUAAUAGAAGACAACUCUUCAAAUGAGUCAAAUGAGUCUUCACAGUCAUCAUGUGAUUGUGUAGAAAAUUGUUUAUGUAAUAUCAAACAAGUUAAUGUAAUAACUAGUGAUCAAAAUUUUCUGAUAGAAUUAAUUGAGAAAAUCCUUGACCAAAAUCUUCAAAAAAAAUACUUCAAAAAAUACUUAGAAAUCCGACGACAAAGUAAUGAAAUAAGUUUAGAAAAUACUAAUCAGUACAGUUUAAAAACUGUGUUAGAUCAAUUUUCUAAGAAACCCAAGCCUGUAGGAAUCUAAGAUCUUCAAAAUGAAAUAAGUCAAAUAAAAUUUCAAAUUAAUGCCAUGAUAGUUCAAAAUCAAGAUUUAGAAACAAGACUAAAGGUCUUAGAACAAGAAAAAUUCAAACUUCAGAAAAUACCAAAGAUGUACAACUGGAAGAAGAAGAAUCUUCUCAAUUGUUUGUAAAUACUAUUAAGAAAACAAAGGUUGUGCUUAGUUAAGAAAAACACCCAAAAGGGGGAGGGUGAAUUGGGUUUUUUAAAAUCUUUUCAAUCACAACAAAAACAAACACAAUAUUAGCAAAGUAAAGAGAUAGAGUUUAGAGAAUUCAAACUCGGGUUUAUAGUGGUUCGACACUUCCUUGUCUACGUCCACUCUUCUCAACCUCCUAACCGAGUGAGGGUUCCACUAACUUAAAGCUUCAACCAAGCUUCCAAUCUCCUUACACUUGGAUUCCGGCUCCAAUGGGCUCUUACACAACCUCUUCAAGAUUCAACCCUCUUGAAGGCUUUAACACUCAGAUUGUUACAAGAUAUAAUCACUCAACCUAGCUUAAGGAUGACUCAAAUACAAGACAAAGCUAGGAUGACACACAAGAGUGCACUAAAGGAUAUGCAAGUGGUGAUUUAAUGCACUAUGAAGGAAAUGAGAGCUUUUUGAUUAAGAACAGGUAGGUAGGCUAUUGAAUGCAAGUGUUCUCUUAUCCAUAAAUAAAGUGGAGCUCUCAAUUUAUAGGUUUCUAAGCUCAGGAGUAAAAAACAGCAAAAGGUAACCUCGUCCGGUCGAGCUAGGGGUCGAUCGGUUCACUAGCCGUUGGAGCAUUUAAUGCAUGAUAGGUUACCGUUGCCUCAACCGGACCUCGACCGGUAAGAGAAAUAUCUCGAUUAGGAAGAGAAGGCUACUAGGAGAGAGAGAAGGUUUUUGACCUUCCUCGAUCGGUACUCGACCGGACGAUGACAACCGAUCGACCGGUUCCUCAACCGGUUGAGCCGGUUGGGCAUAGCCUCGACCGGUUGAGCCGGUUGGGCAUAACCUCGACCGGUUGAGCCUUUUUGGCCCCAAAAACCUUUUUUUUUAUUUAUUCCUUUCUUUUCUAACACUUAGGCAAGGUCUUUAGGUAAAUUAUUAAUCCAAUUAUAAAACAUUUUACCUAAGAUACAUUAGUUAAAAACUCGGGUUUUAAUGAAAUCGGCGUUUUAAAGAAUAAACCGAGUUUUCAAAGAUGCAUGAAACGAGUAAUAAUCCUAAGUGCACUCAUGCAUUCAUCUUACAUUAGUUUCCUAUGAUCACAAGUCUUCCAAGUGUCUCGAUCUUGUGUCCAUUUGGUCCUUUGAUGAAUUUUCAAGUUUAUACUUGAGAUUCUUAAACAUUUAAACCAAAUAGUCACUUAACCAUGGUUUGUUAUCAUCAAAACCCGAUUAGGAGAACCCUUGGGCUAACAACUAUAACAUGCAUGAUAACUCAAAAAUGGCACAUCAAAGUAAAACUUUUUAUCAAACCUAAUUUUUCAAAAGAAUUCGUCGCAUUAGUCGAUUCUAGUGUUGACAUUAAUUGUGUUUAGGAAGGAUUAAUUCCUAAUACUUACUUUGAAAAAACUUUUCAAGGUGCAGUUGGUGCAAACACUAAACCUUUACAAAUAGAUUACAAAAUUUGAAAUGAAAAUGUUUGUUUCAAGAUUUCUCUUUUACUCGUUAAAGAAAUGAAUAAAGAAAUAAUCUUGGAAACCCCCUUUCUUGCUCUACUCUAUCCUUUUAGAGCAGAUGAAGAAGGUAUCAAAACCGUUUACGAAAAACAAAAACUUUGUUUCAAAUUCAUUAAUUCCCCAAUAAUAAAAGAGUUAAAUAUACUUGAAAAUGAGGUAAACUUGAUUCAAAAGAAAAAACAACAAAUCAAGUUUAUAAGUAAAGAAAUACAUUACAAAAUAAUAGAAGAAAAGCUUUUGCAAAAAUAUAUUCAAACAAGAAUUGAAAAGAUUAAAAAUCAAAUUGAAACAUAUGUAUGUUCUUCUGUUCCCAAUGUUUUUUGGAAUAGAAAGCAAAAUAAAGUCUCAAUGCCCUAUGUGGAUGGAUUUGAUGAAAGUCAAAUUCCUACUAAGGCAAGACCAAUUCAAAUGAAUGCUCAAUUGCUUGACUAUUGUAAAGAAGAAAUAAAAGAUUUAUUAGACAAAAAUCUUAUUAGAAAAAACAAUCUCCUUGGAGUUGUGCAGCUUUUUAUGUUCAAAAACCCUUAGAAAUUGAAAUAGGCGCUCCAAGACUUGUUAUUAAUUUUUGUCCUAUGGUUUCUUUGUUUAAAUCUUGGGCAACUUAGUGGGACCACCACCGGGAACACCUAAACGCUACCAUGGCUACAACAGCUUACCAACGGAUACAAGGGUUAACCAACGCUAAGUAGUUGAGAUUUAAACAGAUAAUCAUAAAAUAAAAUGGCAAAUUAAAUUUGAAAACUAACUAUCAUGGCUCUGAUACCAAUAUAGACAGGAUCGGAGGAUGAACAAAAAAUGCACAGAAAAAAGAACACUUCAAUCUGAAAAUCAAUAAGAACUUUGAAGAAAUCUCCCAGUUAAAUAUGGAGGAAUCAUAAUGGUCUUGCUUAAAACCCAGAUAACUCUGACAGAGCUUCUUGAAAGUUCAUAGGCUUUCAAAGAGGUUCAUUUGAUGCAUAGUAAAAACUAAAUGUACAAUUGAAUUUGAAAUUGAAAAUUUCAUUCAAAAGAUAAAAUUUACAAGAACUUUGAAAGAAAUAAAACUUACAAUCUUUGAAGCAAGCUUUACAACAGAAUUUGAGAUGAGUUAUGGAUGUCGAGUUAUGAUUGUAAAAUAUAUUUUCAUUAGUGUGAAUAAAUAUGAAAAAAAAAUUUAAGAUUAAGAAUUAAAACAAAAUGUAUGUAGAAAUGAACAUAUAUUUUGUCAGAUACCAAAAAGUCCAAACACUGCAAGAAGAUAAAUAAAUACAGUGAAGAAGUAGUAUCCUUUUUUUUGCAACACUGAACACUAGAUAGUGGUACUCAAAUGGUAAACAUAUCACAAAGUUAAUGUACUUAAAAAAUAAAUAAAAAAAGGGAAUGCAGUUGAAACAAAAUAAAAUAAGGCAAAUACAUGAAAUUUCUUAUAAUAAGAAAUUUGAGAAUCAAUAUGCAAAUCAUAAAUACUGAUAUGUUUGUGGUAGACAAUCAUAAAUAAUUCAAAAUUUUCUCAAAAACAAAGAAGAGAUUUGAAAGGAAAAUUUCUAAGACAAAACAAUUAGAAUAUGAAAGCACAAGCUACAAGUCAAAAUACUUCCUUCCUUAUUUUUCUUUCCAAAUCAAUCCUUAUUAUGAAAGAGCACCUGACUUGAAUUUUAAUAAUAUAACAACCCUCUGUGAGCUAAUUAACACUCAACACUAAAUUUUUUAUUUUUUAUUUUUGCAAAAAAAAAAAAAAACAUAAAUUUUUCUCAAUACUUUUUUAAAACCACACAUAACCUCAAAACAAAAGUUUAAUAUUUAAAUUAUUGUAUAACAUGUAACAUUUUUAAAACUCAAAGAAGGCUAGACUCCAACAUUUUUCACCCAAAAAAUCUUGAAUUGUAUUAUCAAGUUCAUCUUUCAAGUAGGGAUGGUAAUGGGAUGUGUUUGGGACAGUUCACCCUCAUCCCAUUUAUUUAUAUCUAUUCUCGUUCUCACAAAAUAAAAAUAAAAUAAAAUAAAUGGGAAGAGGUGGGGUGAGGGAAGUAUGAGAAAUUAUCAUACCCGACUCAUUCUGCCCCGUUUAAAAAUUUUCAACAAUUUUCAAUUUUUUAUUUUUAAAUUUUUAUAAAAAAAAAUGUAUAUAAUUUAUAAAUAAAAUGCAUUAUAAAUAUUUAUAAUUUAUUUUAAUGAAAACUAAUAUUUUAUUUAUAUUUAAAAAGUUAAAAAAUAAAAAAAAAUUAAAAUAAUUUUUUAUUUAAAAUUAUAUAUAAUUAGGGCGAGACAGAGUAAGACAAAGUCAUUACCGGAACCCACCCCGAACCUAUUUUGGGUUUUUAAAAACUUUGCAAACCUAUCUCAAACCUAUUUAUUUUUAUCCCAAACCCUUCUCAUAGUGGAUACUUGGUUCGUUAUCAUCCUUAUUUCUAAGUCUAUUUUGCAGAACAUAAACGUUCAAGGACUCCAAACCAAAGAGUGUAGUUUGUGUAAUUGAUUAAGAUCCCUUUGGUUAAUAAUAUAUACAUAUACAUUCCCAAUUUCCAAACAUAUGUGAAUAGAAUAUGAGAGAUAGAACGUAAACAUGUUAAUAUGACAAAGCAUAAAAUAAAAUUAGAUCGAAGGAAAAAAGAAACAAAAAAAACAACUGUCAUAUUUUGAAAAUCAAAUGAAAUUUAAAAAGACCUUCCAUAUUUUGAUUUUUUUUUCUCUUUUUGCUAAUUUAUUUUGGAUAAUGAAUAUAAAGUGGUCAAAAUAGUCAUCUAUUUAUUUGUUCCGUAGCCAUCUAAAAAGGAUUCAAUUUUUUUUUUACCUUUCAUAAAAUUAGAAAAAAGACUAUUAAUACAAAUAGUUUUCUUCAUCUAAUUACAACCUAUCAAAAAUGUGAAGUUUCAUUUCUUUUAUCUUUUUUAAUUUGUUUUUUUUUAUUUUUCUUCAUUUUCUUCAACAAAAAUUUUGUUGUACUAGAGUUCUUAUCAUAUCAUAGUUUGAUUUUAUUAUUUUUCGUUUAUAUAUUAUCCAAUAUAAUUUUUAUUUACUCAAAAUGAGUAGAUAACGUGACUUUUUCAUGUUAUUUAAGUUUAGAUAAUUGAUAUUCUAUGCUCAUUAAUCCAUCUUUAUCUUAUUCUUGUUUUAUCCCUAAUAUGCAUAUGAUUAUUUUUAUCUGAAAGUAGAAAUUUUGAACGUUACUUUUAUUAUUAUUAUUUUCUUAGAAUUUAUUUAUUUACAGUAAAAAGUACAGUAAAUAAAAACCAGUAAUGACAUAAAAACGUCAUUAGCUUUAGGCUACUAGUAUUUAUUUUAUUCACAUUUCACCAAUUUUAUACUUUAUCAUUUUUCUUUAUAUUUAUUAAUUUUAUAAUGUUAUAUUUGAUUUAUGUAAAUAGUGAAUAAUCAUUACAUAUUAUUAUAAUGAUAAUUAUAAACAAAAAGAAUUUGGUCUUUGGUUAACACCUUUCUUUUUUUAAUUGGGAGGAGCCUUGAAAUGGGGCCACCACUUGACAUUUGAAAAAAGUUGUUAGAAAACCCACACUUUAAAAGAAGUGGGUUGAUAAUGCUUUUGACCGUUCGCUUUUGGAAAAGUUAAAAAGCUAUUUGAAAAAUUAAAAAUCUAUUUGUAAACCUAUGCUUUAGGAAAAGAGGGUGAAACCCGACGCUAUAAAAAAGAUAAGGUUUUUAAAAAAACUGUUUGACAACGAACUUUUUGAAAUUGGACAAUUAUGGGUAUUGGUGUUCACAUUUGAUGAUUAGGCAAACACUCCUAAAGAUGUAUAAUUAAUGCAAAGUUCUUGAAAAUUUAUGAACAAAACAUCUUUUAUGUACAUUUACACACUUUAUUUAUUUAUUAUAUUAAAUUAUUGGAAAUAUUGUUUACAUGCAUCUAUAAAUAUCAAAUAUAAUUUUUAUUUUUAUUUUUAUAUUUUCAUAUAUAUACAAGGUACCUAUACUAAAUAUAUAUGAUAUUUAUACUAAUUGUAGAAGACAUGUAUAAGUUUGUCUAUUAUGAAUAUAUUUACGCUUUUUUUUUUACUAUUUUUUAAACCAUUAGAAACAUCAUUGACAAAUAUACAUGAAUGUCACAUACAAUUUUAUUUUUUAAAAUUAUCACACAUGUACAAGGUACUUGUAUUAAAUAUAUAAGACAUUUGUAUUAACUGCACAAAGUUUGUACAAAUGUACUUACUGUAGAUAUAUUUACGUGUUUUUAUGAAUGUUCGUAAAAUUUGAAAAUGUGUUCUACAUUUAGUAUAACUAUGUUGUAUAUCUAUGAAAAUGCCAAAAAAAAAAAAUUCUAUUUGACAUUUAUGCAUAUUUGUAAAUAAAUUUUCUAAUAAUUUGUUCUGUACAACUAUUAUGCAUAUUAGGACAAAGAAUAAUAAUAGAAGAAAAGAAUAAGAAAAACAAAAUCAAAAUACACAAUGAUUUACGUGGUUAGACCAAUCAAAUAUUAUUUUUAUUUUUAUUUUUCCUAUUUUCAUAUAUAUAUAUAAGGUAUUUAUACUAAAUAUACACUUCAUUUGUGUUAAUUGUACAAGACGUGUAUAAGUUUGUCUAUUAUGAAUAUAUUUACGGUUUUUUUUACUAUUUUUUAUACUACUAGAAACAUUGUUUACACAUAAACAUGAAUGUCAAAUAUAAUUUUUUUUAUUAAAUUAUCACACAUGUACGAGGUGCUUGUAUUAAAUGUAUAAGGCACUGUACUAAUUGUACAAGGUUUGUACAAACCUAUUUAUUGUGAAUAUAUUUUCGUAUUUUUAUGAAUAUUUGUAAAAAUGUAAAAAUGUGUUGUACAUUUAGUAUAACUAUGUUGUAUGUGUGGAAAUUCCAAAAAAAAAAAAAAGAAUAAUAUUUAUGCAUGUGCAUAAAUAAAUUUUCUAAUAAUUUGGUAUGUAAAACAAAUAAAGAAAAUGAAGAACAACAUGUAAAUAAUUCACGAUAUACAAGUUUGCACAUGCCUUACACAAUUUAUAUGCAUGCAAAUAUAAAGAAAAUGAAUUUGACUUAUUUAUACGAACAUUAUUUUCUUGCAGUUUAAUAUGAUGUAUAAAAACAAAAUCAAGAAAAUAUUUUAAGAAAUUGAAAAUAAUAUAUUUUGUAUCUUUCUUGUUAAGUUAAUAUGCAAAUACCUUAUAUAUCAUCUCUAAAAGUGAAGCAAAGGAAUUGAUAUAAUAAUCACUAAAAUCUCAAAUAAAUAAUAUAAGUAAUUAACUAAAAUUUGAUUGUUAUUAUUUAUAAUUUGAAAUAUCCUAGUAAGUCAUAUUAUCACUUAUAAUUUAAAUUAAAGAUAUAUUUUCUUAAUUUAAACAAUUAUGUAAUACUAAGUCUUAUCAAGAUUAAAUAGUAUAUAAUUUAAUAUAAUUCUAUAGUUUAAUUGUAAAUAUGUUGUUAAUUAAAUUUCAAAUUUUCAAAAUUUUCAAAAUUUUAAAAUAAAUAAUAAUAAUAAUAAUAAUAAUAAUAAUGGAACCUUAAAUUAAUGAAAAAUAAACUAACAUAAUAGUUGUGGGCACCCCCAUUAAUGGGGAUAGUGGAUCUACCCAAAAAACCAUCCACUGAGUCGAGCCAGUUUGGGCUAGGAUUAAAGUCCAACUAGCCUAAGCGAAUGAUUUAGGGUUGCUGGGGCAAGCCUAAAUGAACUAGGUGCACCUAGACGAACUAGGUGCACCUAGACGAACUAGGUGUGCCUAAUGGGCCUAAAUAUAUCUAUGCAAACUAUCAUAAAAAAAUGUACCUGAAUAUCUAAAAUGGCUAUGUGAGUAGCAAUGGGUUGGUAGGAUCUACAAUGGAGUACUGAAAGAGUACUUAAUCAGGGCAUGUGCCAAUGAGACAAAAAUGGAGGGUCUACACUAACAAGGUGAAAGUUAUUAGCCUAUCAAUGUUAUAGAUCCUCCCAUUUUAUAAUCAAAUAAUAUCCAAUAACCUUAUGUCAGACUCACCAUAGGUCUUAUCCAAUAUAUAACUGUACAUACUAGUGCACUCAUCAUGGGAACCCCAUCUCUAUAGCUAAAACCAAUCAUCUCUCUAAUUAAGAGGCAAUGCACUACAACCUCAAAUAGAUUGUCUUCAAAUGGAUUGCUUAAGGUUGUAAAUAAAUCAUUUACUUGCAAAAAAAAACCCAUAACUUAGUUCUUCUAUACAAUUCCUAAUGCACCUAAGUUGCGCAUAAUACAAGAGAUACAAACUAAAAUGCUCAUAAAAAUAUAAUUCAUGGAAUAAUGAUAGAUUAAAGUGAAAUUAGAACAUUAUUAAAUAAUAAAUUCACAUUUGUUAUGUCAUGUUAUGCUUUUAAGGGCUUUAUCUUGACAAUUUCUCAUUUUCCCUUAAAGCAUUAUGCUACUAAAGCAAACUAGGUACACAUCUGACAUCUAUGUUAUUCCUGUGACCAUCAAAGACUCUCCCUAUCAAUGUCUUAGUGAAAGGAUCUAUAAGGUUCUUUGUAAAGGUAUCUUCUCAACCACCACAUUACUCUUCUAUACUAUCCUACUUAUCAAGUGGUACUUCAUAUCAAUGUGCUUAUAUUUCAGGUGGUUUCUUAGUUAUUUAGAUUAUGUCACUGUCUCACUAUUAUCAUAAAAUAGUGUCAUAGCUUACACAACCAAGAGUACUACUAAGAAUCUAAAUUGCUCCAUUCCUUAGCACUAGAUCUAGUAAGGUGUAUGCAUAUUACCUAAGGCUCUCUAGAUCCUAAUCUAAGCGGAAAUAUGACAUUAAAAAACUAAUUAGAUAUUUGAUCUAAAGAGAACUGAAAAAACACAUGGAUCUGAAUGUUAUUAGAUGAAUUCUAAAUCAUAGAAGAUGUUGAUAAAGAAUUUGAAACCAUAAAAAACUUUGAGAAGCUUGUAUACUCAGUGUUUUUCCACUCAAUCACACUCUACACAGUUCUAGGUACAAAAAAAGUGUGGACUUUUCUCUCUAAAAGGUAGCUGAGGAUUCUUUCUAGAGACUCUCUUUGGAAACAAACAUGCAAAAAUCUAAAGCUAUAAUCCUUAAGGGGGUAUUUAUAGGGCUCCUUAUAGGCUUAAGUGAUACAAACCUAAAUUGAGCUUAGGUAAUUUAAUCCAAUAUAUUUAGAUCCUAAUUAAUUAAUGAGUUAUAUUGAAUUUCAAUUAAUUAAUUAACUUGAUUAAGAAAUACAAUUCAUAAGAUCUAGUUCAACUUUGCGCUUCUAUCAAAAUGCCCUUAUGAACACUUAUAAAUAUGAAACUCAAAUCUUUCAAAAUAAACGUGCCACUAUAAACUAAGAGUUCGAGCAAAGACCAAUAAAUACAUAUAGGAUAGUAAAAUGAACUAGAAAUAUGAUAUAAACAAAUUUAUUAAUGAAACUAAAAUUGUUAUACCAUGUCAUGCUUUACAAAGCUUUAUCCUCUAACAUAUAAAUCCAAUUCCAAUGAUUUUCGUUUCAAAUAAUUGUUUAGAAAAACAUUAUCAAAUAAGGCUAAAAUUUCUCUCUUAGUAAAUUCCUUUUUUCACCUAAAGUUGAUGGUUGAUUUCAAAUAUUUAUGCUUUUAUUGAUUUUUUUUAUAAAUAGAAGGUUGUGAUUUCAUUAGAGAUAAGUGCAACUUAAAAUUCUUAUAUUUAUAUAUAAAAAUUUAGAGCAAAUUCAUUUCAAAAUUGGAACCUAGUAGCCAAUUUGUAAAGCAGAUUCUUCCUAAAAUUUUGUUUAAACUCAAUGAAUCCUUUGAAAAAGAUUUUUAUACACCAUUUUUUGGAAGCUAAAGUCCUUCAUGUUGUAAAACAAGGAUAAAUGCAACUCAAAGUAGAUAUAAGAUAUAUAUUCUUUAACAAUAUAUAUAAUAGGAGAAAGGAAUCAGAGAAGAGAGUUGAGAGAAUCAAAGACAAAGAGAAUGCGAGAAAUGGAGAAAUUUCUUUCUUGCUUGGAGGUACAUAUUACAGGGGAUAGGAAGCCUUUUUAUAGGCUUUCCAAAUAGCUUCCAUUAAUAUUCCCAUUAAUGAAUAUUAAUAGAACUCAUAAAUAAUAUUUAAUGGUUUCCAUUAAGGAGAAGUCAUAAAUAAUAUUUAAUUAACAUUUAUUAUAAUUAAUGUGGUGACAUUCAUUACUUUAAUUAUAACACUUUCCCUUGGAUGUCCACCACAUUAGAAGAAUAUGUCUCAUCAAAACCUUACUAGUAAAAAACUUGAUGGGAAAAAUCUAGCGAAGGAAAAAGAGUACAAUAUUCUUUUAAUUAUUUGAGUUGCUUUUGGUAUGUUAGGACUGCCUCAUUAAAAACCUUGCUAGUAAAACCUAGUGGGAUAAAACCUGGACGAAGGGUAAAAGAGUACAAUACACUAACACCCUUUUACAAGCAUACUCCCUCUCAUAUUGAUAUCUUUGAGUUGAUGCAUUCCAAUCUUCUAUAUUAACUUCUUGAAUGUUAAGGUUCGCAAUGACUUUGUGAAUAAAUCUGUUAGAUUAUCAUUUGAGCGUAUUUGUUGCACAUCAAUUUCACCACUCUUUUGGAGUUCAUGUGUAUAAAAGAAUUUUGGUGAAAUGUGUUUAGUUCUAUCUCCUUUAAUAUAACCCCCUAUUAUCUAUCCAAUGCAUGCAACAUUAUAUUCAAAUAAUAUUGUCGGGUCACAUUUGAUAAAGGAGAGUCCACAUGAUUCUUAAAUAUGCUAGAUCAUAGAUUUUAGCCAUAUACAUUCACGACUUGCUUCAUGAAUUGCUAAUAUUUCUGAAUGAUUUGAUGAUGUGACCAUCAUUGUUUGUUUGAUAGAUCUCCAUGAAAUAGUAGUACCAUUGCAAUUAAACAUAUACCCUAUUUGUGACCUACCUUUAUGUGGAUGUAAAAUAUAUCCUGCAUCUACAUAUCCAAGCAAUUGUUGCUUUGAUUCCCUUAAGUAAAAUAGACCAAUAUCAGUAGUUCCACGAAAAUAACGCAAUAUAUGGUUGAUACAAUUUUAAUGUCUUCAAGUUGGAGCGAAAUCGUAUCUUGCUAAUAAAUUGACAGAAAAAGCAAUGUUUGGACAUGUAUAAUUGGCAAGAUAUAUAAGUGCACCAAUAACACUAAGAUAUGGUACUUCAGGACUAAGUAAUUCUUCAUUUUUUUUUCAUAAUGACAAAAUAGGUCAUUUUUCACUUCAAGUGAUCAGACAACCAUUAGAUAACUUAAAGGAUAUGCUUUAUCCAUAUAAAAAUGCUUCAAAACUUUCUCAAUGUAUGUUGAUGAUGUACUAAAACUCCAUUUGGAAAAUGCUUGAUCUGUAGGUUAAGACAAAAUUUUGUUUUCCCAAGAUCUUUCAUCUCAAAUUCCUUUUUCAAGUAAUUUGUCGUUUUUAUGAGCUCUUGAGGAGUUCUAACAAGAUUUAAGUCAUCAACGUACAUUGCAAUAAUUGGAAAUCUGGUUUUUGAUUUCUUAAUGAAAAUACAUGGGCAUAUAGGGUUAUUCACAUACCCUUCUUUUAGCAAGUAUUCGCUAAGGUGAUUGUACCACAUCCAUUCAGAUUGCUUUAAUCCAUACAAAGAUCAUUGUAACUUGAUUGAAUAUAUGCUACGAGGCUUCGUACUAUUUGCUUCAAGCAAUUUAAAUCCUUCAGGGAUUUUCAAGUAUAUCUCAUUAUCCAUGGAUCUGUAUAAAUAUGUUGUAAUAACAUCCAUGAGAUGCAUAUCCAGUCCUUUUAAAACUACCAAAUUAAUUAAGAAACAAAAUGUGAUCGUGUCCAUGAUAGAAGAGUAUGUUUCCUCGUAGUCAAUACCAGGUCUUUGUGAGAAACCUUGUGCUAUUAAUUAUGCUUUAAAUCUUAUGAUCUCAUUAUUCUCAUUACACUUUCAUACAAAUACUCAUUGAUACCCAAUAGGCUUUACAUCUUCAGGUGUUUGGACUAUCGGUCCAAAAACUUCUCAUUUUUUUAAUAAGUUCAACUCUGCCUACAUAGCUUCUUUCCAUUUUGGCUAAUCAUUUCUAUGUUAACAUUCUUCCACAUUUUAUGGUUUGAGAUCUUCAUCAUUUCUUAUGAUAUCGAAGGCCAGUUGGAAAGUGAAAAUAUUGUUAACAACAAUAUUUUUUUAUCCCAUUUUUCUCCCUUGUGUACAUAACUUAUUGAGAUCUCACAAUUUUCAGGUAUCUUUGCCUCUUCAAGGGUUUCUCUUUCAAUUUGGGUCUCUUUAGGGGCUUCUUGUUCAAUAUGUGCCUAUUCAAGGGCUUUUUGCAUUAUUUAUGCCUCUUCUGGGACUAUAGAUUUAUCAAUUUUAAAUUGAUUAUAGACAUUUUGAUGGUCUCUUCUAAAGAGCUAAGUUUUUUUUGUGUUCUCCUCUUUCGGGGAGUUACAUCAUUUGAGUCGAUAGGUCUACCACACUUCAACCAUAUCUUAGAUUCAUUUGUUAACUGUCCUAUAGGGACAUCAAGUCGUGCUGGAGUAUUCGCAAUUGGGAUAUCUGACUUUGUCACUUUCUUUGUAUCAAUGAAUGCAUCUGGUAGUUGAUUUGUAAGAUUUUGCAAAUGAAUGAUCAUUUGAACUUCUAGUUCACAUUGAUUUGUACGAGGAUCAAGAUAGGACAUAGUAGAUGCGUUCCAAGUAAUUUCUCGUCGUUCUUCAAGAAUCGGCUUUUCUCCCCCUAAUGAUGGGAAAACACUCUCAUUAAAAUGACAACUCGCAAAGCAGGUUAUAAAAACUUUGCCUAUCAAAGGUUCCAAAUAUCUUAUGAUAGAUGGAUAAUCAAAACCUACAUAAAUCGCAAGUCUUCAUUGGGGACCCAUUUUAAUGUGUUGUGUAGGUGCAAUUAGUACAUAUACUACACAACCAAAGAUUUGUAAGUGAGAGAUAUUUGGUUGUUUUUCAAGUACAAGUUGUGAAGAGGAGUAUUCAUGGUAAGUUGUAGGUCGAAUACGAACUAAAGUUGCAACAUACAUAAUAGCAUGUCCCCAAGUGGAAGUAGGUAAUUUGGUCUUCAUUAGUAAUGGUCGAGCCAUUAAUUGAAGAUGUUUGAUGAAGGAUUCUGCUAAACCAUUUUGGGUAUGAGUAUGAGCAAUAGGAUGCUCAAUAUUUAUCCCUACUGACAGCAAUAGUCAAUGAAUGUUUGAGAAGUAAAUUCGCCAGCAUUAUCAAGACGUAUUGUCUUAAUUGGAUAAUCUGGAAAUUGUGCUCGUAAUCUAAUUAUUUGUAUAAAGAGUCUAGCAAAGAUAACAUUACGUGUAGGAAUGAGACAAAUAUGUGACCACCUAAUAGAAGCAUCUAUUAAGAUCAUAAAAUAACAUAAUGGUCCACAUGGUGGAUUUAUAGGCCCACAUAUGUCCCCAUGUAUUCUUUCUAAAAAGACUGGUGACUCAGAUAUGACUUUAGUAAAAGAUGGUUUAACUAUCAAUUUACCUUGUGAACAAUCAGCACAUGAGUAUUCAUUGGGCAAAAGAAUCUUCUGGUUUUUUAAUGGAUGCCCAUGUGAGUGUUCGAUCAUUUGAUGCAUCAUUGAAGACGUUGGGUGACCUAGCCUAUCAUGCCAAAUGAAAAAAACUUUUAGGUCGUUAAACUUUUGAUUCAUGACAACAUAUGAUUCAAUAAGCUUUAUAGUUAUACGAUACAACCCAAAGGAGAAAGCCAAUAGUUUUUCCAUUAUAAGCUUCUGGUCAGAUAUAAUGGAAGUAAUGUAAAGAUAUUCUACAUUAUCUUCAUUUAUAGUUUCAAUAUGAUAUCCAUUUCUACAAACAUCUUUAAAACUGAGCAAAUUUCUUCUGGAUUUUCUAGAAUAUAAAGUGUCAUUUAUAUGGAAUCUAGUUUUCCAUUUGGUAGCGUUAUGCUUACUCUUAUGGAGCUUUCAACUAAGUUUGUAGUACCAGAUAUGGUACUUACAUUAGCUUUUAUUAAUGUCAAUUAGAGGAAAUAUCUUUUAUCUCAAAGAAUUGUGUGCAUGGUUGCACAAUCUGUGAGACAUACAUCAUCCUGAUUCAUCUUGAGACCAAACAACACAUGGAUUUUAGAUAUAACUAAUAUUAAAAAAAAUAAAAAAGCAUAAUGUAAAUAAAAAAAGAAAAUCAGAUAUAAAUAUAAGACAUAAUAAUAUAUUAUUUGAUAUAUAAAGUAACAUCAAUCAAUGUUAAUAUUCCCAUCAUUUAUUAAAUGAUUUGUUUCUUCACUAGGACCUCCAAAGAAAUCAAUAUCAUAGUAGGUUAGGUCCAAUCCAUUACCAUCGGUAAAGUUCAUCUCUAUCUCUUUUGCUUUUGCUUUUAUUAAUGCUUGGUAAAGGUUGACUAAAUGUUUGGGUGUACGACAGGUACGCGACCAAUGCCCCUUCAUACCACAUUUAUAACAAUUAUUCUCAUGGUUCUUAGGAGGUUUAUCUUGUAAACACUUCCCAUUUUCUUGUUUUGUCUUAGUAUUAUUCUAUUUUUGGUAGUGUAAUGAGACUUUCCUUUUAUGAGAAUUUGAUGAAUUAUUACCAUAAGAACCAUGGUAUCGGGGAUUUCUUCCAUGACCAUAACCAUGUCCAUGUCCUCAUCCUCGUCCUUGUCCACGUCCACGAGUUUGAGACAAUAUUGCAUUCACUUCAGGGAAUGGUUUAGAUCCAGAUGGACGAGACUAGUGAUUUCUCAUCAAAAGUUUAUUAUUUUGUUCAACAACAAGAAGACAUGAUAUUUAUUCAGAAUAUUUUGUAAAUCUAUUCUCUUGAUAUUGCUGCUGCAAGAGCACAUUCGAGGCAUGACACAUAGUAAAAGUUUUUUUCUAACAUGUCUUAUUCUGUGAUUUUUUUUCUUUACACAACUUUAAUUGAGAGUUGAUUUUGAAAAGUGCGGAGUUAUAUUCACUAGCAAUUUUAAAAUCCUGUAGCCUCAGGUGCAUCCAAUCAUAUCAAACUUUUGGGAGAAUUAUAGUUUUUUGGUGGUCAUAUCUUUUCUUCAAAUUACUCCAUAGAGUAAAAAGGUGUUUUAUUAUAAGAUACUCAUUUUUUAAACCUUCAUGGAGGUGAUGGCAAAAGAAAAUUAACGCUUUUACGGAAUCCUAUAGGGAUGCUUGAUUUCCUUCUUUGAUCGUAGCUCCGAGAUUCAUUAUAUUAAGAUGUAUUUCAGCAUAAAGGAUCCAAGAUAGAUAGUUCUUUCUCGAAAUGUCAAGUACCAGAAAUUUGAAUUUUAUGAUAUUCGUCAUUAUCAAAUAACUUUGUAUAUAUAACAAAACAAUAUUAUUAGAAUAAGUUAUAAUAAAUUGAUAGCAUUGGUAUAACUUUUGAUUAUAAACAAAAUCAAAUCAUUGCUUAUAACUUUUAACAAUAUGUAACAGAACAAAUUCUAACAACAAUAUAAAUAUGUAAAAUUUUAUUCUAUAUAAACAACUUCAAGUUUAAGAUACAAGAAAUACCUUCAGAGUAAUUCGUACUGAUAACAUAUUGUAAAACGAGGAUAAAUGCAACUCAAAGUAGAGAUAAGAUAUAUAUUCUUCAACAAUAUAUAUAAUUGGAGGAAAGAAUCAUGUAAGAGAGUUGAAAGAAUGAAAGACAGAAAUGAAGAAAUUUCUUUUUUGUUUGGAAGUACAUAUUACAAGAUAUGAGAAACUCUUUUAUAGGCUUUCUAAAUGAUUUCCAUUAAUAUUCCCAUUAAUGAAUAUAAAUGAAAUCAUAAAUAAUAUUUAAUUAAUAUUUAUUAUAAUUAAUGUGGUGACAUUCAUUACAUUAAUUAUAAUUUUUUUUUUGAGUUAUUCUCACUUGCCACGUGGGCAACCUAGAUUCUACCCUUAAAAACUAAUUUUCAUUCUUGACUUACGUGGCAAGAAAUUCUGUUGCGAUAGCAGGAUUUACAAUUGGCCAAUAACACACUGCCACGUGACUGCGCCAAAGAUGUCACGUGCAAUUCACUUGAUAUUCCCAAUCACAGGCGUGGCCUUCUCCUUACCCAUCCAUCCAUCUUCUUUCACUUCGCAAAACAAUUCAGCUUCAAGCCUCUGCAAACAUCCCUCACCAAAACGACGUCGUUAAUGGAGACAAUCCUCUCAAAUUCGAUGCCUAUCUCUGUCUCAUCCCUCCCUCCGGUUCGUGCAGUUCCCUCCCCAAGAAAACUAGAGUUCAGCUCCUUCACGCCUAAAACGACGUUGUUCGGGUCGCGGAGUCAGAGGAAGCUAGGGUUCCGAUGCUCUCCGCGCAGAGCUGCGGUGACGUGCGGCGGCGUCACGGAGAUCAAGGAGAGCCAGUUCUCCGACGUCGUUUUGAAGGCUGAUGGGCCAGUUCUCGUAGAGUUCGUCGCCACUUGGUGCGGUCCCUGCCGGUUGAUCUCUCUGGCUAUGGAAGCGAUUGCUUAGGUUUUGAUUUAUUUUCUUUAUCCAUUUGAAGUGCAUUGGUUUUAUUGUUUCGCGUUGUUUGUGUUUGGCUGCCGGGAAAACGAGCGAAAAGCUUAGAAAAAAACAGAAAAGAAUGGAAUUGUUGUAUGUUGAAGAGCCUGCUCGGAAGCAGAAAUGAUAUCGGCUUCCACUUUUUUAAAACAGAACGUGAUUUUAUAACAGUGAGUCGUUUUAGGAGAUGUUAGAAUUUCUUUCAAUUUGUACUAGUGCGUUGCUUUUGUAGCUUUGUGCUGUUUGUUUGGUUGCCCAGAAACGGAAAAAAAGAAAAAAAAAAAUGAAGAGAGAAAAGAACGAAAAUUUGAAUAUUGAGGGCCUGUUUGGCCUAGAAAUGAGGAAUGCUUUUAGUUUUUUGAAACAGAAAAAUGGAAAUGAGGCGUAAAACAUGUUUUCUGGUAACAUGUUUUGAAGAGCUGUUUCAGAAAACAUUGUAAAAAUAAGUCAUUUAGAAAUCAAUAAAAAUUUGUUUUCAGCAUUUUAUAAAAUGCAAGCACUAUAAUCAUUGAAAAUGAUCCAAAAAAAGAAGUGUUUGCUGUUUUCGUUUUGGUAACAAAUAGUCUGAACCUUUCAUUAUUUAGGACCUAGACAAACAAACAGAGCUUUCUACUGAGACUAGCACCACUGCCAAUGUUGACUAGCAAAACAUUAUAAAAUAAGAUUGAGGGCUUUGUUUUCUUUUUAUCCAGUUUCUGAGCAGGCAAACAGGGAUACUAAAAAGCAUAGUGACAUACUGACGUAUUUGGGAAUUUUGAACUAGCUAAUUGGGCGUCAGUAAAUAUUUAUCAGAAUGAUGAGGGAAAAUGUUGGGAAUGAAUUCAUGAGUAACUGUAAAACUAAUAUAUUUUAAAAAAAAGUUCCUUUGAAAUGAGUGUUUUGUCUGUUGAAAAAUUGAGAAUAAAUUUGGAAAAUUUAAAAAUGAUUUGAGAAAUGUAAAGUUAUAUAUACUUAAAAGCUAUACUGAAAUUAUACUAAGAGUAUGUGUCUGUCAUUUUCCUGUCUUUAGAAGAAACAUGACUGUGCACUCUCCCUCUUCUAUUAGAUCCUCAAUUUUUGUUAAAAUGGUAAAAACAAGAACCUUCUUAGGGAAUAUGAAGUUCAGUUUUAGGUCUUUCCAGAAAUAAUGAGUUUUAGGUUUCUGAAACUGGGGAAAAAGGAAUAAGAAGCACUUUGAAACCACAAAGAAUAGGGCCUGUUUGGCAACAUUUUUACAACAAACUUUUGAAAAUGAUUUUUUAAAAUAGUUCUCAAUCAUUUUCUGGAAUGAAAUUUGUUUUUGAACUCAAAAUAUGUAAAACAAUUUUAGUGGCUAAUUCUCUGUGAAAUCACUUUUUGCUUGUAAAUUAGGCAACAAUUAUAUAUAUAUUUUAUUGUCUAGUCUCCAUAUUUCUAACAGUUUCUCAAAAAAUUCUACUAAAAACACCUCAAAUCUGCUAAAAACACCUCAAGUUCUUUAGCUUAGUGAUUUUUAUAGCCUAUUUAUUUAAUGAUCCAUAGAGAAACUGAAGCAGGGAUUGGGUGAAUAUUCAUUGCAAAUCCAUUAAUAGUAAUGAUUAUUUUGCUGAAGCAGAGCGUGAUAUCAAGUGUCCACUUAUUUGUAUGCUCACUAGGCUUAUCUGAGUUGUUGCUCUGUAAUUUAUGUUUGCUAUCUUUUUUUAGUGCAUUAUUCUCAAGAUUUUAUGGAGUUGAAAGGUACCUAUGGUAGUGUCAAUAGGCCUGGAGUGGGAGUAAUUUUGUAGUAUUCAUAGACUUGAUACUAUUUUUUUUAGUCAUUUUUUUCUUUUACUGUUUUUUCCUUUUCUUUUUCUUUUUCAAAAUAAGAGCAGAUGUAUAGGAUGCAGAUAAAGAAACGAUCCCAAAUAAACAUAGAAAGUAGUACAAGUAUUAGGUCUCAUUUGGGUAUCCUUUGAAUUUUUAGAAAUAGAAGCUAGUAAUGAUUUUUGUAUAGAAAGUAGAAACUCUUAUAAAAAAAUUUAUAGACUUAUUUUAUGUCUUUAAAAAUUUAUUUUAAACAAUUUUAAAAUUUAAAGUAAUAAAACCUUUGAUGCAGUAUAGAAAGUAAAAUGCAAGGAGAGUAUAAUUGAAAGGACCUUAGGAAUCACUCCUAGAAACCUUUAGGCUUCACACUCAAGUACUCUUUGUAUCACACAAAGAAAAUAUACUGAUCUUUCUCUCCUUCUUAGACCUAUCAGUUGUUGGUUCCUUCUUCAGUGCCACCUCCCUGGGCAGCUGCUCCAGCUUUUCCUCCUCUUGAACACCCUGCAAAAGGGUGCCUAGAUGGGUUCCGGGUAGACUUCUCCGAUGGUUAAGUUAGUUGUUUUUGCCUUAGGAGGGAAGAAAUGCAGAAAAAACCACUUACCUCAGAUUCUUGUCAUUUCAUUGUCUUAUAUCAUAAAUUUUGUAUUCAUAACUAAGGUUCUUUUUAAAUUUUGUUUUUAAUGAUGCAGUGGCGUCUCAUUGAUGGUGUGUGACAAUAGAGUUGAGCGUAAUAGAUGUGUAUUUAUGGAGUGACCCUGCUCAGUUAGGUUUUGUGUGUAUGGGGUUCAGCGCCCAUUUAGGGGAGGAGUCUGGGUCCCCUCAAUGCCCCCCUUUUCCUGAUUAGGCUUGAUGGAGCCAAGAGAGCUAGGUAGGAAAAGAAGCAUUUUGUGUGGUUCUACUGUGCAGCAAGAAAAGGCUUUAGGCUUUAGGCUAUGUUCUGGUUUUAACACAAGGUCAGAUUAUAUUGGAAGAGCUGUUGGCUUUGUUUAAUUAAGAGCAGUUAUGAUUUUAAGCUCAUCUUAGCUCUUACACCUAGUUAGGAUAGAUACUACCCACAAAGUGAAUCAAGCCAUACAUACCCAUGUAUCUUCAACUCUGACUAUAUUUUAAAAGCAUAAACAAUUUAGGCUAAGAUCAAGUUUAUGCCUAAACAUCAUUGGGAAGUAGACCAGACUUUGUCAAUGAUGAAGAAAUUGGUGAUGCUGACAGAAUUUGCUGAAGGUAAUGGAGAAAUUGGAGAGUUUGAUAAAAGCUGCUAAAGGAAGUAACUUCGUAUUGAUAAUCUCCUCAAAGCCAUAUGCAGAAACUAGGUGGAGGGACAGUGUGGCAAGGUCCAGACACUUUGCAAGGAAAGGAGAAGGUUUACAAUAAGGGUUAUAUGACUUUGAUAAGCUUAUUGUUGCUUGUUGUUUUCUUUUAAUCCUGUGGUAUGGGCAGUUCGCACUAGGAGGGAUUCAACUAAAUUGCCUUGAAAAUAUACAUAGUAGGAGACUUUCCUCCUAAUCUAAGUUAUCAAUGGUCUGAGUGGAAGCUGUUGUUUAUGAUUUGGUAAGGAGUUUUAGUUGUCUGUCUCAGGGGGUGUGCCCUGUGUCCACCAAUAAUUGGGGUUUUAGGGUUUAAUAUAUUUAGGGCAAGGCACCAGCAAUGGAUUAAAUCUGGCAGAGUCCCUUAUUUUUUUUUUGUUUUUUUUUUGUUUUUUGUUUUGUUUUUUUUUUUUUUUGUUAUGACACCUGCAAGAGUGGAUAUUCCUAUGGCUUGGAAGCAUGCCUUCUACCCAUUGGAAUCCAACUUUUGUUAAACCUUGGGUUCGCUCUACUUAAUAGUCAAUUCCCCCAUUCUUUGCAUGGACACUAUGGCCUUGUGUGGGCAUUGUGGCCUUGAGUGGGCACUAUGACCUUGAGUGGGCAUUGCAGCCUUGAAUGGAUACUGGGGCCUUGUGUGAGCACUGUUGCCUUGAGAGGGUGUUGUGGCCUUGAGAUGGCAUUGUGGCCUUGAAUGGGCACAAUGGCCUUGAGUGGGCAUUGCAGCCUUGAAUGGACACUGGGUUGAGAGGGUGUUGUGGCCUUGAGAGGGCGUUGUGGCCUUGAGAGGGCAUUGUGGCCUUGAAUGGGCACUAUGGCCUUGAGUGGGCACUAUGGCCUUGAGUGGGCAUUGCAGCCUUGAAUGGACACUGGGACACUGGGUUGCUUUACACAAUCCAGCACAAAGCCAAGGAUAAUCCACCAAAACUCUCUCCUUAAACCAAUCAUUUGAAUGCCAUGAAAGCAGAAGCUCCUUCACAAAUCUAGGAAGCACUUGGACUAAGCUCAACCUCUACAUCAAUUAUUCUAAAGUGCAACUUUGAACAGGCAGUGGAUAACAAGAAAAACAAUGAACACCAUACAUGGCGAAGUCUCCUGUCAUAACACUGUUAUGCUUCUAUUUUGAAGUUAUUUAAACUUAAAACAUUGAGAGAAAAUUUCCAAGCAUAAAAUAUUUCCUUCUGGGAUAUUCACAAAGUUCAAGAUAGAUAGUGUUCAUGUGUCCCAUGCUUUUUGAUUAAUGAGAUGAAAAAGUUGAAGGAUAUUGUUGAAGUUUCGUGAUAUAUACUGUACCUUCUGAACUCGUUGUUUAUUUAUAGGACUAAAAACUUUUAACGCUCAUUAUGGAAACUUGUUGAAUGCAUCUCAUGUUUUGUGGCUUAUUUCUAGCAAGCUGGCUGAAGUUUGUUGCUUGUUGGGUUGAAGAACCAGUCAUGGUUCAUAGCCACAUGGUAUUGAUUUAUUAAGCAUUUAUUGAUACCUCCCUUCUCCACAUGUUUUCCUUCAGAGAGGGGAAUGACACCUAAGAUCUAACCAGCUACUUUUGGGUUCCUUUUUAGUUGCUGGCCAAUGGAUUCUAGAGAAGUGUCAUACAGACAAAAUUGAAACUCUGGUUGAAACUAAACUUUUAGGAUCCUGCCUUUUUGAAUUUCGUCUGAACUGUGCGAGGAUAAAGAAUCGAUAUGCCUAGUUUUUUUGGAACUAUAACAUUUAGCAUUUGUUAACAUUUGUUUGACUGCCAUGUUAACAUUUGUUUAGUGUGAAAAGUUACUGCAAAAUGGAACUCAGAUUUCUCCAGAAAUAUGUCGAUAAUAUACAUAUUUUAAAUCCACAUAUUGAUUUGAUUGUUAAAAUGAAUGGGACAUGGGGGUUGCUUUUUAAGCAGCAUUCAGGAAUUACUGUUGACUAAUGGGAAAUGCUAAUCCCUUCUGUUGAGUUAUUAGUUUUGCCUAAAAACUUAAUAGGUCAGGUAAUGAACCAACAAUGUAUAUUGAGCUGACUUACUUGAACGUGUUGACACUCUUCCUCAUCAGCAGCCUUUUUUGUAUGGGUGCUCAAUAAAUGUGGGAAAAUAAAGAAAACAUUAAAAUUUGAACUCAUGACUUCCUGAAAACUAAGACUCUGACACCAUGUUAAGCAACUAUUUUGACCCAUCAAACUGUUAAGUUAUGAGCCAAACAUAUUUCCAGUCAACUUAGCUAAAAACCCUAGCAACUUUCCUUCUAGCGUCAUCCAAACAAAAUUCAGAGAGGACAGACUUUUCAUCAACUGCUCAAAAAGAAUAGAUUUGUUCCUUUACCCUAAAAACGGUGGGAAUGCAGACACCAUAUGGGGGUUCGGAAGUAAGUUGUACCUAUAUUUUUUUACUUUUGUAAAUGACACCAUGCAUGCAAACUUGAAACAUCUAUAUAAAUGCCAUUUGUUGGUCAUCUUCUCUCUUUCCCUAGUUUUCAUCUUCACUUGGUUAAAACUUGAAUGUUAGGAUCCUAAACUAAAUUUUGUAAUGAGUUUUCAACCAAGCUGCCCAGAUUAUCCAAGAGAUCCAACCCAUUGCUUGAGUAGUAUAGACAUUACGCUUGGGCAUUUUUAUCUAAAUUUUGUUAGGAUCCUAAACUAAAUUUUGUAAUGAGUCUUCACUUGGGCAUUUUUAUCUUGCUCAUGGUACACCAUAUUUUUCUUUUGUUGCUUUUGUGAAUAAGCUCUCUGGAUUUUCAUUUUUGACAGGUUACUUAUACUGAUGAAGCUGACAUUAACAGUAGCUUUCUCUAAUACUAUCAUCUUAUAUUUUCUAUCUUUUUCUGAAACAAAGUUCUUUCGAAAAUAUGCAGGAAUACGGGGACAGAUUAACAGUUGUAAAGAUCGAUCAUGAUGCAAACCCGCAACUAAUUGAAGAGUACAAAGUCUAUGGAUUGCCAACUCUGAUACUCUUCAAGAAUGGACAGGAGGUUCCAGAAAGCAGGAGGGAAGGUGCAAUCACAAAAGGCAAGCUCAAAGAGUACGUGGAUGCUCUUUUGGAGUCGAUAUCAGUGGCAUAGUCCUCUUUUGGAUUGCAGAAAAUUUUCUGGGUAAUUAUCUCCUUCUUCUGUAUACUAAUUCUUAUCCCAUUUCAUUUGUAUAGUAUAUAUUGCUGUAAACAACGAAAAGAAUUGAUCCUGAGAUUAGAUUAGAGGUGUAGGUCAAAUGUAAUUUUUCUGGUAUGUACUCCCUGAAUAUUCAUGGAAAAACUGAUGUUAGUGUUCUUUGCUAAUAAAUGACGUCACCCAUAUUCCUCUAUGGCAAAACUUGAAUUGAGUGAGAUACUAAUAGUUCAGAGAAUGAGAAUGAAGGCGAAUAAUUGAAAAAGAGAAAUAGAAAAACAAUAAUCAAAACACAGUUUUUGAAAAUAAUUAUUUCAUACGGUCCUCAAUUAUUUUUCGGAAAUAAAAUUUCGUUUAAGGACUUAAAUAUGAAAAAUAAUUUUUUUUAUUUAUUCUGUAAGAAAGUGUUCCACACUUAUAUAUAAUACAAGAGUUUUUAAAAUAUUUUCAUUUUUAUAUUAUUGUUUAAGCAUUUUAUAAAAAAAAAUAAUUGAAAAACAGAUCAAAUUUGUUUUGAAAAACAUGGUUUUAAAAAAUAAUUAAAAAUUGCUUUUAACAAAAGUUAAGAGGCCUGAGGCAACUUGGUUCUAAGAGCAUGUAGUCAAAAUUUUCUUUUUCUUUUCUUUUUAUCUUUUCCAUUAUAUGGAUUGAAUUCUCAAAUUAAGGUUCAAAGUAUCUAUACUUUCAAAAGUAUAAUAGAGUUUUCUUAAUUCAUUAUCAAUAAUAAUAUUCAUAUAAAUAUAAAAAUAGAAAUACUAAAAGAAAUAGUAUAAAAAUAAAAUAUUAAAAAAAAGAGUUAACUACCAUUUUUCUUGCAAUAUGUAGCUUGGGUUUAAAAAUUAUAUGAAACAUCUAAAGCAUAAACUUGUAAAUUUGUUGAUUGUUUAAAAAAAAAAAGAAAAAAAAAAAAGGGGAGCAUGGUGGAUAAUAAUUUUUAUUAAGUGGUAUAAAGUUAUACUGAUAGUGUAAUUUCAUAAUUUUAUGGUGUAUUUAAAAAAAUUAAGAGUGAAAAAAAAUCUUGUGAGAUUUUAUAAUUACAAUAAAAAAGAAAAAAGAAAAUAAAAAUUAUUGUUACAUUUUCUAAAAUUUAAGAAAGUAAAAUAAAAUUUUGUUUGUUUACAAGUUUUUUUAAAAACAUUAAGUAAUUUUUUUUCUUUAAUAAUUUUAUUUUAAAAAAAAAAAAGAAAUAUAUUCAAAUACUACAUUAGUUUUCUUGAAAAAUUCAGAUGUAAAAUUUUGAAAAAUAGAAUUAUGCCUUCACUUCAUUUUUUUAAAUUGAAAAUAUCCCUUUCUUUGGAUGAAAAAAAGUUCAAAAACACUAUCAUGUACCCAUCUCAAAUGAAAAGAAAAUAAAAGAGAUUAUAUUUAUAAUUAAAGAAAAAGAAAUUAUUUUAUAAAGGAUAUGUGUCCAAACCCGUCUUGUAUUUUAUAAAGAAAUUAUUUUAUAAAGAAAAAGAAAUUAUUUAUAAUUAUUUUAUAAUUAAUGAAAUUAUUUUCUUUAUUUUAUAAAGAAAAUAAAGAAAUUAUAUUUAUACUUUCAAAAUAUAUUAGAGUUUUCUUAAUUCAUUAUCAAUAAUAAUAUUCAUAUAAAUAUAAAAAUAGAAAUAUUAAAAGAAAUAGUAUAAAAAUAAAAUAUUUUCUAAUUAUUAGCCUCCUAAAAGAGUUAGAUGACUACCAUUUUUCUUGCAACAUGUAGCUUGGGUUUAAAAAUUAUAUGAAACAUCUAAACCAUAAACUUGUAAAUUUGUUGAUUGUUUGAAAAAAAAAAGCAUGGUGGAUAAUAAUUUUUAUUAAGUGAUAUAAAGUUAUAUUGAUAGUGUAAUUUCAUAAUUUUAUGGUGUAUUUAAAAAAAAUAAGAAUGAAAGAAAAGCAUGGUGGAUAUGUGUCCAACCCGUCUAACCCUUUUUAUAUAAAAGGAUAAUUGUCUUAUGUUUUUGCACAUAUAUUUCAUCAAAUGUCUCGCUUUUACAUUGAAGUGGGUGGAGUGACGCAAAAUUGCAGAGUUCCAUGAGCAGAACUCCAAACCCACUCACAAAUCCUCCCUCAAACCCUCAAAUCCUCUCCCUCUUCAAUCCCUGCAAAACCCUGAGACAUCUCGAACAACUCCAUGCCCAGAUCGUCACCCACCAUAACUCCCCUUUUCCACUCUCCGCCUUGGCCUCUCUCUCUCUGCCCUUUCCCCAUUUCCAACGUUCCUGGCCUAUGCCAAGACCAUCUUCCACCACCUCCAAAACCCACCUCCCUCACUCUUCAACUCCCUCAUCAGAGCCCUCUCCUCAGGUAAAACCCCACUUGAGGCACUCCCAUUGUACCACACUAUGCUCCAAAGCGGCCUAAAGCCUGAUCACAUGACGUACCCUUUUGUUAUAAAAGCUUGUAAUGAGUCAUCCGUGACUUGGUUUGGGUUAUUGGUUCAUACCGAUGUUGUUAAAAGUGGUUUUGAGUGCGAUUCUUAUAUUGUCAGCUCUUUGAUUCAUUUAUAUGCAAAUGGGAAAGAUUUGGGUGCUGCUAAGCAGCUUUUAAUCUGUGUUCUGACAGAGAUGUGGUUUCUUGGAAUGCAAUGAUUGAUGGUUAUGUUAAGCGUGGUGAAAUGGGGCAUGCCCGGAUGGUAUUUGAUAGGAUGGUGUGUAGGGACGUGAUUUCUUGGAAUACUAUGAUCAAUGGCUAUGCAAUUGUUGGGAAGAUUGACGAAGCUAAGAGACUGUUUGAUGAAAUGCCUGAGAGAAAUCUGGUAUCUUGGAAUUCCAUGUUGUCUGGGUUUGUCAAAUGUGGGAAUGUGGAGGAGGCUUUUGGGCUGUUCAGUGAGAUGCCCUGUAGGGAUGUAGUGUCAUGGAACUCCAUGUUGGCGUGCUACGCGCAGUGUGGGAAGCCGAAUGAGGCCCUGGCACUUUUUGAUCAAAUGCAGGCUGUGGGCGUAAAGCCAUCUGAAGCAACUGUUGUCAGCCUCUUAUCGGCUUGUGCCCAUUUGGGCGCUUUGGAUAAGGGUUGCAUUUGCAUACUUAUAUCAAUGAUAAUAGAAUUGAGGUCAAUUCCAUUGUUGGCACUGCACUUGUGGACAUGUAUGCGAAAUGUGGAAAAAUUUCCCUUGCCACGCAAGUUUUUAAUGCAAUGGAGUCCAAAGAUGUUCUAGCUUGGAACACAAUCAUAGCAGGCAUGGCCAUACUCGGCCAUGUCAAAGAAGCCCAACAACUUUUCAAGGAGAUGAAAGAGGCGGGUGUUGAACCAAAUGACAUAACCUUUGUAGCUAUGCUCAGUGCCUGUAGCCAUGCUGGAAUGGUGGAUGAAGGUCAAAAACUCUUAGACUGCAUGAGCAGCAGUUAUGGGAUUGAGCCAAAGGUUGAGCAUUAUGGUUGUGUUAUUGAUCUCCUUGCCCGUGCAGGGCUCUUGGAGGAGGCUAUGGAACUUAUAGGGACCAUGCCCAUGGAGCCCAACCCAUGUGCAUUGGGGGCAUUGCUUGAAGGCUGCAGGAUCCAUGGCAACUUUGAGCUGGGUGAGAUGGUGGGAAAACGCCUCAUCAACCUUCAGCCAUGCCACAGUGGCCGGUAAAACCCUUUCACCUAUGCUGGAAAAGCCUAAAUUCACAUGACUAACCUGUUUUCCAAUUUUUCCUCAACAGCUAUAUCCUCCUCUCAAACAUAUAUGCAGCAGCAAAAAAAUGGGACGAUGCAAGAAAAGUGAGGAACCUUAUGAAGGUCAACGGCAUCUCCAAGGUGCCAGGAGUGAGCGUGAUUGAGCUGAAAGGCAUGGUGCAUCGGUUUGUGGCUGGUGACUGGUCACACCCGGAAUCAAACAAGAUAUAUGAGAAGUUGAAUGAGAUACACACAAGGCUGAAGAGUGCAAUUGGGUAUUCAGCAGAUACCGGGAAUGGGUUGUUGGACAUGGAAGAGGAAGAUAAAGAACAUGCUCUAGCUGUUCAUAGUGAGAAGCUGGCCAUUGCUUAUGGGCUACUACACUUGGAUUCAAAAGAAGCCAUUAGGAUUGUGAAGAACCUUAGGGUUUGCAGAGAUUGUCACCAUGUCACCAAGCUGAUUUCAAAGGUUUAUGGUGGAGAAAUUAUUGUAAGGGAUCGGAAUCGGUUUCAUCAUUUUGAAGAUGGUGAAUGUUCCUGUCUUGAUUUUUGGUAGAGUCAGUGUUAAAUAUUGAAUAUGGGUUUAUUUAUUAUAAUUUAAUAAUAAAAGAUAAAAUUGAUAAUAUAUUUAAUAAUAUGUUAUGUAAUAAAUUUUAAUCAACUUUUAAAUUGAUUUUUAAUAAAAGACGCAGUUUUUUUUUUUUUUAUAAAAAAAAUUUACAUAAGAUACCAAAAUUCUUCAAGACUUAUAUAGAAAAGGUAAUAAUUUUAAAAGUGAUGAUACGAGUCACAUUUCUAAAUCUGUAGUUUAAAAAAAUGUGAUGCCAAUUUGUUUUUGAGAAAAAAAAUUAGUUUUUUAUUUUUAUUUUUAUUUAAAUUUUUUAAUUUUUAUUAUCAUUUACAAUUGAUUGGGAUAAAAACUUUUACUAUUAAAAUAAACAUUAUUCAUAUUAAACUGAAUAAGCAUUAAAAAAUUGUGUUUUUGUUAACUUUGAAUUUUAUCUUUAAAAAUAAUUUAUAUGACUGUUUUUUAAAGAAAUAAAAAAAUAAAUUUAAUUUUGUAUAUUUUUGUUUUUUUUUUUACUAAGGAGACGUCUUCAAACUAAUGAAUAAAAAGAUUAGAAUUUAAGAUACUUAAAAAGUAAUUCAAUAUGGUAAAUACUUUUAUUGAGUUCGUUGAAAAAAAAUUGGAGAACUUUCAAGUUUGUUGUUUGUUUGUUUGUUUGUUUGUUUUUUAUUCUUUUUUUUUUUUUUUUAAAUUUAUGCUUUAUCGGUCUUUAUUAAAAAAAAAUUACAAUGGUUUUAGUUUUAAUUUUUUUAAAAAUUUUAAUGUAAUUUAAUUUGCAAAAAAAUUAAUGUCAUUUGUAUACCUCAAUUAUACCUUAGUUCAUUUACUUUGUACCUAGGGUUCUAUGACUAUGCAUCUUAUCAUUAUUUUAUACUUAGUUGUCAUUAUUUUUGUAUUAUGAUCGUUGGUUUUUUUAUAUCUUGAUUUUAUGUGGUUGUACCCUAAUUCAAUUAUUCAGAUGUUGAUCAAUGAUUUUUGUCGUUUAUUGUAUUAAAACAAGAUUUUUAAUCUAAUUCACUAUUCUAAGGUAGCUUUUACUUGAUAAGAAAUGGCUUUUAGUAAAAGCCAUGGUAGUAUAACGGUUUAAAAUAUCGUCCAUUAGGAUGAAUUAUUUUUGGUAAUCAAGGCUUAAAUGGGGAGAAAAAAAUGAAUGUGAUCAAGUGAAAUUGGAGUGACAAUUCAUAAUAAAAAUGAAAAUAGCAGUGAUUUCAAAUUAGGAAGAACAAUUCAAUAAAAAAGAAUCAAAUUUUGAAAGAAGAUUAAUAUGAAAAAAAUCUUAGAGUUAAGAUUCUCUUGAAAACAAUCUCUAUGGUGAAUGGUUGUUGAGAUUUACUCUUCAUCAAGUUAUAUUAAAAAUAUAAAUUUUCAUCUAAACCGAUUUUUUAUUUAGUUUUAAAUCAAAAUCUUAUUUAUAUUCAAAUUAGGUGAUUUAAUUUAAAGGACCAAUUCAAAUUAUAUAUUUAAUUAAUCUUAAAUCGUCUUUUAAUGAUUUACACAAUACAACUAUUCAAUUUCAUUAAAUUUAACUUUAAGAAUUUAAUGAAUUUACCUAAUUUGUAUUGUAGUGGUCAUUUAAGAGAAUUUGAAAAGAAAAAAAAAUCCCAAAUUUCAAUCAAUUGAAUAAAAAAACCCUUACCAAAUUAAGCUUCAUUUCCCAAAUUUCAACUAUUCAUAGUUCAAACAAAUGAAGAACACUCAACAUCAUCUCAAUAGGCUUUUGGAACUUUUCAAAUUAAAAAAUAUGAGAUUUAGUACCAAUAAUGACAUUUUCGCACAAUUUUCAUUUGAACAUGCGAAACUGAAGUUGGUUGGUUACAACAUUUAAACCCCUCUUUGGACGAGUUCGCAUGCUCCUGAGAAGUUUUGCACAUUCAUGUGAAAAUGACUUUCGCAAAUUCCUAACUCUUGCAACCAUCAUGUUCUUCUAGUUCAGUUGGCAUGUUUGUGCAAAAUCAUUCUUUAGCUUGCUACAACUUCUCAUCCUUUAUCUCACAUGCCAAAUUUUGCAUAAUGUUGCAAAAUUGUUAUUUCUAUUUUUUUCACACUUUUCAAUCUUCCUUCUUCCGUGAUCAAUUAAAUGCAUUAUUUACACCUUGAAAUCACUAUAGAACGUACAAAAGAAGGUUAGUUAUCAUUGAAAGAGCAAUAAUAUGUCAAUUAGAUAUUUUAAGCAUAAUACUACUUGGAAGAUGUGAAAUUUAUGAGAAUUACGAUAUCAAAUAUGCUCUUUUUAAGCAGUAAUAAGAUGUAACCAUAUAUUUUUAGCAAUUAGAUAAAAAGAUUUAAUGGUUUGAAAUGAUAUUGUAGAUUUUUUUCAUAAAAUUAGUAAUAUAAAAAAAUUAGUAUUUAAUGAUCCUAAGCAUCCUAUUUAAUAUUAGUUAAAUUAUAAGAAAAUUAAAUAAAAAUUUAAAGUUGAAAGAAGUAGAGCCUUAACUCUCUUGUUGUUGAAGGUGUUUAGUUUUUUGAGAAUAAAGAGUUAGGGCUUGCAUAGAAAUUAUUUUUUAAAAUAAUAUUUUAUUCUCUAUAACAAAAAAGCUUUUAUAACUUAAAAAACAUGUUUACCAAAUUUUUAACAACAAAUAUUUUUUUAAGAAUUUGUUUUGAAAGUAAAUUGUUUUUUAUAUUAAAUUUGAGGUGUUUUCCAUUGUUUUUUGUAGAACAUUCUAAAUAAUAAUUGAAAAUAUAAAGAAUAUUUUAAAAUGCAAUAAUAAUAAUAAUAAUAAUAAUAAUAAAUAUAAUUAAGGAGGGGAGGAUGAGUUUGAAGUAGAUAAUAAUAAUAAUAAUUAAGGAGGGGAAGAUGGGUUUGAAGUAGAGAAUAGGGUUCCCUUCCUUCCCCCUCGACCUUGAUUACUCAUCCCUACCUAAUUAGGGAUAGAUCCUCGCGAAGAUCCACGUUGAUGGGUAUUUUCGUUACCUCUAUUAAAAGCAUCUCCUAAUAUUUGGAAGCAUAUUUGAAAAUCACAUUAAAAAUUCAAAAAUUACUUCUGAACAAUUACUUCAUAGGUGACCAAUUCUUCCAAAAAUCCAUUUUUUGUAAUAUUUAGUUUACAUCAAAACACUAAGUGGUUCUCAUAAAAAUAUUUCUAAUGAGAGCAAUACUAUUAAAAGCAUUAUAUACUAAGAGCUCGCUUGAGUAAUUUGGAAAGAAGUUAACUAAAAAUGCUUCCUUACAAAAAUUAUUUGUUCAAAAAUUUUUUUACUAAGAUAUUUUGGCUACUAGCAAGAUCAAAACUAAAUAAACCCUUAACCAAUUGUAAUGAUCUGACCACCCACUUUCCCUUGUAUAGAAAUUGGUCCUCACCGGAUUAAUUAUAUAUGUAUUGUUAGGAUUCUCACAUAAAUGUGUGGGAUCGAAUUUAAUACUAUUUAUAAUGAUCUAUUCCAUCUCAUGUAGGGAUAGUCUACUCUAGGUAUAAUAUGCUCAUAUUACUAUAAAAUAUGACAACAUAGUUUAGAGGACUGAUAUAUAUGGGAUAUCAAACCAAUUUAUAUUUAUACGAGGGGCUAAUGAAACAUAUCAAAUGAUGGUUUUGAAUACCCAUAUAUUUGGAUCCCAUAUAAAUGUUUAUGGUACAAGAUAUCACCAUUGAAGUAUUUGGUAAAAUAACUAGAAUGUAUAAGAAAUUACUUAGAAAAUUUUAUGAAUUUGGAUGGAUAUACAUAAUCCUCAACAAAACAUUCAUUAUAUAAUAUCAUCUCACAUAAGUAAGAAUAAUAUUAAUAAAGUAGAAGGUGCACAAAUUCCUAAAUUAACACACAUUUUAGAUCAUAGUCAGUUGACUUGUAGCAACUUAUAGUGUUCAAUCUUUGGAACAAAACAUACUAAAGAUAUCUAACUUAUUUAUUAAAAAAAAAAAAAAUCAAGACAUCUAGAGAUAAAAAUCCUUCUAUAGUCGAUUUAAAUAAAGGAAACAUCAUUAGCAGACAUUUUUCUACCACAAAUGUUAAUCUAUGCAUCUCCUCAAAAUAAAAAGUCCAACAUACCUAAAAAAGGACAUUAAGAACAAAGGCCUUUCGAAGAUGUAAUAAUAUACAUGCACAAAAAAAAAAAAAAAGCAAUUGAAGGCAGUGUUUCACUCACAUAGACUAUGUAGAAAAAACAAACACCUCUUCCUUGUUUUGCAUACGGAAAAUGAAAUCAGUCUUCUUCAAAAUCCUCCUCCCUAAGAUCUGAAUUGAUAGAAUCCGAUUUUUCAGAAUCUUCCUCUUUAUAACCCUGAGCAUUUUGCAAACAAAGAGCCUCAUAUUAGGUAGGAAAGAUGAAAAUUACAAUGAUGAAAGUUAACAUAAUUAGGACUAAAAUUAAUUUGGAUUGGAGGGUGAAUCAUAGAAUGCUAGAUCAAACUAAUGCUUCAUAUUAUCCUUGUGUUCUCUGAAAGUGAUAUUAUUUAUUUAAUGCAUAUUCUUAGGUUACAUUUAGGUAACAAUAUUGAUAAAGAUUAUAAAUUGUCUUAAGUAUUAACUAGUUCUUCUAUAUAAAAAUGAGACCCUCUAUGUAGAAUCUUGGUGAAGAACUUCAAAUAUUGUCUACCUUUAACUUUUAAAAAAAGGAAAAAUAUUGUCAUGACUAGUAAUAUCCUAUAUUAGAUAGAAAAAGUUUCUAUAACUGUAUGGUGGAUUUCUCUUAACUAGAUAGAUGAUUUUUAAUGGUGUGAGAGCUCAUUAGGACCAAAGUGGAUAAUAUUUACAUAACAAGAACAAAUUGCACAAAAGAUAUUAGAGUUAAUCUCUAAGCUUAGGAUGAGAUGAGGUCAUUACAUGACCAUUUAAAUUAUUUUUUUCUAAAUGCUCUAUGUUUUUGUUAACAAAAUCAAAGAUGAUAAAAGACUACACAAUUGAAAAUUCUAUAGGCUUGUUUUGUGUCUUUUCUUCAUACAAAAUAAAUUAAGAAUUUUUUUGGGAGUGAUUUUGAAAGGUGUUAAUAAUACUUCAUAAUGCUUGAAAACAUUUCUUAUAAAAAUUAGGUGUUUGACAAAAUUUUGAAAGUGGUAAAAAGUAUGAAGUGAUGAUUCCUGGACAAUAACUUCAUAAAAAAAAUCAUUUUGCUGUUAUAUAAAACAAUACUAUGAAAACAUUUUUUUUAGUUUAUAUCCAAACACGAAGUGAUUCUUUUUAAAAAUGUUUAUAAGGGAAAUGUUAUUAACAAAAAUGUUAAAGAUAAAGACAUUUUAAGUAGAAUAACCCCAAAUAACUUUUAAGACAAAUAAGAUUAAAGUAGUAUUUACUAUAUUUAUAGAAUAGCCAAGGAAAAGAUGAUAUUAAGAGUAUAAAGAAUUAGUUAGGGGAAUUACUCCAUUCAUACCUGUUCCAUGAACAUCUUGCGUAUGGUGGUAUUCAGGUCAUCCUGCCAACAUUCUUCGAAAAAUUCAUUUUGUACACUUUUUAGCCUUGGUGCGUCUAAGACUCCCUUGUAGAAAAAUUCCAUCCCACGACAUUCUCUCACCUUCAUUCUUUCCAAGGAUGGGAAUUUGAAGACAUAUCUUGUUGAUGAGCAAAAGCUUUUUAGAUUUGGCAAAUGAUGAAGUGUCAAACUCUUUAAUCUGGUGAACUCAAUCUCAUUAUCUAUUAGUUCAUGUCCAUCAUUUCCCACUAUUUCUACUUGGAUAACCUCAUUCAUUGAAUCACACAUAUCCACCUCUAGUUCUUCUAGAUUAUGUAGUAUUUGAACCAUAUUUGAGGGAAUCACAACCGAAAUACCUUGACACUGUUCUAUAUUCAAAUAGCUUAACUUCGAAAAAGACACCCUUGAAAAUUGGCCUCGCCAUAUCUCCACAGUGCCCUUUAAGUUCAAUGUUAGUUCUUCCAAAUUAGGAAAUGCUUCCUGGCAAACCAAAUUACAUAAGAGGAAUGACAUUUCAUUUAUGUGAUUUUUUUUAAUAAAUAAAUAAGUUAUAUAUACACACAUAUACAACAAUCCUCUUUGAGCUUGCAAAUAGCUCAAUAAAUGAUAAAAAUAAACAAGCCUUCAAGUUCAAACUCAUGACCACUUGAAAAAUAAGGCUAUGAUAUCAUAGUAAAUAUAAAAAACUGUAAAUCAAGUUCAUUUUAUCAACAAACCUAACAUUUAUAUAUUUAAUAAUUAUAUUUCCUUCUUGAUCAAAGAGCUAUUAGGAGAAAAUAAGUAAACACUAUUAUUGGUAUUAUUAUUAUAAUUGUUGUUGUUGUUUUUCAUAUAAGGCUUAAUGAACUACUGUAACUAAAUAAUCAAGGUACACUUUGACAAAGUUUUGAUGCACUGUGGCUAAAAAUAGAUUGGAUCAAUAUGGCACGUUAAUUCAAAUAAAACAUCAACAUUUUUUUUUUUUGUUAAAUUCUAAAUAAACACCACUAUAAAUUAAUGCAGUUUUGUAUGAAAUUCAAUUAAAUAAACUCGUUCUUAAGGCAUCACAUGAAGUGUUUAAGUCUAAUUAAUAUUAAUUAAAAAUGAUUAUAUUAAAAAAAUCCAAAGUAAUUUAUUUUUAUCAUAAGUCAAGUAGGAUAGUUUUAUAAAUAAACUGUUCUAGUUUCUAGUAUAAUUGUACACAAUCGCUAUGUUUGUUGCACCUCCAAAAAAUCUACUACUUGUAAUUAAUUGUAUAUUAUUCUCCAUAUUCACAUCAAUUUAUGUAGUAUGAUUAAUUUAGCAACAAAAUAUAAGUUUACUUGAAAUCGCUUUAAAUUCCUAUGAUAUUAAAGUUUAAGAUUAAAAUAAUGUAACACUAGUUAAAAAGAUUAAGAUCUAUAAUGUAACAUAUAAAAUUUAGAAAAUUCAAGGAAGGGUAAACUCGCACCUGUUCUACCCAGAAGAGUGGCUCAAGUUCACAUUCCAAACUUUUUUGUUGAAAGAGUAUCUCCACUUCAUCACAUUCGUGCACUUUCAAUUUUUUUAGAAGUGGCCAGCUUGAACUAAACCUUCCAGAGCAAAAUCUUUUGAGUUGGUGUAAACCACAGAGUUUGAGAGAGGUAAGGUUAGGGAAUAAGAGUAGCGGUACUGCUUCAUCUUCAUUUUCAUUGGAAACAAUUGCCUCCACUUCACCCCCCCAUAUAUGUAGUUCCUCAAGUUGCACAAGAGCACUCGCCACAGAAAGCGGAAAAAGAUUUAGCAAUUUGUUGCAUCCAAUUACUUUCAAUUUCCUUAAUUUGGAAAACGAAUUUGCUGGAAGUUGGUCAGACCACAAUGCUCUUAUAUUAUCUAGUUCUCGUACAUACAGGGACUCCAAGCCUGGGAAUGCAACCUGUGCAAUUGAUGAUCCCUUUGGUUAAUAAAAUAUACAUAUACAUUCCUAAUAAUUAGACACAUGUAAAUAGAAAAUAAGAGGUUAAAGGAGAAUAUAUCAGUAUAACAAAGCAUAAAAUUUAAACUAGAUUGAAGAAGAUCAAGAAAGAGAAAAGAAAAGAAAAGAAAAGAAAAAGCCUCCAAAUUUUGAAGAUCCAAUGAAACUUAAAAAAAAAAAAAAAAAACCUCCAAAUUUUGCUUUGGAAAUGAGGUAAUAAGAGGAUUUUUUUUUCUUUUUUCUUUGCCUCUCUUUCAAAUUUGAUUAACUUCUAUGGAAAACGUAUUUUAACUAGGCAUGGAAAACGGAUUUUUUUUUUAACUUUUAUAUAAGAUACAAGUAAUACUUUAAAAAAAUUUUGAUAUCUAAAAAAAUUUUUGAAAAAUUAUUUUUAAAGAUAUAAGGUAAAUCUAUACUUUUUGAAUAAGAUGUUCUACCUUUAUAUACAAAUUUCUGAUUUUUUUUUUUUUUAAAGUGUAUCCAAAUGGACACUAAACUAUCUAGUUUUUAAUUGUUACAACUUUGAAUUGGAUUUUAUGGUAAACUAAUUUACAAUAUAAUGCAUGGAUUCAUCUUAGAUUCCAUCUAUAAAUUUUUUUAAUUAUCUAAUAUAAGACAUUAUAUUAAUGGGUUGAAUUAAUAAUGUAAUUAUAAUUUAUUUGGCAACUUUCUUCCUUCAAAUAUAUAAAAUGAAAAUAAAUUUUAAAAAAUAAAAAAAAUGAAAAAAAUAAAAAAAAUAAAAAAAGCUUUUUUUUUUUAUAGUUUUUCUAAGAUGAUUUUGUAGAGUACUGUUAGUUUAUAGUUUUAACUUUAUUUAUUGAGGUAUGUUCUUUUUUGAAACUCUUGUUUAGAUUUUAUAGAGCAUAUAAAUUUUAAGAAAAAAAAUGAAAUUUAAAUAAAAUAAGAAUAAAGAAAGGCAAAAGGUGGAUGAAUUUUUUUAAGGCAAAAGUUUGAUAACUUGGCACUAUCAUGUAAUGGGUGAAAUUUUUAAAUACUCAACAAAGGCUAGUGAAAUUUAAAUUAAAAGCUUGACAUGUACUUUUUCGACCAAAAUCUUUGGAGUUGGUGUAAAGUUUUGAGUAUGAGAGAGGUUAGUCUAGGGAAUACUAUUGCACAUUAGUUCAAAUAAAACAUCAACAUUUUUUUUUGUUAAAUUCUAAAUGAAAACCACUAUAAAUUAAUGCGAUUUUGUAUGCUCAAUUAAAUAAACUCGUUCUUAAGGCAUCACAUGAAGUGUUUAAGUCUAAUUAAUAUUAAUUAAAAAUGAUUAUAUUAAAAAAAAUCCAAAGUAAUUUAUUUUUAUCAUAAGUCAAGUAGGAUAGUUUUAUAAAUAAUUGGUUCUAGUUUCUGGUAUUAUUGUACACAAUCGCUAUGUUUGUUGCACCUCAAAAAAAUCUACUACUUGUAAUUAAUUGUAUAUUAUUCUCCAUAUUCACAUCAGUUUAUGUAGUAUGAUUAAUUUAGCAACAAAAUAUAAGUUUACUUGAAAUCGCUUUAAAUUCCUAUGAUAUUAAAGUUUAAGAUUAAAACAAUGUAACAUUAGCCAAAAAGAUUAAGAUCUAUAAUGUAACAUAUAAAAUUUAGAAAAUUCAAGGAAGGGUAAACUCGCACCUGUUCUACCCAGAAGAGUGGCUCAAGUUCACAUUCAGAAUUUAUUUGUUGAAAGAGUAUCUCCACUUUAUCACAAUCGAGCACUUCCAAUUCUUUCAGAAGUGGCCAACUUGAACUAAACCUUCUAGAGCAAAAUCUUUUGAGUUGGUGUAAACCAGAGAGAGUGAGAGAGGUAAGGUUAGGGAAUAAGAGUAAAGGUGCUGCUUCAUCUUUAUUUUCAUUGGCAACAAUUGCCUCCACUCCACUCUCCGAUAUAUAUAGGUAAUCAAGUUGCACAAGAGCACUCGCCACAGAAACCGGAAAAAGGUUUAGCAAUUUGUUGCAUCCCCUUACUUGCAAUUUCCUUAAUUUGGAAAAUGAAUUUGCUGGAAGUUGGUCAGGCCACAAUGCUCUUAUAUUAUCUAGUCCACGUACAGACAAGGACUCCAAGCCUGGGAGUGCAACCUGUGCAAUUGAUGAUCCCUUUAGUUAAUAAUAUAUACAUAUACAUUCCUAAUAAUUAGACACAUGUAAAUAGAAAAUAAGAGGUUAAAGGAGAAUAUAUCAGUAUAACAAAGCACAAAAUUUAAACUAGAUUCAAGAAGAUCAAGAAAGAGAAAAGAAAAGAAAAAGCCUCCAGAUUUUGAAGAUACAAUGAAACUUAAAAAAAAAAAAAAAAAACCUCCAAAUUUUCCUUUCGAAAUGAGGUAAUAAGAGGAUUUUUCUUUGCCUCUCUUUCAAAUUUGAUUAACUUCUAUGGAAAACGUAUUUUAACUAGUUAUGGAAAACAUAUUUUUUUUUUUAAACUUUUAUAUAAGAUACAAGUAAUACUUUAAAAAAAUUGUGACAUCUAAAAAAUUUUUUGAAAAAUUAUUUUUAAAGAAAUAAGGUAAAUCUAUACUUUUUGUAUAAGAUGUUCUACCUUUAUAUACAAAUUUCUGAUUUUUUUUUUUUAAAGUGUAUCCAAAUGGACACUAAACUAUCUAGUUUUUAAUUGUUACAACUUUGAAUUGCAUUUUAUGGUAAACUAAUUUACAAGUUAAUGCAUGGAUUCAUCUUAGAUUCCAUCUAUAAAUUUUUUUAAUUAUCUAAUAUAAGACAUUAUAUUAAUGGGUUGAAUUAAUAAUGUAAUUAUAAUUUAUUUGGCAACUUUCUUCCUUCAAAUAUAUAAAAUGAAAAUAAAUUUUAAAAAAUAAAAAAAAAAUGAAAAACAUAAAAAAUAAAAAAAGAUUUUUUUUUAUAGUUUUUCUAAGAUGAUUUUGUAGAGUACUGUUAGUUUAUAGUUUUAACUUUAUUUCAUUUUACUUUUAACUUUAUUUAUUGAGGUAUGUUCUUUUUUGAAACUCUUGUUUAGAUUUUAUAGAGAAUAUAAAUUUUAAGAAAAAAAAUGAAAUUUAAAUAAAAUAAGAAUAAAGAAAGGCAAAAGGUGGAUGAAUUUUUUUAAGGCAAAAGUUUGAUAACUUGGCACUAUCAUGUAAUGGGUGAAAUUUUUAAAUACUCAACAAAGGCUAGUGAAAUUUAAAUUAAAAGCUUGAUAUGUACUUUUUCGACCAAAAUCUUUGGAGUUGGUGUAAAGUUUUGAGUAUGAGAGAGGUUAGUCUAGGGAAUACUAUUGCACAUUAGUUCAAAUAAAACAUCAACAUUUUUUUUUGUUAAAUUCUAAAUGAACACCACUAUAAAUUAAUGCGAUUUUGUAUGCUCAAUUAAAUAAACUCGUUCUUAAGGCAUCACAUGAAGUGUUUAAGUCUAAUGAAUAUUAAUUAAAAAUGAUUAUAUUAAAAAAAUCCAAAGUAAUUUAUUUUUAUCAUAAGUCAAGUAGGAUAGUUUUAUAAAUAAACUGUUCUAGUUUCUAGUAUAAUUGUACACAAUCGCUAUGUUUGUUGCACCUCCAAAAAAUCUACUACUUGUAAUUAAUUGUAUAUUAUUCUCCAUAUUCACAUCAGUUUAUGUAGUAUGAUUAAUUUAGCAACAAAAUAUAAGUUUACUUGAAAUCGCUUUAAAUUCCUAUGAUAUUAAAGUUUAAGAUUAAAACAAUGUAACAUUAGCCAAAAAGACUAAGAUCUAUAAUGUAACAUAUAAAAUUUAGAAAAUUCAAGGAAGGGUAAACUCGCACCUGUUCUACCCAGAAGAGUGGCUCAAGUUCACAUUCAGAAUUUAUUUGUUGAAAGAGUAUCUCCACUUUAUCACAAUCGAGCACUUCCAAUUCUUUCAGAAGUGGCCAGCUUGAACUAAACCUUCUAGAGCAAAAUCUUUUCAGUUGGUGUAAACCGGAGAGUGUGAGAGAGGUAAGGUUAGGGAAUAAGAGUAAAGGUGCUGCUUCAUCUUCAUUUUCAUUGGCAACAAUUGCCUCCACUCCACUCUCCGAUAUAUAUAGGUCCUCAAGAUGCACAAGAGCACUCGCCACAGAAACCGGAAAAAGGUUUAGCAGUUUGUUGCAUCCCCUUACUUGCAAUUUCCUUAAUUUGGAAAAUGAAUUUGCUGGAAGUUGGUCAGGCCACAAUGCUCUUAUAUUAUCUAGUCCGCGUACAGACAAGGACUCCAACCCUGGGAGUGCAACCUCUGCAAUUGAUGAUCCCUUUAGUUAAUAAUAUAUACAUAUACAUUCCUAAUAAUUAGACACAUGUAAAUAGAAAAUAAGAGGUUAAAGGAGAAUAUAUCAGUAUAACAAAGCACAAAAUUUAAACUAGAUUCAAGAAGAUCAAGAAAGAGAAAAGAAAAGAAAAAGCCUCCAGAUUUUGAAGAUACAAUGAAACUUAAAAAAAAAAAAAAAAACCUUCAAAUUUUCCUUUCGAAAUGAGCUAAUAAGAGGAUUUUUUUUUUCUUUUUUCUUUGCAUCUCUUUCAAAUUUGAUUAACUUCUAUGGAAAACGUAUUUUAACUAGUUAUGGAAAACGGAUAUUUUUUUUUUAACUUUUAUAUAAGAUACAAGUAAUACUUUAAAAAAAUUGUGAUAUCUAAAUAAUUUUUUGAAAAAUUAUUUUGAAAGAAAUAAGGUAAAUCUAUACUUUUUGUAUAAGAUGUUCAACCUUUAUAUACAAAUUUCUAAUUUUUUUUUUUAAAGUGUAUCCAAAUGGACACUAAACUAUCUAGUUUUUAAUUGUUACAACUUUGAAUUGGAUUUUAUGGUAAACUAAUUUACAAGUUAAUGCAUGGAUUCAUCUUAGAUUCCAUCUAUAAAUUUUUUUAAUUAUCUAAUAUAAGACAUUAUAUUAAUGGGUUGAAUUAAUAAUGUAAUUAUAAUUUAUUUGGCAACUUUCUUCCUUCAAAUAUAUAAAAUGAAAAUAAAUUUUAAAAAAUAAAAAAAAUGAAAAAAAUAAAAAAUAAAAAAAGAUUUUUUUUAUAGUUUUUCUAAGGUGAUUUUGUAGAGUAUUGUUAGUUUAUAGUUUUAACUUUAUUUCAUUUUACUUUUAACUUUAUUUAUUGAGGUAUGUUCUUUUUUGCAACUCUUGUUUAGAUUUUAUAGAGAAUAUAAAUUUUAAGAAAAAAAAUGAAAUUUAAAUAAAAUAAGAAUAAAGAAAGGCAAAAGGUGGAUGAAUUUUCUUAAGGCAAAAGUUUGAUAACUUGGCACUAUCAUGUAAUGGGUGAAAUUUUUAAAUACUCAACAAAGGCUAGUGAAAUUUAAAUUAAAAGCUUGACAUGUACCUUUUCGACCAAAAUCUUUGGAGUUGGUGUAAAGUUUUGAGUAUGAGAGAGGUUAGUAUAGGGAAUAUUAUUGCACAUUAGUUCAAAUAAAACAUCAACAUUUUUUUUUGUUAAAUUCUAAAUGAACACCACUAUAAAUUAAUGCGAUUUUGUAUGCUCAAUUAAAUAAACUCGUUCUUAAGGCAUCACAUGAAGUGUUUAAGUCUAAUUAAUAUUAAUUAAAAAUGAUUAUAUUAAAAAAAAUCCAAAGUAAUUUAUUUUUAUCAUAAGUCAAGUAGGAUAGUUUUAUAAAUAAUUGGUUCUAGUUUCUAGUAUUAUUGUACACAAUCGCUAUGUUUGUUGCACCUCCAAAAAAUCUACUACUUGUAAUUAAUUGUAUAUUAUUCUCCAUAUUCACAUCAGUUUAUGUAGUAUGAUUAAUUUAGCAACAAAAUAUAAGUUUACUUGAAAUCGCUUUAAAUUCCUAUGAUAUUAAAGUUUAAGAUUAAAACAAUGUAACAUUAGCCAAAAAGAUUAAGAUCUAUAAUGUAACAUAUAAAAUUUAGAAAAUUCAAGGAAGGGUAAACUCGCACCUGUUCUACCCAGAAGAGUGGCUCAAGUUCACAUUCAGAAUUUAUUUGUUGAAAGAGUAUCUCCACUUUAUCACAAUCGAGCACUUCCAAUUCUUUCAGAAGUGGCCAGCUUGAACUAAACCUUCUAGAGCAAAAUCUUUUGAGUUGGUGUAAACCGGAGAGUGUGAGAGAGGUAAGGUUAGGGAAUGAGAGUAAAGGUGCUGCUUCAUCUUCAUUUUCAUUGGCAACAAUUGCCUCCACUCCACUCUCCGAUAUAUAAAGGUCCUCAAGUUGCACAAGAGCACUCGCCACAGAAACCGGAAAAAGGUUUAGCAAUUUGUUGCAUCCCCUUCCUUGCAAUUUCCUUAAUUUGGAAAAUGAAUUUGCUGGAAGUUGGUCAGGCCACAAUGCUCUUAUAUUAUCUAGUCCACGUACAGACAAGGACUCCAAGCCUGGGAGUGCAACCUGUGCAAUUGAUGAUCCCUUUAGUUAAUAAUAUAUACAUAUACAUUCCUAAUAAUUAGACACAUGUAAAUAGAAAAUAAGAGGUUAAAGGAGAAUAUAUCAGUAUAACAAAGCACAAAAUUUAAACUAGAUUCAAGAAGAUCAAGAAAGAGAAAAGAAAAGAAAAAGCCUCCAGAUUUUGAAGAUACAAUGAAACUUAAAAAAAAAAAAAAAAAAACUUCCAAAUUUUCCUUUCGAAAUGAGGUAAUAAGAGGAUUUUUUUUUUCUUUUUUCUUUGCCUCUCUUUCAAAUUUGAUUAACUUCUAUGGAAAACGUAUUUUAACUAGUUAUGGAAAACCGAUUUUUUUUUUUUUAACUUUUAUAUAAGAUACAAGUAAUACUUUAAAAAAAUUGUGAUAUCUAAAUAAUUUUUUGAAAAAUUAUUUUUAAAGAAAUAAGGUAAAUCUAUACUUUUUGUACAAGAUGUUCUACCUUUAUAUACAAAUUUCUGAUUUUUUUUUUAAAAGUGUAUCCAAAUGGACACUAAACUAUCUAGUUUUUAAUUGUUACAACUUUGAAUUGGAUUUUAUGGUAAACUAAUUUACAAGUUAAUGCAUGGAUUCAUCUUAGAUUCCAUCUAUAAAUUUUUUUAAUUAUCUAAUAUAAGACAUUAUAUUAAUGAGUUGAAUUAAUAAUGUAAUUAUAAUUUAUUUGGCAACUUUCUUCCUUCAAAUAUAUAAAAUGAAAAUAAAGUUUAAAAAAUAAAAAAAAUGAAAAAAAUAAAAAAUAAAAAAUGAUUUUUUUUAUAGUUUUUCUAAGAUGAUUUUGUAGAGUACUGUUAGUUUAUAGUUUUAACUUUAUUUCAUUUUACUUUUAACUUUAUUUAUUGAGGUAUGUUCUUUUUUGAAACUCUUGUUUAGAUUUUAUAGAGAAUAUAAAUUUUAAGAAAAAAAAUGAAAUUUAAAUAAAAUAAGAAUAAAGAAAGGCAAAAGGUGGAUGAAUUUUUUUAAGGCAAAAGUUUGAUAACUUGGCACUAUCAUGUAAUGGGUGAAAUUUUUAAAUACUCAACAAAGGCUAGUGAAAUUUAAAUUAAAAGCUUGACAUGUACCUUUUCGACCAAAAUCUUUGGAGUUGGUGUAAAGUUUUGAGUAUGAGAGAGGUUAGUCUAGGGAAUAUUAUUGCACAUUAGUUCAAAUAAAACAUCAACAUUUUUUUUUUGUUAAAUUCUAAAUGAACACCGCUAUAAAUUAAUGCGAUUUUGUAUGCUCAAUUAAAUAAACUUGUUCUUAAGGCAUCACAUGAAGUGUUUAAGUCUAAUUAAUAUUAAUUAAAAAUGAUUAUAUUAAAAAAAAUCCAAAGUAAUUUAUUUUUAUCAUAAGUCAAGUAGGAUAGUUUUAUAAAUAAUUGGUUCUAGUUUCUAGUACUAUUGUACACAAUCGCUAUGUUUGUUGCACCUCCAAAAAAUCUACUACUUGUAAUUAAUUGUAUAUUAUUCUCCAUAUUCACAUCAGUUUAUGUAGUAUGAUUAAUUUAGCAACAAAAUAUAAGUUUACUUGAAAUCGCUUUAAAUUCCUAUGAUAUUAAAGUUUAAGAUUAAAACAAUGUAACAUUAGCCAAAAAGAUUAAGAUCUAUAAUGUAACAUAUAAUAUUUAGAAAAUUCAAGGAAGGGUAAACUCGCACCUGUUCUACCCAGAAGAGUGGCUCAAGUUCACAUUCAUAAUUUAUUUGUUGAAAGAGUAUCUCCACUUUAUCACAAUCGAGCACUUCCAAUUCUUUCAGAAGUGGCCAGCUUGAACUAAACCUUCUAGAGAAAAAUCUUUUGAGUUGGUGUAAACCGGAGAGUGUAAGAGAGGUAAGGUUAGGGAAUAAGAGUAAAAGUGCUGCUUCAUCUUCAUUUUCAUUGGCAACAAUUGCCUCCACUCCACUUUCCGAUAUAUAUAGGUCCUCAAGUUGCACAAGAGCACUCGCCACAGAAACCGGAAAAAGGUUUAGCAAUUUGUUGCAUCCCCUUACUUGCAAUUUCCUUAAUUUGGAAAAUGAAUUUGCUGGAAGUUGGUCAGACCACAAUGCUCUUAUAUUAUCUAGUCCGCGUACAGACAAGGACUCCAAACCUGGGAGUGCAACCUGUGCAAUUGAUGAUCCCUUUAGUUAAUAAUAUAUACAUAUACAUUCCUAAUAAUUAGACACAUGUAAAUAGAAAAUAAGAGGUUAAAGGAGAAUAUAUCAGUAUAACAAAGCACAAAAUUUAAACUAGAUUCAAGAAGAUCAAGAAAGAGAAAAGAAAAGAAAAAGCCUCCAGAUUUUGAAGAUACAAUGAAACUUAACAAAAAAAAAAAAAAACCACCAAAUUUUCCUUUCGAAAUGAGGUAAUAAGAGGAUUUUUUUUUUUUCUUUUUUCUUUGCCUCUCUUUCAAAUUUGAUUAACUUCUAUGGAAAACGUAUUUUAACUAGUUAUGGAAAACAUAUUUUUUUUUUAAAAAACUUUUCUAUAAGAUACAAGUAAUACUUUAAAAAAAUUGUGAUAUCUAAAAAAUUUUUUGAAAAAUUAUUUUUAAAGAAAUAAGGUAAAUCUAUACUUUUUGUAUAAGAUGUUCUACCUUUAUAUACAAAUUUCUGAUUUUUUUUUUAAAAGUGUAUCCAAAUGGACACUAAACUAUCUAGUUUUUAAUUGUUACAACUUUGAAUUGGAUUUUAUGGUAAACUAAUUUACAAGUUAAUGCAUGGAUUCAUCUUAGAUUCCAUCUAUAAAUUUUUUUAAUUAUCUAAUAUAAGACAUUAUAUUAAUGGGUUGAAUUAAUAAUGUAAUUAUAAUUUAUUUGGCAAGUUUCUUCCUUCAAAUAUAUAAAAUGAAAAUAAAUUUUAAAAAAUAAAAAAAAUGAAAAAAAUAAAAAAUAAAAAAAGAUUUUUUUUAUAGUUUUUCUAAGAUGAUUUUGUAGAGUACUGUUAGUUUAUAGUUUUAACUUUAUUUCAUUUUACUUUUAACUUUAUUUAUUGAGGUAUGUUCUUUUUUGAAACUCUUGUUUAGAUUUUAUAGAGGAUAUAAAUUUUCAGAAAAAAAAAAUUAAAUUUAAAUAAAAUAGGAAUAAAGAAAGGCAAAAGGUGGAUGAAUUUUUUUAAGGCAAAAGUUUGAUAACUUGGCACUAUCAUGUAAUGGGUGAAAUUUUUAAAUACUCAACAAAGGCUAGUGAAAUUUAAAUUAAAAGCUUGACAUGUACCUUUUCGACCAAAAUCUUUGGAGUUGGUGUAAAGUUUUGAGUAUGAGAGAGGUUAGUCUAGGGAAUAUUAUUGCACAUUAGUUCAAAUAAAACAUCAACAUUUUUUUUUUUGUUAAAUUCUAAAUGAACACCACUAUAAAUUAAUGCGAUUUGUAUGCUCAAUUAAAUAAACUCGUUCUUAAGGCAUCACAUGAAGUGUUUAAGUCUAAUUAAUAUUAAUUAAAAAUGAUUAUUUUAAAAAAAUCCAAAGUAAUUUAUUUUUAUCAUAAGUCAAGUAGGAUAGUUUUAUAAAUAAUUGGUUCUAGUUUCUAGUAUUAUUGUACACAAUCGCUAUGUUUGUUGCACCUCCAAAAAAUCUACUACUUGUAAUUAAUUGUAUAUUAUUCUCCAUAUUCACAUCAGUUUAUGUAGUAUGAUUAAUUUAGCAACAAAAUAUAAGUUUACUUGAAAUCGCUUUAAAUUCCUAUGAUAUUAAAGUUUAAGAUUAAAACAAUGUAACAUUAGCCAAAAAGACUAAGAUCUAUAAUGUAACAUAUAAAAUUUAGAAAAUUCAAGGAAGGGUAAACUCGCACCUGUUCUACCCAGAAGAGUGGCUCAAGUUCACAUUCAGAAUUUAUUUGUUGAAAGAGUAUCUCCACUUUAUCACAAUCGAGCACUUCCAAUUCUUUCAGAAGUGGCCAGCUUGAACUAAACCUUCUAGAGCAAAAUCUUUUGAGUUGGUGUAAACCGGAGAGUGUGAGAGAGGUAAGGUUAGGGAAUGAGAGUAAAGGUGCUGCUUCAUCUUCAUUUUCAUUGGCAACAAUUGCCUCCACUCCACUCUCCGAUAUAUAAAGGUCCUCAAGUUGCACAAGAGCACUCGCCACAGAAACCGGAAAAAGGUUUAGCAAUUUGUUGCAUCCCCUUACUUGCAAUUUCCUUAAUUUGGAAAAUGAAUUUGCUGGAAGUUGGUCAGGCCACAAUGCUCUUAUAUUAUCUAGUCCGCGUACAGACAAGGACUCCAAACCUGGGAGUGCAACCUGUGCAAUUGAUGAUCCCUUUAGUUAAUAAUAUAUACAUAUACAUUCCUAAUAAUUAGACACAUGUAAAUAGAAAAUAAGAGGUUAAAGGAGAAUAUAUCAGUAUAACAAAGCACAAAAUUUAAACUCUAUUCAAGAAGAUCCAGAAAGAGAAAAGAAAACGCCUUUUGAUUUUGAAGAUCCAAUGAAACUUUAAAAAAAAAAAAAAAAACCUCCAAAUUUUGCUUUCCAAAUGAGGUAAUAGGAGGAUAUUUUUAUUUUAUUUUUUCUUUGCCUCUCUUUCAAAUUUGAUUAACUUCCAUGGAAAACGUAUUUUAACUAGCCAUGGAAAAUGGAUUUUUUUUUUAAAACUUUUAUAUAAGAUACAAGAACUCUUAGAGGGUUACAUUAUGUAAGUAAUACUUUAAAAAAAAUGUUUAAAAAUAUUGUGAUAUCCAAAAAUUUUACUACCUCGGAUUUUAAAUUUUAAAAAAAUUAUUUUUAAAGAAAUAAGGUAAAUCUAUACUUUUUCGUAUAAGAUAUUCUACCUUUAUAUACAAAUUUCUGAUUUUUUUUUUAAAGUGUAUCCAAAUGGACACUAAACUAUCUAGUUUCGAAUUUUUACAACUUUGAAUUGGAUUUUAUGGUAAACUAAUUGACAAUAUAACGCAUGGAUUCAUCUUAGAUUCCAUCUAUAAAUUUUUUAAUUAUCUAAUAUAAGACAUUAUAUUAAUGGGUUGAAUUAAUAAUGUAAUUAUAAUUUAUUUGGCAACUUUCUUCCUUCAAAUAUAUAAGACGAAAAUAUAUUUUAAAAAAUAAAAAAGAAUGAUAAAAAAUAGAAAAUAAAAAUAGCUUAUUUUAUUGUUUUUCUAAGAUGAUUUUGUAGAGUGUUAGUUUAUAGUUUAACUUUAUUUCAUUUUACUUUUAACAUUAUUUAUUGAGGUAUGUUCUUUUUUGAAACUCUUGUUUAGAUUUUAUAGAGAAUAUAAAUUUUAAGAAAAAAAAUGAAAUUUAAAUAAAAUAAGAAUAAAGAAAGGCAAAAGGUGGAUGAAUUUUUUGAAGGCAAAAGUUUGAUAAUUUGGCACUGUCAUGUAAUGGGUGAAAUUUUUAAAUACUCAACAAAGGCUAGUGAAAUUUAAAUUAAAACCUUGACAUGUACCUUUUCGACCAAAAUCUUUGGAGUUGGUGUAAAGUUUUGAGUAUGAGAGAGGUUAGUCUAGGGAAUAUUAUUGCACAUUAGUUCAAAUAAAACAUCAACAUUUUUUUUUGUUAAAUUCUAAAUGAACACCACUAUAAAUUAAUGCGAUUUUGUAUGCUCAAUUAAAUAAACUCGUUCUUAAGGCAUCACAUGAAGUGUUUAAGUCUAAUUAAUAUUAAUUAAAAAUGAUUAUAUCAAAAAAAAUCCAAAGUAAUUUUUUUUUAUCAUAAGUCAAGUAGGAUAGUUUUAUAAAUAAUUGGUUCUAGUUUCUAGUAUUAUUGUACACAAUCGCUAUGUUUGUUGCACCUCCAAAAAAUCUACUACUUGUAAUUAAUUGUAUAUUAUUCUCCAUAUUCACAUCAGUUUAUGUAGUAUGAUUAAUUUAGCAACAAAAUAUAAGUUUACUUGAAAUCGCUUUAAAUUCCUAUGAUAUUAAAGUUUAAGAUUAAAACAAUGUAACAUUAGCCAAAAAGACUAAGAUCUAUAAUGUAACAAAUAAAAUUUAGAAAAUUCAAGGCAGGGUAAACUCGCACCUGUUCUACCCAGAAGAGUGGCUCAAGUUCACAUUCAGAAUUUAUUUGUUGAAAGAGUAUCUCCACUUUAUCACAAUCGAGCACUUCCAAUUCUUUCAGAAGUAGCCAGCUUGAACUAAACCUUCUAGAGCAAAAUCUUUUGAGUUGGUGUAAACCGGAGAGUGUGAGAGAGGUAAGGUUAGGGAAUAAGAGUAAAGGUGCUGCUUCAUCUUCAUUUUCAUUGGCAACAAUUGCCUCCACUCCACUCUCCGAUAUAUAUAGGUCCUCAAGUUGCACAAGAGCACUCGCCACAGAAACCCGAAAAAGGUUUAGCAAUUUGUUGAAUCCCCUUACAUGCAAUUUCCUUAAUUUGGAAAAUGAAUUUGUUGGAAGUUGGUCAGGCCACAAUGCUCUUAUAUUAUCCAGUCCGCAUACAUACAAGGACUCCAAGCCUUGGAGUGCAACCUGUGCAAUUGAUAAUCCCUUUGGUUAAUAAUAUAUACAUAUACAUUCCUAAUGAUUAGACACAUGUAAAUAGAAAAUAAGAGGUUAAAGGAGAAUAUAUCAGUAUAACAAAGCACAAAAUUUAAACUAGAUUAAAGAAGAUCAAGAAAGAGAAAAGAAAAGAAAAAGCCUCCAGAUUUUGAAGAUACAAUGAAACUUAAAAAAAAAAAAAAAAAACCUCCAAAUUUUCCUUUCGAAAUGAGGUAAUAAGAGGAUUUUUUUUUUCUUUUUUCUUUGCCUCUCUUUCAAAUUUGAUUAACUUCUAUGGAAAACGUAUUUUAACUAGUUAUGGAAAACGGAUUUUUUUUUUUAAAAACUUUUAUAUAAGAUACAAGUAAUACUUUAAAAAAAUUGUGAUAUCUAAAAAAUUUUUUGAAAAAUUAUUUUUAAAGAAAUAAGGUAAAUCUAUACUUUUUGUAUAAGAUGUUCUACCUUUGUAUUCAAAUUUCUGAUUUUUUUUUUUUAAAGUGUAUCCAAAUGCACACUAAACUAUCUAGUUUUUAAUUGUUACAACUUUGAAUUGGAUUUUAUGGUAAACUAAUUUACAAGUUAAUGCAUAGAUUCAUCUUAGAUUCCAUCUAUAAAUUUUUUUAAUUAUCUAAUAUAAGACAGUAUAUUAAUGGGUUGAAUUAAUAAUGUAAUUAUAAUUUAUUUGGCAACUUUCUUCCUUCAAAUAUAUAAAAUGAAAAUAAAUUUUAAAAAAUAAAAAAUAAAAAAAAGAUUUUUUUUAUAGUUUUUCUAAGAUGAUUUUGUAGAGUUCUGUUAGUUUAUAGUUUUCACUUUAUUUAUUGAGGUAUGUUCUUUUUUGAAACUCUUGUUUAGAUUUUAUUGAGAAUAUAAAUUUUAAGAAAAAAAAUAAAAUUUAAAUAAAAUAAGAAUAAAGAAAGGCAAAAGCUGGAUGAAUUUUUUUAAGGCAAAAGUUUGAUAAUUUGGCACUCUCAUGUAAUGGGUGAAAUUUUUAAAUACUCAACAAAGGCUAGUGAAAUUUAAAUUAAAACCAUGACAUGUACCUUUUAGACCAAAAUCUUUGGAGUUGGUGUAAUGUUUUGAGUAUGAGAGAGGUUAGUCUAGGGAAUAUUAUUGCACAUUAGUUCAAAUAAAACAUCAACAUUUUUUUUUGUUAAAUUCUAAAUGAACACCACUAUAAAUUAAUGCGAUUUUGUAUGCUCAAUUAAAUAAACUCGUUCUUAAGGCAUCACAUGAAGUGUUUAAGUCUAAUUAAUAUUAAUUAAAAAUGAUUAUAGUAAAAAAAAUCCAAAGUAAUUUUUUUUUAUCAUAAGUCAAGUAGGAUAGUUUUAUAAAUAAUUGGUUCUAGUUUCUAGUAUUAUUGUAGACAAUCGCUAUGUUUGUUGCACCUCCAAAAAAUCUACUACUUGUAAUUAAUUGUAUAUUAUUCUCCAUAUUCACAUCAGUUUAUGUAGUAUGAUUAAUUUAGCAACAAAAUAUAAGUUUACUUGAAAUGGCUUUAAAUUCCUAUGAUAUUAAAGUUUAAGAUUAAAACAAUGUAACAUUAGCAAAAAAGAUUAAGAUCUAUAAUGUAACAAAUAAAAUUUAGAAAAUUCAAGGCAGGGUAAACUCGCACCUGUUCUACCCAGAAGAGUGGCUCAAGUUCACAUUCAGAAUUUAUUUGUUGAAAGAGUAUCUCCACUUUAUCACAAUCGAGCACUUCCAAUUCUUUCAGAAGUAGCCAGCUUGAACUAAACCUUCUAGAGCAAAAUCUUUUGAGUUGGUGUAAACCGGAGAGUGUGAGAGAGGUAAGGUUAGGGAAUAAGAGUAAAGGUGCUGCUUCAUCUUCAUUUUCAUUGGCAACAAUUGCCUCCACUCCACUCUCUGAUAUAUAUAGGUCCUCAAGUUGCACAAGAGCACUCGCCACAGAAACCCGAAAAAGGUUUAGCAAUUUGUUGAAUCCCCUUACAUGCAAUUUCCUUAAUUUGGAAAAUGAAUUUGUUGGAAGUUGGUCAGGCCACAAUGCUCUUAUAUUAUCCAGUCCGCAUACAUACAAGGACUCCAAGCCUGGGAGUGCAACCUGUGCAAUUGAUAAUCCCUUUGGUUAAUAAUAUAUACAUAUACAUUCCUAAUAAUUAGACACAUGUAAAUAGAAAAUAAGAGGUUAAAGGAGAAUAUAUCAGUAUAACAAAGCACAAAAUUUAAACUAGAUUAAAGAAGAUCAAGAAAGAGAAAAGAAAAGAAAAAGCCUCCAGAUUUUGAAGAUACAAUGAAACUUAAAAAAAAAAAAAAAAAACCUCCAAAUUUUCCUUUCGAAAUGAGGUAAUAAGAGGAUUUUUUUUUUAUUUUUUCUUUGCCUCUCUUUCAAAUUUGAUUAACUUCUAUGGAAAACGCAUUUUAACUAGUUAUGGAAAACGGAUUUUUUUUUUUUAAAACUUUUAUAUAAGAUACAAGUAAUACUUUAAAAAAAUUGUGAUAUCUAAAAAAUUUUUUGAAAAAUUAUUUUUAAAGAAAUAAGGUAAAUCUAUACUUUUUGUAUAAGAUGUUCUACCUUUGUAUUCAAAUUUCUGAUUUUUUUUUUUAAAGUGUAUCCAAAUGCACAAUAAACUACCUAGUUUUUAAUUGUUACAACUUUGAAUUGGAUUUUAUGGUAAACUAAUUUACAAGUUAAUGCAUGGAUUCAUCUUAGAUUCCAUCUAUAAAUUUUUUUAAUUAUCUAAUAUAAGACAUUAUAUUAAUGGGUUGAAUUAAUAAUGUAAUUAUAAUUUAUUUGGCAACUUUCUUCCUUCAAAUAUAUAAAAUGAAAAUAAAUUUUAAAAAAUAAAAAAAAUGAAAAAAUAAAAAAUAAAAAAAAGAUUUUUUUUAUAGUUUUUCUAAGAUGAUUUUGUAGAGUACUGUUAGUUUAUAGUUUUCACUUUAUUUAUUGAGGUAUGUUCUUUUUUGAAACUCUUGUUUAGAUUUUAUUGAGAAUAUAAAUUUUAAGAAAAAAAAUGAAAUUUAAAUAAAAUAAGAAUAAAGAAAGGCAAAAGGUGGAUGAAUUUUUUUACGGCAAAAGUUUGAUAAUUUGGCACUAUCAUGUAAUGGGUGAAAUUUUUAAAUACUCAACAAAGGCUAGUGAAAUUUAAAUUAAAACCUUGACAUGUACCUUUUAGACCAAAAUCUUUGGAGUUGGUGUAAAGUUUUGAGUAUGAGAGAGGUUAGUCUAGGGAAUAUUAUUGCACAUUAGUUCAAAUAAAACAUCAACAUUUUUUUUUGUUAAAUUCUAAAUGAACACCACUAUAAAUUAAUGCGAUUUUGUAUGCUCAAUUAAAUAAACUCGUUCUUAAGGCAUCACAUGAAGUAUUUAAGUCUAAUUAAUAUUAAUUAAAAAUGAUUAUAGUAAAAAAAAUCCAAAGUAAUUUUUUUUUAUCAUAAGUCAAGUAGGAUAGUUUUAUAAAUAAUUGGUUCUAGUUUCUAGUAUUAUUGUAGACAAUCGCUAUGUUUGUUGCACCUCCAAAAAAUCUACUACUUGUAAUUAAUUGUAUAUUAUUCUCCAUAUUCACAUCAGUUUAUGUAGUAUGAUUAAUUUAGCAACAAAAUAUAAGUUUACUUGAAAUGGCUUUAAAUUCCUAUGAUAUUAAAGUUUAAGAUUAAAACAAUGUAACAUUAGCCAAAAAGAUUAAGAUCUAUAAUGUAACAUAUAAAAUUUAGAAAAUUCAAGGAAGGGUAAACUCGCACCUGUUCUACCCAGAAGAGUGGCUCAAGUUCACAUUCAGAAUUUAUUUGUUGAAAGAGUAUCUCCACUUUAUCACAAUAGAGCACUUCCAAUUCUUUCAGAAGUGGCCAGCUUGAACUAAACCUUCUAGAGCAAAAUCUUUUGAGUUGGUGUAAACCGGAGAGUGUGAGAGAGGUAAGGUUAGGGAAUAAGAGUAAAGGUGCUGCCUCAUCUUCAUUUUCAUUGGCAACAAUUGCCUCCACUCCACUCUGAAAUAUAUUUAGGUUCUCAAGUUGCACAAGAGCACUCGCCACAGAAACCGGAAAAAGGUUUAGCAAUUUGUUGCAUCCCCUUACUUGCAAUUCCCUUAAUUUGGAAAAUGAAUUUGCUGGAAGUUGGUCAGGCCACAAUGCUCUUAUAUUAUCUAGUCCGCAUACAGAAAAGGACUCCAAGCCUGGGAGUGCAACCUGUGCAAUUGAUGAUCCCUUUAGUUAAUAAUAUAUACAUAUACAUUCCUAAUAAUUAGCACAUGUAAAUAGAAAAUAAGAGGUUAAAGGAGAAUAUAUCAGUAUAACAAAGCACAAAAUUUAAACUAGAUUCAAGAAGAUCAAGAAAGAGAAAAGAAAAGAAAAAGCCUCCAGAUUUUAAAGAUACAAUGAAACUUAAAAAAAAAAAAAAAAAACCUCCAAAUUUUCCUUUCGAAAUGAGGUAAUAAGAGGAUUUUUUUUUUUUUCUUUUUUCUUUGCCUCUCUUUCAAAUUUGAUUAACUUCUAUGGAAAACGUAUUUUAACUAGUUAUGGAAAACGGAUUUUUUUUUUAAACUUUUAUAUAAGAUACAAGUAAUACUUUUAAAAAAUUGUGAUAUCUAAAAAAGUUUUUGAAAAAUUAUUUUUAAAGAAAUAAGGUAAAUCUAUACUUUUUGUAUAAGAUCUUCUACCUUUAUAUACAAAUUUCUGAUUUUUUUUUUUAAAGUGUAUCCAAAUGGACACUAAACUAUCUAGUUUUUAAUUGUUACAACUUUGAAUUGGAUUUUAUGGUAAACUAAUUUACAAGUUAAUGCAUGGAUUCAUCUUAGAUUCCAUCUAUAAAUUUUUUUAAUUAUCUAAUAUAAGACAUUAUAUUAAUGGGUUGAAUUAAUAAUGUAAUUAUAAUUUAUUUGGCAACUUUCUUCCUUCAAAUAUAUAAAAUGAAAAUAAAUUUUAAAAAAUAAAAAAGAAUGAAAAAAAUAAAAAAUAAAAAAAGCUUUUUUUUAUAGUUUUUCUAAGAUGAUUUUGUAGAGUACUGUUAGUUUAUAGUUUUAACUUUAUUUCAUUUUACUUUUAACUUUAUUUAUUGAGGUAUGUUCUUUUUUGAAACUCUUGUUUAGAUUUUAUAGAGAAUAUAAAUUUUAAGAAAAAAAAAGGAAAUUUAAAUAAAAUAAGAAUAAAGAAAGGCAAAAGGUGGAUGAAUUUUUUUAAGGCAAAAGUUUGAUAAUUUGGCACUAUCAUGUAAUGGGUGAAAUUUUUAAAUACUCAACAAAGGCUAGUGAAAUUUAAAUUAAAAGCUUGACAUGUACCUUUUCGACCAAAAUCUUUGGAGUUGGUGUAAAGUUUUGAGUAUGAGAGAGGUUAGUCUAGGGAAUAUUAUUGCACAUUUGUUCAAAUAAAACAUCAACAUUUUUUUUUGUUAAAUUCUAAAUGAACACCACUAUAAAUUAAUGCGAUUUUGUAUGCUCAAUUAAAUAAACUCAUUCUUAAGGCAUCACAUGAAGUGUUUAAGUCUAAUUAAUAUUAAUUAAAAAUGAUUAUAUUAAAAAAAAUCCAAAGUAAUUUAUUUUUAUCAUAAGUCAAGUAGGAUAGUUUUAUAAAUAAUUGGUUCUAGUUUCUAGUAUUAUUGUACACAAUCGCUAUGUUUGUUGCACCUCCAAAAAUCUACUACUUGUAAUUAAUUGUAUAUUAUUCUCCAUAUUCACAUCAGUUUAUGUAGUAUGAUUAAUUUAGCAACAAAAUAUAAGUUUACUUGAAAUCGCUUUAAAUUCCUAUGAUAUUAAAGUUUAAGAUUAAAACAAUUUAACAUUAGCCAAAAAGAUUAAGAUCUAUAAUGUAACAUAUAAAAUUUAGAAAAUUCAAGGAAGGGUAAACUCGCACCUGUUCUACCCAGAAGAGUGGCUCAAGUUCACAUUCAGAAUUUAUUUGUUGAAAGAGUAUCUCCACUUUAUCACAAUCGAGCACUUCCAAUUCUUUCAGAAGUGGCCAACUUGAACUAAACUUUCUAGAGCAAAAUCUUUUGAGUUGGUGUAAACCGGAGAGUGUGAGAGAGGUAAGGUUAGGGAAUAAAAGUAAAAGUGCUGCUUCAUCUUCAUUUUCAUUGUGAACAAUUGCCUCCACUCCACUAUAAAAUAUAUUUAGGUUCUCAAGUUGCACAAGAGCACUCGCCACAGAAACCGGAAAAAGGUUUAGCAAUUUGUUGCAUCCCCUUACUUGCAAUUUCCUUAAUUUGGAAAAUGAAUUUGCUGGAAGUUGGUCAGGCCACAAUGCUCUUAUAUUAUCUAGUCCGCAUACAGACACGGACUCCAAGCCUGGGAGUGCAACCUGUGCAAUUGAUGAUCCCUUUAGUUAAUAAUAUAUACAUAUACAUUCCUAAUAAUUAGACACAUGUAAAUAGAAAAUAAGAGGUUAAAGGAGAAUAUAUCAGUAUAACAAAGCACAAAAUUUAAACUAGAUUGAAGAAGAUCAAGAAAGAGAAAAGAAAAGAAAAAGCCUCCAGAUUUUGAAGAUACAAUGAAACUUAAAAAAAAAAAAAAAAAACCUCCAAAUUUUCCUUUUGAAAUGAGGUAAUAAGAGGAUUUUUCUUUGCCUCUCUUUCAAAUUUGAUUAACUUCUAUGGAAAACGUAUUUUAACUAGUUAUGGAAAACGGAUUUUUUUUUUUUAAACUUUUAUAUAAGAUACAAGUAAUACUUUAAAAAAAUUGUGAUAUCUAAAAAAUUUUUUGAAAAAUUAUUUUUAAAGAAAUAAGGUAAAUCUAUACUUUUUGUAUAAGAUGUUCUACCUUUAUAUACAAAUUUCUGAUUUUUUUUUUUUAAAGUGUAUCCAAAUGGACACUAAACUAUCUAGUUUUUAAUUGUUACAACUUUGAAUUGGAUUUUAUGGUAAACUAAUUUACAAGUUAAUGCAUGGAUUCAUCUUAGAUUCCAUCUAUAAAUUUUUUUAAUUAUCUAAUAUAAGACAUUAUAUUAAUGGGUUGAAUUAAUAAUGUAAUUAUAAUUUAUUUGGCAACUUUCUUCCUUCAAAUAUAUAAAAUGAAAAUAAAUUUUAAAAAAUAAAAAAAUGAAAAAAAUAAAAAAUAAAAAAAGAUUUUUUUUUAUAGGUUUUCUAAGAUGAUUUUGUUGAGUACUGUUAGUUUAUUGUUUUAACUUUAUUUCAUUUUACUUUUAACUUUAUUUAUUGAGGUAUGUUCUUUUUUGAAACUCUUGUUUAGAUUUUAUAGAGAAUAUAAAUUUUAAGAAAACAAAUGAAAUUUAAAUAAAAUAAGAAUAAAGAAAGGCAAAAGGUGGAUGAAUUUUUUUAAGGCAAAAGUUUGAUAAUUUGGCACUAUCAUGUAAUGGGUGAAAUUUUUAAAUACUCAACAAAGGCUAGUGAAAUUUAAAUUAAAAGCUUGACAUGUACCUUUUCGACCAAAAUCUUUGGAGUUGGUGUAAAGUUUUGAGUAUGAGAGAGGUUAGUCUAGGGAAUAUUAUUGCACAUUAGUUCAAAUAAAACAUCAACAUCUUUUUUUGUUAAAUUCUAAAUGAACACCACUAUAAAUUAAUGCGAUUUUGUAUGCUCAAUUAAAUAAACUCGUUCUUAAGGCAUCACAUGAAGUGUUUAAGUCUAAUUAAUAUUAAUUAAAAAUGAUUAUAUUAAAAAAAAUCCAAAGUAAUUUUUUUUUAUCAUAAGUCAAGUAGGAUAGUUUUAUAAAUAAUUGGUUCUAGUUUCUAGUAUUAUUGUACACAAUCCCUAUGUUUGUUGCACCUCCAAAAAAUCUACUACUUGUAAUUAAUUGUAUAUUAUUCUCCAUAUUCACAUCAGUUUAUGUAGUAUGAUUAAUUUAGUAACAAAAUAUAAAUUUACUUGAAAUCGCUUUAAAUUCCUAUGAUAUUAAAGUUUAAGAUUAAAACAAUGUAACAUUAGCCAAAAAGAUUAAGAUCUAUAAUGUAACAUAUAAAAUUUAGAAAAUUCAAGGAAGGGUAAACUCGCACCUGUUCUACCCAGAAGAGUGGCUCAAGUUCACAUUCAUAAUUUAUUUGUUGAAAGAGUAUCUCCACUUUAUCACAAUAGAGCACUUCCAAUUCUUUCAAAAGUGGCCAGCUUGAACUAAACCUUCUAGAGCAAAAUCUUUUGAGUUGGUGUAAACCGGCGAGUUCGAGAGAGGUAAGGUUAGGGAAUAAGAGUAAAGGUGCUGCUUCAUCUUCAUUUUCAUUGUGAACAACUGCCUCCACUCCACUCUGCAAUAGAUUUAGGUCCUCAAGUUGCACAGGAGCACUCGCCACAGAAACCGGAAAAAGGUUUAGCAAUUUUUUGCAUCCCUUUACUUGCAAUUUCCUUAAUUUGGAAAAUGAAUUUGCUAGAAGUUGGUCAGGCCACAAUGCUCUUAUAUUAUCUAUGAUAACCACAACAUUCAAACCACCGAGAUUUCCUUGGCUUCUCACUUAUCUUUUCCACCAGAUAAGUGUUUAUCCACUUUAAGAGAUAACUCUUGACUAUUUUUAAAUUUCUGUUAUUGUGUAUUUCAAAUCUCCUUCUGUAAUUGUAUAUAAAUGAGAAUAGCCACCCGGUUUUUGGCAUUGAAGCCAAUACCAUUUUACAGAUUUCUACAGAGUCUUACAUGGUAUCAGAGCAAUUGGCAUACGCCUAAUUUCAAUCGAUCCUUUCCUUCUCAACUAUGGCCUUCUCUUCUUCCGCUUCCUCCAAUGUUAUCUUUGCUCCUCCAAACAUUGGUCAUCUGGUGUCGAUCAAGCUGAGUGACACAAACUAUCUUAUAUGGUCAUCUCAGAUUGUGCCAGUACUGAAAAGUCAUGACUUGAUGGGCUUCAUGGAUGGUUCUGAGCCGUGUCCAUCAAAAUCUCUUGAUGGUUCUCUUAAUCCAGCAUAUAUUCUCUGGAAUAAGAAAGAUCAGUGUGUGUUAAGUUGGAUCAAUGCCACUUUGUCUGACAAGGUGCUAGCUUCUGUUUAUGGCAUCACAUCUGCUCGAGAGGUGUGGAGUUCUCUGGCAAACAAGUUUGCCUCUCAAUCCAGAACCCGUGUACACCACCUAAAGCGAAAGUUGCAGACUCUUCAUCAAGGGUCAAUGAAGUGCACUGAUUUUCUUGAAAAAGCGAAGUUGGUGUCUGAUGAAUUAGCUGCAGUUGGUAAGCCACUUGAGGAUGAUGACUUAAUGUCUUAUAUUGUGAGUGGACUCAACCCAUCCUUUAAUCCCUUUAUAACCUCUCUGUCCUUUGCCACUAGAGACAAAAAUGUUUCUUUUGAAGACUUUCAAGCCGAGCUCUUGUCAUAUGAACUGUUAUUGGAAAACUAGAAUAUUGCUAUACCACCUGAGACAAAUAAUUUUGCUUUCUUCACUCCCAAAUCUAACCAACAACAGUACAAUCGCAAACCCAAAAACCCAAGUAAACCAUAUUCACGUCCUUCAUUUUCACAAAAUCCUCGUCCUCGAUAUUCACCACAACCCUCUGGUUUACCUUCCUCACCUCAGCCAAAUCAGAAGCAGCACUCAUUUUCCACUCCUAAGUCACCUUGUCAAAUCUGUGGAAAGCUAAGUCAUAAGGCAUUAGAUUGCUUUCAUAGAAUGGAUUAUGCAUAUCAGGGUCGUCAUCCACCAACCCAGUUAGCUGCUAUGGUGGCACAUAGCAAUGCUGAGCAAGAGGAAGAGACAUGGUUUGCUGACAGUGGAGCUAAUCAGCACAUUACUGCCAAUCUGGAGCAUCUUACUCUGCAACAACCAUACACAGGACAAGAAAAUGUAGCUAUUGGUAAUGGCCAAGGUUUAAGUAUUGCACAUACUGGUACUACUAUUUUUCAUACUCCUGAAGCUAAAUUAAACCUCAAACGUGUCCUCCAUUGUCCUCAAGCUUCUGCCAAUUUGCUUUCCAUAAAUCAAUUCUGUCUUGAUAAUAAUUGCCUCUUUAUUCUAACUGGUACUCAUUAUUUUGUCAAGGACAUACAAACGGGGGCGACACUACUGGAAGGCAGGAGUGAAGGGGGUCUCUAUCCAAUCCAGUUGCGGUCAAUGUCUAUCAAUAAAUCACAUGCUUUGUCAGCCGUUGUAGGAAUUAAAGCAUCAGUUUCAGUUUGGCAUUCUAGAUUAGGACAUGCAUCUCUUCCCAUUGUGUCUCAGUUAUUAAAUAAACACUCCUUACCUGUUGAAGGAUCAGUGAAUAAAAUGCAUUUUUGUGAACCUUGCCAACUUGGCAAAGGUAAGCAACUUCCUUUCAAACCUUCUACUCGUGUUUCUUCCUUUCCUUUGCAAUUAAUUCAUACUGAUGUAUGGUCUUGUUCUACCAAAUCUCUCAGUGGAUGUAAGUAUUAUGUUAUAUUCAUUGAUGAUUUUUCACGAUUCUCAUGGCUUUAUCCUCUCCAAAAUAAAUCUGAUGUAUAUGCUUGCUUUGUUAAAUUCAAAACACUAGUUGAAAACCAAUUUUCUUGCAAAAUUAAGCAAUUACAAUCGGAUGGAGGUGGAGAAUACAUGUCCAACCAAUUUCAAUUGUUUCUUUCCUCUAAUGGAAUCCAACAUCGCCGCACUUGUCCUCAUACACCCCAACAAAAUGGGGUUGCUGAGCGUAAACACCGUCAUGUGGUGGAAAUGGGACUGUCUCUGUUAGCUCAGUCACUUUUGCCCACUAAAUUCUGGGUUGAUGCCUUUUUAACAUCCAUUUUUCUCAUCAAUAGACUACCAACAUCUACUCUUGAUAACCAAACACCAUAUCUUAAAUUAUUUGGCAAACAUCCUGAUUAUACCUCCUUGCGCACCUUUGGUUGUGCCUGUUUUCCAUUGUUACGGACCAUAUGCAACUCACAAAUUAAUGUUCAGAUCCAAACGUUGCAUAUUUCUAGGUUAUAGUUCCCAUCAAAAUGGAUAUAGAUGCUUGGAUCCUGUCACUCAAAAAGUUCUAAUCUCACGACAUGUUGUGUUUAAUGAGAAUACAUUUCCUGCUAAGGAUGGAUUGCAGUCUUCUGAACUUCUUCCAGUGGUCUCCUCUCAAGGUACGCCUUUACCUUCUCCUUCAUUUUCUUUAUCUACUUCUCAUUUACAGCAUUCCUCUCCAAUCAUUUCAGAUUCACCUGAUUCUCCUCUAGAAUCUUUACCUAUCCCCACUUCUCCUCAUAUCUCCACUCUACCUUCUCCCAUACCUAGUCCAGCUCCUACCCUUUCUAUACCUGAAUUUUCCUCUUCUUCCAAUCACUCUCAUCACCCCAUGACAACUCGCUCCCAAACAGGCAACCUCAAACCUCGCACAUUUUCAGAUUUUAAACUCUAUUCCACCCACUAUCCUCUCCAAGCAUUAUCCAGUACUGUGACUCCCCUUGCACCAACCUCCUACCGACAAGCUGCUUUAUUACCUGACUGGUGUGUUGCUAUGAGAGAGGAAUAUGAUGCUUUAUUGGCUAAUGAGACAUGGAAGCUAUGUCCUAGACCUGUUGAUCAUAAUGUGGUGGGAAAUAAGUGGGUGUAUAAAGUUAAACAAACAUCCACAGGUGAGGUUGACAGAUUCAAAGCAAGAUUAGUGGCUUUGGGAUUUGCUCAAGAAGAAGGUAUUGACUUUACUGAGACUUUUAGUCCAGUAAUUAAGCCUUCUACUGUACGGGUGCUUCUUACACUUUCUGUUCAAUUUGAUUGGGAAAUCAGACAGCUUGAUGUAUCUAACGCUUUUCUUCAUGGGAUCUUGCUAGAGGAUGUAUAUAUGGAGCAACCUAAGGGGUUUGUUAAUUCAGAUUUUCCAGAUUAUGUUUGCAAACUGAACAAGUCACUUUAUGGCCUCAAACAAGCACCUCGUGCUUGGUUUAUGCGUCUAUCUCAAACUCUACUUGAAUUCGGUUUCCUAUCCUCACCAGUGGAUGCCUCCUUAUUUGUCUAUCAUAAGGGCCAUAUUCAUCUAUUUAUCCUCAUCUAUGUAGAUGAUAUCCUUGUUACAGGUACAGAUCCUUCUCUCAUUCAGUCUCUAAUCCAAAAGCUACAAACCGAGUUCAAGAUGAAAGACCUUGGUCCUUUGGGCUAUUUUCUCGGCAUCCAAGCAAGUCGUGACUCUUCUGGCCUACAUCUUCGACAAUCCAAGUACAUUGGGGAUCUUCUUCAUCGUACCAAGAUGGCUGGGGCCAAACCUGCUUCCUCUCCUUGUACCACAGGUCUUAAAUUAUCCACUCAUGUUGGUGAGCCACUCACAGCUUCUCAAAUUACAGAAUAUCGACAAACUGUGGGAGCUCUUCAAUAUUGCACCUUGACUAGACCUGAUAUAGCAUUUUCUGUCAACCAACUAUGUCAACAUAUGCACUGUCCUAAUUCUGUUCAUUGGACAGCAGCAAAACGUGUCUUACGUUACUUAAAAGGCACCAUUGAUCUGGGAUUAUGGUACACUAAGGGCGAGCAAACUCUUCAAGCCUUUUGUGAUUCAGAUUGGGCUGGUAAUCCCGAUGAUCGAAGAUCAACUACUGGGUAUGGCGUUUUCUUUGGCUCUUGCUUAAUCUCAUGGACUGCCAAGAAACAAUCUGUGGUAGCUCGUUCUAGCACUGAAGCCGAAUAUAGGGCAUUAGCUAUUACUACUGCUGAGCUGUAUUGGAUUCGUAUGCUCCUCAAAGAACUUCAUAUUUCUUUGCCCACAGCUCCUACUAUUUGGUGUGAUAACAGUGGCGCUCUUGCUCUUGCUUCUAAUCCUGUGUUUCAUGCCCGCACCAAACAUAUUGAAGUUGAUUUUCACUUCAUCCGCGAGAAAGUUGCUAAUCGAGAUAUUUCCCUUCAGUUCAUCGGUUCUUAUGAUCAGCCUGCUGAUAUCUUUACAAAGGGACUAAGUUUAGCUCGGUUUUGUUUGCUUCGUGACAAGCUAAUGGUGGUUUCUCUCCCCAUUAGCUUGAGGGGGGAUGAUAACCACAACAUUCAAACCACCGAGAUUUCCUUGGCUUCUCACUUAUCUUAUCCACCAGAUAAGUGUUUAUCCACUUUAAGAGAUAACUCUUGACUAUUUUUAAAUUUCUGUUAUUGUGUAUUUCAAAUCUCCUUCUGUAAUUGUAUAUAAAUGAGAAUAGCCACCCGGUUUUUGGCAUUGAAGCCAAUACCAUUUUACAGAUUUCUACAGAGUCUUACAAUCUAGUCCGCCUACAGAAAAGGACUCCAAGCCUGGGAGUGCAACCUGUGCAAUUGAUGAUCCCUUUAGUUAAUAAUAUAUACAUAUACAUUCCUAAUAAUUAGACACAUGUAAAUAGAAAAUAAGAGGUUAAAGGAGAAUAUAUCAGUAUAACAAAGCACAAAAUUUAAACUAGAUUCAAGAAGAUCAAGAAAGAGAAAAUAAAAGAAAAAGCCUCCAGAUUUUGAAGAUACAAUGAAACUUAAAAAAAAAAAAAAAAAACCUCCAGAUUUUCCUUUCGAAAUGAGGUAAUAAGAGGAUUUUCUUUUUCUUUUUUCUUUGCCUCUUUUUCAAAUUUGAUUAACUUCUAUGGAAAACGUAUUUUAACUAGUUAUGGAAAACGGAUUUUUUUAAAAAAACUUUUAUAUAAGAUACAAGUAAUACUUUAAAAAAGUUGUGAUAUCUAAAAAAUUUUUGUAAAAAUUAUUUUUAAAGAAAUAAGGUAAAUCUAUACUUUUUGUAUAAGAUGUUCUACCUUUAUAUACAAAUUUUUGAUUUUUUUUUUUUAAGUGUAUCCAAAUGGACACUAAACUAUCUAGUUUUUAAUUGUUACAACUUUGAAUUGGAUUUUAUGGUAAACUAAUUUACAAGUUAAUGCAUGGAUUCAUCUUAGAUUCCAUCUAUAAAUUUUUUUAAUUAUCUAAUAUAAGACAUUAUAUUAAUGGGUUGAAUUAAUAAUGAAAUUAUAAUUUAUUUGGCAACUUUCUUCCUUCAAAUAUAUAAAAUGAAAAUAAAUUUUAAAAAAUAAAAAAAAUGAAAAAAAUAAAAAAUAAAAAAAGAUUUUUUUUAUAGUUUUUCUAAGAUGAUUUUGUAGAGUACUGUUAGUUUAUAGUUUUAACUUUAUUUCAUUUUACUUUUAACUUUAUUUAUUGAGGUAUGUUCUUUUUUGAAACUCUUGUUUAGAUUUUAUAGAGAAUAUAAAUUUUAAGAAAAAAAAUGAAAUUUAAAUAAAAUAAGAAUAAAGAAAGGCAAAAGGUGGAUGAAUUUUUUUAAGGCAAAAGUUUGAUAAUUUGGCACUAUCAUGUAAUGGGUGAAAUUUUUAAAUACUCAACAAAGGCUAGUGAAAUUUAAAUUAAAAGCUUGACAUGUACCUUUUCGACCAAAAUCUUUGGAGUUGGUGUAAAGUUUUGAGUAUGAGAGAGGUUAGUCUAGGGAAUAUUAUUGCACAUUAGUUCAAAUAAAACAUCAACAUCUUUUUUUGUUAAAUUCUAAAUGAACACCACUAUAAAUUAAUGCGAUUUUGUAUGCUCAAUUAAAUAAACUCGUUCUUAAGGCAUCACAUGAAGUGUUUAAGUCUAAUUAAUAUUAAUUAAAAAUGAUUAUAUUAAAAAAAAUCAAAAGUAAUUUUUUUUUAUCAUAAGUCAAGUAGGAUAGUUUUAUAAAUAAUUGGUUCUAGUUUCUAGUAUUAUUGUAGACAAUCGCUAUGUUUGUUGCACCUCCAAAAAAUCUACUACUUGUAAUUAAUUGUAUAUUAUUCUCCAUAUUCACAUCAGUUUAUGUAGUAUGAUUAAUUUAGCAACAAAAUAUAAGUUUACUUGAAAUCGCUUUAAAUUCCUAUGAUAUUAAAGUUUAAGAUUAAAACAAUGUAACAUUAGCCAAAAAGAUUAAGAUCUAUAAUGUAACAUAUAAAAUUUAGAAAAUUCAAGGAAGGGUAAACUCGCACCUGUUCUACCCAGAAGAGUGGCUCAAGUUCACAUUCAGAAUUUAUUUCUUGAAAGAGUAUCUCCACUUUAUCACAAUCGAGCACUUUCAAUUCUUUCAGAAGUGGCCAGCUUGAACUAAACCUUUUUGAGCAAAAUCUUUUGAGUUGGUGUAAACCGGAGAGUGUGAGAGAGGUAAGGUUAGGGAAUAAGAGUAAAGGUGCUGCUUCAUCUUCAUUUUCAUUGGCAACAAUUGCCUCCACUCCACUCUUCGAUAUAUAUAGGUCCUCAAGUUGCACAAGGGCACUCGCCACAGAAACCAGAAAAAGGUUUAGCAAUUUGUUGCAUCCCCUUACUUGCAAUUUCCUUAAUUUGGAAAAUGAAUUUGCUGGAAGUUGGUCAGACCACAAUGCUCUUAUAUUAUCUAGUCCGCGUACAGACAAGGACUCCAAGCCUUGGAGUGCAACCUGUGCAAUUGAUGAUCCCUUUAGUUAAUAAUAAAUACAUAUACAUUCCUAAUAAUUAGACACAUGUAAAUAGAAAAUAAGAGGUUAAAGGAGAAUAUAUCAGUAUAACAAAGCACAAAAUUUAAACUAGAUUAAAGAAGAUCAAGAAAGAGAAAAGAAAAGAAAAAGCCUCCAGAUUUUGAAGAUACAAUGAAACUUAAAAAAAAAAAAAAAAAACCUCCAAAUUUUCCUUUCGAAAUGAGGUAAUAAGAGGAUUUUUUUUUUCUUUUUUCUUUGCCUCUCUUUCAAAUUUGAUUAACUUCUAUGGAAAACGUAUUUUAACUAGUUAUGGAAAACGGAUAUUUUUUUUUUAAACUUUUAUAUAAGAUACAAGUAAUACUUUAAAAAAAAUUGUGAUAUCUAAAAAAUUUUUUGAAAAAUUAUUUUUAAAGAAAUAAGGUAAAUCUAUACUUUUUGUAUAAGAUGUUCUACCUUUAUAUACAAAUUUCUGAUUUUUUUUUUUUUAAAUGUAUCCAAAUGGACACUAAACUAUCUAGUUUUUAAUUGUUACAACUUUGAAUUGGAUUUUAUGGUAAACUAAUUUACAAGUUAACGCAUGGAUUCAUCUUAGAUUCCAUCUAUAAAUUUUUUUAAUUAUCUAAUAUAAGACAUUAUAUUAAUGGGUUGAAUUAAUAAUGUAAUUAUAAUUUAUUUGGCAACUUUCUUCCUUCAAAUAUAUAAAAUGAAAAUAAAUUUUAAAAAAUAAAAAAAAUGAAAAAAAUAAAAAAUAAAAAAAGAUUUUUUUUAUAGUUUUACUAAGAUGAUUUUGUAGAGUACUGUUAGUUUAUAGUUUUAACUUUAUUUCAUUUUACUUUUAACUUUAUUUAUUGAGGUAUGUUCUUUUUAAAAACUCUUGUUUAGAUUUUAUAGAGAAUAUAAAUUUUAAGAAAAAAAAUGAAAUUUAAAUAAAAUAAGAAUAAAGAAAGGCAAAAGGUGGAUGAAUUUUUUUAAGGCAAAAGUUUGAUAACUUGGCACUAUCAUGUAAUGGGUGAAAUUUUUAAAUACUCAACAAAGGCUAGUGAAAUUUAAAUUAAAAGCUUUACAUGUACCUUUUCGACCAAAUUCUUUGGAGUUGGUGUAAAGUUUUGAGUAUGAGAGAGGUUAGUCUAGGGAAUAUUAUUGCACAUUAGUUCAAAUAAAACAUCAACAUCUUUUUUUGUUAAAUUCUAAAUGAACACCACUAUAAAUUAAUGCGAUUUUGUAUGCUCAAUUAAAUAAACUCGUUCUUAAGGCAUCACAUGAAGUGUUUAAGUCUAAUUAAUAUUAAUUAAAAAUGAUUAUAUUAAAAAAAAUCAAAAGUAAUUUUUUUUUAUCAUAAGUCAAGUAGGAUAGUUUUAUAAAUAAUUGGUUCUAGUUUCUAGUAUUAUUGUACACAAUCGCUAUGUUUGUUGCACCUCCAAAAAAUCUACUACUUGUAAUUAAUUGUAUAUUAUUCUCCAUAUUCACAUCAGUUUAUGUAGUAUGAUUAAUUUAGCAACAAAAUAUAAGUUUACUUGAAAUCGCUUUAAAUUCCUAUGAUAUUAAAGUUUAAGAUUAAAACAAUGUAACAUUAGCCAAAAAGAUUAAGAUCUAUAAUGUAACAUAUAAAAUUUAGAAAAUUCCAGGAAGGGUAAACUCGCACCUGUUCUACCCAGAAGAGUGGCUCAAGUUCACAUUCANNNNNNNNNNNNNNNNNNNNNNNNNNNNNNNNNNNNNNNNNNNNNNNNNNNNNNNNNNNNNNNNNNNNNNNNNNNNNNNNNNNNNNNNNNNNNNNNNNNNNNNNNNNNNNNNNNNNNNNNNNNNNNNNNNNNNNNNNNNNNNNNNNNNNNNNNNNNNNNNNNNNNNNNNNNNNNNNNNNNNNNNNNNNNNNNNNNNNNNNNNNNNNNNNNNNNNNNNNNNNNNNNNNNNNNNNNNNNNNNNNNNNNNNNNNNNNNNNNNNNNNNNNNNNNNNNNNNNNNNNNNNNNNNNNNNNNNNNNNNNNNNNNNNNNNNNNNNNNNNNNNNNNNNNNNNNNNNNNNNNNNNNNNNNNNNNNNNNNNNNNNNNNNNNNNNNNNNNNNNNNNNNNNNNNNNNNNNNNNNNNNNNNNNNNNNNNNNNNNNNNNNNNNNNNNNNNNNNNNNNNNNNNNNNNNNNNNNNNNNNNNNNNNNNNNNNNNNNNNNNNNNNNNNNNNNNNNNNNNNNNNNNNNNNNNNNNNNNNNNNNNNNNNNNNNNNNNNNNNNNNNNNNNNNNNNNNNNNNNNNNNNNNNNNNNNNNNNNNNNNNNNNNNNNNNNNNNNNNNNNNNNNNNNNNNNNNNNNNNNNNNNNNNNNNNNNNNNNNNNNNNNNNNNNNNNNNNNNNNNNNNNNNNNNNNNNAGAGAGGUAAGGUUAGGGAAUAAGAGUAAAGGUGCUGCUUCAUCUUCAUUUUCAUUGUGAACAAUUGCCUCCACUCCACUCUGCGAUAUAUUUAGGUCCUCAAGUUGCACAAGAGCACUCGCCACAGAAACCGGAAAAUGGUUUAGCAAUUUCUUGCAUCCCAUUACUUGCAAUUUCCUUAAUUUGGAAAAUGAAUUUGCUGGAAGUUGGUCAGGCCACAAUGCUCUUAUAUUAUCUAGUCCCCGUACAGACAAGGACUCCAAGCCUGGGAGUGCAACCUGUGCAAUUGAUGAUCCCUUUAGUUAAUAAUAUAUACAUAUACAUUCCUAAUAAUUAGACACAUGUAAAUAGAAAAUAAGAGGUUAAAGGAGAAUAUAUCAGUAUAACAAAGCACAAAAUUUAAACUAGAUUGAAGAAGAUCAAGAAAGAGAAAAGAAAACGCCUUUUGAUUUUGAAGAUCCAAUGAAACUUUAAAAAAAAAAAAAAAUCCUCCAAAUUUUGCUUUCCAAAUGAGGUAAUAGGAGGAUAUUUUUAUUUUAUUUUUUCUUUGCCUCUCUUUCAAAUUUGAUUAACGUCCAUGGAAAACGUAUUUUAACUAGCCAUGGAAAAUGGAUUUUUUUUUUAAAACUUUUAUAUAAGAUACAAGAACUCUUAGAGGGUUACAUUAUGUAAGUAAUACUUUAAAAAAAAUGUUUAAAAAUAUUGUGAUAUCCAAAAAUUUUACUACCUUGGAUUUUAAAUUUUUAAAAAAUUAUUUUUAAAGAAAUAAGGUAAAUCUAUACUUUUUGUAUAAGAUAUUCUACCUUUAUAUACAAAUUUCUGAUUUUUUUUUUUAAAGUGUAUCCAAAUGGACACUAAACUAUCUAGUUUCGAAUUUUUACAACUUUGAAUUGGAUUUUAUGGUAAACUAAUUUACAAUAUAACGCAUGGAUUCAUCUUAGAUUCCAUCUAUAAAUUUUUUAAUUAUCUAAUAUAAGACAUUAUAUUAUUGCGUUGAAUUAAUAAUGUAAUUAUAAUUUAUUUGGCAACUUUCUUCCUUCAAAUAUAUAAAAUGAAAAUAAAUUUUAAAAAAUAAAAAAAAUGAAAAAAAUAAAAAAUAAAAAAAGAUUUUUUUUAUAGUUUUUCUAAGAUGAUUUUGUAGAGUACUGUUAGUUUAUAGUUUUAACUUUAUUUCAUUUUACUUUUAACUUUAUUUAUUGAGGUAUGUUCUUUUUAAAAACUCUUGUUUAGAUUUUAUAGAGAAUAUAAAUUUUAAGAAAAAAAAUGAAAUUUAAAUAAAAUAAGAAUAAAGAAAGGCAAAAGGUGGAUGAAUUUUUUUAAGGCAAAAGUUUGAUAACUUGGCACUAUCAUGUAAUGGGUGAAAUUUUUAAAUACUCAACAAAGGCUAGUGAAAUUUAAAUUAAAAGCUUGACAUGUACCUUUUCGACCAAAUUCUUUGGAGUUGGUGUAAAGUUUUGAGUAUGAGAGAGGUUAGUCUAGGGAAUAUUAUUGCACAUUAGUUCAAAUAAAACAUCAACAUUUUUUUUUGUUAAAUUCUAAAUGAACACCACUAUAAAUUAAUGCGAUUUUGUAUGCUCAAUUAAAUAAACUCGUUCUUAAGGCAUCACAUGAAGUGUUUAAGUCUAAUUAAUAUUAAUUAAAAAUGAUUAUAUUAAAAAAAAUCCAAAGUAAUUUUUUUUUAUCAUAAGUCAAGUAGGAUAGUUUUAUAAAUAAUUGGUUCUAGUUUCUAGUAUUAUUGUACACAAUCGCUAUGUUUGUUGCACCUCCAAAAAAUCUACUACUUGUAAUUAAUUGUAUAUUAUUCUCCAUAUUCACAUCAGUUUAUGUAGUAUGAUUAAUUUAGCAACAAAAUAUAAGUUUACUUGAAAUCGCUUUAAAUUCCUAUGAUAUUAAAGUUUAAGAUUAAAACAAUGUAACAUUAGCCAAAAAGAUUAAGAUCUAUAAUGUAACAUAUAAAAUUUAGAAAAUUCAAGGAAGGGUAAACUCGCACCUGUUCUACCCAGAAGAGUGGCUCAAGUUCACAUUCAGAAUUUAUUUGUUGAAAGAGUAUCUCCACUUUAUCACAAUAGAGCACUUCCAAUUCUUUCAGAAGUGGCCAGCUUGAACUAAACCUUCUAGAGCAAAAUCUUUUGAGUUGGUGUAAACCGGAGAGUGUGAGAGAGGUAAGGUUAGGGAAUAAGAGUAAAGGUGCUGCUUCAUCUUCAUUUUCAUUGUGAACAAUUGCCUCCACUCCACUCUGCGAUAUAUUUAGGUCCUCAAGUUGCACAAGAGCACUCGCCACAGAAACCGGAAAAUGGUUUAGCAAUUUCUUGCAUCCCAUUACUUGCAAUUUCCUUAAUUUGGAAAAUGAAUUUGUUGGAAGUUGGUCAGGCCACAAUGCUCUUAUAUUAUCUAGUCCCCGUACAGACAAGGACUCCAAGCCUGGGAGUGCAACCUGUGCAAUUGAUGAUCCCUUUAGUUAAUAAUAUAUACAUAUACAUUCCUAAUAAUUAGACACAUGUAAAUAGAAAAUAAGAGGUUAAAGGAGAAUAUAUCAGUAUAACAAAGCACAAAAUUUAAACUAGAUUGAAGAAGAUCAAGAAAGAGAAAAGAAAACGCCUUUUGAUUUUGAAGAUCCAAUGAAACUUAAAAAAAAAAAAAAAAACCUCGAAAUUUUGCUUUCCAAAUGAGGUAAUAGGAGGAUAUUUUUAUUUUAUUUUUUCUUUGCCUCUCUUUCAAAUUUGAUUAACUUCCAUGGAAAACGUAUUUUAACUAGCCAUGGAAAAUGGAUUUUUUUUUUAAAACUUUUAUAUAAGAUACAAGAACUCUUAGAGGGUUACAUUAUGUAAGUAAUACUUUAAAAAAAAUGUUUAAAAAUAUUGUGAUAUCCAAAAAUUUUACUACCUCGGAUUUUAAAUUUUUAAAAAAUUAUUUUUAAAGAAAUAAGGUAAAUCUAUACUUUUUGUAUAAGAUAUUCUACCUUUAUAUACAAAUUUCUGAUUUUUUUUUUUAAAGUGUAUCCAAAUGGACACUAAACUAUCUAGUUUCGAAUUUUUACAACUUUGAAUUGGAUUUUAUGGUAAACUAAUUUACAAUAUAACGCAUGGAUUCAUCUUAGAUUCCAUCUAUAAAUUUUUUAAUUAUCUAAUAUAAGACAUUAUAGUUUAACUUUAUUUCAUUUUACUUUUAACUUUAUUUAUUGAGGUAUGUUCUUUUUUGAAACUCUUGUUUAGAUUUUAUAGAGAAUAUAAAUCUUAAGAAAAAAAAUGAAAUUUAAAUAAGAUAAGAAUAAAAUAAAAUUUCAUAAUUUCAUAAAAUAAAAUUAUGAAAUUUAAACUAAUGAAAUUUAUUGAGGUAUGCCUUUCAAUGACUUUCGCCACGGGAAGGGGAAAAACAUUCAGCAAUUCAUGACAGCCAGAUACAUCCAAGCCCUUUAGUUUGGAAAAGGAAUUUGCUGGAAGUUGGUUGUGCCACAAUGCUUUCAGAUUAUUUAGACGAAAUACACGCAAGGACUCCAAGGCAGGGAAUGCAGCCUAUGCAAUUGAUGAUCCAUUUGGUUAAUACAUUCUCAAUAACUAAACACAUAUAAAUAGAACAGGAGAGGUGGAGGUGAAUAUGUCAAUAUGAAAAAGCACAAAAUAAAUUCAUAAUUUUAUCUGCGUAUUUUCUACAUUAUAUGAAACUAAACUAGACCUCACUACAAGCAGCUUGAAACUCACUUAGAAGGAAAGUUUAUUUUUAUUAAUUGUCUAAAACUAAUAGACUUCUCAUUAUAUAAUACUUUGGUUUUAGUAUUUUUCAUUUGUUCAUUCUCCAAUACAAUUUUACUAACUUAAAACAAGUAGAGCAUUUAUAUGUUGGAGUAAUAUGUAUAUGAUUAUUUUAUCCUAACUUUUUUUUAUUAAUUAAUUAUCAUUUUUAAAAGGUUUUAUUGAUGUGAUUUGAUAAAUGGUCAUAUUAAUAAUAUUAGAACAUAAAAACAAAUUAACUAUAUUUUAUCUAAUAUUUACCAAAAUAUUGAUUUACUAUCACAAAUUAUGUAAUUAAAAAUAUAAAAUAAAAUAUUGGUUUCCAAUAACUCCAACCUCGUCAUUUUAUUAAUAUCUAUAUUUUGUUUAUCUUUUUCUUCUUCUACAUUUUGUUUGGUGAUAGUUAUUUUUGGGUUAUAAACAAAGUAUUUCAUAUUUUAAAACUUUAUAACUCUUAUAAUAAGUAUUUCAUUCAUUCCAAAAUCGAUUCUUCUCCCUUGCUAUUGGUUUAGAAUACAAAAAUAAAUUUAUAAGUUUCUUUAAACCAUAUGAGUAUCAAUUAUUCCUUUCAUGAAAAUAAAGAGAGUUUAAUAUUGAAAGAAAAUUAACAAAAAUAUUUAUGUUAAAAAUAGUUAAGCAAAAAAUCAUAUAAUAAAAAAGAAUGAAUUAAGCCUUCAAAUUAUUAAAAAAAUUAACAUAAUAAAUUCAUGAAAAAAGAAAAGUGAAGAUUAGGCCUUAAAAUUUAUUCAGAAAAAUAAAAUAAAGAUAAUAAAUGUAUGAUAAAUAAGAAAAUAUAAGAAAGGAAGGAAGACAAGUACAAAUACUUUUUACUAAAAUUUUAUAUAAUUUUGGUUUUAAAGUGUACUUUUUAAUUCUGGUUUUUAUUUUUUAGAAUUUAUUUAUUUAGUGUAAAAGUAGUGUAAAUAAAUACUAGUAAUGGCAGAAAUUAGAUAUCGAGUAGUAAGAUACCUGUUGACUGAAAACUGUCAUUGACUCCUGGGUACCACUGCUUCUUGUGGAGUAGAAGCUAAUGAGCUCUGGGAGAUCACUCAACUCCAAAUGUUGCAGUUGAGGAAAAGCUGAUUCCCUUCCAUGUUGUGCUGGAAGAGAGAAAACAUAUUUCAACCUCUUACAAGACCUUAGUCUUAGAAUUCUUAAAUUACCAAAAGACCCCAUCGGAAUUGGGCCAUGGCAUACUGCCUCCAAGUUAUCUAGGCCAUCAAGAAUCAGUUCCUCCAACAUACAGAAGGUAUUAGGUGGUGGAACCCAUUCCACUGAAGUACUGGAAUGAAGGAUGUAUUGAACGGUAGGACAUUCCUCGAGAGUGAGAUACUUGAGUUCAACGAAACCCUCCUAGUCUAACUCAUAAACCACAUGCUUAGUAUCAUUCAAUUCCUCCAAGUCUAGAACUUGACUUCUCUUCAACAGCUUGGAGAAGAACUUCACCAUAUAAAGACUUGUAACCCCUCGCAACCCCAACCUUCUUGAGGCUUUAUACUCAUCAUUUGGUAUCCAGUCAUAGCCUAUUACUAUUGAAUAUCUGGUCAAGUUGAGGUUUUCGAAGAGCACAUCAUCUUCUGGAAACAAACUGGGAUUUGAUACUUGUACCUCCAAAGUCCUCAAACCAGACAGGUGUUUCAGCUCAGAAAGGCAAGCAUUAAUUCUUUCUCCCCUAUUAAAUCCUUCCGCCUCCCAUUCAAAACUUAAACUUCCUUUCAUACUCAAAUACUCUAAUUGGGAUAGACUUGAUAUAACAUUUCGUGGAAUUACUUCAAGGCUUUCACAAUACUGCAAAUCCAACAUCCUUAGAUCACUCAAUUGCGCCACUUCAUUUGGCAGCUGUUCAAUGUUGGACUCUGCCAAACUAAGGACUUGUAGUUUCCUCAGUUCUCCAAUUACUGUUAUGUCUUGGAUCUGGCAUUGAUUUAGACGCAAUGUUUGAAGAUUUGAAAGAAAACCAAGUGAUGAAGGAGAUGGUGUAAGAGACACUUUAGACAAAUCUAAAAUUCUGAGUUGUUUGGUGUCUUGGAAAAAGGCAUCUGGAAUUUUCAAAUAAGCAUCAUCAUUACUUGAAUUCAAUAAAAAGAAUUCAAGUUUCGGACAUACCAAGCCUUUUGGAAGCUCAUCCAUAUUUCUGCAUAUCAAAGAGAUGCGAGUGCAAUUUCUGCACUCAUCCGUCCUCUGCCAUUCUCGUAAUUCAACAGCUUCUUCUGAUCCAACAGCUUCUCUCACCACAAAUCGAUGAGGAUCUUUGGAUGCAAUUGAUCUGGCAACGUCACGAACAACAUCAUGCAUUCUGACAAAAGCGUGAUCAAAAAGCAAGCUCGGAUAUUCAUCACCAUCUCCUUCAUGGUCAAGCAACAAGCUUGAGGCUUUGAGGUUUUCCACCAAUGUAAUUAGUCUAUUUAUUGCUUUCUCCCAUAAAUAUAUUCCUUCAAACAAAUUCAAACACAUGGCAAAUUGUAGCAAGCGAUCCAUGGAAAUAUCACCAUCCCCCAGCAAAGCGCAAAGUAAAAACAAUGACUUUACUUCAUCACCUUUCAAAUGGUUGUAGCUCAGCUCCAGACAUGAGUAGACGCCUUCAGUCACUCCUCUGAUGCUUGUUGGUGCAGCCGUUCUCAGUCCUUCCAAGGCAUUCUUCCAUACAUGCACACUCUCACCUCUUAAUGUAUUUGCAAUGGUGACAAUUGCAACUGGUAGACCGUCACAUUUUUUAGCUACAUCAACUGCUAUGGGACGCAGUUCAGGCUUCUCCACGGAAUCACCUGCUGUCUUCUUGAAUAAAUUCCAGGCUUCAUCUUCACUUAAAUGUUGAAGAUGGAACUCCUUUUGAGUACGCAUAUCUUUAGAUAAAACCUGACGCUCCCGGGAAGUCAGCAGCACUUUGCACCCCUUGUGAUCAUCUCCAUAAGGAAUUCCUAUUUCUCCCAAGUCAAGUUUCCCCCAGAUAUCAUCUAAGAUCACCAGGAUUUUCUCCUCUCCCUUCAACCUUUGCUUCAGGCGACCUGCUCUAUCCUCCCCCGCCUCAAAUUUCAAACCCAACAUUCUUGCAAUUUUUUCUUGAAUUUCUGUGAUGUUGGGAGUUUGGGAUAUGUGUAACACCAUGACCACCUUGUGAAAGAGCUUGUCUUCCUCCGCUUGUUGAGCUACUUGUUUGACAAGAGUGGUUUUGCCCACGCCGCCCAUUCCCCAGACACCGAGCAUGCGCAUAUCUUCGUUUCUCAAGGCCUCCAUAAUUUGGUUAAAAGUAGACUCUCUUGACUGGAAAGCCUCAUAAUCUUUGAAAGAUGCAGAGCUGCUGAAUGGAGGAGGGCGAUGCGAUACUCUGCCACCAAAGUUACGAGCUUCUUGGAUUUUAUCAACAAUCUUCGCAGCCUGCUUCUCUGCUUGCUUGCUUAGUUGGUAGCGGGACUUUAAAUAGAAACAGCUCUUGCUUGCUUUCCUUUCAUGUUCAUUGAAAUCAUUGCUCUCUAGGAUGAUCCCUUCGGCAUACGUCAGCCACUCCUGAACACGAGGAAAGAUUUCAUCCCCUUGCCUAUAAGCCUCAUUCACAGGUAUCUGCAGUUCGUCCCUUUCACGACGGAGAUUUUCAAUUUGUUGGUUGAGAUCCGUAAUGUUGCGACGGUAGUUAAGGAGAUAACCCAGUUGACGUUUAAUUGGAUCAACCAGGCACUUUGCAACUUCUACUGCAACGGAAAUAACAAUAUCAACCAUUUCCAACUUCUUUCUAGAAAACGAUGAGAAUUGAGCAAAGGCAGAUAAAGAAUUAAUAGAGCAACCACAGCAGGAGAAAGACAAUACUCAAGAGAUUGAUAUUUGCUUGAAACUGUUGUGACAGAAGAAAUGGAAGGUUUGACGUAUAACAAGAGCAGAGUUUCUUUUCUUUUUUUCUUUUUUCUUUCAGGAAGAGAGGAGAGGAGAGGAGAGGAGAAACAGAAAGCAGGAAAAUGGAAAAGGAGAGUGAUUACUAGUAAAGAAGAAGAAAUAGUAGAUAAAAAAGAGAAAAGGGUUACAGAGUGAAGAGAUUGAGAAAGCUUUGGAUUUUGGAAUUCAGUGAUCCCCAAAACGAAAAUAAGUAAAAGGCUUUCUGGCAAGAGGGAGAGACGGAGAGAAGGAAAAUGAAAAAAUGGGAAACAGCAGUGAGUAUUGGGUGAUAAAUCGACGAGGAAACGGUUGUUUUGAUGAAAGGAGAAAGGAGAGCAGCAAGCCAACUUCAGAAGAAAUGGCAGAACAGCAGAAUUGCAGAUUCCUGAAUGUGAAAAUAGUUUGGUUAGAAGCAAAGGGUGUUUUAUUAAUA
RNAcentral lists this long non-coding RNA (296596 nucleotides) under Vitis vinifera (wine grape). Its description in RNAcentral is "long non-coding RNA (VVIN_LNC003281)". Lineage: Eukaryota; Viridiplantae; Streptophyta; Magnoliopsida; Vitales; Vitaceae. The record is from RNAcentral.